AAUAAAUAAGGGUGUAUUGAAUGGCAUCUUUUGUUUGCGGGCUUUCAAAGGAUUGAGGAAAUAAUUUUCGUAGGUCAUUUUCCGUAACAGAGAUCUUUGAUGCCGUUUGAGAAGGAAGAAAUGACUGUUGGGGCAAUUGGUUUUCCAAGCUUGAGAGAUGCACCAUGUUUCCUUGUUUGAGAAGUGAGAGUCUGAAGAAAGAAAAAGGAUCAACAUGUAGGACAACAUUUGGGCUAAUUCUGCCAUAGCCGUAAUUAUUCUUGUCCAAGAAACUAUCAACACGUGCUUUGGAUAAACAAGCUAGGUUUGCAAGAGAGCAAAGAUUUGCAUCAAAUGGAAGAUUUUUCUCGGACGCUAAUGAAGUGAAAUGUUCAGCUUGUUCCUUGCUCAGUGGAGAUAGUUUGGACAGAAGAUUUCCAGGCAUGGUGCCUUGGACAUUUUCUGACCAAUAUUUGAGCUGAUUCAAUGCAGUGAAUGAAGAAGAUGAAAUGUGUGCAGCAAAAUGGGACGUAGGAAACGUGAGGGCAAUGACAAAGAGAACGAUAGCAAACGUUGAAGAGGCCAUUGGUUUCAUCGACACUAAUAUUGAGCUAAUUUUCUUCAGUGGAUGAAGUGCUGAUGACUUUGCUAGUGCAGCUUCUAAUUUAUACUAGUGCUCGAGCCUGGACACAGGGCCUCACCUGCCCAUUUCAGGAUAAAAUGGUUACUCUAAAUUUUUUUUACAUCUUGUUUUAGUUGGUAUAUAUCUUUACUUCAAUUUAUUUACAUCCCACUCCAACUUAUUUGUACCUUAGUCUAAACCGGUUGGAAAUGGAACUUGUGAGGCCUCAUCCCCCACUCUAGCCUUGUGUUUGCUCCAGCUAUAAUCUCUAAAGGGAAACCGUUCAAAAUGUUCCUUAUAUUUUGUCAUAUAAAUUUUUUCCUUCUUGUUGUCCCUAAAAAUUAUCAAUCCUCAAUCAUUAUUGUCCCUAAAUAAGUAGAAUCUAAUCCAUACCAUGUUCAUUUUUCUCCAUAAAAAAGUGGAAUAUGACCCAAUCCAUAUUUAUUUUUGCCACAAAAAAAUGGGAUCUACCCUUUUUGGACAUAAAAAAUAACUGUAUAUAGGUCACAUGGUGAUUUUAAACUAGUCAGAUAUUUAGGUUGGAACUAAAUUUUGCUAAUUUGAAUUUUUAAGUGAUUUAAUUUGAAGUUUAUAUUUUAAAAGUGAAGAACGAAAAAAUUUAUUUGAUAAAAUGUGUGGCAUGUUUUGAAUGAUUUUCUCAUCUUCACAUGUAUAUAUUGUACAAUUAAUCCAAAACAAAACUCCAAAUGUACCUGUGUUUACUAAUCCAGAAAAAAAGAGACAAAAUUGAAAAAUAAAUUUAUUUGAAUAGACAAUUUGCAACUUGUUCCACGUUCGCAUUUGAAUGGGUUAAAUACACUAAUCAUACAUCCACGUUAGACAAUUUGCGGUUGUCCCAUUUUAUGCUCUCAGCUUGCGGUCCAUAACCUGAGAUAUGUGGUAGUUAAAAAGACAAUAUUUGUAAUCUCGAAAGUGACGGACAAUACAGUCCCGCACAUUUAGUGCGUCUUGUAGGUAUAUAUGGACAACCGCAGCAAGGAAUUACAUCUCCAAAUACGAAAAUUUCAUGAAAUGAGAUGUAGGUGUGUGUAUAUGUAUAUAGGUAUAUAAAUAUGUAUGUAAGUUUGGUUUAUAAAAUAUUAGUCAAUACUAAUCGUUCAAAAUGACCAACAAAUUUCUUAAUAAAAAAACAUUGAUAUCCUUGGGGAUACUUUUUUAUCCAAUAAAGCAGCUGAAAAUUGUGUAAAAAAUGCAUGCUUCCUAUAAACAAGAUUGGAAAAGAAAACGAAAAUGAAUAAGUCACAUGCUAUGAAAGUCAGUUGAAAAGGAAAAGAUUGGCUCGUGUAGCCAAAAAUUCAUAAGCAUUGCAGUUACCAGCAACACGUAUUUCCGAUUUUCAGAUGUCCACGAUUUGUAUAAGGGUUCUAGUCUGUUGCAUUUGCAUCCCACAUACAUUGAUAACUCCAUUUGAUUUGAAGAGGAACACCUUGCGCAAAAGAAAGAUGUUGCAGAAAUUUGAGACAUGAAAAAAAAUUUAGAGACUAGCAUUGAAACUUUUCCAUUAAGGAAAUAGAAAGUUUAAGAGCUAUCAAUUGCUACAGCUAAAAUAAAAUAAGAAUGAGACAGAGAAAUAGGUUUUGAAACACACUGUGUGAAAAAUGGAUUUAAAAUGUGGUCAAUUGUUUGUACUAGUAGCAAAGGGUAAUUCCAACAGUCCCAAACGUAGGGGCAAGUGUAGGCAUUUAACAAAAGAAAAUUCUAUAUUAAGUGAUAUACAAUAAUACAAUAAUCACAAUUUAAAAGAUGGCGUACCUCAUGAUAUCUAAGAGUUCUCAUAUUUAAAUUUGAUAAAUGGGAACGUCAUGCAAGUUGUUCUUAUAGCAUGCAAGUGUUUUUGGAGUAAAUCGAUUUUAGAAAAGUUUAGAACAGUACUAAGAAAAGUUGCUUUCUAUAAUUGGUUAUCAGUUUUAACAGCAUUGAUUUGGUUUAGUUACUAUUACACUAUAAUGUCUUAGGGAAACAAUUAUCUGUUCACAAAAAGAUAUUAAAGUGCUACAAUUAACGAACUCUUUAAUAGGCUUUGUUGAUUAAUUCUAGAAUUAGAUGAUUGUAAAAAACAAUUAGACUAUUAACAUCGAACUUUUAUUUUUUUUCUUCUAAGAACAAUAGGAAGGAAUAGCCUUACAUUCUUUGACAAAAAGAAAGAAAGUAAAAAUCCCUAGCUACAUUAUUUGAGUUCUCAAGUACUACUGAUUAUGGAUGGAGAAAGAUUGCUCAAAAUUGCUGUCCUUUUGAAAUUCAUGAAAUUAUUAAUCAAUUGGCAACUUUGGUUGACUGGUCUUUUAUUGGGCAAUUUUUUGACAGAAGUUUGUCGGAGAAUAUCCUCUCCUUCAAUUUAAAAGAAGAAAAUUUUGAAGUAAUUCCUCCUACACUAGCCAAAAAUCUUUUCUAUGUUCUUCAGCUUGGGCUGGAUAGUGACCUGAUCGAGUUUAGGUAUUAAGAGCCAAUGAGUUCGAUCGAUUAGUUCGGGAUCUAGCUGAAUGAUGUCAUAAUGAUGCCAUAAAUAUAUUUUAAUUAUCUAUAAAGUAAAAAUUAUAUAUAAAUUACACAUUAGCUUGACAUAUUUGGUGAGUUUAUAACAAAUAUGAAGAACUCAUUCAAAUAGUUGUACAAAUUUAGGCUGGAAAUAUAAUUUGAUAAGUAUUUGUGGUUUAAUAUAUAAUUUUUUUGAAACAAUUCAGUGUCAAUUCUUGAACUUAAAGUCCAAAUACACAUUGAUGAGCCUAAAACUUUUUAAUAGGACAAUUCUUCAACAAAAUUGAGGUUUGUAUGUAAAAAUACAAAAGUUAGAGUUGCGUAGAGUAAUUAUAAAAGAAGUUUGGGAGUAUAUUUAUGAUUAUAAAAAAUGGAGGGUCAAAACAAAAUACUAGAAAAGUUUUAUAUUUAAUUGGCAAUUUCUUCUCCACCAUGCAUCUUCAUCAGCCAGGAAUCGGGAGGUUUCAACCUUCAUCUGCAUUCCCCUUUUUUUUGGUUUCUUUUUGUAAUGAUUUCAUUGUUUUUUUGUCCCUUUUCUUCAACUGGGUAAGAAUCUUCCCCUUAUUCUUUAUUUUCGUUCUCUCCUGUUUUCUUCUUUUUCUAUUUAGAUCUAUAAAUCUUUGAGAGAUGACAAUGAUAGAUUUAUAGAUCUAUUUUCUCUUUUCCUUUUUUCUUCUCUUGCAGUAAUUGAAACUUUUUAUUAUGAUUUGUCAAAUAUCUUACCACCUUUUUUUGGAGAGAUAAAAUUAGGCUUUAGAAAUGAAGAAAAUUUUUGGAAAAAAAUCACAAAUCAGCAAUGAAGAAAUUCAGGUAAAAUGAGGUUUUUCCCGAUUUUAUUGAUUCCCAGUUUAACACUCGAUUUUUUAAGGUGACUUGGACCGAAUGCUUGAUCGGUCUUGGUUUGCCCGGUCAGACUGAUUAGUCUAAUCCAAAUUUUAAAACAUAGGAUUUAAAAGGACAUAUUUGACUUGGGGAUCUAGCAGCAGAGCAUUUGAGACUGAAAAUAUAUAUGGAUGUUAAACAAGGGCGGCAAUGGAAAGAUAGUCUAAUGCUAUACCAAAGCAAGGAAACAAAAAGAAAAAGGAUUAAAAGUAAAAUUAGUUGUGACCAAAUAAAUGUAGCCAACUUGAACAUGGUAUAAAAGCAAUUGAGCAAAUGCCUUGUUCAAUUCAAGAUAAUUGAGGUACAAAAUCUAGAUUAACACAGCAAAUUAGGUUGCAGAAUGUUGGGUGUGGGCCAGCUCAUUUGUGAGCCAAACUAGAAAAUCAAAUAUUUUUAGGUUUAAGUCAAAAAUUUGACUUAAAUAAAAAAGGCGAGCAGCCGCAUGAAGUAUGAUUCUUCGGUCCUUGUGCGAGAAAAAAGAUUUCAGCCGCCGCUCUUGCUGGCUUGGUGAAGAAGGAAAAGAGAAAAAUAACUGGGAGAUCUUGAUUGGAAGGUGAUUCGAAUCCCGAUUGAAAUAAAAUUUUACAUACGCGAUCCUCUCAUCAAUCUCUACUCAUCUACUGGUCCAGAUUUUAGAUUUCCUCUUCGUUUGGUGACACCUUUCUAAACUCACUUCUUUGAUAGUUGUAGUUUUUGGGGGUGAUUUUGUAGUAAUUUCGUUUGAUUGGUAUUGGUGAUAUUAUUGUCAACCGAAUAUUUUGGGUAGACCUGUGUAUUCCUAUUGUUGUGAUAGUGAAGAUUUUUGACUGGACUAGAUCCCGUGGUUUUUCCCAAUUUGGAUUUUUCACGUAAAAAUCUUGGUGUCAUGUGCCUUUUAUUUUUCUUGCAUUUUAUUAUCACUACUGGUAUUAUUACUUGGUGAUUUGAUUUAUUCCUAUUUUUAACCGGUACAUAGAGAAAGAGAAAUUUGUCUUGGAUUAACUCUGAUAUUGUGUGUCUAUACCCAUACCUCUUUCCCAACAAAUGGUAUAUUAGACAAUCUUCACAUUUUGCACUUUCAUAAAGCAAUUACACCACAACUAUUCAGUUUUAGAUCGACAACUUUGUAUGCUACAGUUCCUUAGGCUGUCAACCACGUAAAAGAUGUCUUUCCGCAUCAUAUUGAAUGCGUUAGUUACUUUGUUUAGCAAAUUUAUAAUUAUUGAGAUGCAUGAAAUACUUUUUUUUCUGCAAGAAGAAUGGUUAAAUUCUCAAUUACAAUGAAAACAGAUAAUAUAGUAAUCCCACCAAUAUUGUUUCUUUAAACAUUUUGUUGUAAUACUCUCAACCUUUUGCUUUUCUGGUAAUAUACUUUCUUUUCAUUUCCUUUCCUUCAAUUCAAAAGGUCACUAAAUUUUUUUCCUCAAAUGGCGCCUAAAUUACUUUAAAAGCAAAGAUAACUAGUGAGAUGCCAAAAAUUUCCAAUCAAUUAUAUGCUUUACUUUGAAACUUACCGGUAGUUCCACUUGUUUUAAAUUUGUAUUAUUUAGGUAGGUUAAAAAUCGAACCAAACUAUUCGAUAUUUGAAAUAAGUUUGGUUCAGUAAAAACUUGUUCUAACUUGAUUUAUGAAUUAAUCAAACAAAGUUUGAACAUCAUUUUGUGUUCAAUUAACUUUUAAACUCUAUUUAAUCCUGGUACAAUUAGCAUAAAACUUGAUUUUAUAAGUAAAAAAUUCAAGCUAUUUGAGCUCAACUCAAAUCUGGCUUGAUUAAAGUCAACAUUAAAUAUAAUUUCAAAUUUGCUAAAAUAAUUAAACAAAAUUGAACGCUAACUUGUCCUCAAUCUUACUAUUGUCCUUAAAUGCAGCCAUGCUGCAAAAUACCUAUGCAUUAUUAGUUGGCCACUUACUUCGACAUCUUCUUAUCCUCAACUUCUUUUGCCUUUCUUUCCUUUUUUGUCUUCUUUUGUUUUUAUGUUACAGUACGGUACACCUACAAAAUUAUUUUGCUACCCACUUUACCCCGCUAUACAACACGGAUGAAGGUUACUAAAUACAAAUUAGGGACAUGAGACUUAUGAAAUAGAGGCCGUAGAAAACAAAUGGGAGAACAAGAAAUCUAUAUUCUUUCUGUCAACUUGCAAUACUCAAUCUCCUUCAACUUCAAUUUCCUUCAAAGUUUCUUUUAAUUUUUUCUUGGUGCUUUAAACAUGACACAUUUCCUACUACCUUUUCUUUAAAAAAAAAAAAAAAAAAAAAACAUUGGCACGUGAAGUUGGCAAUUGGCACUUAUCAUACAAGUGGCUCCGGAUGUGCGGUAUCGUUUGUUUCUUUUGUUUCCUGGGGAUGAGUUUUUGGACUUGGACCACUCAUAAAUAAAGUUGUUUCCUCCUGUGCGGUAUUUCUUGUCAUGGUUGCUCUUACAAUACAGCCAGCCAAUGAAAGUGAAUGUGACAGAGAGAUAUACGCACGGAGACAAAGACAAGGCUGCUCGUGUCUCAUCGUACGAUCCAAUAAUUUGGGAAUUCGAAAAAUCUAAAACCAAAGGAGAAAACAAAUGUAAAUGUGUAAAUUUACAAGUAACCAGUAUUGGUGUAAUCAAUGCAUAAAUGUGUACAUUACAACUGAUAACAUGCAUAAACAAGAUAAACUCACAUUUAACGAGACUUGACUCAACGGUUAUGAUUGUUGAAUCUCAACCUUGAUUUUCUAGACGAACAUCUCGCUGUACAAAUUAUUUAAAUUGCUAUUUUUAAAAUUUUUGUAAAAAAAUAUAUUAUAGUGAUUUGAUAUAUGUGAAAUAAAAGGGUGAUUGAAAAAUUUAUUUAUAAAAAAUCUAAAAAAUUAUCUAUAGAAAAUAGUAAUGGAAGCAAAGGUUUUUGAAUUAUUGGAGCACCCCUAAAUUAGGAAGGACGAAAAUUCAUUAUCACAUCAUAGGACCAGCUAGUCUAUUAUUCUACAAGGUGAGAUAAUUAUGAAAUUGACAUGAAGAAAUACUUCCCACACGAGUCAUGAAUCGAUCAGAUGUGGGACUGGUGGCGGCCGCCAUCUCAAAAAUUAUCAUACGACAAGACGUGUUUCAACACCAUAAGUUGCUUUCGAAGAAUAUUAAAAAUAAUGUUCUGCACAAUAUUUGGACAAGGUCACAAGAAUGGCUCAAAUCACUGAAUCAAAAAAUCCUUUAGCUGCUCAGCUUGAGUUUCACUAAAUAUUUUGAAUUGCAGAGACCUAGUCAAAAAUCGAGUUUGAUCAUGAAAAACAAGGAAAAAAUAGAAAAGUUUUUCAUUUUUUGGUGAACCAUUUUCUUUUUUCUAUUUUGUUAAAGUUUUCCAUAAAAUAUGUUUACCAUAGUUUGAUGGGUUAGAUGCAAAACUUAGCUCUUAAUUAUAACAAAUUUUGCACUUUACUCCUUAAAAUUAUCUUAUUUUGACUUUACUCCACUAUUAGUCAACUCAAACAUUAUAUACCCAUAACCUGAAAAAAACAUUCAUCCUGAGGGUUAAUGACAGUAAAUCCCCUCAAGGUAUUGCAUGUUUUAUACUUUACUCUAUAAAGUCAUCUUUUCUCAAUUUGUAGGUUUGUCCCAAGACCAUUAGUUAACUCCAAUAUUCUGUAACACCCAAGAAAAAACAAUAGCUAAGAGACAUUUAUAUCCUUGACAGGAUAGUGAACUGAAUAAUAUUUUAUGGAUAUGAGUCUAGUUAAAUUUCAUCUCGUAAUUACACUUUUUUAAGACAGGGGGAAAUUUCUCGAUCAUUUUAUGCCUUAAGGAGGAAAAAUAAACAAAAUAUUAUUUAAAAAUAAAAUAUGAAAACUGAAAAUAUUACUAAAUUUGUAAAACCCGCUUAAAAACUGUCAAUCUCUCUUUUCAAAUGUGCAUAUAGGUUUGCUUUUCAUUUAAUGGCUACAUUUUUGCUUUGCAUAAAAAAUAUACACUUUUCGUUGUUAGUAACACUACAAAGGGGCAAAAACAUGAUGGAUUUGGCAUUCCAAAGCUUUAUUGUCACUUGUGCUCAGAGCGCACCCGACGUGUGUACAAUCAAAAAAUAUAUAAUAUUAAUAGUCAUAUAUUUUAAAUAAAAUUUUUAUUACUAAAGCAAAUUUUAAUCUUUUAAAUAUUUUUCAUAAAAUAAUUUUAUAUUGGUAGUUAUGUUGAAUACAUAUACUUAAAAGUAAAAAUAGUCAUGGGUGGUUAUAGAUAGUUAAAGUAAAAGUAAUUUUUAUAAGGGCAAAAAAGAAAGUUCAUAAAGUGACGAUAAAAGUUAACCCUAAUUUUAACCCCAAAUCUCUUUGUCAAGCUUUACAUAUAACUAGUGCCAAAGGCACACCCACAUGUAUGCAAUUUAAGAAUAAAUUAAUUUUUAUGAAAUUUUCUUUAAUGAAUUGAUAGUUAGUAUUUUGGUAGUUAUGUCAAUUGGUAGUUAUCUUGGUAAUUAAACUUUUUUUCAUAAUAAAAAGUUUGGAUGUUUAAAUUUUAAACAUAUUGGUAGUUGCAACAAAAAUUAUGUUGGUUAUAUAUAAUUGGAUAGUUAGGAUAAAAUUUAAUUUUGUGAGGAUAAAAAUGGAAGUUUAAAAAGUGACAAAAGGUAUUUACCCCACCCUUUCAUUUCCUAGAGUAAGUAAGGGUAAAUUUGAAAACACACAAAACUAACACCAAGUUAACUACCUACACAUGUUUUAUUAUUUUAAAGAUAUAGAUUUUGUAAUGCUAAAAGGCACUUUUCUCAAACUUCAACGGUUUACUACAGAGGCAUUUUUUUUACAAGUGCUCAAUACACACCCAAUGUGUGUGCAAUCAAAAAAUACAUAAUUUUUAUGGUCAUAUAUUUUAAAUAAAGUUUUUAUUACUGAAGCAAACUUUAAUCUUCUAAAUGAUUUUCAUAAAAUAAUUUUAUAUUGGUAGUUAUAAUGUUUAGGGGUAGUUAUGUUGAAAACAUAUAUUUAAAUAGUUGAAAGUAAAAAUAAUCAUGAGUAGAUAUAGGUAGUUAAAGUUAAAGUAGUUUUUAUAAGGGUGAAAAAGGAAGUUCAUAAAGUGAUCAUAAAUGUUAAUCCCAAAGUUAACCACAAACCCUUUCCUUAGACUUUAUAUGUAGUAUAGAUAUUGGUGAAUUUAACUAAUGAGGGAACAAAGUGAUAAAAAGAUAAUAAAAUUUGGAAUUCUAUGGGGGAAUUCUUAUAAAUAACCCGAGUUUGAUACUAAAAAAAUUAAUGCCUUGUUUAGAAAGAGAUUUUUUAUCAAAAAAUCUAUACGUUUUUCAUAAACACAUUUUUUAAUCACCUUUUUACCUCACAUAUAUGAAAUCGCUACAGUUUAUUUUUUACAAAAAUUUCAAAAAAUUGCAAUCCAAACAUAACCUAAACUUUUAUAGUGCGCCCAUGGAUAAUUAGGAAACUGUGAUGAUCUAAUAAAAGUUUUCCAGGGUUAAAAGUAAUAAGCCCCCAAAACUUUUGGGAUGCUUUGCACUACAGUCUCUAACGUUGAUUUUGUGCCAUUUAGUACUUUUGUUUUUUUAAAUGAGAUGUCUUAAAUUCAAAACUUCAUACUUACAAUUCCUUCCACCUCACCACUUAACCAUACCCUCCACCCCAAACUCCAAUUUUAGUACUUGUGUUAGUCAACCUCAACAUUUGCCGUUAAAUGGUACUAAUUUCUAAAAUUACCCUGAUUUCUAUGACAAAAAUACCUGUUGUCCUAAAUACAAUAAAAAGAUCUCCACAAAACCCUGCAAUCCUUUUGUUUAAUAUAAAAAAGUUUAAAAAAAAAACCGCAAGCAUUUUGACAGUGCCAAUACAACAAAACCACAAUCUUCCUUUAAUUAACUUAAAUGCAGCGAAGUAUUUCUUCCAAUCUUCUACUCCAUAGUCUUUUUUUUUUUUUUUUUGGAUUAACCGUAGGAGAGCGAAGUACUUUUGUCCUUUUUCUCCUUUUUAUCAAUCUCACAGCUGACAAAACAAAAAUUUUCAAAUAUAUCUAAACUAGCAGUUCCGUCUCUCACUUAUCUUUUUGCUUUCAACAGGUUUUGUACCUAAACAUUAUGUUUUUUUUUUCCCGCAAAAUUAUGUGCUAAGUACAUUCAUUUCCAGAAUAGACAAUUAGAAACAGCAAUGCUAUUAUUCAUGUUCAACUCGUUUGAAUUUGGAAAAGGUUUAAUCACAGAAUAAACAAAUAAAACUCGAAAACAAGAUUGAUUUGGAACCAACACACAAAUUUGGGUGCAAGCGGAUUGAAUAUGUUAUUGAACCCCACAAAAAAUUAUAUUGUUGCCCCACUUUGCCCCCUUAUUCUCCUUACCAGUAUUGCAACUAGAGGUGUUAAAAUGGAUGAUUUGGACGGGUUUGGAUUGGCAAAAAUGGAUAAUAGGUAUAAGUAAGUCAACCCAUUUAUACCUAUUUAAUUAAAUGGGUAUAAAUAGGCAAGCCAAAAAUGAAUUGGAUAACCCAAUUACUCAUUUAUAACCCAUUUAUUUUAAUUUUUUAUAAACUCAUUUAAAUUCAUUUUGCAAACUAGGUUAUCAAUUUAUACCACCCUUUACACCCAUCAUUAGUUUUAAAUAUUUACUUAUAAUGCUCAAUAAGCCUAUUUACCAAAUUUUUUUCCAUCCGUACUCUAUGUCGUAAAAUUACAUGCUAUUUAAUAAUUGAACAAUCAGAAUAUAAAAAUUUGAACUAAGUACUAUAAAAGUUAAACAUAAAAAUUUAAUCCAAAAAUUUUAAACUCCUAGCAUUUUUUUCAUGUGUAAAUUUAAAAUUUCAUUUUGAAAAAGUAGGAAAAGAGGCUAAAACUUGUCAUAAAUUGGUAACACUAAAGAGUAAGUUAACAAACUAAGAGAAAAAAAAAUGAUAAGAUAAAACCAACCAAUGAUAAUAAUAAUGAAACAAAAAUAGUUAACAUCAUAACAAAAUGAAGAAUCUGAAAAAAAAAAUGGGUGGGAGAAGAGAGAAUGCUUGGGGGAAGAUAAUUCUAAAUGGAUUAAUUGGAUUUGAUGGGUUAUCAAUAAUACCCAUUUAUUUAAAUGGGUAUUAUUGGAUAAUCCAUUUAUACCCAUAUGCAAAAACUUAAGAUACCCAUAUCCAUAUAUUCAUGGGCGGGUAUGGGUAAAUUUAGUUAAAUGGAUUCAUUUGCCACCUAUAAUUGCAACCAAUGCAAGUAAAAAUUGCGAUACUUGUUUACUACAAAAUAAGGACGUGAAUUUAUCAAAUAGAAAGUGGAGAGAAAAAAAAGGGCAAAAUACACUUAACUCUCUUGUGAUUUAUUGAUUUUUUACAUAACCUCCCUAUAGUUUCAAAUACUAUAUAUAACCCCCUCAUAAUUUGCAUUAAAGUUUCAAAGUGACAAAAGUGAUUAUUUGCAAUGAAACCCAUGAAAAUAUCGAAAUUGCCUUUGUUUAAAACCUAAAAUGACUGAACUGAUCAAAAAAUAUAAAUAUAAUAUGCAUGACACUCUAACAUCGUAUAGUUUUAUAUUUUACUAUAUAGUCCCCUUAUAGUUUAGUGUUUUACCAUAUAAUCCCCUUAUAAUUUUUAAAAUAUAUACAUAAUCUUUUAUGGUUAUAAAUAAUUUUUAACUUUACAUAAGAGUAUUUUUAACAUUCUAGUUGACUCCAUUAUGGAAUACAAAUUCAGUUAUUUUAAGACUUUAAUUCAAAUCAUGAGAGGGGUAUGUGUAUCUUUUGAAACUAUAGGAGAAUUAUGUGAAAAAAUAUUAAACCAUAGGGGGUAAAGUGUAUUUUUCCAAAAAAAAAAAAGGAAAAACAAGGAGUGAGACCAUUUUCUCAUUUUAUAUGUGCACUUUAGUAAAAUAGUUAAUCAUUUUUCUUCUUUUAAAUUGUAAAACUCAACCUCUUUUAAUUUAAAAUUUCAUUCGAAUGUUAUUUUAAUUUUGAUCUUAGUUCUUCAAAAUUGGCAUAUUAAUUUCCUACAAUUUUUGUAAGGAAAAAAAAAGCAUAAAACAUGGCACUUGAAGUUGGUUGUCGGCACUUAUAGCUUGUAUCAUUUGUUUGCUGGGUACAAGUUAUUGGACUUAGACAACUCAUGGAUAAUUAAGUUGAUUUCACCAGUGGGGUUUAUGGUGGCUUAUCUCCUUCUUAUCAUGUUUGUUCCGACGAUGCAGCCGGCCAAAGAAAUAGGAUGAGAAAGAGAAAUGGGCGCAUGGAGACGAAGGGCCGGCGGCUCCUUUUGAUAUAUCAUCGGUCCCAAUUGUUUGGGAAAUCUAAAAGCGAAGGAGAAAACAAAUGCAUGCAAUUAUGCGAAUCGGAAGAGAUCUGAAUUUUUUUGGAUCAAUUCAAGAACUCUCUAUAUUAGAAAGGGCAAUAAUGCAAUGUCACAUCCACAGGACCAGCUGGUCGUUUGUCAAUUAUUUUACAGUGGGAAAUUAUGAAAUUCGCAUAGGGAAAUACUUUCCUGCUCAUGAGCCGAUGAAACAGUGGAGUGGCGGCAGCCGCCGCCCUUCGAAAAUUUAAGUUUGUUUUUGGAUUGUAAUUUUUUUUAAAAAAAAUUCCUACGUUUUUUGUGGAUAUAUUUUUCAAUCACUUUUUUAUUUUACAUAUAUUAAAUCGCUACAGUAUUUCUUUUACAAAAAAUCCAGAAAAAUGCAAUUCAAACAAAGCUUAAAAUUUUAUUUAUAUCAGAUUUUUUUUUGUAAAACAUUAUAAUUUUAUUAAAUUUUGUAUUAAUGGCAAAAGUUACAUCAUCUGAAAAGUGGAUACUAUAGAUAUGAAAAACAGAUAAAAAUUACACUGUAAAAUUCUAAAAAAUAGUUUAAAAAAUGAGAUAAAAUAAUUGUAACCUCACGAAUAUCUAUGCAUGCUUGUGAUCGUCAAAUCUAUUGAUUAAUUUUUUCAAUUCUGAAUAUUAUGGUGAGAUUUACCAAAUAAACUCAAGAAAUUCCAAAUUUGAUAAAUAAAAUCUAAAAAAAAAGAGUUAGAUCGAAUAAAAGAAAAUAAAAAAAACUACCUAAAGCAUUCAUUAGAAAUCUCUAGGAAAGAAGAAAACUCUCACUAGGUAACACUAAGAGAGGAAAAAAUUCUCACUAGAAAAUUGUAAGAAAUUUUAUUUGUACAAAUGAAAAAAAACUAUAGAUAAAGCUCCUCCUAUGGAGAAAGAUUGAAAAAAUGUGAUUUCUCACCCGAAAGAAUUGAAUGAAGUUUUGGUUAGAGAAUUUUCCUAAAGAGAAACUAAUUCUCUCUUUCUUCUCUCAAGAAUUGGUGGGAGGUUUUUUUUAUGUCUUAUACAGUUCUUUCUUAUUUAUAUCAGAAUUAAGAGAAUGGAAAGUGAUAAUUUGGAGAAAAAAAUUUGAUCAAAGCCUUGAUAAUUGUAAGGUCCAAUUAAUAUUCUAGAUCUUGGCCAUAUUAGCUCGAGCUAAUCUAGGUCAUCCAUCUCUUUUCUAAAGAAAAUUUAUAUUUUUUUUUUGUUGUAAAAGUUAAUGGCCAGAUUUGGACCACAUCAGCAAAACUUGAUUUGAACCAUUAAUUGUACGUAUGCCAGGCAAUCGUGCAUUCUCCUAAAAGUAGCCAAUUGCCAUGGAAGGUUGUAAAUGACCAUCUUAAUCCCUGAAUUAAGAAACAGUCAUCCCAUAAAUCCUCUUCCUCCUUCCACAUUCGAAGACCGCCACCGCAGCUUACUCCACCCUUCAUUCACAAACCCAGUCAACAAUUUUUGCCUACAUAUCAAUCUUGAUUACCUUGCUAUAUCCCCUUACUCUUCCCUUCACGCUAUCUUCUUCCCAUAUUGAAGAAGCAAAACCAUGAUGAAAUAUUGUUUUGGGACAGGAAUAUGUCCAAAAGGGUGAUUUUAGGGCUAUCAAUGGGUCCGGACCCAAAUCUGAUCCAAUAUGCUCGUUUGUUCGAACCUGACCAAAUCCAAAUUAUAUGCAUUCUAAAUGGAUCGGGUAUGGAAUGACAUGUUCCGAUUCAUUCGGAUCCGAUCCAAUUAAUUGGACAUAUAUAAGUAAUAAUUAUAAUAUUCAUUAUAAAUUGUUACUAACCCACAUGUUUUCUCUUUGAAAAAAAAAGGAGGUACUCUAAGAACCAAAUAAUCUUUGGAAUUUUUCUCAUUGUGUAGUUACUAUUUUAUUAACAAAAUUUGUGUAAAAAUAGAAUUCAAAAAUUAUCAAAAAUUUUGUUAUACUAAAUUGAUUUUAUGGAUUGGAUAUAUCCGAAAUAGAUUUGAAUCCAACAGAAACUGGAUCCAGAAAUACAUAUUAAGACUUCAUUAGGUAAAUGGAUUGGGAUCCAAAAUAAUUAUUACCUGUCGGAUUUGUGUUAGCAGUUAUCAAUUUUACCCAGAAUCAACCCGAUGAGUUCUUAUUUUGUUUCUUUUUGGGCAAAGCUCAUACUAAUGGAGAGGGAUGCCAGUCCCAAAUUUAUUACUAAUAGAGAAAGGAAGGGCCAGGCAUUAAUCUAAACUCUAAUACAAGAAAAAGAAGCUAAUGAAAUGGAAAAAGGAGUACUACUCCCGUGCCGAUCUUAAUCUAAUGUUUGGCAAACUAAUACUAUCAACAGAAAUAAUAGCUUUUACUGUGAAGCAUGGUUCAAAGUCUCGGCCGACUCGUCACCGUCUCAGACCCUUCGAUACGUCACUGUGAACGGUUGAAACGGUCGAGUUACACUGAAUCACUCCGAGUCAUCCUAAGUCAACUCGAUUUUUUAUUAUUUUUACUAAUUUUUUAAUUAAUUUUGUUUACCAUAUUUUUUAUAAAUUUUAGAAUAUUAAAUAUUUCAAAAAUUCGCGUCUCACCGAGACUGCAUGCCAAGAUCGAUGUAGAACGGUCUAGGCCGCGACCGCGACUUUGAACCAUGCAGUGAAGGCAAUUCCGACGUAGAAGUGUAAAUCUGCUGCCGAGAGAGAGUUAAAGAAACAAGAAAGUAAACUGAAAAACUUGCUCCACCAUAAAUGUGAUGAACAAAAACCCGAUAACACCUUGAAGCAAAUGACGAAUUUGAACUAGGGCACUACACAUUGGCCAAUUAGCUAAAGCAUUGGUUGAUAAAGGUGCACAGGUAGCUUAGCAUCCACCUGUACCAGUACAUCAUCAGUAGUGCAUUAUUUUCUACCAGCAAAAAAUUUGCCUUGUCAAAUUCUUCAUAAAAUACAAAGACAAUCCUAUCAAUAUUAUGAUGCUAAAUGAGAAAUUUUGGGUUCGAGUCCUUCCAUCUAAAUUAUUUUAAAAAAAGCAAAAAAAAAAAUCCAUGAUGGUCUUGUAGAAGACUCUCUCGAGAUGAAGUUAACCUUUUAGUACUGGUAAUGGUAUUGAGUUUAUAAUGCUUUUCCAUGGUGGAAACCAUCAGACAGCCAUUACCGAUGUCCUCAUGGAAGUUUCUAGCCUAAAAAACUUUGCAGUAUAAGUAUUCUAAUCACUUAUUACAUAAAAUCCUAUCACCAAGGAACGUGCUCCUAACACAGCAAGACAAUUAUCAACCUUCAAAAUAAUCUUAAAAGCGAGCGAAGAGAUUCUUUGAAAAUGUGUUUCGUUCUUUCCACACCAUGAAAACCACAAAGCUAAUAUAGGUAAAAUACAUCUAAUGUGAUCAAGAGGUGCUUUAUCUAGAGACAAAUUAACAAGAAGACAUCAGCAAAGAAGAGAUACAUGUAUGAGGCUAGAAGGGAAUUCUGAAAACUGGGAAGUAAUGCCCGGCAAACUUGAACUGGAAUCGAGCCUUCUGUUAAAGUAUGCGGCAAAGAUGUUGUAAAAACUUGAUAUUUCAAAAGAUUUUUCGUUUGUUUCGGACUAGAGCUUUAUCUGAUAAUAUUUCAUCAGAUAUGGUUGUUUCUAUUUUGAUGGAGAAGUUUUCAAAGAUAAGGUUUUGACUAAAAGGCAAGUUCAAGUGCUAGAUAGGAAGUUAAGCUUCGGAUGGCCUUUUUUCAAAUGACUUGACCUUUUCCAAACUUAUCACCACAGAGGAUAGACCUCUGACUACUUCAAAAGAUAAAGUCUGGCACGAAGCAAGCCUAUUCUCACGGAAAAUUAGCUUUCAAAAUUCUAUCUUCUUCCGUCCCGUGAAGCUUAUAAAUAGAACCAGUUGCCAGGCUCAUUUCGCACUGCAAAAACGAAGUCUACACUUUAAAACACUCUCUACCUCCUCCUUUGUCUAUCCUUCACAACAUUCUUGCUUUUCUGCUGGGUUAGAAACAAGAUUUUUUUUGCUGGUUCUAUGUCCCUCUCACAAAGUAGAGGAAAACUUGUUUAAUUCUGGGGAAACGUUUCAAUACCCUGAAAUAGUUUCUUAGGACAGUGCUUUCUAGCACGACUCAAGUAUCCACGUGUUGACAUUGUUCGGGCCGCUUUAUCCAACAAUCUAAGAAACUAUGGCAUCUAACAAUGUUAGCACCCCACAGCCUUCAUCAGCAACUGUUGCAGUGGCACUACCAUUCGCCAAGCUCUUUCCGGAUGUAUCCAAAAUUGAAAUUUUCGCCAAUGAAAAUUUUAAAAGAUGGCAAGAACGUGUGCACUCUCUACUUGACAUCCAUGGAGUAGCUUAUGCGCUCACUGAAUCUCAACCUUCUGCAACUGCGGAUGCCAAGAGUCAAGAAGCAUGGCAAUAUGCCAAUAAGGUAUGUCGACACACUAUCCUUCAAACACUCUCUAAUGAAUUAUUUGACGUCUACUAUAGCAGCAAAGAAGCCAAGGCAAUUUGGGAAGCCUUGGUAACAAAGUUUACUGCCGAAGAUGCAACCAAGCAAAAAUUCGUCGUAGGAAAAUACAACCAAUGGCAAAUGACUGAUGACAAGGAAAUGAAAAUUCAAAUCACCGAAUAUCAAAUGCUGCUAGAGGACUUGAAAAAUGAAGACAUCAAUCUUCCUGAGAAAUUCGCUGCAAGCAUGCUGAUUGAAAAACUACCAGAGUCAUGGGCCGACUAUAAAAACAACUUGAAACACAAGGAGAAAAAUUAUACCAUGGAUGAGCUCGUGAAGCACAUCCUCAUUGAAGAUUCAAACAAAAGGGAGUUAAGAGCUACCAAGGCAAAGGAGACGGCUUUCAAAGCCAAUCUGGUACAAGGUAAUAAUAAAAGGUACGCCAAUAAAUCCCAGAAUUACAAGCCCAAAAAUUUUAAUUUCAAGCCUAACAAUCCCAACUUUAAGAAAAGGAAAGGCAAUUGAUUUUAUUGUGGAAAACCAGGACAUCAUGCAUUACAAUGCAGACAUAAUAAAGGUGACAGAGCAAAUGGUAAUCUUCCUAAGGUGCACUUAACCGAAGGAGAUGAUAUAAUUGCUGCUGUCAUCUCUCAAGUGAACAUUGCAGCCAAUGUCAAAGAGUGGGUGGUAGACUCUGGGGCUACUCGGCACAUAUGUGCAAAUUGAGAAGCAUUUUCCUCCUAUACUCCUAUAGGGGAUGAUGAGGAAGUUGUCUACCUUGGUGACUCACGAACUGCUAAUGUUCUGGGUAAGGGCAAAAUAUUCUUGAAACUCACUUCAGGAAAAACUUUGGCUCUCAAUGAUGUACUGCAUGUGCCCAACAUUCGGGCAAAUCUGGUUUCCGUAGGAUUGCUAGGAAAAGUUGGAGUGAAAGUGUCAUUUGAAUUUGGAAAGAUCAUAAUGACCAAAAAUAAUGUAUUUGUGGGCAAGGGCUAUUGUAAUCAGGGACUCUUUGUACUUAACAUUGCCAAUGUGAUCAAUGAGAAUGCUUCUUCUUCUGCUUAUAUUAUUGAUUCAAUUUCUUUAUGGCAUGCAAGAUUAGGACAUGUUAAUAUGAGUUAUAUAAAGAAAAUGCAAUCUUGUGGCCUGAUUUCUGGUGUUAAUGAUAAAAUGGAUAAAUGUGAGAUAUGUGCAGAAACUAAAAUGACAAAGAAGACUUGUAUAACUGUUCAAAGAGAAACUGAACUAUUAAAUUUAAUCCACACAGAUUUAGGUGAUUUAAAACAAACUAUGACUAGAGGAGGAAAAAGAUAUUAUGUCACUUUUAUCGAUGACUACUCUAGAUAUACUAAACUUUACUUACUUAGAAAUAAAGAUGAUACUCAUAAUGCCUUUUUAUCUUAUAAGUCUGAGGUAGAAAAUCAACUUAAUAAGAAGAUAAAAAGAAUUAGGUCUGAUAGAGGAGGCAAAUAUUUAGCCCUAGAUAAAUUUUGUGAACAUGAAGGCAUAAUACACGAAACAACACCUCCUUAUUCGCCAGAAUCUAAUGGAGUAGCUGAAAGGAAAAAUAGAACAUUAAAAGAAAUGAUGAAUUCUAUGUUAGUUAGUUCUCAUGCUCCUGAUAAUUUAUGAGGAGAAUCUAUUUUAUCUGCAUGUCAUUUACAAAAUAGGAUACCUCAUAAGAAAACUGGCAAAACUCCUUAUGAGUUAUGGAAAAGUUAUAAACCAAAUUUGAAAUAUUUAAAAGUAUGGGGAUGUCUUGCUAAAGUAUUGUUGCCUGAACCUAAGAAAAGAAAAUUAGGUUCUAAAACUUCUGACUGUAUGUUUAUUGGAUAUGCUGAACAUAGUGCUGCAUACAGAUUUCUUGUUUUAAAAAGUGAUACGCUUGAUUGUAAUACAAUUAUUGAGACAAAGAAUGCUGAAUUCUUUGAACAUAUUUUUCCAUUGUCGAGUAAAAUUUCUCAUGCACCUGUUGAAAUAAAUAGAGAAAUAAUUCCGAAUGAGGAAUUAAGAAGGAGUAAAAGGCCAAGAAAAGAAUUUUCUUAUGGAAAUGAUGUUCAAACUUUUCUUGUUGAUAAUGAUUCUUUAACAUACUCCGAUGCUAUUUCUUCCCCUGAUUGUAAAGUUUGGAAAUAAGCAAUUAAAUCUGAAAUUGAUUCUAUCUUGUCAAAUAAAACUUGGAUUUUGGUGGACUUACCUCCUGGUGCAAAACCUAUUGGUUGCAAAUGAAUUUUUAAAAGAAAAUAUAACUCUGAUGGCUCUAUAGAAAAGUACAAAGCUCGUUUAGUAGCAAAAGGAUUUUCUCAAAAACAAAAUAUUGACUAUUUUGAUACAUUUGCACCAGUAACAAGAAUUGCGUCUAUUCGAGUUUUAUUUGCUUUAGCUUCUAUCCAUAAACUUGUUAUUCAUCAAAUGGAUGUCAAAACAGCAUUUCUAAAUGGUGAUUUAGAGGAAGAAAUUUAUAUGUUUCAACCUGAGGGGUGUAUUGUAUCUGGACAAGAAAAUAAGGUUUGUAAACUAAUUAAAUCUCUUUAUGGCCUAAAACAAGCUCCUAAACAAUGGCAUGAGAAAUUUGAUCAAGUAUUGAUAAAAGAUGAAUUCUUGUCUGUAGAAGUGGAUAAAUGUGUGUAUGUCAAAAUUAUAAAUGAUCAAUAUGUGAUAAUCAGCUUAUAUGUGGAUGACAUGCUUAUAUUUGGUACUAGUCUAGAUAUUGUAAAUAAUACUAAAUAUUUUUUGUCCUCUAAUUUUGAUAUGAAAGACUUGGGUGAAGCCAAAAUGAUAUUGGGUGUUAAAAUCAUAAGGAGAGGUGAUGGUAUAAUGUUGUCACAAGAACAUUAUACAGAGAGACUUCUUAGGAAGUUUGAAAAUUAUGAUGUGACACCUGUGAGUACUCCUUAUGACGCUAACAUUCAAUUGAGGAAAAAUAAUGGCGACCCAAUUGCUCAGUCUAAAUAUGCUCAGAUCAUUGGGAGUCUGAUGCAUCUGAUGAAUUUCACUAGACCGGAUAUAGCUUAUGCUGUAUGUAGACUGAGUAGAUAUACUCAUAAUCCCAAUCGUGAGCAUUGGUUUGCAUUAGUCAGACUAAUGAAAUAUUUGAGAGGUACCAUGAAUUUUGGUAUACUAUAUAGUGGAUUUCCCACUGUAUUAGAGGGUUACAGUGAUGCUAACUGGAUCUCUGAUCCAAAUGAUACAAAAUCCACUAGUGGUUAUGUGUUCACCCUUGGUGGUGGUGCGGUAGCAUGGAAAUCAGCCAGACAGACAAUUAUUGCUCGGUCAACUAGGGAAUCGGAGUUCAUAGCUCUGGAGUUAACUGGCUCUGAGGCAGAUUGGUUAAGAAAUUUCUUAGUCAAUAUUCCUCCUAUUAAGGAUCUGUUGUCUCCUGUGUCUAUACACUGUGACUGUCAAGCGGCUAUUGCUAUUGCAAAAAUAAAUCUUAUAAUUGUAAAAGUCGACACAUGAGAUUAAGACAUGAUGUCGUAAAGCAGCUGCUUAGAGAUGGAAUUAUUUCCAUUGAUUUUGUGAAGUCAGAGUUGAAUUUGGCCGAUCUUCUGACUAAACCUGUAGGAAGAAAAUUAAUUCUUCAAACUACAAGGGAGAUGGGACUUAGGCUAACGGUUGUCAAUAGAGAUGGUAACCCAACCUAUGUGAUUAGUGAUCCCAUGAAAUAGGUUCAUAUGGGUAAUAACAAGUCGAUAUUGACUGUAAAAGCACUUGAAAUUUAAGUCCCUUCAAAAUUAAGUGCUUUGACUGCCAAUAAUUGUGAGGCUGAGUUUAAUACUCUUAAUGAAUUUAUAUUCCUUCAGGAAGGUGUAUUUAGGGCAGUAUACACUUGAUAAAUUCACCUAUAUGUGAGUGGAGUGGGGCCGCUCCUAUAAGAUUUUUUGGCCGAAUCUUUAGAGCUCUCAUGAACAACCAGGCGGGCGCACGACCUAAAUGCGCGAAACUGCAUUGAACAGCAAAAUUAUGGGUUAUAAUGUGAUUGAUAAGAUCUCUGUCAUACAAUAAGAAUUAUUGGUUCAUAGAAAGAUAUGUUUUCACCAAUAAUUCUGUAAGACAUAUUUUAUCAAUUUAAGUUUGGUUCAUAGUCCAAAAGACACCAAACUCAUUACAUUGAGCUCAGACAAAUCCAGCAGAUGUUUAUACUCUUUUGUCCAAAAUCUUUUGAAAUAGGUGGGAGAUUGUUGUAAAAACUUGAUAUUUCAAAAGAUUUUUCGUUUGUUUCGGACUAGAGCUUUAUCUGAUAAUAUUUCAUCAGAUAUGGUUGUUUCUAUUUUGAUGGAGAAGUUUUCAAAGAUAAGGUUUUGACUAAAAGGCAAGUUCAAGUGCUAGAUAGGAAGUUAAGCUUCGGAUGGCCUUUUUUCAAAUGACUUGACCUUUUCCAAACUUAUCACCACAGAGGAUAGACCUCUGACUACUUCAAAAGAUAAAGUCUAGACGAAACAAUCCUAUUCUCACGGAAAAUUAGCUUUCAAAAUUCUAUCUUCUUCCGUCCCGUGAAGCUUAUAAAUAGAACCAGUUGCCAGGCUCAUUUCGCACUGCAAAAACGAAGUCUACACUUUAAAACACUCUUUACCUCCUCCUUUGUCUAUCCUUCACAACAUUCUUGCUUUUCUGCUAGGUUAGAAACAAGAUUUUUUUUGCUGGUUCUACGUCCCUCUCACAAAGUAGAGGAAGACUUGUUUAAUCCUGGGGAAACGUUUCAAUACCCUGAAAUAGUUUCUUAGGACAGUGCUUUCUAGCACGACUCAAGUAUCCACGUGUUGACAUUGUUCGGACCGCUUUAUCCAACAAAAGAUUCAAUCGAAUAGCUACUAGCCAAAUUAUCUGAACAAGAAGAGCAUUAUUUGGAAACCAAAAUAAUACCAUGGACAUGAAUAUCCUCAUCUCAACGGCUAGAGGGAAUUCCAUGUGAUCUUCAAAACAAUGGAAGAAUUCUUCUUCUUUCUCACCUCCCCCCUCCCAAGCCGAAGCUAGAGUAAAACAACCAAAGGUAAAUAGCUGCCACACCAACAUAUCUUCUUGAUUUGAUCAAACCCUUAACUUCAAAAUUGCAGCCACUAUACGAAGAGGAAGCCGGUCAUUCAGCCGAGCAACAUUCCAAUCGAAAUUCAUAAGAAAAACUCAGCUACUAGACAAUAUGGUGGAUAAUCCAUAUCACAAACAACAGCAGAGGGUUCAUCCAAGACCCAUCUAUCAAACCAAAAAUCUAUCAUUCUCUACUCUACGCACCAAUCGAUAUUCACUUCAGCAACUCCUUUAAUGUAAAACAAAUGUUUUCAAACAACUUAACCCACGCAAGAUUGAACUUGCGUUGGAUGAAGAGCAUGAAGAUAUUUCCGCUACGUAAACUUUGCUUAAACUGUUUUUUUUUUCUAAAAUUCUAUCGUAGCUUAAUACUGAAAGCAUGGAUCUAAUCCCUUGACUUUCUCUACUAGAAAACGUAAGUUUUCCCAAGAAGACCAGUGAAUAUGCCUCGAAUUAUCUUUAACAUCUGACAGAAAGCUAUUAUACGUACAUUCAAUAGUUCUAACCACCACUUUUGGAGGAGAUAGCACUUGCAACAAGUACAUAAGAAUUUAAGAAGGGACAUGUUUCAGUAUAAUUAUUUUCCCACUAGCUGAUAAGAAUUUAGAAUGCCAACCAGAAUUCUCCCUCUGAUUUUCGAUACAAUGCUUCAAACAUUACUCUCUUUGAUCUACUCUCAUAUAAAGAAACUACCAAAUAGGAAAAGGGGAGACAUUGAAGUUGAAAUCCCAAAUAGAACAUACCAUACACAUCUAGCAGUCAAGAUCUUAUCGGAACAAAUAAAUAAGCUAUUUGCAACCUUGAUCCACUGAUCAGAUUAGUAGUGAGAAAGAAAGUACUUUAUCGCCUUCAAACACCUCUUCAAGCAAUGUGUAAAAAUGAUUGUAUCAUUAGCAAAAGCAAGAUGCAAAACUUGACCUCCUGAUAAUGUAAAAAACAUCCUCCUCCCAUUUUCAAAUAAAUCAAUCAAUCCAUGACCAAGAUAUUCAGCAGCUAUCACAAAUAAAGUUGGUGAUAAUGGAUCUCCUUGACGACGAACACCACGAAAGGACUUUAAGAAUCCCACAACUCCACUAUUUAAACUAAAUGAAAACCAAUUGUUGGAGACAAUGCGAAACACAAGAUCAUUCUUGUAUUCGCUAAACCAGAAAUCUCAAUAUUUGCAUAAUGAGAGACCAAUUCGCCUAAUCAUAUGCUUUCUCUUAACACAUUCAGUUCCUGGAGUUUCUUAUCAAUCUCAGCCACAAGCUCUUGAGCUAACAACAUGAAAUCAUUAAUUCGUCUUCCCAGAAGAAAUCCCGUCUGCAAUGGGGACAGAAAGAUAAUUUAUGGGAGAAUUGUUGGGUUUGUGAGUCCAACCCAUUUGUUGGGCCAAGUCACAAUUAGAGCCCAAAGCCCAUGGUCAUUUGGUUUCCGAGUCAAUAUUUGACUUGAGAUUAUAGGAAGUGACUAGUCAAUUAACUAAAACUUGAAGUCGCACAAAAGGGAAUAAAUAUCAACCUAUGAGAUUAAUUGCAACGUUAUUAAACUCGAACGGGAUAGCGACUUGGCUAAACUAUUGAAUCAAGGGUCAACUAGUCGGAUCGGUUGGACCGCUUUUAAAAACCCGCUCAUGUCAACAUGUCGUCAUAGUUAUUUUAUUUUUUUUUAUAAAUUAUAGAAAUAUAGAAAUUAACUUCUUAGUUAUAUUCGAUCAAUCAUAGAAAAUGUUCCAAAAAUAUUAGACUUGCAAUCAAAUAUACACCUAAUAAUUAUAUAUAAAAAUGUAAAUUCAUGGCUAAAAUAUGUCCAUUCUCCAAAACUACUUGAAAAACUAAAUUAAAACAAAUUAAUGCAAGUUGGAAUCACUGAUGCUAAAAUGAUAAGAUCAUAUGGAUGAAAACAUUUUGAUUUAGAGAUCAUUCAGGAAAGGGAAUGAUUUUUGUAUUUACACUAAGUGGAUGGCGUUUUCUUAUUCCUAUUAAUAAAUAAGACUCAAAUUAUGUUUGGGAAAAAGAAGCAAGAAAAGUUUGAAAAUUAGGUCAAUCAGUUGAACCGGGUCACUGGUUUAGUCAAUUUUUGACGGUUUUGACCAAAGCGAUUUUGUACUACAAACUAGCUCGGAAAGAUGGUCGAUUCAUAGUCGGACAGGUUGUCAGGACAGAAGAAAUAAGCUAAAUUUAAGAAUACUUUGUAACGGUGACGUUUGGGGAAUAAUUGUAGUGCAGCGAUGACGUUUUGUGAAAUGUUAGUAAUAAAAAGGGAUAAGUGGAACGGUGUCGUAUGAAAGGCUGAGUUAGUUAGAACAGUCACGUGGGUUGUGACAGAAAUUGGGUAGCGGUAGUUAAUUCAUCCUAUUUGUACACGUUUGAUUGGCUAAAGAGGCAUCAGAGAAUAACAAUUGCAUUUUCCCUCUUUUCCUACUUUCUCUUUCUACUCCCCUUACUCUCUGCAACUUCUUUUCAAUCUUCUCUCUCACGAAGCUCUUCUGAGCUUCUCUCCUUUCUCCAAUUCAGGGAUAUGGUCGUAGGAGCCUGACAAGUGAUAUCAGAGCUUGUCGAAUCCUUGGAAUUGAACAGCAAUGGCGGAGAGUACCAGAUUCAAGACUCUGGAAGAACAGAUCAAGAAAUAAGAUUCCAAGCUCCAGGAGGUAAUAGAAAGUCUGUAGGCUUCGCACCACCAACAACAGCAGCUUCGCGAGGAGCUGCGAACAGAACUCGAGGAGAACAACCAGAAAAUGGAAGGUCUGGUAAUAAGAUUGAAACAAGAGUUCAGCGCCUUCAUGAAGAUGAUGCUGGAAAGAGAGAAACUGAAUUAUGAACCAGGAAGAACCCUGAGUGAUCAACCACCUCUGCUGCCAACACCACCGCCUAGUCAGAGGCUGCAAGUUGGACUCGAAGGUAUCAAGAUUGGGAGGAGAGAAACAAACAAGGCACUGAUUCCAAAUCCCCCAAAAAUUGACUUGCCUCUAUUCGCUGGGGAAAGUCCAAGGGAAUGGAUCAGGAAGUGCAACAAGUAUUGCAUAAACUACCAAAUUCCUAAGGAACAGAAGGUAAAGGUGAUCGAGAUGUACUUGGAAGGGAAGGCGGGCAGGUGGUUCCAGGGAGUUAAGGCGGAGAAACCUGAAAUCACGUGGCCAAUGUUUGAAGAAUUAUUGGGCAAAAGGUUCGAUAACAAGGCAGGUAAGGAUAUUGUGGAGGAAUUUAACAAAUUGCACCAGACAGGGAAGGUGGAGGAGUAUCAGGAAAGGUUUGAGGAGCUCAAGGUCCUCAUGACAAUGAAGAAUCCGCAUCUGAGUGAAGAAUAUUUUGUAUCCAGCUUUAUCAGUGGAUUGAAAGAUGAAAUCAAGACUAUGAUCAAAAUGUUGAGGCCUACCUCUCUGUCCGAGACUUUUGAAUUAGCAGUAUUGCAGGAGAAUGCACUGAACCUUGUGAGGGCCUCAAAAUUUAUUAUUUUAAUAAGAAUAUUAUUAUUACUAUUUCAUUUAUUUAUUUUAUUGUUUUAUUUAUUUUAUAUAUAUAUUUUUUGAAAAGUUAAAUAAUAAAUGUGAAUACAAUUAUAUUAUGUAUUUAUAUAAAAUUACAUGAUCUUUAUGUGCAUAGUUCGCAUUUUCAUAAUUAAAUUAUUUUCAUUCGAACAAAAUUCCAAUGUUUGACUGACUAGUGCUAAGUUCAGUUUUUAAGCCGUGUCGAGGAAUUUAACUUUGGUGAAAGAUUAGUCUAUGAGUAGCUUUAAAAGAAUUAUAAAUGAGAUAGAACUAAGAUAGAUAAGAAAAGUGUAGUGGACAAAUUUAAGUGGAACAUAAGCAUUGGUCAAAGUUGGACAAUUUCCGCUAAAACUAAGUUUUAAUCUUGCCAUUGUUUCUUCCAUUUAAUUUCCUCCAAUUCACUUCAAUUUCUUUUCCUUUCUUCCUUAUUAUAGUCGAGAAUCCCCCUCCCUCAUUAGCCAAGAUAAUCACUUUCAUUCCCACUAAAUUUACUCUUAAGACAUUAAUAUGUAAGAGGGGACAUGAUCCUUAAAAUAGGGCUUUAAGUCCUAUCCUUCUCUUCCCAAUAUAAUGCUCCCAAUUUUUCAAACAUUUCAUUCCUUUUCUUCUUCCCUUAUCAGCCGACCACCCUCACACACUCUCUCCCUCUUUCUAGCCAAAGCUCUAUCUUCUUCUUCCUCAACUCAAACUCCAUGACCAACCAACUUCUAGCUUCACUCCAUCUCCUAUUUUUUUUUCUUGUUGUUCUAGCCGAGAGAAUGAGAGGGAGAAACCGAGAGGAGCUCUUUGUGGUGGCUGGCCAGAUUCUUGGAGAAGGAAAGAGAUCUCUUCGUGGUGAAGAUUGGACAUCCUAGCCUUGGGAAAAUCAGCUAGAACCUGAGGUAGUUCUCUAACCCAAAAGCUAGAGCUUUCAUGUUAUCUCUUGAAGAGUGAAUCUUGAAACUUCAUUGGGUUGAAUUCUUGUUGGAUUUGGUUAAUGUACGGGUUCUUGGGAUUCCCACAAAUGUAUGAUCUUGGUUGCUAGCAUGAUUUUUGAUUGGUAUAUGUGUGAAUAUUUGGAGUUGUGGCUUGAACUUUGGAAGGGAAGAACCUUAACAGAAAUCGGGAGAAAGAGGGGGAGAGAGAGAGAGGGGGGACCAAAAUGGUUUCUGUUUUCUCUAUUUUUCUUGGCUGUGUUUUCACAAAUUUAAAGAUUGAUUUGGGAGCUAAAAAUUUAAGCUUUAAGCUGUCAUUUUCUCUUACAAAAAAAAAAAAAAAACCCCUUCAAAUGGCGUUGCAAAAUGGUUCCAAAAGAAGGUUUCAAACCUGGAAAUUUCAAAUGAGAGUACGGUCCGAAAUUUCUGUGAUUAUUCGAAAAUGUUUGGGGCUCAAUUAGCCUUAGCACAUAACAUGAAAGUUGUAGAGAAUUGAGUUUAAAUUAUGCCUGUAAAGUUUCAGCUCAAUCGGAGCUGGGUAUCCUGUGAAAUGACAAAAUUGCCCCUGCUACCCUGUUUCUAUCAGAAAUGAUAAUCAGCCUCUGUAAUUGGUUAGUUUGACCGGGAAUAUUACUGAAUUGGUUGUCAAUGUCUUCUUAAGAAUUGUAGCCUUGUAUCUUAGCUUUGAAAUGGCUUUGGAAUCACCUGAAUCGGAGUUGUGUGUGCUGAGUUAAGAUUAACUGAAUCAGGACUAUCAGUAAUUGUGUCAGUGAGAAUUGAACCAAGAAACUUGGGCUAUUUCGGUAAAUUUGAUCUAGUUAGGGUGAGAACUGGGUUGAGAUGUCUUCACAAGAAUGGUAGAUCUAUGUCUUAGCUUCGAAACGGUAUAUUUUUUGUUUCAAUCCGAUAAGUGUAGCUCGAGUUGUGCUUAAAUUCCUAAAAGGAUUUGGUAAAUGGAUUUACGAACUGUACUUUCUUAUUAGGUGAGUGUGUACGUUAUCACACUCGCCAAAGGACAUGUGACUUUUCACUAUUUGAGUGACCUAUUUACCAAUGUGUUUAUGUGGUCAAUGUGGUUACUGGACGCUUGGUUUGAGGUGAUUAUUGUGAUUAUUGUGGCUGAACCCCUUGAGCAUUUGUUCGGGGUGACUAGCUUGAGGAUUUUAAUUGCUUUCUUGUUUUUGGCUUGAUGAUAGGUAGAGGUCUGGAGGUAUAUUGAGCUUUAGAUGCAUAUAUGUGAUAAAUCUUGCUUUAUUACAUGUUUGGCUUGUUAAUUAUUGCCAGAUAUUCCUUUAUUUGGAUAGAUGAACUUGUGUGUGUUUAAGUAUAGCAAGAGGAAAAAUUUUUGUUUUGAAUCUUUCAUGUUGGCCGAAAUUUUUGGGACAAAAUUUCAGAUUUUUGGAGCUUUUAUUUGAGUUAAAGUUGUGCCAAAAUAAUGGAUUCUAAGUGUAUUUGGGUUGAUUAAACCGAUUGGCUCUUCAAAGGAAAAAAAAGGAGUGAACUUGCUAAAGUGAAAACUGGAAAUCUGCUUUCUGGAACAACAGACCAGUUUCGGAAAAAAAAGUUAUAUUUUCAUGUAUACCACUCCAAAUCGAGUCCCAUUUGUUUUUUUUUUUUGAAACUAGACACAUAAGGUUACAAAUCAUGUAAAUUUCAGGGGCUAACUCAUUUUCUGUGAUUUUUGGUGUUUUUUUAAAGUCCGUUGGAAAAACGGAAUUUUACCUGCCCUGCAUUUUACUGUAGCAGUCUAUUGACGGAAACACUGGGCAAAAUUCGUAUGGAAUGUCAUCAAGGUGUCUUCUACAAAGUUUUAGCCCUUUCAAUUAGGUUUCCAACGGUAUCAACUAUGCAAAUUUUGGACUCGUAAAUAUUAAGUUACGAUUUUCUAAAGAUUUCUACCAUAAACCUCCAGUUUCCUGAUUUUUACAAUAAACAUGAAAACGACUUGAUAUUUUUGCUUGGCCUUGAAUAUGCACGUGAAUGAUCGUGAUUAUACAUGUCUCAGGUGAAUACGAGAACUCCGAAGAACCCGUUUAGCCGCUUAACUUUUUCUCUCUCAUGACUUUUGGUGAGUGUCAAAUGCAUGUUAAGUGUUUAAAUGAAAUGUUUCUCGUACUUGCUAGUUCAUGAGGGUAGAGUGUACUUUACCGCCCUUGUCCUCUAUUUCAUGAAAUUGCUUGCUUGAUAAGUGAUAAGUGUUACAUGUGAAUGUAAAUGAAAGUGUUUUCCGUGAGCAUUGAGCAGCAGAAUGUAUCACACCCUUUUAGGGUUGGAGGUACCGCUCAUCCCGUCUCAAUGCUAUGACCAAAUCUUGUCGAUUGGAGAUUCGUCUCAUCGACCCAAAAGUGAAUGGGGGGGGGAUGCCCCAACCCAUUGGCUAGCCUUGUAACUCGAGCCGGCAAGGGCUUGGUCGAGAAACUUGGUGAACCUUAGGCAGUGUUAUAACUUGAUCCAAAUAAGAUGUCUUGCUAGGUAUCCUUGUUAAGUGAUACCACCUACAAGCUUGUUUGGUUACGGAUCCAAGAGGGUGUCAUGGUGGCUGGAGGUAGUAAGUGGAGUUCUACAUGGAUAACUGUAAAAGUUGACGGAGGGUCAACUACCUGAGCUUGGAUAGCGCGUGGAUUAGCUCCUGAGAGCUCUCGUAUCCUUUUAAUUGUGAUUAAAUUCCUUACUUGCUAAAUGUUUCGAAGUUACUUGUUACUCAAGUUAUUGCUUUAUAUUGUGUCUUUGCUCGCAUGCUUGCAUGUUUUUCCCUUGGCCUCAUUGAGCGUCAGCUCACCCCAAUUUGUUUUCCUUAACAGGUUUGGAAGUGGAAGUUCUGAGGCUUAAUUAGUGACAAUCCCUUUGGGUAGAACUAGUCGUUAUCUUUAAUUCUGGGACUCCAUAGUGUAAAACUUAUGAUUAUUUUGGGCUUUCGGUAUUGUAAAAGUACAUUGAAAAUCUUGGAUGUAAUAUAGAAGCAUGAAUUGUUCUUUUAUAUUUUAGAGUACAUGAAUGUUUUAGUGGAGUAUUUCAUGUGAUAUUGGAGUUUAAUUUGUAAUUUACUUGAAGAUUGUAGUGAGUCCCGGCGAGAGUUGGGCAGGCGGUCUGCCGAACCCUUUGGUUCGCCUUAGGGGGAGGUGGGGUCGUCAUAGUUGGUAUCAGAGCUCUAGGUUUCAGAUCUCUGUAGUGUAUCCUAAGUUCUAAAAGUUGAGGAUGCCACACAGUGGGAUUCGGGUUCGUUUGAAUGUUAAGUGAAAAAGUGAAGUAGUGAGCAAUUGUGGUUUCGAUGGUUAUUAAGAUUCAAUAAUUGAGGAUUAUUGUGCUAGACUAGCAAGAGAGAAGAAGAUUGUAAGAGAUUAAACACUAUUUAAAAGAUAGUAAGUAAAUUUCUUGAAUAAUGGCAUUUGCUAGGAGGCGUUCUUGAUUUAAGGACUUAUGGGGAAAUAAAUGAUUAAUUUGUUUGGGAUAACCUUUAGUGCUUGAUCGUUGCCACUAGAUAUAUUUUAGAGUUGAUAUACCUUGUUCUUGCCUUGGGAACAUGACUGCAAUUAUGUCUUGGAAUUUGGAAGGCCUACCUUUUGUAGUACCUAGUUAAGUAUGUGGUGACUCGUGCUUGUUAAAGGAUAGAUAUUAUGAUGGAAUGCGGAACUUUAAUUGAAAAGAUAGUUGAUGUAGCUCUAAUGUUCAAAAUGAGGUUGGCCUUACCUAAGGGAAUUAAGCCCCCUCGCUCAGUUGCAAGCUAGACUAUGGAGCACGACCUUUUAUACCUUUUGUUUAUGAUAGUUGGGGUGAUGCUUGUGCUUUGGCCUGUAUAUUUUGUUAAGCAUGAUAUUUGUUCCCUUUUGAAGUAUUUGAAUGCUAUAAAUUCUAUACCUGAUCAUGUUGACUUGUUAAUUUGUUUGGUAGUACACAUGCAAAGUUUUAUUUUCAUUAUCGACUCAUGCAAUGACAUGCUCUCAUUUUGGUUGAUUGUUCUCCCUCUUGUAUGACCUUGUUCAUAAAAAAAAAAUUUGAUUUGUAUGUCAUCUGAUCUAUUGACUGUUCCUGUGAAAAUAUGAAGUGUGCUUUGAUUGCUUUUCAAGUUUUAAAUUCCAUUUUUCCUUCAUUGGACAUAUUUAGAUUUAUAUAUUUAUAUAUUUAUUCAUUUACUAGAGUUAUCCAUCUAUUAGUUAUUUAUUUAUUUAUUAUUUUUGGUCCUCCGUAAGAAUUAGAAAUAAAGGGUAGAAAGGAUCGAGACUGUGGGCCAGAGGGGCCAGGCAAACCCCAAAGCGUGGAAGAUAAUUGGGAAAUAAAGUUGAGGGUUAGUGAAUGAUGACAAAGAGAUAACUAGUGGAGUAUAUAUUGAAUUAUUAUAAUUAAAGAAAAAAAAAAGAGUAACUGCAAGGAGGUAAACUAGUGGAUAAGAUAAGCUGUUAUUAAGAAGUUUCAUUUAGUGCGAGUGUGACAAAAUUUAUGGUAAACUUUGGAGAUCUAAGACUUGUUAUAAUUAGGGUUGGAGUUUUGGAUGAGAUAGGUGUUUGAACUCAUUAGAUUUACAAGUUUAUGGUUAAAUUCAAUGAUUCCCGGUUAAUUGAGCUUGGGUUAUGGAAGAUAUUCCUUGGACUUUGAUUACUAGGCUAGAUGCCUCGGGAAUUCUCUAUGCUUCAUAGUGUAAAAUUGUGGUGAAUCUUGGCGGAUAAGAUAAGAGAGCUUGAUAUAUGUUGAUUAUUGGAUAUUGUGGUUAAUUCAUGAGAUUGAUGAAUUAUAAUAGGAAAGUGAUGAUAGGAUCGGUGAAAAUUUUUGGUAGUAUCUCUGCUGGCCGAACAUGUUUAGUUACCUUUAGCCCUGUUUUCUUACAAAUCAUUGGCAAAAUUUUGCUUAAUAUUUUAAACGUUGAUUCUUGAAAAUGAAAUUUGAAGUUGAAAGGAAAUAAUUUUUAAACCUGGUUUUGCUAAAAAUUUUUCCAAAAAGGAACACCGUACAGUUUUAAAAUUUGUGAUGCAUUGGUGUAAUAUAUAUAUAUAUAUAUACACAUAUAUACAUAUACAUAUAUCAUAAAAAAAAUCCAAAAUUUAGUUUCGUUUAUUAGAUUUAAAAGUUGACAAUGGCUCUUUUCACCGUGUAAAAUUUUCAAAUUUUCUUAAAUUCUAUGAGCAUCGGAAAUUUUCCUACGAUAAAUGAAAUGUCAAAUCCAUUCUUGCUUUUCCUAUUUGUUAAAGCUGUAGUUUAAGGUCAAGAUCCAUUUAUUUACAAAUUUAAUCUUGAAAGGAUGCCUUUUGGGACAAAUGUAGAACUUUUGAAUGGUAUAGGACUGGUGAUUUUUGGAUUUAUGGAACUUAAAAAUACAGACAAUUUUAGUUUGAAAUAAAAGUGUCCUUUUAAACCUUACGACCUUAAAUAUGAAAAUAUUGAUCCGAUUUGAACUUGAAAAGAGACACGAGAAAAAGUUAAGAUUAACUCGUCAAAGGAUAUUAAUGGUUCGAAACCGUUAAAAGAGUUAUACAGAUAAUAGAAGGAGAGAUUGAUAGAUAGUUUUGUAUAAUCCAAUGGGAUCCUAGUACUUGAUCUAAGUCGAAACCGAACGAGGAGAUGAGAUCUAUUGGUAUUUUGAUGGAUUGACCUAGUUGAGUAACUAGUAAGGUUCUCCCUUGUGAACUUAAUGAUUACUUUACAUAUAUCUUGUGAUUGGCCCUAUAGGCAUGUUUUAAACUUGUACGAAUAUUUGAACUUCCAAGUUUUGUAUUCAUUAUUUGUGGUGUGACCUGGAUGGAAUGAAAGUCCUUUCAAUUUUUGCUUAACCAUUACUGUGUAUAUAUCCAAUUACUUGUUGUUCCUUUUUACAAAAAAAAAAAUAUUUAUACAAAUGUAUAUACUCUGAACUCGCAUAAAAAUUGAAAAUCAGGCAGAGUUUGGGUUUGGACCUUUUCUUAGAAAUAAGAAUGAAUAUUGGUCGUGAAUUGGAGAGUAAAUAGUUAAGUUUUAUGUGGCAUAAAAGCUAAUUCUCAGAUUAGGUGUGAAGAGUAGAGGCGUUGGACCGAAGUUUAAGUAAAUAUGAACCUGCAUGUCUGCUUAUUUUCUUAAAAGCAUUUUAUUCUCAAAAGUGAUUUGUGGGGUUAAAUGAUUUUUCUUGAUCAAACGUCCAAAUAACAAAUGUUAAACUUCUUACCAAAAGUCGAAUGCAUUUAGAAAUUUUGACUAUCAAGAUCAGAACCAAUUUCUUUUCUUCUUGUCUUCCAUUCGAAUAGCCAUUUUAUUUAUAUAUAUAUAGACCACAAUUUUUCCAAAUGUGUAUUUGAUAUCCUGUUAUUAGUUUGGUUACGAAAGGUACGUGAAAAAGCUUUCCUCGAACAAAUAAGAUUUUCAGUUGGCCGUUUUGGGACAAAAGAAACUGGAUCAUUUCUAAAAUUGUUAAUUUUGAAAAUCGAAUACUAGUAAAUAAUUUUGGACAAUUUGAGUACAACCAUUUGGUGAGUGAAACCUUUUAUAGAAAAUAUAUCUUUGUACUCGAGUUUUGAACUACAUGAUUGAGUCAUUUGAUUUAGUCGAGAAAAAACAAAGUAAAUUUCGAGGACGAAAUUAUUUUAAGGAGGGAAGGAUAUGAGGGCCUCAAAAUUUAUUAUUUUAAUAUUAUUAUUAUUAUUACUAUUUCAUUUAUUUAUUUUAUUGUUUUAUUUAUUUUAUAUAUAUAUUUUUUGAAAAGUUAAAUAAUAAAUGUGAAAAUAACUAUAUUAUGUAUUUAUAUAAAAUUACAUGAUCUUUAUGUGCAUAGUUCACAUUUUCAUAAUUAAAUGAUUUUCAUUCGAACAAAAUUCAAAUGUUUGACCGACUAGUGCUAAGUUUAGUUUUUGAGCCGUGUCGAGGAAUUUAACUUUGGUGAAAGAUUAGUCUAUGAGUAGCUUUUAAAGAAUUAUAAAUGAGAUAGAACUAAGAUAGAUAAGAAAAGUGUAGUGGACAAAUUUAAGUGGAACAUAAGCAUUGGUCAAAGUUGGACAAUUUCCGCUAAAACUAAGUUUUAAUCUUGCCAUUGUUUCUUCCAUUUAAUUUCCUCCAAUUCACUUCAAUUUCUUUUCCUUUCUUCCUUAUUAUAGUCGAGAAUCCCCCUCCCUCAUUAGCCAAGAUAAUCACUUUCAUCCCCACUAAAUUUACUCUUAAGACAUUAAUAUGUAAGAUGGGACAUGAUCCUUAAAAUAGGGCUUUAAGUCCUAUCCUUCUCUUCCCAAUAUAAUGCUAUCAAUUUUUCAAACCUUUAAUUCCUUUUCUUCUUCCCUUAUCAGCCGACCACCCUCACACACUCUCUCCCUCUUUCCAGCCAAAGCUCUAUCUUCUUCUUCCUCAACUCAAACUCCAUGACCAACCAACUUCUAGCUUCACUCCAUCUCCUUUUUUUUUUUUUGUUGUUCUAGCCGAGAGAAUGAGAGGGAGAAACCGAGAGGAGCUCUUUGUGGUGGCUGGCCAGAUUCUUGGAGAAGGAAAGAGAUCUCUUCGUGGUGAAGAUUGGACAUCCUAGCCUUGGGAAAAUCAGUUAGAACCUGAGGUAGUUCUCUAACCCAAAAGCUAGAGCUUUCAUGUUAUCUCUUGAAGAGUGAAUCUUGAAACUUCAUUGGGUUGAAUUCUUGUUGGAUUUGGUUAAUGUACGGGCUCUUGGGAUUCCCACAAAUGGAUGAUCUUUGUUGCUAGCAUGAUUUUUGAUUGGUAUAUGUGUGAAUAUUUGGAGUUGUGGCUUGAACUUUGGAAGGGAAGAACCUUAACAGAAAUCGGGAGAAAGAGGGGGAGAGAGAGAGAGGGGGGACCAAAAUGGUUUCUGUUUUCUCUAUUUUUCUUGGCUGUGUUUUCACAAAUUUAAAGAUUGAUUUGGGAGCUAAAAAUUUAAGCUUUAAGCUGUCAUUUUCUCUUACAAAAAAAAAAAAAAAACCCCUUCAAAUGGCGUUGCAAAAUGGUUCCAAAAGAAGGUUUCAAACCUGGAAAUUUCAAAUGAGAGUACGGUCCGAAAUUUCUGUGAUUAUUCGAAAAUGUUUGGGGCUCAAUUAGCCUUAGCACAUAACAUGAAAGUUGUAGAGAAUUGAGUUUAAAUUAUGCCUGUAAAGUUUCAGCUCAAUCGGAGCUGGGUAUCCUGUGAAAUGACAAAAUUGCCCCUGCUACCCUGUUUCUAUCAGAAAUGAUAAUCAGCCUCUGUAAUUGGUUAGUUUGACCGGGAAUAUUACUGAAUUGGUUGUCAAUGUCUUCUUAAGAAUUGUAGCCUUGUAUCUUAGCUUUGAAAUGGCUUUGGAAUCACCUGAAUCGGAGUUGUGUGUGCUGAGUUAAGAUUAACUGAAUCAGGACUAUCAGUAAUUGUGUCAGUGAGAAUUGAACCAAGAAACUUGGGCUAUUUCGGUAAAUUUGAUCUAGUUAGGGUGAGAACUGGGUUGAGAUGUCUUCACAAGAAUGGUAGAUCUAUGUCUUAGCUUCGAAACGGUAUAUUUUUUGUUUCAAUCCGAUAAGUGUAGCUCGAGUUGUGCUUAAAUUCCUAAAAGGAUUUGGUAAAUGGAUUUACGAACUGUACUUUCUUAUUAGGUGAGUGUGUACGUUAUCACACUCGCCAAAGGACAUGUGACUUUUCACUAUUUGAGUGACCUAUUUACGAAUGUGUUUAUGUGGUCAAUGUGGUUACUGGACGCUUGGUUUGAGGUGAUUAUUGUGAUUAUUGUGGCUGAACCCCUUGAGCAUUUGUUCGGGGUGACUAGCUUGAGGAUUUUAAUUGCUUUCUUGUUUUUGGCUUGAUGAUAGGUAGAGGUCUGGAGGUAUAUUGAGCUUUAGAUGCAUAUAUGUGAUAAAUCUUGCUUUAUUACAUGUUUGGCUUGUUAAUUAUUGCCAGAUAUUCCUUAAUUUGGAUAGAUGAACUUGUGUGUGUUUAAGUAUAGCAAGAGGAAAAAUUUUUGUUUUGAAUCUUUCAUGUUGGCCGAAAUUUUUGGGACAAAAUUUCAGAUUUUUGGAGCUUUUAUUUGAGUUAAAGUUGUGCCAAAAUAAUGGAUUUUAAGUGUAUUUGGGUUGAUUAAACCGAUUGGCUCUUCAAAGGAAAAAAAAGGAGUGAACUUGCUAAAGUGAAAACUGGAAAUCUGCUUUCUGGAAUAUCAGACCAGUUUCGGAAAAAAAAAAGUUAUAUUUUCAUGUAUACCACUCCAAAUCGAGUCCCAUCUGUUUUUUUUUUUAAACUAGACACAUAAGGUUACAAACCAUGUAAAUUUCAGGAGCUAACUCAUUUUCUGUGAUUUUUGGUGUUUUUUUAAAGUUCGUUGGAAAAAUGGAAUUUUACCUGCCCUGCAUUUUACUGUAGCAGUCUAUUGACGGAAACACUGGGCAAAAUCCGUAUGGAAUCUCAUCAAGGUGUCUUCUACAAAGUUUUAGUCCUUUCAAUUAGGUUUCCAACGGUAUCAACUAUGCAAAUUUUGGACUCGUAAAUAUUAAGUUACGAUUUUCUAAAGAUUUCUACCAUAAACCUCCAGUUUCCUGAUUUUUACAAUAAACAUGAAAACGACUUGAUAUUUUUGCUUGGCCUUGAAUAUGCACGUGAAUGAUCGUGAUUAUACAUGUCUCAGGUGAAUACGAGGACUCCGAAGAACCCGUUUAGCCGCUUAACUUUUUCUCUCUCAUGACUUUUGGUGAGUGUCAAGUGCAUGUUAAGUGUUUAAAUGAAAUGUUUCUCGUACUUGCUAGUUAAUGAGGGUAGGGUGUACUUUACCGCCCUUGUCCUCUCUUUCAUGAAAUUACUUGCUUGAUAAGUGAUAAGUUUUAUAUGUGAAUGUAAAUGAAAGUGUUUUCCGUGAGCAUUGAGCGGCAGAAUGUAUCACGCCCUUUUAGGGUGGGAGGUACCGCUCAUCCCAUCUCAAUGCUAUGACCAAAUCUUGUCGAUUGGAGCUUCGUCUCAUCGACCCAAAAGUGAAUGGGGGGGGGGACGCCCCAACCCAUUGGCUAGCCUUGUAACUCGAGCCGGCAAGGGUUUGGUCGAGAAACUUGGUGAACCUUGGGCAGUGUUAUAGCUUGAUCCAAAUAAGGGGUCUUGCUAGGUAUACUUGUUAAGUGAUACCACCUACAUGCUUGUUUGGUUACGGAUCCAAGAGGGUGUCAUGGUGGCUGGAGGUAGUAAGUGGAGUUCUACAUGGAUAACUGUGAAAGUUGACGGAGGGUCAACUACCUGAGCUUGGAUCGCGCGUGGAUUAGCUCCUGAGAGCUCCCGUAUCUUUUUAAUUGUGAUUAAAUUCCUUACUUGCUAAAUGUUUCGAAUUUACUUGUUACUCAAGUUAUUGCUUUAUAUUGUGUCUUUGCUCGCAUGCUUGCAUGUUUUUCCCUUGGCCUCCCUGAGCGUUUACUCACCCCAAUUUGUUUUCCUUAACAGGUUUGGAAGUGGAAGUUCUGAGGCUUAAUUAGUGACAAUCCCUUUGGGUAGAACUAGUCGUUAUCUUUAAUUCUGGGACUCCAUAGUAUAAAACUUAUGAUUAUUUUGGGCUUUCGGUAUUGUAAAAGUACAUUGAAAAUCUUGGAUGUAAUAUUUAAGCAUGAAUCGUUCUUUUAUAUUUUAGAGUACAUGAAUGUUUUAGUGGAGUAUUUCAUGUGAUAUUGGAGUUUAAUUUGUUAUUUACUUGAAGAUUGUAGUGAGUCCCGGCGAGAGUUGGGCAGGCGGUCUGUCGAACCCUUUGGUUCGCCUUAGGGGGAGGUGGGGUCGUCACAAACUUACAGUCCAGAAAUUCUAAGGAAAAUGUAAGGACUACCUCAGAGAACAGGUUUGGAAUCUCUAAAAGUUCAUCUCAGCAGUUGAACCACAUUUCACACUACAAAGUAUCCCCUAUUAGUUCAUUCAGAAAUACUCAUUUCAAAGGUAGACCUGUUUCAACUACUGAAGCAGAACCUAGAAGAAUUUCAGCACAAGAAAUACAAUAUAGAAGGAACCAUGGCCUAUGCUUCAAGUGUGGAGAGAAGUUUGGGCAGGGACAUCAAUGCAAACUGGGCCAUCUGAACUUCCUGAUCAAUGAUGAGGGAGAAGAAUCUGAAUUCGAAGAUGCACUGGGAGAGCAGGAUGAAACCACAGGGAAUCCAGGGCAGAUCAUGGAGAUGUCCUUACACACACUGUCCGAGGCACUUAAACGAAAAACAAUCACACUGGUAGGAAGACUAGAUGGGGAAGAGAUGCUGAUACUGGUAGACACAGGCAGUUCUGAUAGUUACAUAAGCAGUGAGAAGGUAAUUGCCUUUGAUAUUCCUUAUAAAUUAGUCAAUCCUUUUUCUGUGGUUUUUGGGAAUGGGGCUUGUGUAACCAGCAAGGCCAUAUGUCCUAAGGUGGUAUGGGGAAUUAAUCAGCAUAGGUUCUGUUAUGACCUCAAAGUGAUGGAUCUAAGUGGAUGGGACAUAGUGCUUGGGGUGGACUGGAUGACUCAGUUCAGCCCUAUCACUUUUGAUUUCCACAAGCUGACUAUCUUCUUGCAAGAUCAAGGGGAAGCAGUGCACUUGCAUGGCCAAGCUGAAGACUGUGACUUAGAUCUAAUCAGAGGAGGCGACCUGAGGACAUUCAUUGAAUACAAGAGACAGUUGUGCAUGUCCAUGAGAUUGGGACAGGGUGAUCUGAUGCAGGGAAAUGACAUUCCUGCAGGAGUCCAGGGCAUCAUUGAAGAAUUUACAGAUGUGUUUGUAGCACCCUCUGAGUUACCACCAGCAAGAAGUAUAGAUCAUGAGAUACCACUAAAACCUGAGGUUCAACCCUUCAAGAUGAAGCCGUACAGAUACCCUCACUCCCAAAAGAGGGAAAUUGAACAACAGGUUAAGGAUAUGUUGCAGCAUGGAAUCAUAGUGCACAGUAACAAUCCUUUUGCCUCCCCAGUUCUGCUUGUCAAGAAGAAGGAAGGGACCUGGCAUUUUUGUGUAGACUACAGGAGACUGAACGAGAUGACCAUCAAGGACAGGUACCCCAUACCUAAUGUAGACGAACUGAUCAAUGAGCUAGCAGGAUCCAAAUACAAAUCAAAGUUGGACCUCACUUCAGGCUACCACCAAAUCAGGGUCAAGCCUAAGGAUACAUACAAAACUGCAUUUCAAACACACUGUGGCCACUAUGAGUUCUUGGUAAUGCCUUUUGUGUUAAGAAACGCUCCAGCCACAUUUCAGUCCCUCAUGAAUCAGAUAUUCCAGCCUUACCUGAGAAAAUUUGUUCUAGUUUUUUUUGAUGAUAUCCUAAUCUAUAGUCCUACAUUAGAGCUACACCAGCAACAUCUGAGGAUAGUCUUGACAGUAUUGAGGGAACAUAAGUUGUUUGUAAAACGUUCCAAGUGCUCGUUUGCACAGUCAACAGUGGACUACCUUCGUCACACUAUCAGAGAGAGUGAUUCAAGAAUAACCACACAAUGAAACGUAAUUUACCACAAACUUCAGAUACCAAAAGUAAUCAUGAAAUGCUUCAUGAUCCAAUCAACGCGAGAAUAAGUAAUUUUGACAGAAUAAUUAUUGACUUUCUUCAUCUCUUUAGUAUUAUUUAUUUUUCCAAUUUAUUGUUUAGAACAAAAAAAAAUAAGUCAAUUCAAGAUAUGAACAUAUGAAAGGCUCAACAGCUGGAUAAUACUCAUUAACGACAGAGGCUAUUAAUCCAAAAGGACUAAAAUGGAGUAAACUUUAUAUUCCAAAAGGCAUUUAUGGUGGGGGAAAAAGAUAGAAUCUAAUAUGGCAUUAUACGUCCUUUCAAACCUUAAUAACGAUUACAAAUAAUUCAUAAAGACGCCAAGACUUUUGAAAGGAUUUAGAUUUCGUUGCAAUUUAGCCUUUACUCAUGAAAGGGAUGGUUGGAUAGGAAUUCUGUAGCAUGCCGGUAGCAGCCAUCCAAAAAGAACUAGUCCAUUUGUGCACAAAAUAAAGUGAAUAUAAUGUGUGUGUGUGUGUGUAUUAAAAAGUAAUCAAUUGGGUUAGAUUUGAUGAUUUGUGAUUACAGUGUAAUCUUUUAUAUAUAUUUUGUAACUCUAUUAAAUCUAAUAUUUUUCAAAUCAAAUAUAUCUGUGACAUAUUCAAUGUAUUUUUUGACAUUGGUGCAGAUUACUUUGUUAAACAAAUCGUGCUGGAUGAUGUAAUGGCUGCUUCAGCAAGAAAUGAAGAGGGAGUUAGCAGAAAGGGAAAGAUGGGAGAGAGACUUGAGAGGGAAGAUAGAAAAUGCGGAAAAUGAGAGAACUGAAUUUGUUGUAUCUGAUAGCAUGCCCCUCACGUCUUACCUUUAGGCUUAUUCAUACAGGAUUCAUCCUCUAGAUCCUUCCAUGCCUUAGCUAUAACAGAAUGCUUAACAGAACGAUCACGCAUGCAUGCAUGCAGUGCAGUAACUAACUAGCCAACUAACUCUCUGAUAUGCUAACUGACUUCCAGAAAUGGAAACCAUGGCCACUACAUUAUUAGCUAUAAAUAACUAGGGAAUAUCUAAAAUAUCUAGAGGAAAUAUCCAGAAUAUCUAGGAUCAUUACAAUACCUCCCCCUCAAGAAUCCUAGUCACUAGGAUUGAGUUGGAAAUCUGGAAAUUGUGAUUGUAUCACUGUGAUAUCCUCCCAAGUUGAGUCUUCAGUGCCUAGGUUCAACCAUUUGAUCAACACUUGAGUUACCUUGUGUCUUUUCCUCAUGAUUUCACGAGUAGCAAUAACACUUUCAAGGGCAAUUUUAACCUGUCCAUCCGUAGUAGUCAAAGGUAGUUCUUGAGUAACUACAUGAUUCUUGGCUGAGGGCUUGAGUAAGGAGACAUGGAAGGUAGGGUGAAUCAAGGAGCCAGCAGGUAAUUCCAACCUAUAGGCUGCAUUUCCCACCUUCUAAAGAACUUUGUAGGGUCCAUAAUAUUUUGAAGACAAUUUCAGAUUCUUUUUGACUGCCACAGACGAUUGUCUAUAAGGUUGCAGUUUCAAAUAGACCCAAUCUCCCACUUGGAAACUCCUUUCACUCCUGUCCUUGUCCGCAAACUGUUUCAUUCGAUUUUGUGCUUUGAUUAAAUUCCCCUUCAGCAGCUCGUUCCAUUUUCUUCUGUCCCCUAGCCAUUGCUCCACAGCCGCUACUGGAGUCCCCAAGGCAUUGAUGCCUAGUUGAGAUGGUGGAUAUCCAUACAGAGCCUCGAAGGGAGUCAUUUUUAAGGCUGUGUGAUGGUUGGUGUUGUACCACCAUUCAGCAGCAGCUAGCAAGGACUUCCAUUUAUGGGGUUGCUGGAAACACAGGCACCUCAAAUUUGUCUCCACACAUCUGUUCAACCUUUUUGUCUGUCCAUCUGUUUGGGGAUGGUAAGCAAUAGAGUAGUGCAGCUCCGUGCCUAACUUCCCAAACAACUCCUGCCAGAACAAGCUGGUAAAUAGCCUAUCCCUAUCAGAUACAAUGCUCAGGGGUAAUCCAUGUAGCUUAUAGAUGUUUUCAAAAUACAUGUUAGCCACCGACUGUGCAGUAUACUUCGAUGGUAAUGCUAGGAGGUGAAAGUACUUGGUGAACCUAUCAAUGACAACUAGCAUUCCCUCAUACCCCUGAGAUUUAGGUAACCCCUCAAUGAAAUCCAUUGAAAUAUGCUGCCAUGCUUGUUCAGGAAUAGGUAGAGAUUGUAGCAGUCCUGGUGUCUUGCAAUUUUCUACCUUGCUCCUCUUGCAAACAUCACACUGUUGUACCCAUUGUUCUACUUCUCUUUUCAUUCCUGGCCAGAAGAAUGGUCCCUUUAAUCUUUGGUAGGUCCCCAGGUUGCCUGAAUGACCCCCAAUGAGAGAGUCAUGAAAGCAGGCUAUCAGUUUCUGUCUCAAGUUCCCUGAGGAACCAACGUACAUCCUGCCUUUAUACCUGAGUAAAUUCCCAGCAAAAGAAUAAUUUGGGAGAGAAUCAGGUGAAGUAGUCAGGCCUUCAGUCAACUUAGUCAUAGAACCAUCCCCUUGGUAACUCUCUAGGACUUCAGACAGCCAUGCCGGUUUCAUGACUGAGAUGCUAUGUGUAAAGCUGUCCUCUUCAUAGCAUCUUCUAGACAGUGCAUCAGCCACCAGGUUUUCAUUUCCUUUCUUGUACUAUAUUUCAUAAUCUAGGCCCAAUAACUUAGUGAGCCAUUUCUAUUGUAGGGGAGUAGUUAUCUUCUGUUCCAAUAGGUACUUUAAGCUCUGGUGAUCUGUCUUGAUGAUGAAGUGGCUUCCCAACAGGUAAUGCCUCCACUUGGACACAGCUGUAAUAAGGGACAACAACUCUUUUUCGUAUAUGGACAGUCCCAAAUUCUUAGGUCCCAGAGCUUGACUGAGAUAGGCAAUAGGCCUCUCUUGUUGCAUUAGGACUGCACCAAUAGCCUUCUGACUAGCAUAUGUUUCUAGAGAAAAAGGUAAAGAAAAGUUAGGAAGUGUUAGGACUGGUGUGCUACUCAUCAGCUACUUCAGUUUUUGAAAGGCUAGCUCAGCUUGUUCAUUCCAGUGGAAGUUUUCUUUCUUCAAUAACUCAGUGAGUGGUUUGGCAAUGAGUCCAUAUCCCCUCACAAACCUCCUGUAGUACCCUGUGAGUCCCAAAAAUCCUCUCAAUGCCUUUAGUGAUGUAGGGGUAGGCCAUUCUACCAUGCUCUUGAUUUUUGAGGGAUCUGCCUGCAUUCCAUCUCCACUGAUAAUAUGCCCCAAAUAUUCUAGUUGAGACUGUCCAAAGAUGCAUUUGGAAAGCUUGGCAAAUAGGGAGUGAGCUUUGAGUGUUUCUAGGAAAGUUUUGAGGUGCAAAAGGUGAGUGUCUGGAUCUGAACUGUAUAUGAGGAUGUCAUCAAAGAAAACUAACACAAACUUCCUCAGGUAAGGUUCAAAAACAUGGUUCAUCAGGCUUUGAAAUGUUACAGGUGCAUUGGUAAGACCAAAUGGCAUAACAGUGAACUCAUACAAUCCUAGGUAAGUUUUGAAGGCAGAUUUUGGGAUGUUAGUCUGGAGCAUUCUGAUCUGAUGGUAUCCAGCCCUUAAAUCAAUCUUGGAGAAGAUCUUAGCUCCAAACAGUUCAUCGAGUAAAUCAUCAAUGAUAGGUAUUGAAAAUUUAUCUUUGAUAGUCAGGUCAUUUAGUUGUCUGUAAUCAACACAAAAUCUCCAAGUUCCAUCUUUUUUUAACUAAUAGAACUGGAGAGGCAAACGGGCUAUGGCUAAACUGAAUAAUGCCACUACUGAGCAUGUCCUUCACUUGCCUUUCUAUUUCAUUUUUUUGGUUGUGAGGGUACCUAUAAGAUGCUAGCUUGAAUGGUUUGGCAUUUGGCACUAAGGGAAUUUGAUGGUCAUAGUUUUUGGAAGGGGGAAGGGAUUGUGGUUCUCCAAAUACAUCUUUGUAGUCUUCAAGUAAAGCACUUAGGGACUGUUGAAAACCAAUGUCUAGAUGAGUUACAGUGUUUACCUGAGUUCCCUUCAUUUUCAGUCUGCACGCGUGUUUCCAGAUUCUGGUGCUCAACCCCUCCUUCUCAGUACUAUUACUAGGAAGUUUGAGAACAGUCUCCUUAGACUCUCCAUGUAACAAGAUCCUCUCCCCUUUCUCAUCAAAGGACAUGUUCGGCUGCCUAAAGUCAAAGGUGAUGGGGCUGUGUGCAGCCAUCCAGUCUACUCCUAUAAUCACAUCAUAUGGCUCCAAGUUAAUGACAAACAUAUCAUGAGUGAACUGUUUACCUUGCAUUUCCCUGCUCAUAUUCGGAAUCAUCUUGUGACAAGUCAAGUGCUCCCCAUUAGCCAUCCUGACCCUGAAAGGCUUGAUAGAUUGGACCAGUUCUGGAUAGAGUUGUGCCACUGCCCCUUUGAUAAAAUUGAGUGCUUCCCCCAUCCACCAGGAUUGAUAGUGGAGUUUCUUUGAUCCUCCCCUGUAGCUUGAUGGUGUUGUAAGUCAUCUUCCCAGUCAGCGCAUGUAUCUCCAUUUCUACCCCCUUGGCCGACUGUGCUCCUUGGUACUCGAUCAUCUCCCCUUCUACCAGAUCCUCAGGACUAUCUUCUACUGCUACAAUCAGGUGGAUUUCCUUUUGCUUGCAUUGGUGGCCUGGUCCGAACUUUUCCCCACACCUAUAGCAAAGAUGGUGCUCCCUCCUGUACUGCAGCUCUACUGGUGUGAUUUUCUUGAAGUUCUGAGGAGUCUGUUUCUUUACAACAUUGGCAAUAAUAGGUUUGGUAUGUGGAAUGGUGUACUGCGCAACAGACUGUGGAGUAUUCCCCAAAGAGAGGGAUUUCGGAUGAUGUUUGUGCUUCUUGUGGUAGGCUUCAAAGGCAUUCUCUUGCAACCUGGCCAACUCAAAUGCUUUGGAUAAUGUCUUGGGGUCAUGAGUCUUCACCAUUGAUCUCAAUUCAUCUAGUAGUCUACUCAAAAAACAUGAAAUGUAAUAGUUUUCUGGAAGGUGUGGGGCUCGAAUCAUUACCUCUGAUAGUAGUUCCUCAAAUUUUUCUUGGUAGGCUAGGACUGUGGAGGAGAGUUGUAACUUAUUGAAUUCCUCCAUUGGAUCCAUUUGUCCCAAUGUUCCAAACCGCUUGCACAACUCUCCAGAGAACUCCAUCCAAUCCAUCUUGUUACCCCUAGUAGACUUGAAUCCCUGAUACCACACUUCAGCUUUACCUUCUAAAUGGAAUUCUGUCAGCUCCAUCCAUUGCUCCAUAGGAAUAUGCAGAAGCUGGAAAUACUUCUGAAGUUUUCUGAUCUACUUCCUAGGAUUGUUUCCUCUGAACACUGGUAUUUCCAGCUUAGGUGCACUAGCGUAGAAUGAACUUCUGACAUUCCUCUCUCCUUGCUCUCGAGUCACCAUAUCUGAGCUCCUGGAGUGACUUCCCUCUGGCGAUCCCAAUAUUCCUUUCUCAGGAUUUCCUCGGUUCAAACUGGAGAGCUGUUGAGAAAUGGCUACCAUGAAUGCAUCUAACUUAUUGUUCAGCUCCAUGCUUACUGCAUCCAACCUUUCCUCCAUGAUCUGUUUGUUUGCGGCCAUGGAUUCCAAAAUUCCUUGGAGUCUGCUGUCUUGCUUGCGUAGCUGUUCCUCCAUGGUCUUCAUUCGAGUUUCAUCUGCCAUUGUUAUAUUGAUUUCAGCUUCUUAGUCCAAGGACCGGAAGCUCUGAUACCACUUGUAAUGGCUGCUUCAGCAAGAAAUGAAGAGGGAGUUAGCAGAAAGGGAAAGAGGGGAGAGAGACUUGAGAGGGAAGAUAGAAAAUGCAGAAAAUGAGAGAACUGAAUUUGUUGUAUCUGAUAGCAUGCCCCUCACGUCUUACCUUUAGGCUUAUUUAUACAGGAUUCAUCCUCUAGAUCCUUCCAUUCCUUAGAUAUAACAGAAUGCUUAACAGAACGAUCACGCAUUCAUGCAUGCAGUGCAGUAACUAACUAGCCAACUAACUCUCUGAUAUGCUAACUAAUUAACUUCCAGAAAUGGAAACCAUGCCCACUACAUUAUUAGCUGUAAAUAACUAGGGAAUAUCUAAAAUAUCUAGAGGAAAUAUCUAGAAUAUCUAGGAUCAUUACAGAUGAUUUCUAACUAGUUUAUUAAUAAUAUUGACUUCUUUUUUAUAAAAAAAAAAGUAAUCAAGGAAAAAUGGGGAAUCUAACAGUCUAAUGCUUGCUUGCUUCUUUUUAUUGUUUGAAGUGAUUUUGGUGUCUUGCUAGUUUGUAAUUGAUUCAAGGUGGAUAGAAAGAAAUUGUUCAGAAAUGUGAAAUAGGGUAAGUAUCCCAGUUUGGUUUUGGAUUUUGAAAGUUAUAAAAACGAAAAUGAUGUCAGUGAUCCUCUUCAAUUUUUUAUCACCAACCAAAGCAAUGAUUUUUAAGAAUAAAAAUAACAUUUGAAAUCAAAUCACAAUCUUUAAAGAGAGGAAAUAGAUGGUUGAGGGCGAAAUGGCCAUGGUGAUGAAUUGACAUCAUGGAAAUCAAACUGUGCUUAGUAACGCCAAAACGUCACCAUAACUCACAAAUGAGUGACUAAUGUGAUGCCACAUUAAGGCUUCAAUCUACUAUUACAAGUUUUACUAUGGACUAAAUUGUGUGGUAAAUUUAGUACUACUAAUAUUAAGUUUAUGUUUAAAACAAGUAAAUUUCAAUAAUUUAGGUAACUUACUCUUUAAAUAACAAAUUUUACUAAAAUUUUAACAAAAAUUGCCACUUUUUCUUCGAAACUUACCAUUUUCUAUAUAAAACUUGCUAAUUUUUCAAGUAAAACAUAUGAUUUUAUUAGCAAAUCAUACCACUUUUUUUAGUAAAAUUCACUAAAUGGUAAGUUUUCAAAAAAAAACUUACCAUUUUUAAUGCAAAUCUUACUACUUUUUUCAAGCAAAAUGUAUGAUUUUAUUAACAAAUGUUACCAUAAUUUUCGUAAAGUUUACUAAAUCAUUAACAAAUCUUACCAUCUUUCAAGCAAAACUUAUCAUUUUCUAUACAAAACUUACUACUUUUUGGAGGCAGAACUUAUGACUUGAUUAUUAAAUCUUACCUUUAUUUAGGAAUAAUUUUGGAAACCUCCCCUGAGCUUUAUGCUAAUAUCACAUAACACUUCUAAAUUUUAAAAAUAUCACUAGCCUUCCCUUGAGUCAUAUUUUUUUGUAAGAAUUUGACCCCUAUAUCAAAAAUAAAUACUCCUAACAUAAUUUUUUAAAGGAAAAUAGAUAUAUUUUUCUUCUAGUUUUACACUUUUGUGUUGUCUUAUUUUUUAAUUUUCUGCCAAAUUGAUUUUAAGAUAAGAUUUGAAUGAGAAAGACUUAAAAUGAUUUUUUUUAAGGGGAGAAGGUGUUAAGUGCUAAAGCAAUUGCCAGAAUAGCGAUUUUUUUAUUUUUGGUUUAUCCUAGAUUUUUUCCUAAAUAGUUAUUAGAAUAACAAAGAAAUUAAAUUUAAUAUAAGAUUGGUAUAGGAAGAUCAAAGAAGGCAGAGAAGACAGAUAUUUGAAUACAAAACUAAUGGUUUUAGUAGGCAUUUCUAUGAAUUCAGAUUUAUUAUCUUCUAAUUUUUGUGGCAUAAAUAAUUAUUUGAAUAACAAUUAAAAUUUGAGAUAAGGUUGCCAUAGGAAGCUUGGGAGGGGGAGAAGGGUAUUAAAGGCAAAAAAUGAUUAUUUUAGUAGACUUUUCUUAAUAAUUUCCUUUUGUUCAAAUUUUUUUGCACAAGUAAUUGUUAAAAUAGUAAAGUUAAAUUAAUAAAUGCUUGGCAUAAUACUACAAAAUAAAGGGGUGUUUAAGUGAAAAUAGUAAUUGAUAGAGCAAUGUUUGGGCAUCUUAUGCGCUGUUAUGUGGUCAUAAUUUUGGCUACUUAUUAUGCUAAGUAUUGAGGUUUUGUUCAUGUUUGAUAUUUGUGUAAAUUGUAGGCAGUUGGUGUCAAAAAGUGAUCUCUGAAGGUGAAUUUCCAGAAGACUUUUAUUUCAGGGCGUGCCCACGCCAAAAACUGUUCAAGAGACGCCUCAAAGUCGGACCAUGGGACUAACUAACUAACUAAACUCAUCCUUAUUCCUGCGGGAUGCGGUUGGAAGUGCGUCAAAACAAAAAGGCAGCAAUUUCCAGUGGAUUUGGUAACAACCAAUAAGGAGGAUGCGGGGAAUUGGGGAAAUAUUUGGAAAAGCUACUAUUUUCUCGUGGGCCAAGAAGGGUGUAACAGACAAGUAGUUUUAGUCUUGCAGAUAGCUUUUUAGUUUCUUACGUUUUCUUUGGAGGGCUAUCUUCUGGGAACUGGCAAAAAGCCAGAUUCAUGUGGGAUUAGGAAAUUAUCUUUAGUUUUGUUAUCCCUUGGUAGAGGAUUUGCUCUCUGUUUUGUUAUUACAAUUUUCUUUAGACCUUUGCUUUACUUUUUCCGAAUGGACACAAAACAAAAAAAGAAGCAAGACAUUUUCUUUUGUUUCUUCAUCACUUCAUCUUUCCCAACUCUCUUGUGAUUGUGUGGAUGGAAUCAAUCAAAUCCCGCGAGAUUGAUAUGAUGAGGAGCGGUUAGGUUUCUCUUCUACCCAAAGGUCGACGCGAAGGCACGGUCCAUAACAUCUGUGAGAUUUAAUCGAACUUUCACUAGUUCUUCCAGUCCGUUACUAUUCGUGUGUUUCCUGGAUUAACUGUUUAUGAUUAUUUUAUUAAUUGAGUAUCAACGGCAGGACAUUUAAUUUAAUCUAAUAGCCUACUGUCACGUUAACUAAAUUGAAUCCGUAAUUAUUCGUUUAGUUGAUAACUAGUGACAACCAUCAUAAUUGGCUUUAUGUUAGGGAAACGUAAGAUCUAGUUUAAAUAAACCCUCUUAGCGUGUUUAUUGGUUAGGGUUGGGUUUUUCUAGUUUUAAUGCAACCGGAUAAUUAAAUUUAUUGGUUAGGGUUGGGUUUUUCUAGUUUUAAUGCAACCGGAUAAUUAAAUUCCUACGAUCGUACCUAAAGCUGUUUUCUAGUUAGAGAAACAGUCAACGGUCGUACCUUGGCUGUCGAAAAAGUAAGGAAGAACUGGCUGUCAGAGCUUGUUGAUAGCUAUAACUAACCUAGUGACGAAUGAAUGAAAUAUCUUUGUAUCGAUGAUCAUUUAAUUGGACCGCGCCUAAAAAGUUGAUCCUUUGGGUAGAAUUUUACUAAUUGCUAUUUUUAGUGAAUUGUACUUGGUGAGUUAGCUUUUGAAUUUUGUUUAUUCUAUUUUCUUUUUCAGUCCAUUAAAUAUUCCCCAAUUUUGUUCUAUUGACUUGGAAAGAAACAAGUUCCUACCCGUUCCCUGUGAAAUCGACCGUACUUGCCAUUGUAUGCAAAUUUAAUAUUUUUGUAGACAAAUCUUGUAUAUCGAAUCAAGCAUACUCUUUGGGGAGACAGGGUGAAUAUAGUAACCCAUUGCACAUCUAGAGUCACUGCUCCAGUACUUAGAUUUGUUCUAUAAUUAAUUAUGGUAGUAAUUAGGACUUUUUAGUAAUUAUUAUUGCACAGGUUCGACACCUGUCAAUUUUUGGCGGCAUUGCUGGGAAGAAAGUGUCGACAAACUGGUGAACAUGGGAUUCUGGCUUACAAGGCAUGCCCACGCCUUGCAAGACGCCCUUUCAAAAAAAAAAAGAAAGACAAAAAGAGAGAGAAAAGAGUUUCGACACUUGCGCAGUAGGUAUAGCAAAUGGAAAUGCCUUGCUUGUGGAAUUUCUCCAGUAAAGCGUUGAGGUUAUGUAGUAGAUAUCGGACAUUCUCUUGACAUAGUGCACCCUCUCUUUACCUCCUUAUCCCGCCUUUCACCCAAGCCCUAUUACAACCCUAUUAAAGUCCCUUUGAUUUAUGUAUUGAGUUCACUUUUGAGUGGUGGAGAUGUGAUAAAUGUGCAAGCCUAUGGUAAUGUCAUUCCGUGGUGUUGAUUUGAGCGUUCCUGGUAUCUAUACAUUUUCUUGAAAGUGAUGAGUAUUACUACUCAUACUCUUUGGAUAACUACCUAUCCAGUGUGCUCUAACUUUGGCGACAUUGUCAGGAAUGCAGGAUGCUUGUGUUAGUGUAGAUCACCGCAUAGUAGUUCCUUUCGUGAUUGAACUUCUGAGCUUCAAAAUGCUUGAGGACAAGCAUUGCCUAGGUGUGGGGGGAUUUGAUAGAGCAAUGUUUGGGCAUCUUAUGUGCUGUUAUGUGGUCAUAAUUUUGGCUAUUUAUUAUGCUAAGUACUGAGGUUUUGCUCAUAUUUGAUAUUUGUGUAAAUUGUAGGUGGUUGGUGUCAAAAAGUGAUCUCUGAAGGCGAAUUUCCAGAAGACUUUUUAUUUCAGGGCGUGCCCACGCCAGAAACUAUUGAAGAGACGCCUCAAAGUCGGACCGCGGGACUAACUAACUAACUAAACUCAUCCUUAUUCCUGCGGGAUGCGGUUGGAAGUGCGUCAAAACAAAAAGACAGUAAUUUCCAGUGGAUUUGGUAACAACCAAUAAGGAGGAUGUGGGGAAUUGGGGAAAUCUUUGGAAAAGCAGCUAUUUUCUCGUGGGCCAACGAGGGUGUAAAAGACAAGUAGUUUUAGUCUUGCAGAUAGCCUUUUAGUUUCUUACGUUUUCUUUGGAGGGCUAUCUUCGAGGAACUGGCAAAAAAGCCAGAUUCACGUGGAAUUGGGAGAUUAGCUUUAGUUUUGUUAUCCCUUGGUAGAGGAUUUGCUCUCUGUUUUGUUUUUACGAUUUUCUUUAGACCUUUGCUUUAUUUUUUUUGAACGGACAUGAAACAAAAAAAGAAGCAAGACUUUUUUUUUGUUUCUUCGUCACUUCAUCUUUCCCAACUUUCUUGUGAUUGUGUGGAUGGAAUCAAUCAAAUCCCGCGAGAUUGAUAUGAUGAGGAGCGGCUACAUUUCUCCUCUACCCAAAGUCGACGCGAAGGCGCGGUUUAUAACAUCUGUGAGAUCUAAUCGAACUUUCACUAGUUCUUCCAAUCCGUUACUAUUCGUGCAUUUUCUGGAUUAACUGUUUAUGGUUAUUUUAUUAAUUGAGUAUCAACGGUUGGAUAUUUAGUUUAAUCUAAUAGCCUACUGUCACGUUAACUAAAUUGAAUCCGUAAUUGUUCGUUUAGUUGAUAACUAGUGACAACUAUCAUAAUUGGCUUUAUGUUGGGGAAACGUAAGAUCUAGUUUAAAUAAACACUCUUAGCCUGUUUAUUGGUUAGGGUUGAAUUUUUCUAGUUUUAAUGCAACCGGAUAAUUAAAUUCCUACGGUCAUCCCUGAGGUUGUUUUCUAGUUAGAGAAGUGGUCAACGGUCGUACCUUGGUUGUCGAAAAAGUAAAGAAAAACUGGCUGUCAGAGCUUGUUGAUAGCUAUAACUAACCUAGUGACGAAUGAAUGAAAUAUCUUUGCAUCGAUGAUUAUUUAAUUGGACCGUGUCUGAAAAGUUGAUCCUUUGGAUAGAAUUUUACUAAUUGCUAUUUUUAGUUAAUUGUACUUGGUGAGUUAGCUUUUGAAUUUUUGUUUAUUCUAUUUUCAUUUUCAUUCCAUAAAUAUCCCCCAAUUUUGUUCUAUUGACUUGGAAAGAAACAACUUCCUACCCAUUCCCUGUGGAAUCGACCUUACUUGCCGUUGUAUGCAAAUUUAACACUUUUGUAGACAAAUCUAGUAUAUCGGAUCAAGCACACUCUUUGGAGACAGGGUGAAUAUAGUAACCCAUUGCACAUCUAGAGUCACUACUCCAGUACUUAGAUUUGUUCUAUAAUCAAUUAUAGUGGCAAUUAGGACUUUUUAGUAAUUAUUAUUGUACAGGCUCGACACCUGUCAAUUUUUUGCGUCGUUGCCGGGGAACGGUGUUUUGGUUAAUUUUGUUUCUUUUCAAGUUAUUUUCUUUGGAUUUGUCUGGCACUUUUCUAGUUUAUGCCUCGUUUUUCUCGUACAUGUGAAUUGAUUUUCGACCUGGAAGUAAAGAAGAUUGCGCGCCGAACUAGGAAAGAAACUAAACAGCUCAGAGAGGAGCAAUCUAGCAUUGCAUCUCAGAUGCUGGAUCCAGAGGUUGAGUCAACAGAUUCGAGUGGUGAUAAUUCAAGUGACUCAGGCCAAGAGGACAUCCCUAUGGCGAAUCCAAGAACACUAAAGGAGUUGGCUGCUCCGGAAUUGACCCAGCAGCUUUUGUGCAUUACAUUUCCAACUCUAGCUGAGAAUACCUCCUUCGAACUGAAGUCAGAGUUAAUUCAUCUCUUACCCUCAUUCCAUGGCCUCUUGAGUGAGGAACCCCAUAAACACAUCCAGGAGUUCGAUGUGGUAUGUUCUAGUAUGAAACCUCCAGGGAUUACUGAAGAGCAGAUCAAACUUAGAGCAUUCCCUUUCUCCCUCAAGGAUGUAGCGAAGGAUUGGUUAUACUACCUACCUGCAGGUAGUAUCAUAACAUGGGCCCAACUGAAAAAGAAGUUUUUGAAAAAAUUCUUCCCGGCAUCCCGGGCUGCAAGUUUGAGAAAAGAGAUAUGCAGCAUUAAGCAGUAUCCCAGGGAAUCCCUAUAUGACUAUUGGAAAAGGUUCAAUAAGUUGUGUACUAGAUGCCCACAGCAACAAAUUAGUGAACAACUAUUGAUCCAAUACUUCUAUGAGAGACUUCAGUCAUCUGAUAGAAAUAUUAUUGAUGCUGCAAGUAGGGGAGCACUGGCAAAUAAGACACCGAGAGAAGCAUUGCUGCUUAUUGAAGCAAUGGCAGAAAAUUCUCAACAGUUUGUGUUAUUCUUGGUUUUGAUGAUCACAAAAGUUCGUUGAAAUGUUUAUACAGACCAAGAAAGUGAACACUUUGAUCAGGCCUGAUGGAACAAAGUAAGCAUAUGUUCGAUUAACUCCAGACUACGAUGCUUUGGAUGUGGCAAACAAGAUUGGAAUAAUAUAAACAAAUUUAGUCAUUGUUUUGUUCCGAUCAAAGAUACUGUCUUUUAAGUAUGACAAUUUUGUUAGUCUUGGUUCCUUGAAAUGUUUUAUCUAACUUUCUUCAAAUAUAAGUGUUGUUGCCUAUCAAAGAAUCAGGUACGAAUAUGUCGUGAGCAAAAACAGGACACUCAUGUCGGACGGCCGAAAGGAAUCUGUCGGACGUCCGAAGGGAUGAAGAACAUCAGGAAGGAGUUUCUGUCGGACGCACAUCGAUCGUGUCGGACGUCCUAAAAAUUCCACAAAGCUUUGAUGACUCUCUGCCAAGACACUGUCGGACGCUCGCAAGGAAGCAUCGGACGUCCUGAAGGAUCGGACGCAUGCUUCGGACGAACAUCAAUAUCAUUGGACGUCCUAAAAAUUCCUCGAAGAUUUGAUAACUCUCUGGACGACGUUCGAACACUGAAGCUCGGACGAUAAAAUUCCAUCGAACGUCCGAACUUCAAUUUGGCUGUUUUUCGGACGAUUGGUUCGGACGAUAAUUUGAUCGUCGGACGUCCGAAAGCCCCAACGGCUAGCUGACUCUUCAUCUGCCUUCUAUCCGUUGGAAGCUUUAAUGAAGCCCAUUUCUGUUCCCCUUUAAAAACAAACUGUUCUGAACGAAGUAAGAACUUUUGCACACUUGGUCUACAAGAUCUCAAGAGAUAUUUUAGCUAGAAAAUAGUCUCCAAAGUUAGAUUUGUUCUCUAAGUGGUGUGAACUUCUGGUGAGCUUUUCUCUUGUGGUUGAAAGUUUCAUUAGUGUAGCUUUGUUGAGGGUUAUCUGAGUGUUUGUAAAACUUCUUAGCUUGACUAAGUGAGGUUUAGGGCAAGGAGGAAGUGCUCCCUCCAUUGUACAUCUAGUUGAUCAUAUUUCAUCAAAGAGAAGUUGCUCAACCUUGUGAUUGGUCUUCAAGUUUAAGGAAAGCUUGGUAGACAAUCGGUUUGAUUUCCUAUUUUACUUUUUGUUUAAUAAAAUUCUCAUUGCUUAUAUAUACUUAUUUUUCUGAUCAAUAUUGCUAUUGUCUUCUAAUCUACUUGGUUGAUCUUUACUAGAAAAGAAGGUAAAUUUUUAUUAAAGAAAAAGUGCAUAAAUUUGGUUAAGGUUUUAAUCAACCCAAUUCACCCCCCCUCUUGGUUGUCUUUGGGACUUACAAUUGGUAUCAGAGCUUGGUCUCCUUGAGAUUAAGCUCUAACGGCUUGGAGUAAAGAUGACAACCAGUCAUGCUAUGUUUGUUGAGGGGCAAUCUGUUACUAGGCCUCCCAUGUUCAGUGGCUCCAACUAUGUUAGCUGGAAAGAACGGAUGAUUAUCUUUUUGUAAUCUAUUGAUAUUGAACUAUGGUUUAUUGUGAGUGAAGGACCGCAUGAAGCUAACUUUCUUGAUGCAGAUACAGGGUUGCUUCGGCCAAAAAUGAGAGCUGAAAUGAAUGCUCAAGAUAGGACUAACCUCACAUUGAAUGCCAAGGCCAUGAAUGUUCUUUAUAGUGCCCUAGAUUCAAAUGAAUCAAUUAGAGUAAAAGGCUGCAAAUCGGCCAAAGAAAUGUGGGAUAAACUAAGAGAAAUCCAUGAGGGUGGUGACAACGUGAAAGAACAGAAAAAGGCUAUCUUGGUCACAAAAUAUGAAUCAUUUAGAAUUGAACCUCUUGAGGAUAUUGACAAAAUGUAUUGCAGGUUCACUGACUUGAUCAAAGAUCUCGAGGUGUUGGGCAAAGAGUACACCUUGGGAGAGAAGAACAGGAAAAUUCUCAAUGCGUUGGGCAAAGAAUGGGAAAAUAAAGUGACUGCAAUAGAGGAGGCUAAGGAUUUAAGUUCUGUGGCUAUUGAAUCUAUCAUUAACUCACUAACCUCUUAUGAGUUGAAACUGAAAUCUAAAGUGCAGGAGGAAGAGGAAGCUAGAGCAAAGAGAAACAUUGCUCUAAAGACUACUCAAGGUGAAGAUGAUACAGCUCACUUGGAUGAUGAAGACUCGGAUGGUGAUGAUAAUGAUCUUGCUCUCAUCACCAGAGGUUUCAAGAGAAUCUUGAAUAAAAGAAAGUUUAGAAGGGGAGGACCUAGCAAUCAAUUCCAGAAUCAGCCAUCUAUCGCAAAGUACAAAGGAAAACAGGAUUUCAACAAGAAACAGUUGGACAAAUGCUUCGAAUGUGGACAGCUUGGACACUAUGCAAAUGAAUGCCCCAUGAAGAAGAUGAAAGAUGGAAAAGCUGAUCGGAAGCCAAGAUUCAACAACUUUCAGAUUACUUGGAAUGAAUGCAACUCCGAAGGGGAAGUAGAAGAAGAAGAAGAAUCAGCUCAAAUGGCCUUCAUGGCUAUUGGAAAUAAUGAGGUAACUUCCACACAUUCUCAAUCUGAAAGUGAUGAUGAUGAAGAUGAUGAUCUUGAAUCCUUUGUUGAAAAACUGCAUAAUGCCUUGAAGGAAUCUUAUGAUAAAAACAAGCAGUUAAAACAGAAAAUGGCUUUUCUCAUUCAAGAAAAUGCAAGUCUUUUUCAACAAAAUAAACAACUAAAGACUGACAAUGAAAGUCUUGUAAGAGCCGGAUGUAAUGUUCAAAAUGAGCUUGAUAGAAAGACAAAUAUUUGUGAAAUGCUGAAGGAAAGACAUGGUGAUUUGAAAAAAAGAAUGGACAACUUGGAUGAGACUUUGAAAGCAAGAAAGCAGGAGUUUAUCAAAAGGAACAUGUCAUCUACACAUCCUACUACUUUUCAAAGAACAUUUGCACACAACAAAAAUGCACAUGGUUUCACAACAUAUAGAAGAGGUGGAUUGAGAUAUGUCAAACCAGUACAUGUUAAGGACUCUUCCAUUAUGUGUGGUUUUUGUUGUCAAAGAGGGCAUUUGAAAGGUGAUUGCUAUGUGAAAAGAAAUCUGAACAAAGGGAUGAAAUGCAUGUGGUUAGUUAGAUACAAUGCUAACUAUUGCGGACCCAAAAAUUAAAAUGGGUACCAAACACUUUCUCUUUUCAGGAAAAAUGCUCAAACAAGUCCAAAUGGUUUAUUGAUAGCGGUUGCUCAAGGCAUAUGACCGGUGAUCCCUCUUUGUUCAUAAAGCUGAAAUCAAAGUCAAGUGGAAAAGUGACAUUUGGUGAUGAUGUGAAAGCUAAGACAAUUGGAAUAGGUGAUGUUGGUAAGGAUGGUGAUACUUUUGUCCAUAAUGUGCUCUUAGUUGAUAACUUAAGUUAUAACUUGCUUAGUGUUAGUCAAUUGUGUGAUAAAGACUUGAAUGUGUUGUUUAAAAAACAUGAAUGCAUUGUGCUUGAUUCCAAAUAUAAUAUUGUGUUCAAAGGUAAGAGAUUCAACGACAUAUAUAUUGUGGUUCUUGAUAAAAUUGAUUCUUCUAGCUUAAAAUGUCUUAAAGCUUCAAAUGAAGAUCCUUGGUUGUGGCAUAGAAGACUUUGUCAUUUUAACAUGAAUUUACUAAAGGAAAUUUCGAAAAAGGAGUUGGUUAGAGGCUUGCCAAAAAUCAGUUUUGAUAAGGACAAAAUAUGUGAUGCAUGUCAAUUUGGGAAGCAAACAAAAAAUUCCUUUAAACCUAAGAUGUGUGUAUCUACUUCUAAACCUUUGGAACUCUUGCAUCUUGAUUUAUUUGGUCCCACUCAAAUUACUAGCUUGGGAGGUAAAAGAUAUUGUUUUGUAAUUGUUGAUGAUUAUUCUAGAUACACUUGGGUGAUAUUUCUUGCUCAUAAAGAUGAUGCCUUCAAGAAUUUUACUUCAUUGUUUGCUAAAAUGCAAAAUCUGCUUGGGUUAAAAAUUGUUAGGAUUAGAAGUGAUAAUGGGACGGAAUUCAAGUAUUGUGGUUUUCCAGAAUUUUGUGAUCAUAAUGGUAUAACACAUGAGUUCUCUAUUGCAAGGACUCCACAGCAAAAUGGUGUUGUAGAAAGGAAAAACAGGACUCUUCAAGAGGCUGCUAGAACUAUGUUGAAUGAAUGUAGGUUGCCUAAAUAUCUUUGGGCUGAAGCGGUAAACACUGCAUGUUAUGUGAUGAAUAGAAUACUCUUGAGACCUAUUUUAAAGAAAACUCCUUAUGAGCUGAUUUUUGAUAAGAAACCUACGGUUGGUUAUUUCAAAGUAUUUGGUUGUAAAUGCUUUAUUUUGAAUCUAAAGGAACAUCUUGGUAAGUUUGAUAAAAAAUCUGAUGUAGGAAUAUUUUUGGGGUAUUGUGAGAAUAAAAGACGAUAUAGAGUUUUUAAUAGAAGGACUCUUGUGAUUGAAGAAGCUAUACAUAUAACAUUUGAUGAAACCAAUGAUGAUAAUUCCAAAAGUUCGUGUGAGGAUGAUGAUGUAGGUGUUCGAGAAGCAAUGAAAAACCUAUCAAUUGGAAAUGAAGGAAGCUCUAAACCAGCAGCAACUGAAAUGGAAAAUGAAGUUCAUAAUGAUCAAGAAGAGGAAGAUGAAGACAAAAAUGAUGAUCCACUCAAAGAUCUUCCCAAGGCUUGGAAAUUCAGCCAAAAUCAUCCAAAAGAGCUUAUAAUUGGUGAUCCAUCCGAGAAGGUAAACACUAGUUCCUCAUCUAGAAAAUUGAUUGACAAUUUUGCUUUAGUUUCUCUUUUUGAACCCAAAAAUAUCAAUGAUGCUUUAAAGGAUGAAAACUGGAUUUUGGCAAUGCAAGAGGAACUUAAUCAAUUUGAGAGAAAUGAAGUUUGGACACUUGUUAAUAGACCUCAAAAUCAACCUAUCAUUGGCACAAAGUGGAUUUUUAGAAAUAAGUUGGAUGAUAAAGGUGUUGUUGUAAGAAAUAAAGCCAGAUUAGUUGCUAAAGGAUAUGCACAAGAAGAAGGAAUUGAUUUUGAUGAAACAUUUGCUCCCGUAGCAAGAUUAGAAUCUAUUAGAAUGCUUCUUGCUUUUGCAUGCUUUAAAGGCUUCAAAUUGUUUCAAAUGGAUGUUAAAAGUGCUUUUUUAAAUGGUUUUAUUGAUCAAGAAGUAUAUGUGGAUCAACCCCCCGGUUUUGAAAAUACAAAAUUUCCAAGUCAUGUGUUUAAACUAUCUAAAGCUUUAUAUGGUCUAAAACAGGCUCCAAGAGCUUGGUAUGAAAGACUAAGUGGUUUUUUGAUUGAAAAUGGUUUCAAAAGGGGUGUUGUGGACACCACACUUUUUACUAAGCAAGUGUUGAAUGACCUUCUUAUUGUGCAAAUAUAUGUUGAUGAUAUUAUUUUUGGUGCUACUAAUGAGUAUCUAUGUAAGGAGUUUUCCACCACUAUGCAAAGUGAAUUUGAAAUGAGUAUGAUGGGAGAAUUAAAUUUCUUCCUUGGACUUCAAAUACAUCAAGCUCUUGAGGGAAUUUUUAUAAAUCAAGCAAAAUAUACCAAGGAAUUGUUGAAAAGGUUUGGCAUGGAGGACUCAAAGCAAGUUGGAACUCCAAUGUGCACUUCUACAAAGCUUGACAAAGAUGAAGAAGGUAAUCAUGUGGAUGAAAAGCAUUAUAGAGGUAUGAUCGGAAGCCUACUCUAUUUAACCGCAAGUAGACCUGAUAUUAUGUUUGCUGUUUGCUUGUGUGCUAGAUUUCAAUCUUGUCCAAAAGAAUCACAUUUGAAUGCUGUAAAAAGGAUUUUUAGGUAUUUGAAAGGUACAUUAGACUAUGGUCUUUGGUAUGCUAGAUCUAAUGAGUUUGCACUAUAUGCUUAUUCGGAUGCUGAUUUUGGAGGUUGUCGUGUGGAUAGAAAGAGUACUAGUGGAACUUGUCAUUUUCUUGGAAAUUGUUUAGUCUCUUGGUUUAGCAAGAAACAAUGUGCAAUCUCUUUGUCUACAACCGAAGCGGAAUAUAUUGCCGCUAGUGCAUGUUGUGCUCAACAUUUAUGGAUGAAGCACACCUUGAAUGAUUUUUGAUUGUUGUAUGACUGCAUGCCUGUAUUCUGUGAUAAUACUAGUACUAUAAAUUUGACCAAAAAUCCUAUUCAUCAUUCUACGACAAAGCACAUAGAUAUAAAGCAUCACUUUAUUCGUGAUCUUGUUCAAAAAGGUGAAAUAUGUGUAAAUUAUGUUUGUUCUAAAGAUCAAUUUACGGAUAUUUUUACAAAAGCUUUGCCAUUAGAUCAGUUCAUUCAUCUAAGAUCAAAAUUAGGAAUAAUCGAAAAAUCAUCUUAAUUUUUGGGUCUUCGGACGUCCGAAAGAAGAUGAACGGACGUCCGAUGAUGUUCUUCAGCCAUUUUCCAGAUUGCGCCUGUUCGGACGCAGCUGUCGGACGCACAACGUCGUUCGGCCGUCCGACAGUGCAACGGAUCAAUUUUUUAAAUAACUUUCUUUCUCAUUUGCUUCAGACUCUUCCUAUUCUAUUUCCUCUCGGACGAAAACUCUCUCUUCCCUCACUCUCAAAUUCGUACCAUUUUGAAGCUCUCAUUCUCAAAUUGACUCAAACAAAACUUUUUCUGACUGAUUGCGAUUCAUUUCUCCUGAUCAUUUUCCCGAAUCGCAUAACAUUUCACAAAUUCCCAAAUUUCCUUCAAAACCCUACUUUCUCAUAACCGCUCUGCCAAAUCUUGUUUAAGGCCUUUUUGUCCCAAAAUUUCUGUGCAAAUCACUUCCCUACCACUGUGUGCAUCAUUUGCAUUCUUCAUUCCACACAUUUCACACAAUGGUGAAUCUGAGAGGAGGAAAGGUUACUGCCGGACGCAAGCAUCCACUCAGGGAUGAGGAUGAGGAUCUUCCUACGGUCAAACGUUCAUCCAAACGCUUCAAGAGAGGAGCCAUAAAGGGUCAAAUGUCACGGCCUACUCCUCAACCCACCUCUCAGCCUGAAUCUGGACAGGGAACCUCUGCUCAACCGCCUCCAAAAUCAGCCCCUCCCCCUACAUUCUUUGAUGAUACAGCAAGAGACAAACACUCCUUGAUAUCCCAGAAAGGUGUCAUCCCUCAACGUACUGUAAACCCUUCUGAAUUUCGUCUCAUAGGUUUAGAAACCAUUCUGAAGUUAUUUGCUUUUCAGAAAUGGUCGCAUAUCAUUUCUAUGCCAAAUGUUUACUAUCCUGAAAUGCUGCAUCAAUUUUUUGCUAAUCUUAGAAAAGGGUCUGACCAAACUGAAAUCUUUUCCAGGGUUAAUGGGGUAGACUUAAUCUUUGACUCUGAAAUUGUGAAUUCCAUUUUAAAUACUACCAUUGAACGUGGGUGCAAGGAUAAAAUUACAAAUUUCUUUUCCUAUGAAGAGCACCCUAAUGCUGAUAAUCAUUUUGAUGGGGCUAAAAUGAUGACCUAUUUUAAAAGAAGUUUUUCCUCCCCUGCUGAUGCUAAACUGAAUGAUCUUGCCCCUGUGAAUUUAAUUGCUUUUUCUAUCAUUUCAAACCUGCUUGUGCCUACUGAUGGCCAUAGAACUGAUGCAAACAAAAUGGAGUUGUACCUCUUUUAUUAUUUUCGAGAAAAAAUUUGGAUUGAUUUUGGUUUUGUCAUGUGCAAGUUUUUACUUCGCUAUACCACUGACUCUCGCAGAAAACUAUCCUAUGGAAAGUUUCUUCAAAAGAUUUUUGAGUUUUUCAAAGUUCCAAUUUUAGGUGUUUGUCCCAAAGAAGCAUCUUCUUAUGCCUUUACCAAAGGAUACUUUGAAAGGAAAAAUCUUGUUUUUAAAGAUAAUAUGUGGUCUUAUAAAGAGGCAUCGUCCAGUGAACGUAGGUCUAAGGCUGCACAUGAUCCUUCAUCUAUUCCACUCACUCCCAUUCAUCCUAGGAAAUCUGCCACUAAGGCAUCUUCCUCCUCCAAUGAUGGAGUGAUUGAGCUUCUUCAUGAACUCAAACAGCAUGUUCUUCUUCUAGAACAUGGCCUAAUGCUCACCAUGUCCUCUGAGCAACAAACUGCCUUUCUAGACAAAAAGAACCAUCUCUUUCCCCCACCUGUGGUUGAGGAAGUGUCCCAUGACAAAGAGCCACACCCCACUGAUCCAAGCUCAUCAAUUCCAGACCCUGGUUCAUCAACUCCUGUGACUCCUCAUGGUCCUUCCACAGCAGAUAAAGGCAAGGAACCAGUUGAAGUGGAUGCUGAAGCUGAUGAAGAAACUGAAGAGGAGGACCUCUCCCAAUAUCAGCUCUCUCGAAGAACUCCUGGAUCCACACAGUUCACUACUUAGGACAUUUGCAUUCUGUUUGUCUAUUUUAUGUGUUUGUAAUGGUCAACAUUUGUAACCUUCUUUUAAUGUUUCUCUUGUUGGUACUGUAUGUUUAUGUUAAGUAUUUUGAAUGAUGACUGUGUUUAUGGAUGUUUAAGUAUUUUGGUGCAAUGAAUUUGGUUUUCAUUGAUGAAUGUGUUUGUGGAUGUGUUGAUGUGAUUGGUUGCCCUUUUGUGAUGACAAAAAGGGGGAGAGGACUGGAUUGAUGAUUGAUGAUUGGUGUUGAGGACUGGAUUGAUUGAUGAUUGAUGAUUGGUAUUGAUUGAUGAUUGAUGAUUGGUGAUGUUGGAUAUGUUGGAUUGAUUGUUUAAAUUUGGAUUGGCUGAUAUGCUUAAUUGUCAUAUUUUUAGAAAAUUGUUUAACUCGGAUGGGCAGCCAAGUGAGGGGGAGCUUUUUCAAAAUUUUCAAAAUUUUAUGAUUCACUAAAUAAGGGGGAGUUCGUGAGAAAGGGGGAGCUUAUAAUGCAAUCAUCAAAUUUCAUUUCAAACUUUUGUUUUGUCAUCAUCAAAAAGGGGGAGAAUGUUAUUCUUGAUUUUGAUGAUCACAAAAGUUCGUUGAAAUGUUUAUACAGACCAAGAAAGUGAACACUUUGAUCAGGCCUGAUGGAACAAAGUAAGCAUAUGUUCGAUUAACUCCAGACUACGAUGCUUUGGAUGUGGCAAACAAGAUUGGAAUAAUAUAAACAAAUUUAGUCAUUGUUUUGUUCCGAUCAAAGAUACUGUCUUUUAAGUAUGACAAUUUUGUUAGUCUUGGUUCCUUGAAAUGUUUUAUCUAACUUUCUUCAAAUAUAAGUGUUGUUGCCUAUCAAAGAAUCAGGUACGAAUAUGUCGUGAGAAAAAACAGGACACUCAUGUCGGACGGCCGAAAGGAAUCUGUCGGACGUCCGAAGGGAUGAAGAACAUCAGGAAGGAGUUUCUGUCGGACGCACAUCGAUCGUGUCGGACGUCCUAAAAAUUCCACAAAGCUUUGAUGACUCUCUGCCAAGACACUGUCGGACGCUCGCAAGGAAGCAUCGGACGUCCUGAAGGAUCGGACGCAUGCUUCGGACGAACAUCAAUAUCAUCGGACGUCCUAAAAAUUCCUCGAAGAUUUCAUAACUCUCUGGACGACGUUCGGACACUGAAGCUCGGACGAUAAAAUUCCAUCGGACGUCCGAACUUCAAUUUGGCUGUUUUUCGGACGAUUGGUUCGGACGAUAAUUUGAUCGUCGGACGUCCGAAAGCCCCAACGGCUAGCUGACUCUUCAUCUGCCUUCUAUCCGUUGGAAGCUUUAAUGAAGCCCAUUUCUGUUCCCCUUUAAAAACAAACUGUUCUGAACGAAGUAAGAACUUUUGCACACUUGGUCUACAAGAUCUCAAGAGAUAUUUUAGCUAGAAAAUAGUCUCCAAAGUUAGAUUUGUUCUCUAAGUGGUGUGAACUUCUGGUGAGCUUUUCUCUUGUGGUUGAAAGUUUCAUUAGUGUAGCUUUGUUGAGGGUUAUCUGAGUGUUUGUAAAACUUCUUAGCUUGACUAAGUGAGGCUUAGGGCAAGGAGGAAGUGCUCCCUCCAUUGUACAUCUAGUUGAUCAUAUUUCAUCAAAGAGAAGUUGCUCAACCUUGUGAUUGGUCUUCAAGUUUGAGGAAAGCUUGGUAGACAAUCGGUUUGAUUUCCUAUUUUACUUUUUGUUUAAUAAAAUUCUCAUUUCUUAUAUAUACUUGUUUUUCUGAUCAAUAUUGCUAUUGUCUUCUAAUCUACUUGGUUGAUCUUUACUAGAAAAGAAGGUAAAUUUUUAUUAAAGAAAAAGUGCAUAAAUUUGGUUAAGGUUUUAAUCAACCCAAUUCACCCCCCCUCUUGGUUGUCUUUGGGACUUACAGUUUGGCUCCCGCGAGAGUAACCCUACCCAUAGGGUUAACGAGGUAAAGACGUCGUCCAUUCAGCAGCAGCUAUCGGAGUUAACAUCUUUUGCUCAGCAGUUAGCUGUGGGGAAUAUGCAUCAAGCAAAGGUCUGUGGAAUUUGCACAAACAUGGGCCACCCCACUGACUUAUGCCCUAUUUUGCUAGAGGAUGGGGCUGAACUAGUAAACAUGGUUGGGGGCGUGCCCACGCCCCGUAGGUAGUACGAUCUAUACUCGAACACGUACAAUUCGAGUUGGAGAGACCACCCCAACUUCAACUAUGGGAACAGGCCACAGAAGUCAUUCUCAAAUCGUCCAGCAACCAUGGCAACCAAAGCUUCAACCUUCGUCCUCCAAUUCAGGAGGCUCUUUGGAGGAUAUUGUCAAGAGCCUGGCCACGAGUACUACUCAGCUCCAGCAAGAAACUAGAUCCUUGGUCACGAGUACUGCUCAAUUCCAUCAGGAAACUAGAUUAGGCAUGAAAAAUCUGGAGACUCAAAUAAGUCGUAUGGCAACUGCAAUUAAUCGGUUAGAGUCUCAAGUUUUUGAAAAAUUGCCAUCGCAACCCGAGGUAAAUUCCAAGAAUGUAAGUGCCUUGACAUUGAGGAAUGGCAAGGAAGUGGAGGGGCUUAAGGCCACGAACCUAAAGAGUAAAAGUGAAGAAGAGAUCGAAAAGGAGAUUGAAGAAGAAGGACGCAUUCGUGGAGACCCUAAGGUAACUCUUACUCCAUCAAUUCCCAUUGAAUCUAAUUUACCUCCUUUUCCAUACAGGUUGGAAAAGACAAAGAAGGCGGAGAUGGAAAAAGAAAUCCUAGACGUAUUCUGAAAAGUAGAGAUCAACAUUCCCUUGUUGGAUGCAGUUAAGCAGGUACCAAAGUACGCAAAUUUUUUUAAGAAUUUGUGCACCUAUAAGAGGAAGUUGAGACGGGACAAAAGAGCAGCAGUGGGAGAAAAUGUAUCAGCUAUACUCCAAAGAAAACUCCCACCCAAGUGUGGAGAUCCAGGUAUGUUCAUGAUCCCAUGCAAAAUAGGAAAUACACCGAUUAGAAAAAUAAUGUUGGAUUUAGGGGCAUCAAUCAACGUAAUGCCAAGCACCAUUUAUGUUUCUUUAAAUCUUGGGCCACUAAAAGAAACAGCCAUCAUAAUCCAACUAACUGACCGCACCAAUGCUUAUCCAGAGAGGCUAGUUGAGGAUGUCUUGGUUCAGGUAAAUGAGUUAGUUUUUCCAACAGAUUUUUAUAUCUUAGGUAUGGGAGAUGAAAAAUUGUUAAAUCCGUCACCUAUUUUGUUAGGUAGGCCAUUUCUUAGCACUGCUAGGACUACAAUAAAUGUGAAUGAGAGUACUUUAUCAAUGGAGUUUGAUGGCGAAAUUAUAAAUUUCAAUAUUUUUGAGGUGAUGAAGUAUCCGGAGGAAUCUAACUCAGUCUUUGCAUUGAGUGUUAUUGAACCUAUUGUAUAGGAAACUUUCGAAUUAGACUGUGAAGACGCAUUGGAAGUGGCCUUUAUCAAGCAUCUUGAAAUGGAUGUAACUCUUAAUGUGGACAUGAGGGAUGAGUUGCACCAUACAGUUGAAGCAUUACAUUCACUUCCAACCAUUCCUUCGAGGUAUGAGCUUACCUCUCUUUUUGUGCCAAAAACUCAGACAAAGUUGUUGCCUUCAGUUGCACAGGCACCGGAGUUAGAGCUUAAGACUCUCCCGAAACAUUUAAAGUACGCAUUCCUGAGAGACUAAGAGACGCUUCCGGUGAACAUUUCUGCACACUUAUCUCCAAGUCAAGAGAGCAAACUGGUGCGAACCCUUAGGGAUCAUAAGGAAGCGAUUGGGUGGAGUAUAGCAGAUAUCAAAGGAAUAACUCCGUUCUUAUGCAUGCACCAGAUACGGCUCGAAGAUGAUGCGAAACCGGUAAAACAGGCGCAGCGGAAAUUGAAUUCGCUAAUGAUGGAAGUAGUGAAAAAGGAGAUACUUAAAGUCCUGGAAAUAGGAAUUAUCUUUGCUAUCUUGGACAGUCCUUGGGUGAGUCCCGUUCAAAUAGUCCCAAAAAAAAUAGGAGUGACUGUAGAGGAAAACCAGGAGGGUGAGAUGGUUCCAGUCAGGAAAGCUACAGGUUGGCGCCAGUGCAUUGACUACCGGAGACUAAACGCUGUGAUGAAAAAGAACCAUUUUUGAUGUGAAACCCCGGUCUAGACAACCAAAACACCAUGGCUUAGGCAGCGGAAAUUUGACCCAACUAAUCCCUAGAAGUCACGAACAAUUUUGAUAUUAUCUCAACCCGUAACUACUCGAAUUAACGAACCAAAUUGGAGGUAGUAGAACGCCACAAUCAAGGAGAUACUCGAUUGAUAAGUUCGGGUGAAUAACUUGAGAAGAUUCUCAAGUAUUCAAAGGCAACUCUCUUGCCAAAGAGAAAGUGAAAACUCACUAAUUGUAUUUAAUAGCCAAAAACUCGUCCCAAAACAAAGAGGAAGUGAGGCAAUUUAUAGCCCUUACAAGCAUUAACCCUAAUCCAAAAGUUGACCAAACUACCCUACAUACUUAAGAAAGAUUUUGGGCCUUACUUACUAACAAAUGGGCCGCAAUUAAACUAUCUUAAUUACCUAGAUUUUUAAAACAAGAAAUAACCAAAAUCAACGAGAAAAAUCAAAUAAUCCUACUAAACUCAAGCAUUCGUGCAAUCAACUAGUCUUCACUUGAAUCUUCCAAUUCCCCGUGUGCUUGAAUGGGCCUUGGUCUUUAUAUUCUCAUCAUUCCCCUCCUCUUAAAAGCAAUUUGCCCACAAAUUGAAGCACGAAUGGUGACAAGACGAGUUACAUGCCUUCGACUCAAUCUUGUUAUGAUGGCUACAGAUGGCAUCCAAUGCAAAACCCAUGUGCUAAGUUGGAAAAUAACCCUCGUCGAACCUUGAAUCUCACAGACCAUCUUCAAUGUAUGCUCAACUUUAUUGUUUGUGGUCAUGAGAUAAGGGUCCUCAAAGUGGUAUGAAGUGUAUCCCGUGAAAUCGAACUCCGGCUCGAACACACUUGCAAGGUACCAAGGCGGAUUUGGUGAUGUUGGAGCUUCAUGUGGACUAAGAGCAAGACGAAAAGCAUAAUGGUCAUUGAGGUACUUGUUCUUUAAACGAACCCUUGGUACACAACCAUUCCUAAAAUAUGGAGUGUUCCCUUCAAGAUGAGCUCGAAUCAACUCCCCUUUGGUGUGGACUGAUUUAAGUUGACAUUGUUCCAUGAAUGGAUACCAAGGGGGUUUAACUCUUGGAGUACCAACUCCAUGGAGGCUUGCAACGUCUACAAUUGAUUUUGGAAUGGAACACACCAAGAUCAGCUCAACUUGCCUUUGCUUGAUCUGUAUAAAAGAAGAAACACUAAACAAAGCAAAGGUAAGUUUGUUAAGAAAAUAAUAGGCCUUCACCGGGUUGCUCAAGAUCAGCCCACUUUCUCUUCUUUCUUCCUUUUUACCACCAAUCUCAUUAGAUUUUUCCAUCUCUUUUCCUAGUUCAACAGCUGACCCUUUUAUCUCAUUACUUUCAACUUCCUCGGGUUUUACCUCUGCAGGCACAAUUCCCUCAUCUAGCUUUUUCUCCAUUCUAUAACGCUCAAACUCACUUUUCAUGCAUGCUAGAUCAAUACAAAGUUGGUCAUAAGUAAGUGAUACAAGUGCAAGACGACGACUAUUAAAUAAGAAGGAAUACUUAUUAGUAUGUCCAUCAAUUUUAACUUCUCGCCUCGACAUCCAUGCUUUGCCCAACAACACAUGUGUCACUUGAAUUGGGACUACAUCACACAACACCUCAUCCACAUAUUUGCUGAUUUGAAUAGGUACAAGUGUGUGCUUAGUAACCCAAACAUCCCUAUGAGUGCUCGUCAACUUGUAAGGUUGAAGAUGAUCAAUGGUUGGAAGAUUUAAUUUCUCAACCAUGAUAGCACUUGCAAGAUUGACUUCACAACUACCAUCAAUGGCCAAGCUACAAAUUUUAUCUUUGACACCGCAACGAGUAUAAAACCAACCAAGCAACUGAGAUUUGACGAGGUCCAAUUGCUCAUCUACACCACGUAAUGCCACUUCUUUGACUCCCUUAGGAUCAGGAAGACAAUGUUGUGGGCUAGCUUUUAUGUGUCUUAUACUCGCCAUGACGUAUGAGGGAACCUGCAAAAAGUUAGCAACGAAACCGAAGAUAUUGCCUUUCACGCUCCCUUACGUGUAUCCACUCGCACUCGUGUAUAUGGAUGUCACUCUAAUGGACUUACCAAAUACCUUUACCUGUUGGGUUAGGUAGUUGAGAAAUGCUGCUCAAGUCCAACAACCGUUACCAACCUUUCCACAAGUGUAAUCACAAGAAUGUAGGAGAAAAUGUAUGAAAGUGUUCCUAGAAUCUAGGAAGAGAAUAUAGGAGAGUUUCAUAAAGUGGAUGAGAGAAUAUAGGAAAGGUCCUAAAAAUGGAUGAGAGAAUUUUAGGAGAGUUUCCUAAAAAAUGGAUGAGAGAAUUUAGGAAAGUUUCCAAAAAAAUGGAUGAGAGAGUUUAGGAAAAUUUCCUAAAAAGGUAGGAGAGAGAGUGUCCAAGUGAGUACAAAGAGUUAUCCAAGUGCUUUACUUAGUUUCCUAAUUGAUUUUGGAAACAAGUUAGUUUUUGGAAACCUUUUGAAAAUCCUCUUCCUCUUGAACAACUUUUGGUAACCUUCUUGAAACAACUUUUGGUAACCUUCUUGAAACAACUUUUGGUAACUUCCAAAUUCUACUCCAAGAAAGAUUGCACAAAUCAGAUUUGGUUCUCUAUUCAAAACAAUUCGGUUGCCCCUUUCUUUCCUUGCCUUUUUUUUUUUCUCUUGCCAACCAAUUCCUCUUUUCUUUCUUCUUUUUUUUUGUCUUUUUUUGACUACAACUAUCAACCACGACACAAAACAAGGAAGUCCACAAAUAAUAACAACCAAGAACUCCAAGAUCUUUCAAGAACGUUCAAGGAAGUUGUCAGGAACUUCAGAAAUUUCAAGAUUGUGGUCAAGAAUUCAAGAAGCUCAAGAUUAUUGUAAGUUCUCUUCACGAUUCACAAAAUUCCAACAAUUUUUGCCAAAAUUCAGAUUUGAAAACCAAGUAAACAAGUUGGAUAACACAAACAACAAGGCUGGACAGAUUUGUAUUCGGAUGAACAGAACCCUAUGAACAGUAUCAGUGAACAGUGUCGGUGAACAGUAACGAUGAACAGUAAUAUUUUUUUUUUUUUUUUGGUUCUGAACAAACGAACAGAUUGGGAUAAACACAUAUGACUCGAAAUAAACGAAAACAAAAAAAAAGAUAUAACCUGGUGGUUGUCAACUAGCUCUGGUACCAACUGAUGUGAAACCCCGAUCUAGACAACCAAAACACCAUGGCUUAGGCAGCGAAAAUUUGACCCAACUAAUCCCUAGAAGUCACGAACAAUUUUGAUAUUAUCUCAACCCGUAACUACUCGAAUUAACGAACCAAAUUGGAGGUAGUAGAACGCCACAAUCAAGGAGAUACUCGAUUGAUAAGUUCGGGUGAAUAACUUGAGAAGAUUCUCAAGUAUUCAAAGGCAACUCUCUUGCCAAAGAGAAAGUGAAAACUCACUAAUUGUAUUUAAUAGCCAAAAACUCGUCCCAAAACAAAGAGGAAGUGAGGCUAUUUAUAGCCCUUACAAGCAUUAACCCUAAUCCAAAAGUUGACCAAACUACCCUACAUACUCAAGAAAGAUUUUGGGCCUUACUUACUAACAAAUGGGCCGCAAUUAAACUAUCUUAAUUACCUAGAUUUUUAAAACGAGAAAUAACCAAAAUCAACGAGGAAAAUCAAAUAAUCCUACUAAACUCAAGCAUUCGUGCAAUCAACUAGUCUUCACUUGAAUCUUUCAAUUCCCCGUGUGCUUGAAUGGGCAUUGGUCUUUAUAUUCUCAUCAAUUUUCCUCUCCCUUUUAUUGACCAGAUGAUAGAAAGAUUGGCUGGUCGUGUUUACUAUUAUUUUUUGGAUAAUUUUUCAGGGUACUUCAGAUCUCGAUAGCACCGGAGGACCAGGAAAAGACCACAUUCACCUGCCCAUUUGGUACUUUUGCGUACCGUAGGAUGCCUUUCGAUCUUUGCAAUGCUCCAACAACUUUUCAAAGGUACAUGGUAAGUAUUUUCUCCGAAUAUGUAAAAAGAUUAUUGAUGUGUUCAUGAAUGAUUUUAGUGUAUACGGGGAUAGCUUUGAUGAAUGUUUCGAUAAUUUAGCUGUAAUUUUGAAAAUGUGCAUAGAGACGAACUUAGUUCUUAAUUGGAAAAAAUGCGCUUUAUGGUAGAGUAUGGUAUUGUCUUAGGGCACGUUGUGUCGGCUAAGGGAAUAGAGGUAGAUAAAGCAAAAAUAGAUCUAAUUUCUACUUUGCCUUACCCUGUAUGUGUACGGGAAGUACGUUUCUUUUUGGGCCAUACAGGAUUUUAUAGGAGGUUCAUCAAGGAUUUCUCAAAGAUUGGAGCACCCCUAUUCGAGUUGCUGCAAAAGGACGUGACAUUCGAUUUCACCAAUGAAUAUAAGGUGGCUUUUGAUAAAUUAAAGGAGUCGUUGACAUCGCCGCCCGUCAUUCAACCCCCAGAUUGGAGCCUACCGUUUGAAAUAAUGUGCGAUGCGAGUGAUUAUGAGGUAGAAGCAGUGUUGGGCCAAAGGAUUGGCAAGGUGGCGCAUGCAAUUUACUAUGCGUCGAAAGCAUUGAGUGGAGCUCAACUUAACUACUCCACGACGGAGAAAGAAUUACUAGCCGUUGUUUUUGCACUAGAAAAAUUUAGGUCAUAUUUAUUAGGUGCAUGUAGACACCAAAAAUUUCAUCGAUUCAGUUUUAGCUUUAUUCAUUCAAUUUUGACUUCCUUUGAUUCAAUUUUUAGUUUUAUUAUUAUUAUUUAUUCUUGUCUCAUAUUUAUUAUUUUUAAUUGAUUGGAGGUUGCAAAUGGUAAUUGAUGUUCAUUCUUAUUUUAAAUGCAUUAAAAUUCAUCAUUUUCUUUUUAAAGCAAUUUUACACUAAAUUUUAGGAAAAUCCCGAAUAAAGAUCCAUUUUAUCUUUUUAAAAUUUGAUUUUUUCUUGCUAAGGCAUUUUGCAAGGUAAUUUUUAAAAAUUAAGCAUGUUAAACAAGUGUGUCAAUUGCAUGUUGAACAAGUGUGCAAAUAAGCAUUAGACAAGUGGUUGAGGAAUGGUAGGACAAGUGUAUAGGGGGUAGCUGUCAAGGACACUUGGGGGGUUUUUUGGGGGGCAUCGGAAAAAAAAGGAAGAAAAAACCCUCGAAGAGGCUUGAAAACAGGGGGAAGAGAAAAGAGCUAAAAACAGGGAGGGGGCUUCGGAGGAAAGGGGAGAGGAAAAACGAAAUCGAAAAAGGAGGGGAGAGUAGGGAAAAAUCUGGGGAGAGUCUGUGGGCUAAGAAAAACAGCGGAGAGAUAGCGGAAAAAAAGGAGAAAAAGAACGGCUGAGGGGAAGGCUAAAAAUCUGAAAAGAGAAGAAGGCUUCGGCUGGGAGAAGCUGGAGUGGAAAAAAUAGAAAAAGGGAGAACGGCUGCGGUUGAGGGCCGAGAGAGUGGAGAGCCGAGGAGGAAAAAUCAGAAAAGGAGGAGAAAAAUCAAGGGCGGCGGAUGAAGGGAAAAGCUGGGAAAAUUAGAAACAGAGAAAGAGAGGAUAGCAGCGGACAAAGAGCUUGCGACUGAGGAAGCAGAGCAGCUGGAACUGCCGUUCGCGGGAAGCUGUUGCCGCCCUCUUCCGUCACGCGCGACGCCAGCUUCAUCGCUUCUUCCAUCAUAGUUCAAGCUCCGCCCUCUGCCGGCACAAACAAGUGGCCAACCGCCCGCCCAAGCAACCAAAUCCGAGAUCAGCACCCGCAAAAUUUUACCAAGAAACAAACGGUAAGCCACCAUCAUCCUUCAAAUUUCAGUUUUCAUGUAAGUUUUCGAAGCGUGUUUUAUUUUUCACGUUGUGGCUUGUAGCCAUUUCUCUGUUGAAUUAUUCACUAAUUGGAAGUAUGUAUGCUUUGAAUGUCGAUUGGACUGGAGUUUUCUUGCAUUUGAUGAAAUUUUGGGUGCUGAUUCAUGUCAAUUGAGCGAGAAAUUGGUGAAGUUUUUUAAUGGCUGUUUGUUGUUCGACAGAAUGCUUCAAUGAAAGUUCGGCCUGAAGAAUGGAUUAAUUUCUGAUUUAUAUACGUUCGACUGUUUCAUGCUUGUCAAAAUAAUUGAUUCGAAUGGGUUUGUUUGGGCGUCCGUUUGUUUUGGCAAUCUGCUCCGCUUCUCGUUUGUUUGGUGUUCCUCUUGUAUGGAUUUAAAUUCAUGACAUAAAAUGGCGUGCGAGGGGAUUCAUGUGAGAGUCAUUUGUUUUGCUUUUGUUUUGUUUUGUUGAUUGGAGUCCGAAGUUGAAUUUUCUGGUUGCAAAGAGGAAUGAAAUAGCAGCGAACGUUGAGCCAAUUUGGGAAGAAGAGGAUUGCUUGAUUAAAUUCAUGAUUCCAGUCCCUCAAUUUCCCUUUCCAUUAUGAUUUAACCCCAGAAUUUUAGGACUUCAUAAUUUUUCCUCCAACACCUUCAUAAGUCCUUCAAUUAGGUCCCUGCUCUUGUUGCAUUUUAACCCCUCAGCUUCCCCUUGUUCUGAUAUGACCCGAAAAGUGGAAAAAGUGCGUUUGUUUCUCCCUUCUAGAUUUAAAUCAUCUUCUAAUAAGCAUGAAUAGUCCUUUUACUAGAUUAAUUCUUGUUUGUAGGUUCUAAUUGUGGUUCAAUAAUUUAUUUUGAUUUUAUCAUGUUGGGUUUAAUGAAACAAGUGCCUUGGGCUAAGAGGUUAUUUUUGUUUGGGUUUAAGAAAGUCGUUUUAGUUUAUUUUGUUUGGUUUUUUGGUUCGGGCUAGAGGGUCAAGGCCCAUCUAUUUGGUUGGCUAAUUUUUGGGCCAGGAUAUUAUACUAGCCCACUUGUUUUCCUUGGACUUUCGAUUGGGCCAAGUUAUCUUGGCCCAAGAAAGGUGAAGAUGGCCCAUUCCCUUUUUGUUUUGGAUUUUCGGUUGGGCUUGUAAGGCUUUGGCCCAAACAAAUAAAGGAAAUGGCCCAAUGGCUUGGUCCAUUAAGAAACCAGAAAACGAUUUUGCAAAUCAGUCCCUGAAUUUCUCCCUAAUUGUAUUGUGGCCCUGGACAUUUUCAACUUCUUUCAAUUCGGUCCUUGCUUUAAUUGCAAAUAGGUCCCUGAACUUUAUUUUUCUUUAAUUUUGACCUCCAAACUUUGUCAAUCUUUGCAAUCAGGUCCUUUCUUCUCUUGACUUCUUAAAUGUGAAUUGUCGACAUGAUUUAAUUGAUUCAAAUUCAUGCUUAUUUUUUAUCCUUUGUGAUUAUUUGCCAAAUAAAUUGGUACCUUGACCUUUUUAUUGUUUUGAAGCUAAUAUCUCAUUUACUCGAUUUCCGUUGCGAGGGAGGUAACUUCUAUAUUUUUGAGUUUAUUUUUUCCUACGUGCUCCUACGUGUUAUGUGAAUAUGCCUGUCUACUUUGCUUUCUUUGCCUUUCUUUAAUUCUUUUCAUUUUUUUUUACUUACUUUUGCUUUUUAUUUAAGUUAUUCAUUAUGGGGUAUGUGUACACCUCUUGGCUUGUAAUAGUUAGGGAUUUAAUUAUUUUAUUCUUUUCCCCCUUUUAGAUUGUAGUGGGGUCUCCCUAAUGUAAUAGAUAGGGUUUGGAGGAGCAUUCAAUGAAGACCUAUCGAAGACUUGUGCCUAGCUAGCAAAUGUAAUAGUUAGGGCUUUAAUUGUCUCAUGUGCCUUGCAUGCUUAGUUGCUACGUGUUAAUUUGCUUUGCUAGGGCCUUGCAUCUAGUCGAGCAUGCAAAAUGUUAUGUGCUAUGUGUUUAUAAGUGUUUGGCAUGUCUACUCGCUUUCCAUAGCCUGAAUAAAUGUGAUGGAUGAAUGUACGUCACCACACUAGUCCAAUGCUAGUUGUGGCUCAUUAUUUCAUUAGGAAUUCAUAGAAAGGGCUAGUCCAACGCUAGACCCAAUAGGAUUUUUCCUUUGUUUUUCAUUAAUGCAUUAUUUGCCUGUUCACUACAUAUCAUGCAUUUUUCCUUAGUUUUAUCAUCUGGCAUGCUCCUCGAUUCCCCUUUCCCCUCACUUUAGGAUUUUUGCAUUUCAUGCUAGUUAUAGGGUUCAUUUGCCUGAAGAGUCCCCUUCUGAUAAGGGAAACGAGCGAGUGUGGCUACUCGAUAGCCUUAGCACGCUAGUUUCGCCUUCUAAUCAAAGGGAAGAUUAAGUCACAAAGUUAGGACUCCCCGUUCCCGUCUUGAUGCAUUCCUAUAGGAUUCAUGCAUUCUAUUCAUUCACUAUCACAUACACUUACUUUAUAUUCUAACCCUUUUUCCACAUUCUCACUUCACACUACUUUUACACGUUUUCAUUUAACUACUCACACUCUAUGCCAUAUCACUCGCACACAUGCACUUUAUAUUAUUUUCACAUUAUCAUUCUUUACUCACCUUACCUUGUAAAUACAUUUGCACACCUCCACUUUUCUCACUUCACAUAAACUUACAUUUUCACAUGACAUGCACCCCAUUCAUUUUUACGUCAUUUAGGAUUACGUGUGACCUCUCCAAAGGAUCAUUAUUGGGCUUCACAAUUAAUGUGAUUGGCACCACUCAACCUUUGAAGAGAAAUUUCCCCCAAUACCCCUAGGUCUAGGGUUUUGCAUUCAUAUAGACAUAUCCAACACGCGAUACAUACCUUGGGUAGAAAAAUUAGGAAAAAUUGGUUUAAGUCACGCAACUAGCCUUGGCUAGGUCGAAGGGGUGCCUUGGAUUUUUUAUCCUUGCCUUCCCCUUCGUCAAAUGUGACCCCCGAUCCCUCUUUUUGGUUACGUAGACCCAAAAGUUCUUUAAAAGGGUUUAUUUACUUUUUUUAUUCAAAAACAAAAAACCAUUUUUUGGGUGACUUGGUACACCCUAACCCUAUACCAAGUGGCGACUCCAUUUUUGAUACAAAAAACCCUUUUUGAACUUUAUAUGGCCAAACCGUCGCAUUAUCAAGUCCCAUGGCCUUUUACUUUUCAUUUACACACGUUCACAUUCCAUUACACCACUCACAUCUCACACCACACACACACCACAACUCAUCAUCUUCGAAAAGUGGGGCGCGACAGUUGGCGACUCCACUGGGGAAGCUCCUAAGUGGGUCCGAGCAUUUGACUUAGCCAUUCGUUUCCUUUUUCUACCCUUUUUAUGCAUUGCACUUGGAUAUUAGGGUUGCAUUUUUUUUAUUUUAGGCCUUUUUGCCUCGUGCGCGUAUCCAACUAUUCCCUCACUCACGUACGUGUGAUUGGUUGAUUGGAUGUAUGUUUACUUGUUUAUCUCGCGCUUGCAUUGCAUUUGGGAGGGGGCGUGUCACCUUUAGAGCCUCACGUUGGUUCUCAACCCCUUCCCUCAAAAUAGGGGAGCACUUCAUACGUGCACGUUUACUUGCUUUUAUCCCAUUUUAUUUUGUUUUUCGUGGGCGUUUCCCACACCGCCUUGUAGGAUUAGGAUCGAUUGCCUUGGGUAGGCGGCUGGUGUGCUCUGCGCCCAUAACGCUACCUAAGGGAUCACUCGAGCCACCGAUCAAAGGCCUUGGGAGUGAUGACCCUUUGCCUUUAGGUCUGAAGGCUUGGGAGCCGAAGCUUUAUCGAGUCUAGGCAUUAAUGAACCAAACCUCAUGCAUCCAUGUUAGCAUUUGCCUAGGGUAGAGUCAGCCUCACCCUUUUUAAGCACAAUUAGGCACGAGGGAAGGGGUUCCACCCCUUUUUAUUGGCUUUUAUUGUAUUUCUUUUUCUUAAUUGCUCCCAAUAUGUUAUGUGUAUUACCAAUUGCACUAACCAUUCUUUUGUUUUCUUGGCUUGCAUUCAUAUGCCCUAGCAAUAAGAGGCCCUUUUGGCACUCUUUUAGUGACCUAUCCACUAGAUAACUCACAUGUUUAAAUUUCAGUCAUUAUACUUAAUAAAUACAUUUCAUUUUAGACCUUUUUUCCCCCGAUGCAUUAUUUAUGUCCCUUAGGUCAUAUUUGUCACAUAUUUACAUCGCUUUAAUAAAUGACAUCAUGCAUAAACCCUAGAAAGGGAAUGCCAUUUAGGGGAUCCCGUGUCAGGAAUAAGCCACCUUGUGUCUCGGAUACUUAAUCCAGUGAGACUUGCACGUUUACAUUUUGUACCAUCCAAAGGGGGUAGUGCACAAGGUAAGGUAGGAUCCGAUCAUUUUCAUAGAGUGAUCUUUGGGAUAUGAGCAUCUAAUAAUCACUUUUUGGCCAUUUUAUCAAAAAUUGGUAAAAAUUCCUUGCGUGAAGGACAGUAAUUUGAAGAAAUUCACAAAUGAUUCCUUCUAUUGAGACGAUAAAUAAAUUGAGGCCAAAAUUUGAUUUUUAGAAGCUCAUAGACUAAUGCAUCUCAAUCAUUUUGAAAUCACCAAUGGCCGGACAAUUCAACCAAUCCAUUUUACCCAUUCAUUCAAUAAAUCAUCAAUUCAUUUGAUCAAUUUACCCUUUUUAGGGUCAUCCGGUCGAUUUUGAAUAAAUCGUCAAUUCAUUUGACCAAUUUACCCUUUUUAGGGUCACCUGGUCGAUUUUCAAUAAAUCAUCAAUUCAUUUGAUCAAUUUACCCUUUUUAGGGUCACCUGGUCGAUUUUGAAUAAAUCGUCAAUUCAUUUGACCAAUUUACCCUUUUUAGGGUCAUCCGGUCGAUUUUGAAUAAAUCAUCAAUUCAUUUGACCGAUUUACCCUUUUUAGGAUCGUUCGGCCGAUUUUUGAACAAGUCACUAAUUCAAUUUCAUUCAUUUGGCCAAUUUACCUUUUUUUAGGGCAACCGAGCCGUUUUUUGACCUGUUUCCCUUCUAGGGUAAUCCGGUCGAUUUUCAAUAAAUUGUCAAUUUCAUUUGACCAAUUAGGAUUUCAAUGUCGAAUUCCAAAUUGGGAAAUCUAGUCAAUUUUGAAGAAAACCGUCCAUUGCAUCCAAUCACUUGAUCAAUUAGGGUUUUUGACCCGUAAUUCACUGAGAAAUUUUAUCAACGAAUUCCAAUCUCUUCGAUAGGAGUUCGUCAAGGUCAAACCCAUGCGUUUUGCAAAUCAAAGGUGAUCAAUCUAUUCGGACGUUGUCCUCAUUUUGACAAAUCUCUUGCCACUCCAAUGGCCAAAUUUUUCAAAUUAUUUUUCACUCAAUGAGUUGAUCAGAUCCGUCAGGUAUGGUAUAGUGCUUCCCUAGAGGAUUGCAUUUUCAUGCUAGGCCUACCCUUGGCAUAAAAAGGGUUCCCCCAUAGGACAUGCAUACCGAUUUUUUUUUAUUCUUACUUACUGACUCUGGGUAUUUUUCUUUUUGUUUUCCCCUCCCCCUGCAUUUAUAAAAAUGUUUCAAUAAGGCGAGAAUAUUCUUCUAUAUCUGAUAAUUUUGAUCCAAUAAAGCUUGAAGAUUACAAGUAUUACUUGAUUUUUAGGUAGACAUUGCCGCGAAAGCAUAAAGGGGAAAUUCUAUUUAUUUGAUUUGUUAAUACAUUUUGUUCCAAAAGAAAAGGAGACAAAAAGUGUAUGUGUUGAGCUCUUUACGAGUUUCUCUCUUCUCAUUUGUAUCAUAAUUGAUUGAGCAAUUUUGUUUCAAACUUUUUCAACAAUAAAAUUUUUUGGAUAAUUUUUGUUUUGUGUAUAUUUAUGUACAUUUCAUUCUUUAUUCUUACUCAUUGGAGAUUUCAUGAUGAUUUUUGAGAAAUAAGACCCAAUUUGAGAUUUUUCAACCUAUAGCCUGAAUUUCACAAGUGUGUGCUUCCUAAAAUCCUUACACUCGAUUGGUGUUCCAACCUGUACAAUAAGAGUGCUCAGAAAGAAAGAGAGUGAACGGUCACUCAAAAGGCCCUAUGAGAUACCUUUCUCCUUCACUUAAUUCCAAAAUAAAAUCAGUCACAUUGAUUGAUAAAUUGUAAAUUGGGGUAACUUUUGCUUGAAAAUGUUCAAGGCGUCUAAUCUGGUUCAAUCACAUCUAAGUGAAAGCAAAAAUGUGCAUUAUUCUUAUUUGUUUGGAAAAUUUGGAAUGAUACUUCAAGCAUUCGUUUCAUUACCUGUACAGAUUUUUAUCAUUUGCUCUCCCAUUUGAGCUUCUAAAAGAAUAAUUUCGUUUCAAAUAAGGGUCUUAAUGAUCACUACCCGUCAUUGAAAAAUUUUCAAAUAUCAAAAGAAGAAUGGGUUUUCAAUGACCAUUUCGCUACUUCGGUUGUCAUGAGGUAUAAGAAUGAUACUUUGGCCGUCAGUUCUACAAUCUAAACACUGAUCAUCCCUUGCAUCCUCGUUUGAGCUAAAUUGGUGGUUCUUUUCGAGUGCACAUAUGAUCGCACCCCACAUUGGGGAAGGAGAUUGGGAAAUUUUGAAAAAAGGGAAAAGAAAAGGGGAAAAGCAAAAAAUGCUAGAAUAAGGAGGGAACCGCAAAUUUGGGGAAUUUGAUUCCACUUGGGUUCCAAUUUUGAAAAAAAAAAAGAAAAGAAAAAGAAGAAAACAAGUUCUAUCCGGUGGAUCACUUAUGUUUCAUAGACAUGAAUGAGCAAGGGUCUUCCUCAGUCAGUUAAUUCAGAUACAUGCCAAAAAUUUCCCAUUAAUGAAAAUUUCUUUUCAGAGUUAAUGUAAGGAACGGAAUACAAGUCAGGCCAUCUUCUUUUCCGAUCAAGCAUCUAUCCCUAGUUAUCCCUUUUGAGCAUUCAGAAUGAAAUACUUCGUUUGGCAACCCCUGAGAAUCGCAAACCCCACACUGGGGCAAGUUGGUUUGAAAAAGGAAAAUUUCAAGAAGCGGAAAAGUGAAAAGCCACAAAAUCAAAAGGCAAAGGAAGAAAAGAGAACCUCAGUUCAAAAAUAAACUGGGGCAAAUUUUGUGAAAGUUCGAAAAAAUGGCCGAAGGCCGAAAAAUCAAAAGAAAGAAAAUAAAAGUGAAAAAGCCUCAAUUGAGCAAAAACUGGGGCAAAUUCUGAUUUUACCCUAAAAUAGGGUUGACGCAACAAUGCGAUUUCAGAUUCUUCAAACCACUUUUGAAAUCCGCUUUCAAGCCUUAACUUUUCUAAGCACCCCACCUGACCCCAUUACAAAAGCCAAAAGUCCUGACUUCUGUUCUUUGCAAUGGCCCUGUCAAGAAAAUUUCUGAUGCCGGAAAAUUUUAGCUGUAUUGCUGAAUUGCUUGAGUAUGAGGUUGGCGCUACUCAUGUGAAAACCCAUCAGCUCGAGGGAAAAGAAAAGAGGCAAAAAGCAAAGCAAGAAAAGUAAAUGCAAGGAAAAUGCAAAAAGACUUGACGCUGAAGUCCCUGGGGAAUGAUGAGAAAAUCCAAACAAAGUCUGAAAUCUUUUGAGUUCAAAUAGGGGCAAUUUUGGAAAAAUGUGAUCUUCGGUGCAAUGUCCUUGAAAGUUUUAUUCUUUAGCUAUCGUUUUUCAAGCCAAAUUACAAGCUAAGAAAGUCCAUCGUUGACUUAUUCCUUCAUGACAAUCCAAAGUGAGGAUCAUACUCAUAAGAAAUUCAUCAAAUCAUUUGUGAUCAUAAGGGUAUAACCCGUUUCCACAUGUUUAGCUAUCACUUCUGUCCAUACGUUACAAGCCUAGAAAGCUGGUAUGUUGACUAAGUUUUCUUGAAAAAUAAGGGUGACAAACUCUUUGCUUUCACUAAGAUGUGACAUUGAAUGGAUUACAUACAAUUGGGGCACAAAAAUGAGACAGAUUCUGACCUCUCAUUUUCCUUCAGCCACUUCCAAAUCAAAAAUAAAGUCACUUGAUUGGUCCUGAAAAAUGAGCCAACCAGAAGUGGUGACCCGUUACCCUAAACACCAAUGCUAAAAGUGAGGAAGAAAUCUUCUUGAAUUUGGUGUUACUUCGAGGAAUUCAUCAUGAAAUUUCUGCAUGAGUUUCAAACUUGACGUUUAAAGUUUCUUCACAUUGUUGUAUAUGUGCACUCUUUUCUAAAUUUUAGAAAGUGCGGUUUUUCUUUGUUCAAAUCAAUGGGAAAUCAUCUGAACAAAUUUUUGCAAUUAAGGGAGCCCACACUGGGGCAAAAAUUUUAUUUGUGAGAUUUCAUGAAAUAAGCCCAUACUGGGGCAAAUUUUUUGUAAUACAUUUGAGAUUUGUGUCCAAAAAUCAAAUAAUAACAUUUUUCGAAACAAUCCCGCUGCUCUUUUCCUGGAAUUUAAGUGCAUGUCAUACUUUGAUGAACCCCUUGUACAGGUAUUCAUGAUUCAAAAUGACGAAAGGCAUCCAGUAAGGCGGAAGGCCGAUACUGCAAAGAGAAGCAAGAAGAAGGAGGAAAAAUGGACACUACACUUGGGGCAAAUUAUUUUUUUAAAAUUUUUGAAAAAAGGGAAAAAAGAAGGAAAAAAGAAAAAAAGAGAAAAAACCAAAAAUCAAAUCAAAAAGUCAAAAAUCAAGUUCAAAUUCUUGUUUCUUGAAAAAUCAAAUUUGAUUUCUUGUGGGCGAAGCUCCAAUGCACGCCGCGCAUCAUUCUGUUCCCCCCUUCUCUUGACAUUCCAAAUCAAGUUGGGCCUGGAUUUCGUGCCACCAACAUCAUUUUAUCACGUUGGGCCUGGACUUGGUGCCGCCAACAUCACUUUAUCACGUUGGGCCUGGACUUGGUGCCGCCAACAUCACUUUAUCACGUUGGGCCUGGACUUGGUGCCGCCAACAUCACUUUAUCACGUUGGGCCUGGACUUGGUGCCGCCAACUUCACUUUAUCACGUUGGGCCUGGACUUGGUGCCGCCAACAUCACUUUAUCACGUUGGGCUUGGUUUUCGUGCCACCAACUUCGCUUUGUCACGUUGGGCUUGGAUUUAGUGCCACCAACAUUACAAAAGUCACAUUGGACCGGGUUUUAUCCCGCCAAUCUCGGCAGGACCGGGUCUAAUCCCGCUGACCGCUUACAGGACCGGGUCUAAUCCCGCUGACAGGCAGGACCGGGUCUAAUCCCGCUGACCGCUUACUUCGGCAGGACCGGGUCUAAUCCCGCUGACCGCUCACCUCGGCAGGACCGGGUCUAAUCCCGCUGACCGCUCACCUCGGCAGGACCGGGUCUAAUCCCGCUGACCGCUCACCUCGGCAGGACCGGGUUUUAUCCCGCUGACCGUCCACACCCCGUCGGCCUCAGAUGUUAUCCCACCGACCAAUUCAUCACACUGGGGCAAAUUUUUUAGAUAAUUUUUCAAACAAGUCCUAUACAGUUCUCUAUUUAAUUUUCUGUUCGGGUCUAUCCCAUGGGUCUGUCCCAUCUACAUUUUUAUCCGAGUCUAUCGCAUUUACAUUCCUGUCCGGGUCUAUCCCGUUUACAAUUCUGUUCAGGCCAGUCCCAUGUUUGAAAUUCCUUGUUUAGGUCAGCCCUCCGAAUAGGGGCAACCGAAUGGUACAGGUAAGCAUUUGGUGUCUACUUCUUUGUCUCAAGUUUUUUCAAAACUCAGACAAAGAGGGGCAAACUGUAGACACCAAAAAUUUCAUCGAUUCAGUUUUAGCUUUAUUCAUUCAAUUUUGACUUCCUUUGAUUCAAUUUUUAGUUUUAUUAUUAUUAUUUAUUCUUGUCUCAUAUUUAUUAUUUUUAAUUGAUUGGAGGUUGCAAAUGGUAAUUGAUGUUCAUUCUUAUUUUAAAUGCAUUAAAAUUCAUCAUUUUCUUUUUAAAGCAAUUUUACACUAAAUUUUAGGAAAAUCCCGAAUAAAGAUCCAUUUUAUCUUUUUAAAAUUUGAUUUUUUCUUGCUAAGGCAUUUUGCAAGGUAAUUUUUAAAAAUUAAGCAUGUUAAACAAGUGUGUCAAUUGCAUGUUGAACAAGUGUGCAAAUAAGCAUUAGACAAGUGGUUGAGGAAUGGUAGGACAAGUGUAUAGGGGGUAGCUGUCAAGGACACUUGGGGGGUUUUUUGGGGGGCAUCGGAAAAAAAAGGAAGAAAAAACCCUCGAAGAGGCUUGAAAACAGGGGGAAGAGAAAAGAGCUAAAAACAGGGAGGGGGCUUCGGAGGAAAGGGGAGAGGAAAAACGAAAUCGAAAAAGGAGGGGAGAGUAGGGAAAAAUCUGGGGAGAGUCUGUGGGCUAAGAAAAACAGCGGAGAGAUAGCGGAAAAAAAGGAGAAAAAGAACGGCUGAGGGGAAGGCUAAAAAUCUGAAAAGAGAAGAAGGCUUCGGCUGGGAGAAGCUGGAGUGGAAAAAAUAGAAAAAGGGAGAACGGCUGCGGUUGAGGGCCGAGAGAGUGGAGAGCCGAGGAGGAAAAAUCAGAAAAGGAGGAGAAAAAUCAAGGGCGGCGGAUGAAGGGAAAAGCUGGGAAAAUUAGAAACAGAGAAAGAGAGGAUAGCAGCGGACAAAGAGCUUGCGACUGAGGAAGCAGAGCAGCUGGAACUGCCGUUCGCGGGAAGCUGUUGCCGCCCUCUUCCGUCACGCGCGACGCCAGCUUCAUCGCUUCUUCCAUCAUAGUUCAAGCUCCGCCCUCUGCCGGCACAAACAAGUGGCCAACCGCCCGCCCAAGCAACCAAAUCCGAGAUCAGCACCCGCAAAAUUUUACCAAGAAACAAACGGUAAGCCACCAUCAUCCUUCAAAUUUCAGUUUUCAUGUAAGUUUUCGAAGCGUGUUUUAUUUUUCACGUUGUGGCUUGUAGCCAUUUCUCUGUUGAAUUAUUCACUAAUUGGAAGUAUGUAUGCUUUGAAUGUCGAUUGGACUGGAGUUUUCUUGCAUUUGAUGAAAUUUUGGGUGCUGAUUCAUGUCAAUUGGGCGAGAAAUUGGUGAAGUUUUUUAAUGGCUGUUUGUUGUUCGACAGAAUGCUUCAAUGAAAGUUCGGCCUGAAGAAUGGAUUAAUUUCUGAUUUAUAUACGUUCGACUGUUUCAUGCUUGUCAAAAUAAUUGAUUCGAAUGGGUUUGUUUGGGCGUCCGUUUGUUUUGGCAAUCUGCUCCGCUUCUCGUUUGUUUGGUGUUCCUCUUGUAUGGAUUUAAAUUCAUGACAUAAAAUGGCGUGCGAGGGGAUUCAUGUGAGAGUCAUUUGUUUUGCUUUUGUUUUGUUUUGUUGAUUGGAGUCCGAAGUUGAAUUUUCUGGUUGCAAAGAGGAAUGAAAUAGCAGCGAACGUUGAGCCAAUUUGGGAAGAAGAGGAUUGCUUGAUUAAAUUCAUGAUUCCAGUCCCUCAAUUUCCCUUUCCAUUAUGAUUUAACCCCAGAAUUUUAGGACUUCAUAAUUUUUCCUCCAACACCUUCAUAAGUCCUUCAAUUAGGUCCCUGCUCUUGUUGCAUUUUAACCCCUCAGCUUCCCCUUGUUCUGAUAUGACCCGAAAAGUGGAAAAAGUGCGUUUGUUUCUCCCUUCUAGAUUUAAAUCAUCUUCUAAUAAGCAUGAAUAGUCCUUUUACUAGAUUAAUUCUUGUUUGUAGGUUCUAAUUGUGGUUCAAUAAUUUAUUUUGAUUUUAUCAUGUUGGGUUUAAUGAAACAAGUGCCUUGGGCUAAGAGGUUAUUUUUGUUUGGGUUUAAGAAAGUCGUUUUAGUUUAUUUUGUUUGGUUUUUUGGUUCGGGCUAGAGGGUCAAGGCCCAUCUAUUUGGUUGGCUAAUUUUUGGGCCAGGAUAUUAUACUAGCCCACUUGUUUUCCUUGGACUUUCGAUUGGGCCAAGUUAUCUUGGCCCAAGAAAGGUGAAGAUGGCCCAUUCCCUUUUUGUUUUGGAUUUUCGGUUGGGCUUGUAAGGCUUUGGCCCAAACAAAUAAAGGAAAUGGCCCAAUGGCUUGGUCCAUUAAGAAACCAGAAAACGAUUUUGCAAAUCAGUCCCUGAAUUUCUCCCUAAUUGUAUUGUGGCCCUGGACAUUUUCAACUUCUUUCAAUUCGGUCCUUGCUUUAAUUGCAAAUAGGUCCCUGAACUUUAUUUUUCUUUAAUUUUGACCUCCAAACUUUGUCAAUCUUUGCAAUCAGGUCCUUUCUUCUCUUGACUUCUUAAAUGUGAAUUGUCGACAUGAUUUAAUUGAUUCAAAUUCAUGCUUAUUUUUUAUCCUUUGUGAUUAUUUGCCAAAUAAAUUGGUACCUUGACCUUUUUAUUGUUUUGAAGCUAAUAUCUCAUUUACUCGAUUUCCGUUGCGAGGGAGGUAACUUCUAUAUUUUUGAGUUUAUUUUUUCCUACGUGCUCCUACGUGUUAUGUGAAUAUGCCUGUCUACUUUGCUUUCUUUGCCUUUCUUUAAUUCUUUUCAUUUUUUUUUACUUACUUUUGCUUUUUAUUUAAGUUAUUCAUUAUGGGGUAUGUGUACACCUCUUGGCUUGUAAUAGUUAGGGAUUUAAUUAUUUUAUUCUUUUCCCCCUUUUAGAUUGUAGUGGGGUCUCCCUAAUGUAAUAGAUAGGGUUUGGAGGAGCAUUCAAUGAAGACCUAUCGAAGACUUGUGCCUAGCUAGCAAAUGUAAUAGUUAGGGCUUUAAUUGUCUCAUGUGCCUUGCAUGCUUAGUUGCUACGUGUUAAUUUGCUUUGCUAGGGCCUUGCAUCUAGUCGAGCAUGCAAAAUGUUAUGUGCUAUGUGUUUAUAAGUGUUUGGCAUGUCUACUCGCUUUCCAUAGCCUGAAUAAAUGUGAUGGAUGAAUGUACGUCACCACACUAGUCCAAUGCUAGUUGUGGCUCAUUAUUUCAUUAGGAAUUCAUAGAAAGGGCUAGUCCAACGCUAGACCCAAUAGGAUUUUUCCUUUGUUUUUCAUUAAUGCAUUAUUUGCCUGUUCACUACAUAUCAUGCAUUUUUCCUUAGUUUUAUCAUCUGGCAUGCUCCUCGAUUCCCCUUUCCCCUCACUUUAGGAUUUUUGCAUUUCAUGCUAGUUAUAGGGUUCAUUUGCCUGAAGAGUCCCCUUCUGAUAAGGGAAACGAGCGAGUGUGGCUACUCGAUAGCCUUAGCACGCUAGUUUCGCCUUCUAAUCAAAGGGAAGAUUAAGUCACAAAGUUAGGACUCCCCGUUCCCGUCUUGAUGCAUUCCUAUAGGAUUCAUGCAUUCUAUUCAUUCACUAUCACAUACACUUACUUUAUAUUCUAACCCUUUUUCCACAUUCUCACUUCACACUACUUUUACACGUUUUCAUUUAACUACUCACACUCUAUGCCAUAUCACUCGCACACAUGCACUUUAUAUUAUUUUCACAUUAUCAUUCUUUACUCACCUUACCUUGUAAAUACAUUUGCACACCUCCACUUUUCUCACUUCACAUAAACUUACAUUUUCACAUGACAUGCACCCCAUUCAUUUUUACGUCAUUUAGGAUUACGUGUGACCUCUCCAAAGGAUCAUUAUUGGGCUUCACAAUUAAUGUGAUUGGCACCACUCAACCUUUGAAGAGAAAUUUCCCCCAAUACCCCUAGGUCUAGGGUUUUGCAUUCAUAUAGACAUAUCCAACACGCGAUACAUACCUUGGGUAGAAAAAUUAGGAAAAAUUGGUUUAAGUCACGCAACUAGCCUUGGCUAGGUCGAAGGGGUGCCUUGGAUUUUUUAUCCUUGCCUUCCCCUUCGUCAAAUGUGACCCCCGAUCCCUCUUUUUGGUUACGUAGACCCAAAAGUUCUUUAAAAGGGUUUAUUUACUUUUUUUAUUCAAAAACAAAAAACCAUUUUUUGGGUGACUUGGUACACCCUAACCCUAUACCAAGUGGCGACUCCAUUUUUGAUACAAAAAACCCUUUUUGAACUUUAUAUGGCCAAACCGUCGCAUUAUCAAGUCCCAUGGCCUUUUACUUUUCAUUUACACACGUUCACAUUCCAUUACACCACUCACAUCUCACACCACACACACACCACAACUCAUCAUCUUCGAAAAGUGGGGCGCGACAGUUGGCGACUCCACUGGGGAAGCUCCUAAGUGGGUCCGAGCAUUUGACUUAGCCAUUCGUUUCCUUUUUCUACCCUUUUUAUGCAUUGCACUUGGAUAUUAGGGUUGCAUUUUUUUUAUUUUAGGCCUUUUUGCCUCGUGCGCGUAUCCAACUAUUCCCUCACUCACGUACGUGUGAUUGGUUGAUUGGAUGUAUGUUUACUUGUUUAUCUCGCGCUUGCAUUGCAUUUGGGAGGGGGCGUGUCACCUUUAGAGCCUCACGUUGGUUCUCAACCCCUUCCCUCAAAAUAGGGGAGCACUUCAUACGUGCACGUUUACUUGCUUUUAUCCCAUUUUAUUUUGUUUUUCGUGGGCGUUUCCCACACCGCCUUGUAGGAUUAGGAUCGAUUGCCUUGGGUAGGCGGCUGGUGUGCUCUGCGCCCAUAACGCUACCUAAGGGAUCACUCGAGCCACCGAUCAAAGGCCUUGGGAGUGAUGACCCUUUGCCUUUAGGUCUGAAGGCUUGGGAGCCGAAGCUUUAUCGAGUCUAGGCAUUAAUGAACCAAACCUCAUGCAUCCAUGUUAGCAUUUGCCUAGGGUAGAGUCAGCCUCACCCUUUUUAAGCACAAUUAGGCACGAGGGAAGGGGUUCCACCCCUUUUUAUUGGCUUUUAUUGUAUUUCUUUUUCUUAAUUGCUCCCAAUAUGUUAUGUGUAUUACCAAUUGCACUAACCAUUCUUUUGUUUUCUUGGCUUGCAUUCAUAUGCCCUAGCAAUAAGAGGCCCUUUUGGCACUCUUUUAGUGACCUAUCCACUAGAUAACUCACAUGUUUAAAUUUCAGUCAUUAUACUUAAUAAAUACAUUUCAUUUUAGACCUUUUUUCCCCCGAUGCAUUAUUUAUGUCCCUUAGGUCAUAUUUGUCACAUAUUUACAUCGCUUUAAUAAAUGACAUCAUGCAUAAACCCUAGAAAGGGAAUGCCAUUUAGGGGAUCCCGUGUCAGGAAUAAGCCACCUUGUGUCUCGGAUACUUAAUCCAGUGAGACUUGCACGUUUACAUUUUGUACCAUCCAAAGGGGGUAGUGCACAAAGUAAGGUAGGAUCCGAUCAUUUUCAUAGAGUGAUCUUUGGGAUAUGAGCAUCUAAUAAUCACUUUUUGGCCAUUUUAUCAAAAAUUGGUAAAAAUUCCUUGCGUGAAGGACAGUAAUUUGAAGAAAUUCACAAAUGAUUCCUUCUAUUGAGACGAUAAAUAAAUUGAGGCCAAAAUUUGAUUUUUAGAAGCUCAUAGACUAAUGCAUCUCAAUCAUUUUGAAAUCACCAAUGGCCGGACAAUUCAACCAAUCCAUUUUACCCAUUCAUUCAAUAAAUCAUCAAUUCAUUUGAUCAAUUUACCCUUUUUAGGGUCAUCCGGUCGAUUUUGAAUAAAUCGUCAAUUCAUUUGACCAAUUUACCCUUUUUAGGGUCACCUGGUCGAUUUUCAAUAAAUCAUCAAUUCAUUUGAUCAAUUUACCCUUUUUAGGGUCACCUGGUCGAUUUUGAAUAAAUCGUCAAUUCAUUUGACCAAUUUACCCUUUUUAGGGUCAUCCGGUCGAUUUUGAAUAAAUCAUCAAUUCAUUUGACCGAUUUACCCUUUUUAGGAUCGUUCGGCCGAUUUUUGAACAAGUCACUAAUUCAAUUUCAUUCAUUUGGCCAAUUUACCUUUUUUUAGGGCAACCGAGCCGUUUUUUGACCUGUUUCCCUUCUAGGGUAAUCCGGUCGAUUUUCAAUAAAUUGUCAAUUUCAUUUGACCAAUUAGGAUUUCAAUGUCGAAUUCCAAAUUGGGAAAUCUAGUCAAUUUUGAAGAAAACCGUCCAUUGCAUCCAAUCACUUGAUCAAUUAGGGUUUUUGACCCGUAAUUCACUGAGAAAUUUUAUCAACGAAUUCCAAUCUCUUCGAUAGGAGUUCGUCAAGGUCAAACCCAUGCGUUUUGCAAAUCAAAGGUGAUCAAUCUAUUCGGACGUUGUCCUCAUUUUGACAAAUCUCUUGCCACUCCAAUGGCCAAAUUUUUCAAAUUAUUUUUCACUCAAUGAGUUGAUCAGAUCCGUCAGGUAUGGUAUAGUGCUUCCCUAGAGGAUUGCAUUUUCAUGCUAGGCCUACCCUUGGCAUAAAAAGGGUUCCCCCAUAGGACAUGCAUACCGAUUUUUUUUUAUUCUUACUUACUGACUCUGGGUAUUUUUCUUUUUGUUUUCCCCUCCCCCUGCAUUUAUAAAAAUGUUUCAAUAAGGCGAGAAUAUUCUUCUAUAUCUGAUAAUUUUGAUCCAAUAAAGCUUGAAGAUUACAAGUAUUACUUGAUUUUUAGGUAGACAUUGCCGCGAAAGCAUAAAGGGGAAAUUCUAUUUAUUUGAUUUGUUAAUACAUUUUGUUCCAAAAGAAAAGGAGACAAAAAGUGUAUGUGUUGAGCUCUUUACGAGUUUCUCUCUUCUCAUUUGUAUCAUAAUUGAUUGAGCAAUUUUGUUUCAAACUUUUUCAACAAUAAAAUUUUUUGGAUAAUUUUUGUUUUGUGUAUAUUUAUGUACAUUUCAUUCUUUAUUCUUACUCAUUGGAGAUUUCAUGAUGAUUUUUGAGAAAUAAGACCCAAUUUGAGAUUUUUCAACCUAUAGCCUGAAUUUCACAAGUGUGUGCUUCCUAAAAUCCUUACACUCGAUUGGUGUUCCAACCUGUACAAUAAGAGUGCUCAGAAAGAAAGAGAGUGAACGGUCACUCAAAAGGCCCUAUGAGAUACCUUUCUCCUUCACUUAAUUCCAAAAUAAAAUCAGUCACAUUGAUUGAUAAAUUGUAAAUUGGGGUAACUUUUGCUUGAAAAUGUUCAAGGCGUCUAAUCUGGUUCAAUCACAUCUAAGUGAAAGCAAAAAUGUGCAUUAUUCUUAUUUGUUUGGAAAAUUUGGAAUGAUACUUCAAGCAUUCGUUUCAUUACCUGUACAGAUUUUUAUCAUUUGCUCUCCCAUUUGAGCUUCUAAAAGAAUAAUUUCGUUUCAAAUAAGGGUCUUAAUGAUCACUACCCGUCAUUGAAAAAUUUUCAAAUAUCAAAAGAAGAAUGGGUUUUCAAUGACCAUUUCGCUACUUCGGUUGUCAUGAGGUAUAAGAAUGAUACUUUGGCCGUCAGUUCUACAAUCUAAACACUGAUCAUCCCUUGCAUCCUCGUUUGAGCUAAAUUGGUGGUUCUUUUCGAGUGCACAUAUGAUCGCACCCCACAUUGGGGAAGGAGAUUGGGAAAUUUUGAAAAAAGGGAAAAGAAAAGGGGAAAAGCAAAAAAUGCUAGAAUAAGGAGGGAACCGCAAAUUUGGGGAAUUUGAUUCCACUUGGGUUCCAAUUUUGAAAAAAAAAAAGAAAAGAAAAAGAAGAAAACAAGUUCUAUCCGGUGGAUCACUUAUGUUUCAUAGACAUGAAUGAGCAAGGGUCUUCCUCAGUCAGUUAAUUCAGAUACAUGCCAAAAAUUUCCCAUUAAUGAAAAUUUCUUUUCAGAGUUAAUGUAAGGAACGGAAUACAAGUCAGGCCAUCUUCUUUUCCGAUCAAGCAUCUAUCCCUAGUUAUCCCUUUUGAGCAUUCAGAAUGAAAUACUUCGUUUGGCAACCCCUGAGAAUCGCAAACCCCACACUGGGGCAAGUUGGUUUGAAAAAGGAAAAUUUCAAGAAGCGGAAAAGUGAAAAGCCACAAAAUCAAAAGGCAAAGGAAGAAAAGAGAACCUCAGUUCAAAAAUAAACUGGGGCAAAUUUUGUGAAAGUUCGAAAAAAUGGCCGAAGGCCGAAAAAUCAAAAGAAAGAAAAUAAAAGUGAAAAAGCCUCAAUUGAGCAAAAACUGGGGCAAAUUCUGAUUUUACCCUAAAAUAGGGUUGACGCAACAAUGCGAUUUCAGAUUCUUCAAACCACUUUUGAAAUCCGCUUUCAAGCCUUAACUUUUCUAAGCACCCCACCUGACCCCAUUACAAAAGCCAAAAGUCCUGACUUCUGUUCUUUGCAAUGGCCCUGUCAAGAAAAUUUCUGAUGCCGGAAAAUUUUAGCUGUAUUGCUGAAUUGCUUGAGUAUGAGGUUGGCGCUACUCAUGUGAAAACCCAUCAGCUCGAGGGAAAAGAAAAGAGGCAAAAAGCAAAGCAAGAAAAGUAAAUGCAAGGAAAAUGCAAAAAGACUUGACGCUGAAGUCCCUGGGGAAUGAUGAGAAAAUCCAAACAAAGUCUGAAAUCUUUUGAGUUCAAAUAGGGGCAAUUUUGGAAAAAUGUGAUCUUCGGUGCAAUGUCCUUGAAAGUUUUAUUCUUUAGCUAUCGUUUUUCAAGCCAAAUUACAAGCUAAGAAAGUCCAUCGUUGACUUAUUCCUUCAUGACAAUCCAAAGUGAGGAUCAUACUCAUAAGAAAUUCAUCAAAUCAUUUGUGAUCAUAAGGGUAUAACCCGUUUCCACAUGUUUAGCUAUCACUUCUGUCCAUACGUUACAAGCCUAGAAAGCUGGUAUGUUGACUAAGUUUUCUUGAAAAAUAAGGGUGACAAACUCUUUGCUUUCACUAAGAUGUGACAUUGAAUGGAUUACAUACAAUUGGGGCACAAAAAUGAGACAGAUUCUGACCUCUCAUUUUCCUUCAGCCACUUCCAAAUCAAAAAUAAAGUCACUUGAUUGGUCCUGAAAAAUGAGCCAACCAGAAGUGGUGACCCGUUACCCUAAACACCAAUGCUAAAAGUGAGGAAGAAAUCUUCUUGAAUUUGGUGUUACUUCGAGGAAUUCAUCAUGAAAUUUCUGCAUGAGUUUCAAACUUGACGUUUAAAGUUUCUUCACAUUGUUGUAUAUGUGCACUCUUUUCUAAAUUUUAGAAAGUGCGGUUUUUCUUUGUUCAAAUCAAUGGGAAAUCAUCUGAACAAAUUUUUGCAAUUAAGGGAGCCCACACUGGGGCAAAAAUUUUAUUUGUGAGAUUUCAUGAAAUAAGCCCAUACUGGGGCAAAUUUUUUGUAAUACAUUUGAGAUUUGUGUCCAAAAAUCAAAUAAUAACAUUUUUCGAAACAAUCCCGCUGCUCUUUUCCUGGAAUUUAAGUGCAUGUCAUACUUUGAUGAACCCCUUGUACAGGUAUUCAUGAUUCAAAAUGACGAAAGGCAUCCAGUAAGGCGGAAGGCCGAUACUGCAAAGAGAAGCAAGAAGAAGGAGGAAAAAUGGACACUACACUUGGGGCAAAUUAUUUUUUUAAAAUUUUUGAAAAAAGGGAAAAAAGAAGGAAAAAAGAAAAAAAGAGAAAAAACCAAAAAUCAAAUCAAAAAGUCAAAAAUCAAGUUCAAAUUCUUGUUUCUUGAAAAAUCAAAUUUGAUUUCUUGUGGGCGAAGCUCCAAUGCACGCCGCGCAUCAUUCUGUUCCCCCCUUCUCUUGACAUUCCAAAUCAAGUUGGGCCUGGAUUUCGUGCCACCAACAUCAUUUUAUCACGUUGGGCCUGGACUUGGUGCCGCCAACAUCACUUUAUCACGUUGGGCCUGGACUUGGUGCCGCCAACAUCACUUUAUCACGUUGGGCCUGGACUUGGUGCCGCCAACUUCACUUUAUCACGUUGGGCCUGGAUUUGGUGCCGCCAACAUCACUUUAUCACGUUGGGCCUGGACUUGGUGCCGCCAACUUCACUUUAUCACGUUGGGCCUGGACUUGGUGCCGCCAACAUCACUUUAUCACGUUGGGCUUGGUUUUCGUGCCACCAACUUCGCUUUGUCACGUUGGGCUUGGAUUUAGUGCCACCAACAUUACAAAAGUCACAUUGGGACCGGGUUUUAUCCCGCCAAUCUCGGCAGGACCGGGUCUAAUCCCGCUGACCGCUUACUUCGGCAGGACCGGGUCUAAUCCCGCUGACCGCUUACUUCGGCAGGACCGGGUCUAAUCCCGCUGACCGCUCACCUCGGCAGGACCGGGUCUAAUCCCGCUGACCGCUUACUUCGGCAGGACCGGGUCUAAUCCCGCUGACCGCUCACCUCGGCAGGACCGGGUUUUAUCCCGCUGACCGUCCACACCCCGUCGGCCUCAGAUGUUAUCCCACCGACCAAUUCAUCACACUGGGGCAAAUUUUUUAGAUAAUUUUUCAAACAAGUCCUAUACAGUUCUCUAUUUAAUUUUCUGUUCGGGUCUAUCCCAUGGGUCUGUCCCAUCUACAUUUUUAUCCGAGUCUAUCGCAUUUACAUUCCUGUCCGGGUCUAUCCCGUUUACAAUUCUGUUCAGGCCAGUCCCAUGUUUGAAAUUCCUUGUUUAGGUCAGCCCUCCGAAUAGGGGCAACCGAAUGGUACAGGUAAGCAUUUGGUGUCUACUUCUUUGUCUCAAGUUUUUUCAAAACUCAGACAAAGAGGGGCAAACUGUAGACACCAAAAAUUUCAUCGAUUCAGUUUUAGCUUUAUUCAUUCAAUUUUGACUUCCUUUGAUUCAAUUUUUAGUUUUAUUAUUAUUAUUUAUUCUUGUCUCAUAUUUAUUAUUUUUAAUUGAUUGGAGGUUGCAAAUGGUAAUUGAUGUUCAUUCUUAUUUUAAAUGCAUUAAAAUUCAUCAUUUUCUUUUUAAAGCAAUUUUACACUAAAUUUUAGGAAAAUCCCGAAUAAAGAUCCAUUUUAUCUUUUUAAAAUUUGAUUUUUUCUUGCUAAGGCAUUUUGCAAGGUAAUUUUUAAAAAUUAAGCAUGUUAAACAAGUGUGUCAAUUGCAUGUUGAACAAGUGUGCAAAUAAGCAUUAGACAAGUGGUUGAGGAAUGGUAGGACAAGUGUAUAGGGGGUAGCUGUCAAGGACACUUGGGGGGUUUUUUGGGGGGCAUCGGAAAAAAAAGGAAGAAAAAACCCUCGAAGAGGCUUGAAAACAGGGGGAAGAGAAAAGAGCUAAAAACAGGGAGGGGGCUUCGGAGGAAAGGGGAGAGGAAAAACGAAAUCGAAAAAGGAGGGGAGAGUAGGGAAAAAUCUGGGGAGAGUCUGUGGGCUAAGAAAAACAGCGGAGAGAUAGCGGAAAAAAAGGAGAAAAAGAACGGCUGAGGGGAAGGCUAAAAAUCUGAAAAGAGAAGAAGGCUUCGGCUGGGAGAAGCUGGAGUGGAAAAAAUAGAAAAAGGGAGAACGGCUGCGGUUGAGGGCCGAGAGAGUGGAGAGCCGAGGAGGAAAAAUCAGAAAAGGAGGAGAAAAAUCAAGGGCGGCGGAUGAAGGGAAAAGCUGGGAAAAUUAGAAACAGAGAAAGAGAGGAUAGCAGCGGACAAAGAGCUUGCGACUGAGGAAGCAGAGCAGCUGGAACUGCCGUUCGCGGGAAGCUGUUGCCGCCCUCUUCCGUCACGCGCGACGCCAGCUUCAUCGCUUCUUCCAUCAUAGUUCAAGCUCCGCCCUCUGCCGGCACAAACAAGUGGCCAACCGCCCGCCCAAGCAACCAAAUCCGAGAUCAGCACCCGCAAAAUUUUACCAAGAAACAAACGGUAAGCCACCAUCAUCCUUCAAAUUUCAGUUUUCAUGUAAGUUUUCGAAGCGUGUUUUAUUUUUCACGUUGUGGCUUGUAGCCAUUUCUCUGUUGAAUUAUUCACUAAUUGGAAGUAUGUAUGCUUUGAAUGUCGAUUGGACUGGAGUUUUCUUGCAUUUGAUGAAAUUUUGGGUGCUGAUUCAUGUCAAUUGAGCGAGAAAUUGGUGAAGUUUUUUAAUGGCUGUUUGUUGUUCGACAGAAUGCUUCAAUGAAAGUUCGGCCUGAAGAAUGGAUUAAUUUCUGAUUUAUAUACGUUCGACUGUUUCAUGCUUGUCAAAAUAAUUGAUUCGAAUGGGUUUGUUUGGGCGUCCGUUUGUUUUGGCAAUCUGCUCCGCUUCUCGUUUGUUUGGUGUUCCUCUUGUAUGGAUUUAAAUUCAUGACAUAAAAUGGCGUGCGAGGGGAUUCAUGUGAGAGUCAUUUGUUUUGCUUUUGUUUUGUUUUGUUGAUUGGAGUCCGAAGUUGAAUUUUCUGGUUGCAAAGAGGAAUGAAAUAGCAGCGAACGUUGAGCCAAUUUGGGAAGAAGAGGAUUGCUUGAUUAAAUUCAUGAUUCCAGUCCCUCAAUUUCCCUUUCCAUUAUGAUUUAACCCCAGAAUUUUAGGACUUCAUAAUUUUUCCUCCAACACCUUCAUAAGUCCUUCAAUUAGGUCCCUGCUCUUGUUGCAUUUUAACCCCUCAGCUUCCCCUUGUUCUGAUAUGACCCGAAAAGUGGAAAAAGUGCGUUUGUUUCUCCCUUCUAGAUUUAAAUCAUCUUCUAAUAAGCAUGAAUAGUCCUUUUACUAGAUUAAUUCUUGUUUGUAGGUUCUAAUUGUGGUUCAAUAAUUUAUUUUGAUUUUAUCAUGUUGGGUUUAAUGAAACAAGUGCCUUGGGCUAAGAGGUUAUUUUUGUUUGGGUUUAAGAAAGUCGUUUUAGUUUAUUUUGUUUGGUUUUUUGGUUCGGGCUAGAGGGUCAAGGCCCAUCUAUUUGGUUGGCUAAUUUUUGGGCCAGGAUAUUAUACUAGCCCACUUGUUUUCCUUGGACUUUCGAUUGGGCCAAGUUAUCUUGGCCCAAGAAAGGUGAAGAUGGCCCAUUCCCUUUUUGUUUUGGAUUUUCGGUUGGGCUUGUAAGGCUUUGGCCCAAACAAAUAAAGGAAAUGGCCCAAUGGCUUGGUCCAUUAAGAAACCAGAAAACGAUUUUGCAAAUCAGUCCCUGAAUUUCUCCCUAAUUGUAUUGUGGCCCUGGACAUUUUCAACUUCUUUCAAUUCGGUCCUUGCUUUAAUUGCAAAUAGGUCCCUGAACUUUAUUUUUCUUUAAUUUUGACCUCCAAACUUUGUCAAUCUUUGCAAUCAGGUCCUUUCUUCUCUUGACUUCUUAAAUGUGAAUUGUCGACAUGAUUUAAUUGAUUCAAAUUCAUGCUUAUUUUUUAUCCUUUGUGAUUAUUUGCCAAAUAAAUUGGUACCUUGACCUUUUUAUUGUUUUGAAGCUAAUAUCUCAUUUACUCGAUUUCCGUUGCGAGGGAGGUAACUUCUAUAUUUUUGAGUUUAUUUUUUCCUACGUGCUCCUACGUGUUAUGUGAAUAUGCCUGUCUACUUUGCUUUCUUUGCCUUUCUUUAAUUCUUUUCAUUUUUUUUUACUUACUUUUGCUUUUUAUUUAAGUUAUUCAUUAUGGGGUAUGUGUACACCUCUUGGCUUGUAAUAGUUAGGGAUUUAAUUAUUUUAUUCUUUUCCCCCUUUUAGAUUGUAGUGGGGUCUCCCUAAUGUAAUAGAUAGGGUUUGGAGGAGCAUUCAAUGAAGACCUAUCGAAGACUUGUGCCUAGCUAGCAAAUGUAAUAGUUAGGGCUUUAAUUGUCUCAUGUGCCUUGCAUGCUUAGUUGCUACGUGUUAAUUUGCUUUGCUAGGGCCUUGCAUCUAGUCGAGCAUGCAAAAUGUUAUGUGCUAUGUGUUUAUAAGUGUUUGGCAUGUCUACUCGCUUUCCAUAGCCUGAAUAAAUGUGAUGGAUGAAUGUACGUCACCACACUAGUCCAAUGCUAGUUGUGGCUCAUUAUUUCAUUAGGAAUUCAUAGAAAGGGCUAGUCCAACGCUAGACCCAAUAGGAUUUUUCCUUUGUUUUUCAUUAAUGCAUUAUUUGCCUGUUCACUACAUAUCAUGCAUUUUUCCUUAGUUUUAUCAUCUGGCAUGCUCCUCGAUUCCCCUUUCCCCUCACUUUAGGAUUUUUGCAUUUCAUGCUAGUUAUAGGGUUCAUUUGCCUGAAGAGUCCCCUUCUGAUAAGGGAAACGAGCGAGUGUGGCUACUCGAUAGCCUUAGCACGCUAGUUUCGCCUUCUAAUCAAAGGGAAGAUUAAGUCACAAAGUUAGGACUCCCCGUUCCCGUCUUGAUGCAUUCCUAUAGGAUUCAUGCAUUCUAUUCAUUCACUAUCACAUACACUUACUUUAUAUUCUAACCCUUUUUCCACAUUCUCACUUCACACUACUUUUACACGUUUUCAUUUAACUACUCACACUCUAUGCCAUAUCACUCGCACACAUGCACUUUAUAUUAUUUUCACAUUAUCAUUCUUUACUCACCUUACCUUGUAAAUACAUUUGCACACCUCCACUUUUCUCACUUCACAUAAACUUACAUUUUCACAUGACAUGCACCCCAUUCAUUUUUACGUCAUUUAGGAUUACGUGUGACCUCUCCAAAGGAUCAUUAUUGGGCUUCACAAUUAAUGUGAUUGGCACCACUCAACCUUUGAAGAGAAAUUUCCCCCAAUACCCCUAGGUCUAGGGUUUUGCAUUCAUAUAGACAUAUCCAACACGCGAUACAUACCUUGGGUAGAAAAAUUAGGAAAAAUUGGUUUAAGUCACGCAACUAGCCUUGGCUAGGUCGAAGGGGUGCCUUGGAUUUUUUAUCCUUGCCUUCCCCUUCGUCAAAUGUGACCCCCGAUCCCUCUUUUUGGUUACGUAGACCCAAAAGUUCUUUAAAAGGGUUUAUUUACUUUUUUUAUUCAAAAACAAAAAACCAUUUUUUGGGUGACUUGGUACACCCUAACCCUAUACCAAGUGGCGACUCCAUUUUUGAUACAAAAAACCCUUUUUGAACUUUAUAUGGCCAAACCGUCGCAUUAUCAAGUCCCAUGGCCUUUUACUUUUCAUUUACACACGUUCACAUUCCAUUACACCACUCACAUCUCACACCACACACACACCACAACUCAUCAUCUUCGAAAAGUGGGGCGCGACAGUGCAAAAAUAAUUAUUUUCUCUGAUCAUGCAGCCUUGAGGUACUUGUUAGUGAAGAAGGAUGCAAAACCAAGGCUCAUAAGGUGGGUUUUACUUCUGUAAGAGUUCAAUUUAGAGAUUAAGGAUAAGAGUGGGGCCGAGAACUUGAUGGCUGAUUAUUUGAGGCGUUUUCUUACGAAUAAGGAAGAUCUGUCAUUGAGAGAAUUGUUUUUCGAGGAGCAGUUACUAGCCAUUAAUUCGUCAGUACCUUGGUAUACUGAUGUUGUCAAUUUUUUGGUAACAAAUCAAUUACCUGCAGAUUGACCAAAGGCUAAGAGAGAUAAAUUGAGAAGUGAUGCCAAAUACUAUAUUUGGGAUGGCCCUUACCUGUGGAGGCAAUGCUCGGAUCAAGUGAUAAGAAGGUGUGUAAGUGCAGGUGAGUUCCAUUCUAUUUUAACUUUUUGUCAUUCAUUUGUACGUGGAGGGCACUUUAGACCAAAGCGAACAGCUCGUAAGGUGUUGGAGAGUGGUUUUUAUUGGCUUACUCUGUUUAAGGAUGCAUAUUUAUUUUGUAAAUCUUGUGAUAGGUGUCAAAGGGUGGGGAAUAUUUUUCGUAGAGACCAAAUGAUUCAAACUCGCAUGUUGUUUGUUGAAAUUUUUUAUGUCUGUGGUAUAGAUUUCAUGGGUCCCUUUCCCUCGUCUUUUGGUUUCUUAUACAUUUUACUUUGCUGUCGAUUAUAUUUCUAAAUGGAUGGAGGCAAAGGUCACCCGGACUAAUGAUUCGAGAGUGGUUGCAGAAUUUAUAAAGUCUAACAUUUUUUGUCCGCUUUGGAAUGCCUAGAGCUGUAGUUAGUGACAGGAGCACUCAUUUUUGCAAUAAAACGAUCGUUGCCUUGUUCCGUAAAUAUGGCGUACUCCACCAAAUAUCCACACCCUAUCAUCCGCAGACGAAUGGUUAGGCCGAAGUGUCGAAUAGGGAGAUUAAGUCAAUUUUGGAGAAGAUGGGGUGGCCUGAUAGAAAGGAUUGGAACUUGAAGUUGGAAGAUGCUCUAUGGGCUUACCGCACCGUGUAUAAAAUACCAAUUGGAACGUCCCCAUACAGAUUAGUCUUCGGGAAGCCGUGCCACCUCCCAAUAGAAUUUGAACACAAGAAAUUUUGGGCAAUUGAGCGGUGCAACAUGGACCUUGUGGAUGCCGGGGGACAUAGAAAGCUCCAAUUACAAGAGUUGGAAGAAUUAAGGAAUGAAGUCUAUGAGAACGCAACAAUUUAUAAAGAGAAGAGCAAAGUCUUUCACGACUAACAAGUCUCAAGGAAGUCAUUUGUAGUAAGGCAAAACGUCCCCCUAUAUCACUCGAGAUUUAAGUUUUUUUCCGGUAAGUUGCGUUCGCGUUGGAUUGGUUCAUUUGUCAUUUCUAAUAUUUUUCAUUAUGGUGCAGUGGAAAUCCAAAGUUUGAAAAUUGAGAAGAAGUUUGUGGUAUAUGGUCAACAUUUUAAACCCUAUUAUGAGAGGUUUAAUAGUGAGCAAGUGGAUGUCAUAUAUGUUGAUGAUCCAAAUUGUGUGGCUUAACUAGCUAUUACUGUGUCUAGCCAAAAACAUUAAAGAAAGACGCUACUUGGAAGGCAAUCCAAGGAUUUCAAUUGUGUUUUAUUUCAUAUUUGUGUAUUCAAGAUCAGUGGAUUUAGGUUCCUAUUGACAAACAAUCUGUAUUGUACGUCAUGGGUGUUUCUGUGCAGUUUUAUUCUAGGUUGGGGGCACAAAUUUGUGGGCAAGAGACUUCAUGUUACAAGGCGUGCUCGCGCCUUGUAUUCACCGCACAUGGACAUUUGUAAAAUUUGGUGAACAGAGGACUUACACCCCCAAGGCAUGCCCACGCCGCACAGCAGAUCGUGUCGAACAUAUUACAAUGGGAUGGGCAGACAGAGUCAAACGUGACCAGGACCUUCUCUAACCCCACUUUUCUACUUUUCUCUUUUCUUGUCUUGACUGGUCUUUUCAUUUUUUUUUGUCUUAGCCUCCCCUAGUUUUCUCCCAUCUUUGCUGAAAUCUCAGAGGCCACCGCCACUGCACACCUGCUCCGUUGAUGCCGCUGUCUCCACUAUCUGCGGUCAAGCUCCGGCCGCCAUCAUGCACGCUGUCCGGGCGCACAUCGGCAUCGCCAUAUGCGCCUCGCCGACGCUGCUCAUGCACGUCUCAUGCCGCACGCCAACGCCUCCGUACUUCCCUUCCUCGCCGUAGCGCGCCACCACCGUAGGCGCCAUCAGCUCUACCUAGGGCGCCACACCAAUCAUCGACCGCUCGCGCCCCGCGAUAUCUCACUGUUCCCCGCCGUCGCGACUGCUGCCCUCCGCCAUCGUCGUCAUUGAGGCUCCACUUCUUCCUCUCUGUGCACCACCAACGCUUGCUCCUUCCACGCCACCGCGCCGACCGCCGACUCACCCCUGACGCCCUUGCAGUCGUACCGACCGUCGCUUCCACCGGGGUCCCCUCCAGCAUGACAAAGUGGUACCCCUAAUUCAUUUCUUGCCAUUACUGCUUAAAAUCUGAAAUUGUUUCUAUGCGAUAUUACUCUAUUGUUUGAGCUGAGCUUGCUGAACCUCUGAGACUUUCAUAUGUGUUCUUUGCUUCGCGGUUGAAUUGCUGUGAUUGGUUGUUGGUGUUGGUGUAGAAUUGUUGUGGGGUGCUGAGGUUGUUGUUGUUUAUUUUGCUUUCGAAUUGGUUGUCGAGGGUUUGAUAGGUGAAGCACGUGGCGCAGUAUCAAUUCUGGUUUAAUGUUGAGUGCAUUGUUGACCAGUUAUUUUAGGAAUCUGUUUGUCUUUUUGCCUUGUUGUUGUGGUGGUGGGGUAAUUAUAUUUUUCUUUGCUAUUGGACUGUUGACUGUUGAGUGACACCUAUUGACUGUGGUCCCCUGUCCCCAUUUGGUGGUUGCUUCACUGUUUCUGUGCUUAUUCGUAUUUGUCCUGUGGCCUCCAAAUGCCUUCGAAAAAGCGCGUGUUCAGACACCCACUUCAUCUGGUCCAUCUAAGUCCCAACCUCGUAAGAGGCGAGCCCAAUUCAACCCCCCACUCGAUCCCGUUUAGGUCUCUCUAAAAGUACUAUAUCUCCUGGGACAUGGGGGGAACCUACCACUAACCUUACACAGGAACAAAAGGACCGAUUGACUAGCUUGAUGCCACGUCCUUUUGCUCCGUGUAAAUGUUUCCAUGCCCCAACCCUGGAUCAUUUGCAAAUUGCACGAGAAGUUGAACAGUUGUUCUCAGCAAUUGGUUGGCAGUGGUAUCUGGUCAUCGACUAUCCUACAUUUGAGGAGCUAUGUUAUGAAUUCUACUCCACUUUUGAGUUCAAUAAAAAUGAAUUCAUCACUUUGGAUGAGCGGGGGUGAUUACAUUUAGAUUAAGGGGUACCCCACAAGAUUUGUCCAUUAAUGACUUUAAUCUGAUUUUGGGGUUUUUCAGUGAAGAGACCCUUUCCUCCGGGACGUAUAUCAACAGUGCGUGUGAUUAUACCAGACCCUUUGCUAGUGAAUAUAUUGACAUAUGGAGGGAGUAGUUCACGGACCCUCAACUCUAUGAUCCGAGUCAGUCCAAGGCCUCUCAUCUUAAGAAUCCGAUCUUGAAGGUUAUCCACAGGUUCUUGGCCUACAAUUUCUCGGGUCAGAAGAACUCUUCCGGCACCCUUGCCAAGGUUGAAUUCUAUUUUCUUUGGUGUAUGCGCAACAAAGUACAUGUCGACUUUGGGUGUUGGGUGACCACUCAAAUGCAAUCCGUCAUUCAAAAGCGACAUAAGUAGGUGAUUAUGGAUUCGCUCAUUACUCACUUGGCCGUUCGGUUGGGAUUGCUUGACCUCGACAAAGAACACAAGUUCGCUCUAACUUGCGAGAUUGAGCCAUUGGAUUUGCGUAGCUUAGAAAGGAUGGGGGUUAUUUUCAAAGUAGGAGAUGUAUAUCAGAUGACGCUUCCUGGCGAUGGCAGGCUACAACCCCGGGUUCCUCCUACUAUUCCCCCUACUGGUUCACCAACCCGCACAGAUCAAGUGGGUCCGUCCUCCUACCAUGCUCCCCCUGCUUGGGAUUUCCAAUACCGUGCCCUCCAAGAUUCUAUUCGUGAACUAGGCGAGCUAGUUGUGGGACUGGAUGGCCGUCUUGCAGCGUUGCAAGUUUUUUCCCGUAUUCAGACAAAGAAUCAGGCAGCUUUCUUUGCUUAGAUUGGAUUCUAGCUGCCUCAUCCUCCUCCCCCUUAGUGUUUCGCUGCGUCGUCUCGGCUGUCAGGGAAGUUUCACCCCUUUACACUUACACACUAUUUAUUUUUGCUACAUUGAAGACAAUGUCGAUUUUAGGUGUGGGAGGGAUGGUUUCUAUUAUUUCUUUUUUGCUUGAAAAGAGAAAAAAAAGAAAUAAAAAAAAGAAAAAGAAAGAGAGGAAAAAAUGAAACAAAAAAAAAAGUAUAGUUAGUUGACUUCUUUAGUUCUAUAUUUGUUAAUUGCUAGAGCAUGUUGCUAUGAUGGAUUGCACAAUCAAGGUGCACGUGUAUGUAUCAUUUAUGCUAACUAUGUACUCUACUUUUCCUAGCCAAUGUAGCUGAGUGAUGAAUAUGCUGGACUUGACCCAUUCUUGAAACUUUUGGGAGUUUUUGAGCAGUGCACGAGCACAUUACUCUCGUUUGCUUCGUUUGUGUUGUUGAGUGGGUAUCACACAUGGUAUUAACAUUCUAGAACUUGCUAUUUUAUACAUGUCAAAGCCACAUCUUGUUGAACUGGAUGCAUUUGAAAUGAUAAAGGCAUUUAGGAUUUAACUUUCUUUAAUUUUCUACAAACCAUACCUUCAUCUUGUCUCCCAAUAGUGAAUCAAUUUGAGCUUUUAUUCUUCUCCUUUGUUUGUUAGCCGUGUUUGAUAACCCAGGACUUUUUUUUUUGACUUUCUUGUCCAACCUUGUGUCGUUAAGAGAUGUCUGAAUUUCAUUGUUUGUGCAAGGCAAAUAAAUUUAGGGUCGCAAGUGUUGUUAGAAUAGAAGUUGUAUGGUGUUGGUUCUGUGCAUCUGAGAUCGAAAAGAAAAAGAAAAAAAAGACGAGAAAAAGAGAAAAAAGAAGGAAAAAAAUGUCUACAAACUGGUGAGCAUGGGAUUCUGCUUACAGGGCGUGCCAUGCCUUGCAAGACGCCCUUUCAAAAAAAAACAGAAAGAGAGAGAAAAGAGUUUCGACACUUGCGCAGUUGGUAUAGCAAAUGGAAAUGCCUUGCUUGUGGAAGUUCUCCAGUAAAGCGUUGAGGUUAUGUAGUGGAUAUCGGACAUUAUCUUGACACAGUGCACCCUAUCUUUACCUUCUUAUCCCGCUUUGUUGGCCUAAUCAGCAACAUCCCUCAGAUUCCGGCUCGAAGGGACUAACCGCCCAACUCGUGGCACCCAGGGGUGCAGCCCCUCAUGCUGGCCAAGCGUGGUACGAUGCUUUUCGCUGCUAUUGUGGUUAAGGAAAUAAAGUUACAUCUUCACUAACAGCUAUAGCUUUUGGUGCAAUGGUAAGCGCUUGAUCCUGACAAGUGGUAUCGGAGCGAGGUCGCAGGUUCGAGUCUCCCUGGUUAUUGUUGGGGGAGGAAAUGUUGGCCUAAUCAGCAACAUUCCUCAGAUCCCGGCUCGAAGGGACAGCCCGUGGCACCCAGGGAUACAGUCCCUCAUGCUGGCCGAGCGUGGUACGGUGCUUUGCGCUGCCAUUGUGGUUAAGGAAAUAAAGUUGCGCUUUCACUAAUAGCUAUAACUUUUGGUGCAAUGGUAAGCGCUUGAUCCUGACACGCUUUUCAUCCAAGCCCCAUUACAACCCUAUUAAAGUCCCUUUGAUUUAUGUAUUGAGUUCAUUUUUGAAUGGUAGAGAUGUGAUAAAUGUGCAAGCCUAUGGUAAUGUCAUUCCGUGGUGUUGAUUUGAGCGUUCCUGGUAUCUAUACAUUUUCUUGAAAGUGAUGAGUAUUACUGCUCAUACUCUUUGGAUAACUACCUGUCCGGUGUGCUCUAACUUUGGCGACAUUGUCAGGAAUGCAGGAUGCUUGUGUUAGUGUAGAUCACCGCAUAGUAGUUGCUAUUGUGAUUGAACUUCUGAUCUUCGAAAUGCUUGAGAACAAGCAUUGCCUAGGUGUGGAGGGAUUUGAUAGAGCAAUGUUUGGGCAUCUUAUGUGCUGUUAUGUGGUCAUAAUUUUGGCUACUUAUUAUGCUAAAUAUUGAAAUUUUGCUCAUAUUUGAUAUUUGUGUAAAUUAUAGGCGGUUGGUGUCAAAAAGUGUCUCUGAAGGUGAAUUUCCACAAGACUUUUUAUUUCAGGGUGUGCCCACGCCAGAAACUGUAGAAGAGACGCCUCAAAGUCAGACCGCGGGACUAACUAACUAACUAAACUCAUCCUUAUUCCUGCGGGAUGCGGUUGGAAGUGCGUCAAAACAAAAAGACGGCAAUUUCCAGCGAAUUUGUGAUAGGGUAUUAAUUGUUAGUAAUUUUAUUGUUAAUUUUUUCCUUUGUCCUUACCAAAUAUUGUUUUAAAUUGUUAAUAUAUACUUGUAUUUGGUAUUUGGACCUAUCUACAGGAAGUGGAACUAAAAAGUGCUAAAAAGGGGGGACCUUUUGGAGAGAAUUGCUCCACACGUGGGAGACUUCAAAAAGCUUCACGAACCUGGCCCACAGGAUACUAAGCAACGGACUUCCUUUUCUUUUUGCUGAUAAAGAGUUGCUGACUAGGAGUCUUCCUAUCAAAAGGAAACGAAAAAAGUGGAAUUCGGAGAGCUUUCUUUUUGUACCUUUUCUUUCAAUUCGGCAGGGACAACGUAGGGAGCAUUAGUCAUUGUUUAAGAGACAGUUUAGUUUUCUUUCUUUUCUUUUUCAUGCGUAAGUCUUGUUCGAUAAAAGUCUCGACUGGAGAAAUAUCGUUUAUUUCUUGAUUAUCUAGUGAAAAACGUGAUGCCUUUGCAAUUAAUUAAUUUGCGUGGAGAUUUACUGAUGCGGCGUGGUUAAGUUUUUCAUCUAGUCAAGGAUCAAUGCGACAAUGCAAUCCCUAAUAUCCGUGAGAUCGAAUUAAUUUUCAUGCAUUCCUUAAUUUGUUAAUAUUUGCACGUUGUCUGCUUGAAUUUUCAUGGGAUUAUUUUGUUAAUUGAAUGUCAAGGGCCCGAUGUUCAAUGCGACUUAUUAAUCUCCUGUCAAAUUAGUUAAUUAAAUCUGUAAUUAUUUAAAUUGAUUGAUAUCAGUGGCAACUAACGUUUUUAUACACUAGGGGAGCGUUCAAUCUGUUUCAAAUAACUCUCGUAGCAUGUUAUUGAUUAGGGUUAGACUUUUCUAGUUUUUAAUGCAAUUAGAGAAUUAAAUCCUAUGAUCAUACCUAGGAGUGUUUCCGGGUUAGGGGUAAUCAACGGUCGUACCUUGGUUGUCAAUAAAUUAAGGAAAAGCUGGUCGUCAGAACUUAUUGGCGACUAUAACUAACCUGUUAAUAAAAUUAAGUAAGCCUCCCUUGCAUCAAUAAUCGGAUGAAUGGACUGUGUCGGUGAAGUUGUAUCCUUGGCUCGAACUUGUCUAUUAUUUAUUUAAUUCCUAUCUACAUUCGUGUUAGUUAAUCGUUUACUUUUGGUUGAAUUGCUUAAUUAUUUUUAGUUUCAUUCCGAUAAAAUCCCCCAUUGUUAACUUGAACUUUAGUAAGAAACGAAUUACUCCCAAUCUCUGAGAAUACGACCCUACUUGCCCUGUUUUCAAAGCAAUAAUUAUUUGUGAAUAAGCAAUCCCAUUCUGGUAUAUCGGGUCAAGCAAACUUUUUGGAAACAGGGUGAAUCAAGUAACCUAUUGCACACCUAGAGUCCCUACUCCAGUACUUAGAAUUGGAUUUUGAUUACUCCGAUUGGCAACUAGGUUUAUUUUUAUUAUUGCGCAGGUUCGGCCCUUGUCAAUUUUUGGCGCCGUUGCCGGGGACUGGCAUUAAUUAUUUGUUUCUUUUUAAGUUCAAUUUUGUUCUAAUUUUCUGAUAUUUUUCUAGUUUAUGCCUCGUUCUUCUUGGACAGACGAAUUAAUUUUUGACCCUGAAGUAGAGAAGACCGCGCGUAAAAAGAGCAAAGAGACAAGACAGCUUAGAGAGGAGUUGUCCAGUGUUGCACCUGAGGGACUUGAUCCAAAGGUUGAGUCAACAAAUUCGCAUGGUGAUAAUUCGAGUGAUUCAGACCAAGAGGAAGUCACCAUGGCGAAUGCACGAACAUUAAGGGGGUUAGCUGCCCCAAAUUUAAAUCAACAACCCUUAUGCAUUACUUUUCCGCAUUUAAAUGAUAACACAUCUUUCGAGUUAAAAUCUGGCCUGAUUCAUCUUUUACCAUCUUUUCAUGACUUACCAGGUGAGGAGCCCUACAAGCACUUGCAAGAGUUCAAUGUCGUUUGCAACAGUAUGAAGCCCUCGGAAAUUACAGAAGAGUAGAUAAAAAUGAGGGUCUUUCCCUUCUCUUUGAAGGACUCCGAGAAAAAUUGAAUGUACUACCUACAACCAGGUAGUAUCACCACGUGGGACCAGCUGAAAAAAAAAUUCUUGGACAAAUACUUUUCGGCGUCUCGAGCUGCAAGUCUAAGGAAGGAGAUAUGCGGUAUCAAACAACACCCAGGCGAGUCUCUCUAUGAGUACUGUGAGAGGUUUAAGAAGCUGUGCAUCAAAUGCCCUGAGCAUUAGAUAAGUGAGCAACUGCUCAUCCAAUAUUUCUAUGAGGGGCUACUCUUCAGGGACAGAAGUAUAAUCGAUAUUGCAAGUGGAGGGGCAUUGGUGAACAAGAUUCCUCGAGAAGCAUGGGAGUUGAUUAAAGGGAUGGCUGAGAAUUCACAGCAGUUUGGUUCAAGAGAGGACAUCCCGACGCGUAGGGUGAAUGAGGUAGAAACAUCCUCUAUCCAACAAUAGCUCUUCGAAUUGACAUCUUUUGUACUACAACUAGCUGUGAAAAAUGCUCCACAAGCCAAAGUAUGUGGAGUAUGCACUGCUUUGGGUCAUUUUAUGGAGAUGUGUCCACUAGUUCAAGAAGAAAGUGCAGAGCAAGUGAACAUGACUGGUCACGCGCCCGCGCCAAGAAGGCCAUAUAACCCGUGUUCGAAUACGUACAAUCCGGGUUGGAGAGAUCACCCUAACUUUAGUUAUAGAGGAAAUAGGCAGUCCAAUUUUGCACCAAAUAGAGAGCAAGGGCAUCAACAGCAGUACCAGUCUCGCCCACCACCACCCCCUUCGAACUCAAGUCCGUCCAUGAAAGAGAUGAUGAAGCAAUAAAUUGCUAAUCAACAAAAGACGGAUUCAGAGUUGUAAAGUAUGAGAAAUCAAUUGGGACAGAUGCAAUCAUUGCAAAAUCAAAUAAAUCAAAUGGCCAUAACGAUCAACCGCCUGAAAUCCCAAGUUCAAGGGAAGUUGCCAUUUCAACCUGAGUUGAAUCCGAAAAAUGUAAGUGCACUGACCUUGAGGAGUGGCAAGGAAGUCCAAGGAUCCGAACCGGUGAUUCUUAGGACAAGGACAAGGAACGAAUUGAGAAAGAGUUGGAAGAAGAGGGCAGAGACAACAAAGAUCCAAAGGUAACCUCGGACCAAUCAUUACAGUUAGAACUAAUCCACCUUCCUUUCCUAGCAGGUUGGAGAAACCAAAGAAGCAAUACAAAGAAAAAGAGGUCCUGAAGAUAUUUCGCAAGGUGGAGAUCAACAUUUCCCUACUGGACGCGAUUAAACAAGUACCCAGUUACGCAAAGUUUUUGAAGGACUUGUGUGUCAACCGAAGGCGGUUAAAAGGAGAUGAACGAGUUAUAGUGGGGGAGAACGUGUCAGCAAUUCUACAAAGGAAACUUCCCAUCGAAAUAUGGGGACCCAAGUAUGUUACUAUUCCCUGUAGGAUCGGUAAUACCUUGAUUGGAAAGGCCAUGUUAGACCUAGGAGUUUCGAUAAACGUCAUGCCAAAGUCCAUAUAUGCUUCUUUGAAUUUAGGUCCUUUAAAAGAAACGGGGAUAAUAAUUCAAUUAGCUGACCGAACUGCCCUGAUGGGUUGAUUGAAGAUUUUUUUAGUAAAAAUUAAUGAAUUGAUUUUUCAACUGAUUUUUAUGUGCUUGAUAUGGAUGAUAAAUACUCCCACGACCCCUUACCUUUAUUGUUAGGUAGACCCUUUUUUAGCACAGCCGAACCAAAAUUGAUGUUAACAAGGGUAUCUUGUCUAUGAAAUUUGAUGGUGAUAUUGUUCACUUUAACAUUUUUGAGACCAUGAAAUAUCCUUCAGAUUCAAAUGUCAGCUCUGUUUUCUCUGUAAAUGUUAUUGACCCUGCGGUACAGGAGGUUAUUGAAAUUGAAGGCAGGGAUGAGCUGGAAGUCGCCUUGACCAGGCACUUCGAGUCAGAGACGACCUCUGAGAUAGAGUUGAGUGAAGAGCUCAAAUGUGUGAUUGGAGCGUUGCAAUCAUUGUCAAUCACGAAAACAAGGUAUGGGCUUGCACCCAUUUUCACACCUGAACCUCACCAACGGUUACUUUCAUCUGUGGUGUAGGCACCUAUCUUGGAACUGAAACCCCUGCCGAAACAUCUAAAGUAUGCAUACUUGGGUGAAGGGGAGACUCUCCCAGUGAUCAUCUCUGCUAGUUUAUCGGAGGUCCAAGAAGACAAACUAAUUCGAGUUUUGAGGGAACAUAAGCAGGCGAUAGGAUGGACCAUCGCCGAUAUCAAGGGAAUUAGCCCCGCGGUAUGUAUGCAUCGCAUUCGACUCAAUGAGGGUUCUAAACCCGUGCGGCAGGCUCAGAGGAGACUAAAUUUCCUCAUGAUGAAGGUAGUGAAGAAAGAGAUCCUGAAACUGCUGGAUGUGGGGAUAAUAUUCGCAAUAUCAGACAGCCCUUAGGUAAGUCCAGUAUAGGUGGUUCCGAAAAAGGCAGGGGUGACGGUGGAAUCAAAUUAAGAGGGUGAGCUCAUGCCAGUUCGGAAGCCCACCGGAUGGCAACAGUGUAUCGACUAUCGGAAGUUAAACGUCGUCACAAAAAAGGAUCAUUUUUCCCUUCCUUUUAUUGAUCAGAUGGUAGAGCGAUUAGCAUGUCGAGCUUAAUAUUAUUUUUUGGAUGAAUUUUCAAGUUAUUUUCAGAUUGCUAUCGCACCCGAGGAGCAGGAGAAGACCACUUUCAUGUGCUCGUUUGGAACAUUUGCAUACAGGUGAAUGCCAUUUGGAUUGUGCAAUGCACCUACUACCUUCCAACGUUGCAUGGUAAGCAUUUUUUCGGAGUAUAUUGAGAAGAUUAUUGAGAUUUUCAUGGACAAUUUUAGUGUGUAUGGUGAGAGUUUUGAUAACUGUCUAGAUAACCUGAAACUAAUCUUAGUAAGGUGUAUAGAAACUAAUUUCGUGCUUAAUUGGAAAAAAUACCACUUUAUGAUCGAACACGGGAUAGUUUUGGGUCAUGUAGUGUCGUCUAGGGGUAUUGAGGUUGAUAAAGUGAAAAUAGACAUUAUAUCUACUUUACCUUACCCCAUGAGUGUGCGGAAAGUGCGUUUUUUUUGUCACGCAAGUUUCUAUAGAAGGUUCAUCACAGACUUCUCGAAAAUUAGAGCACCCUUGUUCCAACUUUUGCAAAAAGAGGUGCCCUUCGAAUUUGAUGAAGCGUGUAAGAGGGCAUUUGAUAGGUUGAAGGAGCUAUUGACCUCGUCAUCUAUUAUACAACCUCCUGAUUGGAACCUACCAUUCGAGAUCAUGUGCGACACCAGCGAUUAUGCAGUGGGCGCGGUGCUGGGUCAGAGAGUAGGAAAGACAGCCCAUGCUAUCUACUACGAGUAUCAAGCCUUGAACGGAGCUCAAUUGAACUGUUCAAUCACCGAAAAGGAGCUUUUGGCGGUUGUUUUUGCUUUAGAGAAAUUCUGGUCUUAUUUACUAGAUACCAAAGUUAUUGUCUUUUCAGACCAUGCAGCGUUGCGGUAUCUGUUGACCAAGAAAGAGGCAAAACAGUGACUGAUAAGGUGGAUAUUAUUGUUACAAGAGUUUGACCCAAAGAUCAGAGACAAGAAAGGGGCAAAAAAUCUGGUAGCAGAUGUAGACACCAAAUUUUUAGCCUUUCUUUUUCUUUUUAUUUUAUUUAUUUAAUUAGUUGAUUUUGUUUUAAUUUUUGCUAAGAAAAUUGUUUUACUAUUAUUAAUUAAUUCAUUGAAAAAAAGAAAAAGAAAAAGCUAUUCCAUGUGCAUGUGCUUGGCACGUGCGCCAUUUUCUUUUCUUUCAUGCAAAAAAUGCAAGCGGAAGGCGAAAAUAGGGACAGAAAUUUGCAGCUGCAUUUUUUUAAUCCCAGCCUCAUCUCAAAAAUGCCAUCCAAUGGCUCAAGUUUUCAGUAGAAACCCACCCUUCAUCCUCACCUUUGAGGUGAGGGUUUUAGGGACCUGGGGUUUCCUAUAAAAGAAAAAAGAGCAGCGGGGACAAAGGGUAAGAGGAGUCGGCAGCUGGGGCUGAGUAGAAACAACGGAGGAAAAAAGCAAAAAGGGGGGGUUCUUGGGGAGAGUAGUUGACGGCUGAAGGAAAGAGUGAAUGGAGAGUCUGAGGGCUAGAGAGAGUUUUGGAGAGGGUGACGGCCGAAAGAAAGAAACCAAGCGAGAGGAAACCAAGGAAAGGAGAAGCGACUUCAUCAAUGUAAAGGGCAUUUCGUGGGUCUUCGUUUCCAGAAACAACGUGUUUGUCCUGAGACUGGUAGAGAAACGAAUCAAGAGUCUGAGGAAGACACAAGGGAGGAUCGGGGAAUAAGCAAAGGAAAUCUGCAAAAUCUUGAAGAAGGCUUCGAAGCUGAGAGCGAGGGAAAGAGGACUGCUCGACGAGGUGGCAACUUCUGCAGCAAAAGUUCCCGAUCGCGUUCCUGGGAACCCGUAUGCGUUUCCGGGCAGAUCCCAAGGCCGCUCAACCAUGCUAGCAUUCUCAGGUAAAAAUGCCUCUUAUUUGGUGGAUUUUAACAUGUUUUUAUGAAAGAUAAAGCCAUCGGAUGUGAAUCUUUUUGUUUGCUAUUGGGUCAAGCUCUCGCUGGUUCUAUGAUUCUGCCAUUUUGCUCGUUUGCUAAGAUCUGAUUCAGUAGGAACCUAUGAGAUGAGUCUGAUUAAGAACAUGGGGUUUAGGGUUUUCUGUAGUGGUCACCUGAUGAAUCCAUGAGUUCUUUGCUCGAUGUUUAUGGUCAGUCUUUGUGUGCAUGAAUAAGCAAACCCAGAAAAGUGGCGUAAAGCUUCGGACAAGUCUGUUUUGAUGUUUCCUUGAUUGCUGCUUCUCCAUUUCUUGUUGUUUGUGUAAUAUUUGAUAUCGGGUUUCAGUGUUAAAUGGAGCAAAUGGUGAGUUUUGGUUGUUGGCUUGGAGAUUGAUCCAUCGGAUCCGAACAUUUGAUAAUAAAAAUGGUAGAAGGUUUUUUGAAUGCACCUGGUUCGAUGUUAGUUUUGUACUUGGGUUAUGUUAAUAAGGGUGAUUUGGAGAUUUAUGAGAGUUCUAGUUCACAAACAAAAUAAGUUUCAUUGAUUUCUUUUCAUAUAAUAUCAGCGUGGGUUGAGCUGCAAUUUUGCAGUAGAAAGUUGCGGCAGAAGAAGAAUGUUUUUUUCAUAUCAGGUUGCAUGAUCCUUUUGUAUGAGUGUCGGGUGCUUAAAUAUAAUGGUUUUAUGUUAGAAAACAGAGGGGGGAAUGUUUAAUAAUCCUGUUGCCUGGCUUCAGUUUGCAUUGCGCUUAUAGUUUGCGCAUAAGAAUGCUUGUUGCAGCGGUAUGGACGAAGUUCUGUUUUUUCCUUUUCCUGUUUCAAGUUCAAGUUUUGACUGUGGAAUAUGUGUGUUUUGUUGCUCAAUUUAAGUUGAAGUCUAGGUGAAAUGUUUUGGAUCAAGUCUGGAAUCCUUAUUUGAAAUGAAAGGGCAACAGCGUGCGUUUGUUCUUGAUUGCAGAAGCUUUAAGCUUCGGGAUUGUGCAUGGACUUGCAUGAAUAGCUUUCAAAAUUUGCACUUUGCUCCCCUUAGCUUCUAUCUAUGCUACAGAGGCCCAAUUAUGUUCUAAUUUCUUGCAAUUAGGUCCUAAAGUAAUUGCCAUUUGAACCAUUGCUUGACCUUUCCAUUACUUAUGGGCCUUUGAAGUUCCCAAAUAUUUUAAUUGGGCUUGAAUGAUUGGUUAAGGCUUGCUCUUGGGUCCUUAGUAGUUUUUUUCUAUUUUAGGAACUUGAUUGACAAUUUACCUUCCUUGCAAUUAUGCAUUAUUUGAUUACAUUCAAUUUGCAAUUGGGAAGGAUUAGGUGAUUUGUUGGUUUAACUUAUUUUGUGCUUUUGUUUAUAUGGUUAUUCGUGAUGCCUUGACUUUUUCUUUUAUUUUGGAGGGUAAAUAAGUAAUCUCACUCCAUUAGGGCCCCAAUUCAAGGAAGGUACACCCUAUCUCUUAUUUCUUACUUUAUUUGACUUUACGUGCCCUAUGUGACUUUACGUGUUUGAUUGCAUACCUCUUGAAUGUUUUUUUUAUUAUUUUAUUAUUUAUUUAUUUGUUUGCUUUAUUGACUUUAGUUUUGUAUAUCUAUUUUAGUUCAAUUUUGAUCAUUUGAAAGGCAAUUUAAUGUCAAAGUUGUAAUAACUAGGUUAUGAUUUUAUUUAUUUAUUUCUUUCCCCCUUAAAUUGUAGUAGGCGUUCCCUUUUGUAAUAGAUAGGGCUUGGGUGUGCCUACAUGCCUAUGUGUUUAAUUGCUUUCCCUAGGCUUCUGCAUCUAUAUAAGCAUGCUUAUGUGCUACGUGCUAUGUGAAACUAUGUGCUUUGCAUGUCUAUUUGCUUUAGUAUUAUAUCUGAUUAUGUGGAUGGAAUGCACGUUACCGUGACUAGUCCAAUGCUAGUCAUGAUCUUCCCCUCGAUCACUCACAAGUCCAAUGCUAGAUCCAAUAGGACUGUCCCUCACUAGUACAUACUUGCAUGCCUUCACUACAUCUUCAUUCAUUUUUUUCCCUUUUAGUUUUACAUUUUUGCAUGAUCCUUCACUCCCUUUCCCGCAUUUGAAACAUGAUUUUUAGGAUUUUGUAUUUCAUUCUAGUUAUUAGGGUCAUUUGCUUGAUUAGGUUAGGGAGUCACCCUUCUGGUAAGGGGAAUGGACGAGUGUGGCUACACAUAGCCUUAGCACGCUCAUUCUUUUUCUAAUCAAAAGGCAAAUCGUAAGUCACGAUUUAGGGUCUCCCCGUACACGUUUUGCUUGCAUUCCUCUAGGUCUCAUGCAUUUCAUUUUGCACACACACACACACUUUACACUCUCUCUCAUUUGCACACGUACACUUUACACUCUCUCUCAUUUGCACACGUACACUUUACACUCUCUCUCAUUUGCACACGUACACGUUACAUAUUCAUUUGCAUCCUUACACUUUAUACACUCCCUCAUUUGCACACAUGCACUUCUCACUAUCACUUUACACUCUUCCUCAUUUGCACACAUACACUUCACAUUAUCACUUUGCACACUACCACCUUACACUUUCUCACUACACACCCGUUCAUAUUGAUCACAUUUGCAUCCAUUCAUCUCACUCGAGCAUUCAUUUGCAUUUAUUCGUGGCCUCUUUGAGGGUUCACCAUUUGGCUAUCACAAUUCAUGUGAUUAGGACCAAUCGAGCCUCAAAAGAGACAUUUUGUUCCUUUCGAACCAAUAAUUAGAUUUAGGUUUGCAUUCACAUUAGACACAUCCAAAAUGCGAUACAUCUUUUGGGUAGAAAUUAGGAAACUUGUCACUAAAUCACGCAACUAGCUUAGGUUAGGGUAAAAGGGUGCCUUAGACUUCGUUUUUGCCUUCCCUUUUAUCAACCGUGACCCCCGAACUCAUCUCUUUGAUUUUCGUAGAUUAGGAGUCAUCUAAAAAGGUUUUUCACCUCAUUUUUCAAAAACUAUUUUUUGGGUGACUUGGUACACCCCAACUCAAUAACAAGUGGCGACUCCUAUUUUUCAUGUUAAAAACCCUUUUAGAUUAUCGUUUUGGCCAAACCGUCGCAUUUAAAAGUCCCAUGGCCUUUUCCUUUAAUUCUCAUAUUCACACACUUCACACACAAUACACAUUAUGACUUCAAAACAAACUUUCACUUUUUUCUUUAUAUUUUCUCAAAAAAUGGGGCGGGACAGCUUGGCGACUCCACUGGGGACUUCCUAAGUGGGUCCGAGCACUUGAUUUAGUUAUUCUUUUCCUUUUUUACCCUUUUCAUGUAUCGCAUUUGCGUGUUUAAGGUUGCAUUUUUUUUCUUUUUUAGGAGUUUUGCAUUCCGCGCGUAUCAACUCACUCCCUUACUCAUUUGCGUACAUUUGAUUUGAUGGAUGGAUGAUUUAUUUAUGUUAUCCCGCGCUUUGCAUUGCAUUUGGAUGGGGGGAUAUUACCCUAGAGCCUCGCGUUGGUUCUCGAUCCCUCCCCUCCAAAUGGAGCACUAGCAUACGUGCAUACGCUUUAUUUUUUAUCCCUCAUUUAUUUUUCUUUUUAGUGGCUUGUCACGCCACUCCACCCUACUAGGAUUAGACGACCCAUUUGGACGUGUGAUCGCGACACGAUGUGUGCGUAGCAUGAUCCAAGGGGUCACUCAAUCUUCCAUUUUAAACUUUGGAUUGAUAACCUUUAGUUUUUAGUCAAAGGUUGAGGAUUUUUGAUAGAUUCACUCAGAUAUGUAGCCGUGACACGAUGUGUGCGUAGCAGUGUCUGGAGAAUCGCUCGAGCCACCGACAAAGAACCUUGGGAUUGAUGACCUUUGGUUUCCAAGUCUGAAGGCUCGGGGACCUAAAACCUAUCGAGUCUAGAUGCAUUAGUGAGCCAAUACCGCAUGCAUCCAUGAUAGUUUACUUAGGGUAGAGCCUGCCUUACCCUAUUAGGAACACUAUUCACGAGGGGAGGGAUCCAACCCCUCUUUUCCUUUUAUUGCUUUAUCUCUUUGUAUUGCUUUGCUUCAAUGUGUUAUGUGUAUUUAUCUGAUUGAACUAACUUUUCUUGGUUUUUGUCUCUAUUGCAUUCAUAAAUCCUAGAAAAUAAGAGUUCUGGCAUGGUACUCUCUAGGAACUUACCCUAUUUGAUGUGACACGUUUAAAUUCAAUGCUUCGCAUUUGUAACAUGAAUACAUUUCAUUUUAGGCGUACCCCGGCAUACAAAAGGGGGUUCCUUUAGGUCACGUUUCAUUUGUAUACUGCAUAUUUAGUUGCUUUGAUAAAUUGACAUCAUGCAUGAACCAUAGAGGGAAUGCCAUUUAGGGGAUCCCACGUUAGGAAUAAACCGCCAUGUGUCUCGGAUAUACAAUCCAAUGAGACUUGCACGUCUAUAUUUCUUGUACCUUCCAAAGGAGUAGUGCACAAGGUAAGGUAGAAUCCGAUCUUUUUCCAUGAUUAUAGAACAAAUUUUGCACAUUAGAAUAUGAACAUCUAACAAUCAUUUUUUGGUCAUUUAUCUGGUAAAAAUCCCUUGCGUAAAAGGCAUUAAUUUGAAGAAAUUUACAAACGAUCCCUCAUUGUUCAGACGAUAAAUAUAUCGAGGCCAAAUCUUGAUUUUAGAAGACUCAUAGACUAAUGUAUCGCAAUGAUUUUUUUUUGAAACUACCAAUAGGUAGACAAUUCAAUAAAUCAUCAUUUUCAUUCAAUUCGUUUGAUCAAAUUAUCCAUCAAAUUCUUCCAAUCUAUUUGGUCAAUUCAUUCAUUUUAGGACAAUUCGGUCAAUUUUGAAUAAAUCAUCAUUUUCAUUCAUUCGACCAAUUUACCCUUUUUAGGGUGAUCUGACCAAUUUUGAAUAAAUCAUCAAUUCCAUUCAAUUCAUUGGAUCAGUUUAUCUAUUUUUAGGGUGAUCUAGUCAAUUUUGAAUAAAUCAUCAAUUUCAUCCUAUUCAUUUGACCCGCUUAUUCCGUUUAGGGUUUAACUCUAAGGUUCACUAAAUAAAUUAGUCGACACAUUGCAAUCCUUUCAAGAGUAGACUCUUUUACACAUCAUUUUAUGUGUUGAUCAAAACAAGCAAUCCAUUCGGACUUUGUCCUCAUUUUUAGGACAAAUGUCUCUUCUCACUCCAAUUGACCAAAUUUGUUAAAAUUAUUUUUUCACUCAAUAAGUUGAUCGGAUUCAUCAGGUAUUGUAUAGUGCCUACCCCAGAGAAUUGCAUUUUCAUGCUAUGCCUACCCUUGGCAUAAAAAGGGCACCCCCAUAGGACAUGCAUACCGAUUUUAUAGUCUUGCUUACUAACUCGGGGUAUUUUUCUUUUAUUUUCUCCCCUCCCCUGCAUUCAUAAAAAAUGUUUCAAUAAGGUGAAAAUAUUUUUUCUAUAUCUGAUAACGAUUUUAUCUAAUAAAUCUUGAAAAUUACAAUUAAUAUUUGAUUCUUGGAUAGACCCUACUAUUUGAAGAAUCUAUCUGGAGGCACAAGGCUAAAACACCUAAGAGACUUCAUAAUUGUUUGUCAAAGAAAAAAUUUUGUUUAUUUGAUUUGUUAAUACAUUUUGUUCCAAAAGAAAAGGAGACAAAAGUGUGUAUAUGUGGAGUUCUUUAGAAGUUUUUCUCUUCUCAUUUGCAUUAUGAUUGAACAAGAAAUUUUGUUUCAAACUUUUCCAAUAAUAAAGUUUUUUAUUUAGACAAUUAUUGUCUUGUAUAUAUAUUCAUCUAUAUUUCAUUCUUUAUUUUGCUCAUUGGAGAUUUCAUGAUGAAUUUUAAGAAAUGAGACUACAUUGAGAUUUUUUCAACCUCUAGCCUGAAAAUUCACAAGUGUAUGUUUUCUAAAAUCUUUGCAUACACUAGAUUGGUGAUCUGAACUAUACAAUAAGAGUGUUCAGAAUUAAAAAGAGGUCACUCAAAAGACCCAAUGGGAUACAUUUUUCUCCUUCACUGUACAAUUCAUAUUUUUGCCCAUUUCUAUUAGCCCCCCAAAAUCAGUCACAUUGAUUGAUAAAUUACAAAUUGGGGCAAUCUUUGCUUGAAAAUGCCCACUGUGUCUAAUUAGAUUCAAUCCACAUCUAAGUGAAAACAAAAAUGUACAUUAUUCUUAUUUGUUUUGAAAGUUUGGAAUGAUACUUCAAGCAUUCGUUUCUCUAUCUAUACAGAUUUUAUCAUUUGCUCUCUCAUUUGAGCCUUUAAAAGAAUAAUUUCGUUUCAAAUGAGAGCCCUAAUGAUCACUACCCCAUAUUGGAAGAUUUUUCAAAUAUCAAAAGGGAGUGGAUUCUCAAUGAGCAUUUCGUUACUUUGGUUGUCAUAAAACUUAAGAAUGAUGCUUUGGCCAUCGUUUCUACAAUCUAAACAUUAUUUAUCCCUUGCAUCCUCCUUUGAGCUAAAAUGGGUGGUUCUUUUUAAAAGCAUUUAUGAUCGUACCCCACACCGGGGAAGGAGAUUGGAGGAUUUUUCAAAAGAAGAAAAAAAGGAAGAAAAAGGAGGCAAAAAAUGCUAAAAUUCAAGAAGAAGAGAGGGAAUUGCAAAUUGGGAAAAUUUGAUUCUAUCUGGGAUUUAAUUUUGGAAAAGAAAGAGGAAGAGUUUUGUCCGGCGGAUCACUUAUGUUUCACAGAUAUGGAUGAACAGGAGUCUUUCUCAAUCAAUGAUGCGAGACGCGGAAGCAAAGACUGGAUUUCAGAGGUACACGUCGCGAUUGACGGAAUGGAACCCGACUUGGACCACUCAAGGACGGAUUCAACGGUAGAGGACGCCACAAUCAAGUGUGUGAGCUUGAUUGAUAAGUCAAUAAAACAGCCUAGGAACCACGCUCGGACAUUCAACUUAGCCUUCACAAGCUAAAGGAAUUUGCCACAACCAAUGGACGAAAUUCUGGAAUUUUAUUGAAUAAUAUCGGAAAACUGAAUGUAAAACAUGAUUUAAGGCUAUUUAUAGCCUUGACUAAACCCUAAUAAAGCUUGGAAAAUACAAAAGAAAAUUCGGCCAACCCAUUUCCUUCACUUGGCCGAAUAUUAACCCAACAACCUAUGGCCCGUAACUCAGCGUAGGUACUUAACUGCGGCCCAAUCAGCCGUUUGAAGCUUGACCACUUGCAUCCUCAACUGUAAGCAACACUUUAGUAGUCUCGCCCGGAUCUUCCAACUCAAUCCCUUCAAUGGGCGGUUUCUCUUGGGUUUGGACUGUGACGGCCCCACAUCUCCUUAAGGCGAACCAAAGGGUAUCCGCGGGACGCCUGCCCAACUCUCGCCAGGACUCAAGCAAUUCCAUUCCUCUUAAAACCAAACCGAACAUUUCGAAGAGAGUAACAUGAGUACAAAUAAUGCGGAAGCGUUCAACUUAACAAGUCACUUAACAUGUAACCAGUACAUCGGGUAAACAUAAUACGACUUAAAUUCUAAUUACACGUCAGGGCCCAAAUUUUACAUUUCAAUUCCAAAAGUACAGUCCAAACCAGGGCCUAGCCAAAAUAUAGAAGAAAUCCUAAACAAAAGUACAACGAAGGGUUUCUCCAUACUUCUCCGAGAUUCGGUCCUGUUAAGGAAAACAAAACUAUGGGGUGAGCUAAAUGCUCGUGAGGCCAAGAACACAUAUUCAAGCACAUUGUUCAAAUAGCAAUCCUAAAUUUAUUAAAUAAAACCGUGAUAUUUCAAUAAUCAACCAUUCGAGCAGGAAAAGUAAUCAGAAACAAUUCAAGGAUAUAGUAGCUCUCAGGAGUUAAGUUCCACUCGCUCUGCCGAUGUCAUUCGUAUACCUUCCCGCGAUGACCCUCCGUCAACCGGGUCGGUAUUUCCAUUUCCGUAGAUCACCACUUACUUCCCUCCGUCCACCGUACACCUCCAGGGCCCACAAGUCAUUUAUAAGGCGAUACUCCACGAGUAUGCCAAGCAAGACCUCUCAUUAGGUCAAGCUUAUAUAUCUCAUGGCUCGCCCAGGUUCCCGACCAAGCCCAUUGCCGGCUCGAGUCCAAGGUCGGCCUAUGAGUUUGGGCGUCCCCCAUUCAUUUGAAAGUCGAGGAGAUUCACUCCAACGACGUAUGUAGUUAUAACAUACCAUUGCAUUUCAUUCAUUCAUUCAAUACAUUUCAUUCAUUCAUUUGAAAUUAGAACGAGUGUGAUAAAAUACACACCCGCCCUUAUUUUUAAAAUCUCCAACAAUUACCACAAAUAAGCAAGUAUCAAGGAUUCACACACUUGACACUCACCGAGCAAUUCAAUAAGAAUUAUUUUCUGGAAGUUCAAGUGUCCACUGUAAGAUCCUCUUGAAGGUCUCCUUGUGCGCCUGGCAAUUAAUAGUGGAUAAUCACUCAAAUAUCAAAAUUAUCAAGGAAGAUUGUACACUAGUACAAUCUAAAGAAUAUUUCACAAAAAUGAACCUCAAUUACUCGUAAAUCGAGGUUCAACUUGCAUUUUAUUAAGUACAAUAUUAUUUGAGUUUUUAUCAUGAAAAUCGAGGGCAAAACGUUUGAAUAAUACUAAGAGAAUUAAGAGUUUUGGAAAAACUCCUUUGCCUUGAAAAUUGAAAAUUUUCAGUUUUAUUAUAAAUCUUUGAAAAUUCGUAUCUCUCUCGAUAUAAGUCCAAAAUUGGAAAACUUUAUCCCGUUGGAAACCUUUUGGAAAGUGUUAAAAGUUCGUAGAAGACACUUUUCCAUGAAUCUAAGUGGAAAGUACUUAAAAAUGAGCUUGAAAUCACUGUUCCAGAAUGUUCAGGAUUGAGUUAAGGUUGGUUUUUUUUGCUAACUUUGGAAAUUUGGCAGAAUUCACUCGUUGCAAGCUAGCCCUUGAAAUUUAUAACUCAAUUAGAGGUGUAAGUAAGGUUUAGGGCAGAACAAGCGGAUUGAGAAUUGGAGUUUCGAGCACCGAGAUACGGUAGCUCGAAGUUGGGAAAAUUCAAGUCUGGUGAACAAUUUCCAGAUUUGAGUUUCCAAAAAUUGGAACCUUAGCUAAGUGUCAAAACGAACUUGGAUUGGUAUAAACUUUUGUAGUAUGUUACUCCUAUAUGAAAGGUAUCUCUCUAUCAAAUUUCAGGAAAAAAUACCUUCGGAAAGAUAGUUAAUUAAUCAUCCAAAGUUCAGGAAAAUUUCUAAGGCAACCUGUCUUUUGACUUCAUUUCCCAAUUCAAAUCGUUUAAUCAACAAAGCUAUCCAACCAUGGUUCAUUUAUGAAAUAAAGGUCUAAGAUACAUCCAUGAUACCUUUGGUAGGUGUUUAGCAUCAAGAACUUCAAUUAAUAAGAUCACUCCCAGGUUUUGUCCCAAACCAGUCCAAGUAUUACGGUUUUUCCAAAACAGUGCAGUCCUCUUGUUUCGGUCACAACUCAGUCAAUUUAACUCAGAAUCGAGCAUGGUUUAUGUCGUUGAAAAAUACAUUCAUAGGGCUAUAAUAUCACAGAAGAAAUCAUUUCAAAAUUUGGUGCCCAACUAGUUCAAAAUUGGGCAUCAAUUUGCUGCCUUAUCACUUCAUUCCAGUUGAACAGAGCAACAGGACAGCGAUCUUAAAACGUUUGGUUCGGCUCACUCACAAAGAAUCAGAACGUGCAUUUUAUCUCAAAUUAAAGCCUGAAAUGUCUAGUUUCCAACGCCACCAACGGCACAUGAUUUCGACAUCCGAGGACGGAGUUAUGGCCGAAUCACCACCGCUGGUCAGAGCCAUACGUGAACAGUUUCCAGAUUUGCUAGUUUCACAAAAAAAAUUCGUUUGCCCAACCAAACCUCAUUAUUUUUCAAUGAAAUUUUUCACACAUCUAAUACGUCAUAUAAACAUCAAAUUCAAGCCAUUAGGUCAUUAAAAAUUGGCCUUAAAAUGGCCGAACAAGGCAGGGGCAAAAUCGGAAACUUUUGCUUCUUGCACCCAAUGAAGUUUCUAUCAAUUUCACACCAUUAAUCCAUCAUUUUAACCACUAAACCAACAAUAUAUCCACCAUCAAUCAUCAAAUCAGCAACAACCCAAGAGUGGGAGUUCAUAGAGCCCACUUUCACAUUUUUCCAACAAUAUCAAGUCAUCUACUUAUAUGCAAGUACUUAGAGAUGCAUAUCUACUACUAUAAAUCAAGUUUAAGGUGAUGGAUCAUGUUAUACCUUCUUAAUGUACUAGAACAGAAUUUUUGGCCCUUGAAAUGCUCCAAGAAAUCGUGAUUUCCAGCACCCUUUUUGCAGCUCAAAAUGAUCUCCUAGUGUUAAGCUAAGUGUGGUGCAAGUUUGGUUGAAUUUGGAGAUGUUUUGGUGGUGGUUUGAGUAAGCUUUGUGAAGUAAAAUGAAGAACAAUGAAGCUUAAGAGAGAGAGAGAGCUAGUCGGCAGUCUUGAGAAGGAAGAGAGAGAGAGUGAUCAGAUUUUUAAGCUUCCAAGAGAAGAUACUAACUUGUGGCUACAAAUCACCCAUUAGUCAACUCACAUUAGGGGGCAUUUGGCGCGAUUAGGGCUCGUUUUCACGCGCGUUUGGUUCACUAGUGCACUAAGUCUCUAAUGCACUUAUUUUCAUGUAAAUAUUAUUCACUCUUAAUUGUCCCGAAAUAAGGGUCUAAAGUCCCUCAAAUAAAGUCGCGCGUAUGAAAACGCGUACCGUCAAUUUUAACGCUAUAACGCGAAACCUCCGAGAAAUUCUUAUAACAACCGUGCUACUAACUAUCACUUGAGUAUUUAUUCAUAAGAUUACCUAUUUUAGGACCAUAGUACAAGUCUCCAAUAUUCCAAACUUAUUGUGCUCCCACGCGGUAAAAUCUCCGAGCACUGUUCACUAUUUUUACUAAACGCACUCCAGGAAAUUAAUUUUUGAGACGAGUCACUUUAAAAAUAUAACGAAGUUAUAUUAUCAUGUAUUUAGGUCUAAUAAGACUAGAAAAUAUUUCUCGUGGUAAAAAUCCAAUUAAAUAAUUUAUUAAGCCAUAAGUUAGGCUAAAAAAAAUAAUAGUUUUUACGAGUCCUCACAUGGACGGCAUAAACCAAGGCUUGAAGUGACUCCUUGAAUCUCUUAACUCGUGCUCGUGUCACUGGGCCUUGGGGCACCUUUACAGGGUCUACUUGAGCACCAUGGGCCUCGUCCGCAUCAAUCAAUUAAUUCAGAUACAUGCAAGAAAUUUCGCAUUAAUGAAAGUUUCCUUUCAGAGUUAUUGUAAGGAACGGAAUAAAAAGUUAGGCUCUCUUCUUUUCCAAUCAAACAUUCUAUCGCUAGUUAUCCCUUUCGAGCCUUCAAAAUAAAAUACUUCGUUUGGCAACCACUGAGGAUCGCAAACUCCACACUGGGGCAAGUUUGAGUUGCAAAGGGAAGGAAAGUUUCAAGAGGUGAAAAGUGAUAAAGUAACAAAAGAAAAAGAGAAAAUGAAACAAAAGAGAACCUCGGUUAAGCAUAAACUGGGACAAAUUUUGAAAAGUUCAAAAGAAUGGCAAAAGGCCAAGAAGAAAAUAGAGAGAAGAAAAUGAAAGAGAAAAGAGCCUCGGUCGAGAAUAAAUUGGGGCAGGUUUUGAUUUAACCCUAAAAAUAGGGUUGGCGCAACAAUGCGAUCUCAGAUCAUUUAAACCACUUUUGAAAUCCGCUUUCAAGUUUUAACUUUUCUAAGCACCCCACCAGACCCCAUUACAAAAGCCGAAAGUCCUGACUUCUGUUUUUUGCAAUAUCUCUGUCAAGAAAUUUUCUAAUUGGCAAGUGAUGCUCAUAUAUUGAUGCCAAGGAAUUUUUAAAUAUAUUUGAAUUGAUUAGGCGUGAGGUUGACACUGCUCUUCAUGUGAAAACCAGCAAGGGCACUUUUGAAAAAAAGAAGGAAAAAGGAAAAAGCAAGCGAAAUAAAUGCAAAAGAAAAAUGCAAAAAGAUUCGAUGCUGAAAGUCCCUGUUGAGUGAUUAUAAAGUCAAACAAAGGUCGAGAUUGGGGCGAUUUUUGGGAGGAAAUGCGAUCUUCAAUGCAAUGUCCUUAAAAUCUUAUUUAUUUAACUAUCGUUUUCAAGCCACAUUACAAGCUCAUAAAGUCCAUCGCUGACUUAUCUUUCAUGACAAUUCGAAGUGAGGAUUAUGCUUCUAAGGAAUCCAUUAAUCAUUCAGGAUUAUAAGGCAAUAACCGGUUUCCACAUGCUUAACUGUCAUUUCUACCCAUAUGUUACAAGUUUAUAAAGCUUAUAUGUUGACUAAGUUUUCUUAAAAAAUAAGGGUGACAAACUAUUUGUUUUCACUAAGAUGUGAUAUUGAAGGGAUUACAUACAAUUUGGGCACAAGAAUAAGACAAAUCCUGACCUCUAAUUCCCCUUAGCCCCCUCAAAAUAAAAAAUAAGAUCACUUGAUUGGUCCUGAAAGAUGAGCUAACAAAAAAGAGGUGACCCAUUACCCUAAGUCUCGAUGUUAAAGUGAGGAAGAAAUCUUCUGUAAUUUGAUAUUAUUUUGAGAAAUUCAUCAUGAAAUUUUUUGUAUGAGUUUAAGCAAGAUGUUUAAUUUUCUUCACAUUAUACGUUAGGAAACAUAGUUUCUUACUUUGUUCAAAUAAAUGGAGAGUCAUCGAAACAAAAUUUUUGCAAUUGAAAGGGCCCACACUGGGGUAAAUUUUUGUAAUGCAUUUGAGGAUUUCGUCCAAGAGUCAAAUAAGAUAUUUUUGAAUCAAUCAUACUGCUCUUUACAUGAGUAAUAGGUGCAUCAAUCAAAAAAAUAAUAAGAAAUUUAAGUGCAUGUUGUACUUUGGUAAGACCCCUAUACAGGUAUUCAUGGCUGAAAUUGAUGAAGAAACAUUUAGUGAUGUGGAAGGCCGAUACCGGAAAAAGAGAAGAAAGGAAAAGAAAAAGGGCUCUACACUGGGACAAAUUAUUUUUUGAAAAGAAUCUCUCAAUCAAAAAAAAAUCCCAAAAAAAAUCAAAAGAUCAAAAAUCCAAAAAAAAAAAAUCAAAAGAUCAAAAUUUUAAAAAAAAAUCAAUCAAACAAAAAAAAUAAAAAAUAAAAAAUCAAGUUUAAAUUCUUGUUUCUUGGAAAAUCAAAUUUAAUUUCUUGUUUCUUGAAAAGUCAAAUCUAAUUUCUUAUUGGUGAGUCUCAGCGUCCGCUGCGCACCCUUCUACCUCAUUUCUGGACAACCACAUUUAAUUCACUGACUUCUACCACCGUUAGCAUCGAGUCUAUCUCACUAACGUGUGCGUUUUUAUUCAACUACCGUUAGCAUCGAGUCUAUCUCACUAACGUGUGCAUUUUUAUUCAACCACUGUUAGAAUCGAGUCUAUCUCACUAUCGUGUGCGUUUUUAUUCUACCACCGUUAGCAUCGAGUCUAUCUCACUAACGUGUGUGUUUUUAUUCUACCAUCGUUAGCAUCGAGUCUAUCUCAUUAACGUGUGCGUUUUUAUUCAACCACCGUUAGUAUCGAGUCUAUCUCACUAACGUGUGCGUUUUUAUUCUACCACCGUUAGCAUCGAGUCUAUCUCACUAACAUGUGUGUUUUUAUUCUACCAUCGUUUGCAUCGAGUUUAUCUCACUAACGUGUGUGUUUUUAUUCAAAUACCGUUAGCAUCGAGUCUAUCUCACUAACGUGUGCGUUUUUAUUCUACCAUUGCUAGCAUCGAGUCUAUCUCAUUAACGUGUGCAUUUUUAUUCAACCACCGUUAGCAUCGAGUCUAUCUCACUAACGUGUGCAUUUUUAUUCUACCACCGUUAGUAUCGAGUCUAUCUCACUAACGUGUGUGUGUUUUUAUUCUAUCUUCGUUAGCAUUGGAUUCAUCCCACUAACGUUAUUCUAUCUCCGUUAGCAUUGGGUUCAUCCCACUAACGUGCCUUUCUAUUUUCGAUUUUUUCGGCAGGCUCGAGUGUUAUCAUACUGACCGACUAUCACGGCAGGUUUGGGUUUAUCCCACUAACCGAUUCUCAAGGCAGGCUCGGGUGUUAUUCCACUGACCGAUUAUCAAGAUUAUUAAGGCAGGUUCGGGUUUAAUCCCACUGACUGAUUAUCAAGGCAGACUCGGGUUUAAUCUCACUGAUCGAUUGUCAAGGCAUUUCAUUCAUCACUGCCACUAAACAUGGGUUAGUCCCACUAGUGAGCACUUCAUUCAUCAUUGCCAUUAAACACGGGUUAAUCCCACUAAUGUACAUUACAUCUUAUCGUUAGACAUGGGUCAGUCCCACUAACACUUCAUUUCACUUCACUUCACUUCAUCCCGUUGGGUUUGGAUUUUGUGCCACCAACCUCGGCAGGCUUGGGUUGUAUCCCACUGACCGAUGUCAUAGCAGCUUCGGGUCAGUCCCGUUUUAAAUUUCUUGUUCGGGUCAGUCACGUUUUAAAUUCCUCAUUCAGGUCAGUCCCGUUUUAAAUUUCUUGUUCAGGUCAGUCUCGUUUUAAAUUUCUUGUUCGGGUCAGUCCCGUUUUAAAUUUCUCGUUCGGGUCAGCUCCAUUUUAAAUUCCUUGUUCGGGUUAGUUCCGUUUUAAUUUUCUUGUUCGGGUCAGUCCCGUUUUAAAUUUCUCGUUCGGGUCAGUCUCGUUUUAAAUUAUUUGUUUGGGUCAGUCCCAUUUUAAAUUUCUUGUUCGGGUCAGUCCCGUUUUAAAUUCUUUGUCUGGGUCAGUCCCAUUUUCUAAUUUUUUGUUAAAGGGGUCAGUCCUCAUUUUGAAAGCGUCAGUCAUUCGAGUAGUUUGCAGCAGAAUAACCACAGGUGAGUAUUUGGUGUCUACGUCUUUGUCUCAAAUUUCUUCGAAACUCAGACAAAGAGGGGUAAACUGUAGACACCAAAUUUUUAGCCUUUCUUUUUCUUUUUAUUUUAUUUAUUUAAUUAGUUGAUUUUGUUUUAAUUUUUGCUAAGAAAAUUGUUUUACUAUUAUUAAUUAAUUCAUUGAAAAAAAAGAAAAAGAAAAACUGUUCCAUGCGCUCGUGCUUGGCACGUGCGCCAUUUUCUUUUCUUUCAUGCAAAAAAUGCAAGCGAAAGGCGAAAACAGGGACAUAAAUUUGCAACGGCAUUUUUUUAAUCCCAGCCUCAUCUCAAAAAUGCCAUCCAAUGGCUUAAGUUUUCGGUAGAAACCCACCCUUCAUCCUCACCUUUGAGGUGAGGGUUUUAGGGACCUGGGGUUUCCUAUAAAAGAAAAAAGAGCAGCGGGGACAAAGGGUAAGAGGAGUCGGCGGCUGGGGCUGAGUAGAAACAACGGAGGAAAAAAGCAAAAAAGGGGGGUUUUUGGGGAGAGUAGUUGACAGCUGAAGGAAAGAGUGAAGGGAGAGUUUGAGGGUUAGAGAGAGUUUUGGAGAGGGUGACGGCCGAAAGAAAGAAACCAAGCGAGAGGAAACCAAGGAAAGGAGAAGCGACUUCAUCAACGUAAAGGGCAUUUCGUGGGUCUUCGUUUCCAGAAACAACGUGUUUGUCCUGAGACUAGGAGAGAAACGAAUCAAGAGUCUGAGGAAGACACAAGGGAGGAUCGGGGAACAAGCAAAGGAAAUCUGCAAAAUCUUGAAGAAGGCUUCGAAGCUGAGAGCGAGGGAAAGAGGACUGCUCGACGAGGAGGCAACUUUUGCAGCAAAAGUUCCCGAUCGCGUUCCUGGGAACCCGUACGCGUUUCCGGGCAGAUCUCAAUGCCGCUCAACCGUGCUAGCAUUCUCAGGUAAAAAUACCUCUUAUUUGGUGGAUUUUAACAUGUUUUUAUGAAAGAUAAAGCCAUCGGAUGUGAAUCUUUUUGUUUGCUACUGGGUCAAGCUCUCGCUGGUUCUAUGAUUCUGCCAUUUUGCUCGUUUGCUAAGAUCUGAUUCAGUAGGAACCUAUGAGAUGAGUUUGAUUAAGAACAUGGGGUUUAGGGUUUUCUAUAGUGGUCACCUGAUGAAUCCAUGAGUUCUUUGCUCGAUGUUUAUGGUCAGUCUUUGUGUGAGUAUUGGAGCAGGGACUGAAACCCGAAUUGCCAUCUCAACCUGAAUUGAACCCGAAGAACGUAAGCGCGAUGAGUACUGGAGCAGGGACUCUAGGUGUGUAAUGAGUUACUUGAUUCAUCCUAUUCCCGAAGUGUUUGCUUGACCCGAUAUACCAGAAUGGGAUUGCUUAUUCGCAAGAAACUAUUGAUUUGUAAACAGGGCAAGUAGGGUCGCAUCCUCAGGGACUGGAAAAAAUUCGUUUCUUUUCAAAUCCACAAUAACAAGGGGAUGUUUUUGGUAUAAACGAUGACAAUCAAAGGAGUUUAAAUAAAGAUAAAUAGCUAACUAGGAAUUAAAUGACAAUUUACUAAAAUCAGAGUAAUAAUAAUUAAAGGUCUAGCCAAGAAAUAACUUCAGCAAUGGUUCACCUAAUUGAUCAUCGAUGCAAAUGCAAUUCCAGUUAUUUACUAAUAAAUAGGUUAUAACUGUCAAACAAGCAAUGACAGUCAACCCCUUCUUACUGUGUCGGUGACUAAGGUACGCCCGUUAAUCACUACUCUAAUUGAGAAAUAAUCCUAAGUACGCCCGUAAGAUUUAAUUUUCCAAUUGCCUUACGUAUUAAAGAAGCCCUAUUCUAACCAAAUAACACACUACCAGGGUUAUUUUAGAUUAGCCUGCGCAUUCCCCUGACACAAACCCAAUCAUGCCAGUUGUCACUAUUUUAGGGCAAUUAAACAAUUACGAUUUAAUGCUCUAAUUGACAAUAGGUUACUAAACUAAUUCAUUAUCUGGAUCCAAGACAAUCAAUUAAUUAAAUAACCAUAAGUACUACAAUCAGGGAAUAUGCAAAUACCAAUAAAUAAGAGGAAAAGAUAAAUUUAAAUCGAUCUCACAAUUUUUAGAUGAACCAAAACCUCCGUUGUUUCUUGACCAGAAAAGGGAAUUUAAUUCAUCCCGGAUAGGAAAGACCCACACAAAGUUGCAGCAAUAGUUGCGGCCAUUGUCUCCAAGAAUUGGGAAAAUUCAAUUCGUUCGAAUCAAUAAGAAAAGCAAGCUACAGAAAAUAAUUACUGGUCUUCACUUUGUCUUGACAUACGAAGAAGGAAAACUACUAAGAGCCCACAAGAAGAAAAGUCAAAAGCUAAAACUAAAAAGUAGUGCCCUCUUGUUUCUCUCUAUUCCUAUCUAAUGCCCCCUGCUUUGCAGCUGCCCCGCGGCAGAAAAAGAGAGAGUCCAGCCUUGUUCCGUCUCUUCCUUCUUCGGUAAGUACCAAAAGGGGAAAAGUUCCCCUUUUCCAAAAAUGCCACUGGGAUGAGGGCUGCUACUUGAACUCCUUUCCUAAUGACUAUCAAAUUGGCACUUGUUGUGGUAUUUUUGUUCUACUCCCUGUAAUAAAUGUAAAUUUUCAAAAGUGAGUAGAAUCUAACAAUUAAUCCACAUCAGGUCAAGUAAUAAGAGAAAUUAAUAAUAAAAGAAAUGAUAAAAUUGCGACCUAUCAAAAUGGGAUGGAUGUUUAGAUAGGAAUUCUGUAGAGGGCUGGUAGCAGCCAUCCAAAGAGAACAAGUCCAUUUGUGGACAAAAUAAAGUGAAUGGAGAAUAUAUAUAUAUAUAUAUACGCUACAUGAAUAUUCAACAUAUACAAAAAUGUGAUCAAGAAAAAUGAGGAAUCUGACAGCCUAAUGCUUACUUGCUGCUUUUUAUGGUUUAACUUUAAAGAGACUUUGGUGUCUUGGUAGUUCGUAAUUUGAUUCGAGGUUGAUAAAAAGAAAUUUUUCAGAAAACGUGAAAUAGGGUAAGUAUCCUAGUUUAUUUUAGGUAUUGAAAGUUAAUAAAAAUGGAAAUUAUGGCAGUAAUCCUCUUCAUUUUUCCCCACCAACCAAAGCAACGAUUUUUAAGAAUACAAACAAGAUUUUAAAAAAUAGUUGUGGAGAAAACUUUUAACAAGUUUAAAAUGCAAAGUGUCCAUCAUAAUGUAGAAGAGCACAAUAAUUAGAACUCCCACGUUGGCUAAGCAAAAAUAUAUGUUUGCUCUAAUAACAUAUUACAUAUUAAAUUAUUUUACUAUGAGGUAGGGUACAUUUUUUUUAUAGUUUAGCAAACUAGAACAAAAUUAUAAUAAUUUUAAAUUAAUAUAGUUGCGUGGUGAAAUAUCAUCUGCGGCAAUAUAUAUAUAUAUAUAUACACACACACAUGCGCACGCACACUACUUAUUCAGUUGAAAAAAAUACAAGAAUUUGACAAUAUUGGUUAAUCAAAGAGCACCUUUAGUGACAUGAGAAUGAAAAUUGCUCCUAGAAUAUCUUCCUGAACUUUGUCAUUGAACGAUUGCUCAAAGAGUCUGUAAGAAAUUUAAUUCAUUCUAAUUUUGUCAGUAUUUAAGAAAGUAAGGAUGAUUGAAUUUGACUGCCAUUGUUUUCGAAAGAAUGACUCCACUCAUUAAAGAAUCAAGCCAAAAUUGAGACAAGUAUGAACAAACAAGCAAUUAGUAAUUUAUAUUGUGGUAAUACAAGUUUAUACAAAAAAAAAAGUAGGCACAGUGUAUUUUUUCUGCACCUGUUGUCUAAUAAUAUUAUCACCUUCCAAACUUUGUGGGUUUGUAAAAUGCAUCAAUUAUGGAUCUUGGAGUAAAGAUAUUAAGUAUUAACUAAAUUAACUAAUUAUUGAACUUAUACUCAUGGAAUAAUAAUUUUUUUUUGUAAUGUGCUAAUCUCUAGAAUAUUUGACUUUUAAUAUCCAGGUCUCCCAAUGGUGUGGAAAUUAAGUUGUUCUUCAACAUGCAGCUUCGUGGGACUUCAAGCAUGCCAAGAGUUUCUGGGAAAGAAUAGGUCAAGAUAAGUGACUUGGAGGAAUCUUCAAAAUCAAUACACUUUGUUGAAAUUGAAACUCUUGGAAGUAGCUUGACUGCAUUCAUACCAAAAAGUAAUUUAACAUAAUACUUAUGGACUUUCUCCAUCUCUUUUGUCAUUUCUUUUUCGAAAUUUAUUGUUUAUAGGAAAAAGAAAAAGUCGAUUCAAGAUAUGAAUCUAUGAACAGUUCAACAAUCUAGAUAAUAUUACUCAUUAACGAGAGAGGUUAAUCUAAAAGGACUGAGAUUCGUAGACCAACUGGUCACUACUCAUUACUCAUUAAUAUUCUAAUGUUUGCUUGCUUCUUUUUCAUGGUUUAACUUUAAAGUGAUUUUGGUGUCUUGCUAGUUUGUAAUUUGAUUCAGUCCGGUUGAUAGAAAGAAAUUGCUCAGAAAAUGUGAAAUAGGUUAAAAUAUCCCAGUUUGGUUUGGAUAUUGAAAGUUAUAAAAAUGGAAAUUAUGGCGGUGAUCCUCUUCAUUUUUCCCCACCAAUCAAAGCAGUGAAUUUUUUAAGAAUACAGACAAGAUUUGAAAAAAUAGUUAUCUAUAAUAAUGUAGAAGGGCACAAUAAUUAGAACUCCUAUAUAUGUUGGCUAAGCAAAAAUAUAUUUUUGUUAUCAUAAGAUCUUACAUACGAAACGAUUGUACUAUCAGGCAGGGUAGAUUUUCUUUAUAGUUAGCAAACUGGAACAAAAUUAUAAUAAUCUUAUUUUAAUAAAAUUGCCAAAUGAAAUAUCAUUUGCAAUGACAAUGUAUAUAUUACUAGUUUAAUUGACAAAAUAUAAGGAUUUGACAAUGCUAAUUUGAUUAAUCAAAGAGCACUUUUAGAAGAUAUUACGUUUACACGUAAAACUUAAAAGCCAAUUUAUUUAUUUUUUUUUGCUUUUCUAAAUUUAAAUUCUUUUUGCACGUGCUUCCACUAUUAUCUUGCUCUACAUUUGAGAAGAACUUCUUACAACUUUCUUCAAAUAAAUACCUUUUCCAUACAAAUCCCGCGCCUUUAUAUAAACAAUUACGCUGGUUACAAAGUUUAUCAAGCAAUAAUGAAGAGGCCGAUAACAUUUUAUAGUACCUUACUUUUCUUCUUUCUUUUACAUCCUGAAGAAGUGAUCACUUUCACUUUCUUGGAAGAUCAUUUGUGCCAUCAUGAUGAGGCUCUUGCACUGCUUCAGUUUAAGGAAAUGCAUAGCACAUCAACUGAUGCUUCUCAUGAUUGCAAUUAUUUUGGUCAGUACUCAUAUCCAAAGACAACACAUUGGAAACCAGAUACAGAUUGUUGCAAUUGGGAUGGUGUCACAUGCGACAACAUCACCGGUCGUGUAAUUGGGCUAGAUCUGAGUUGUGGCCAGCUUCAGGGAGUCAUCCAUCCAUACGCUACCCUUUUCAAUCUUUUCCAUCUCCACAGUCCCAACCUUACUUUUAAUGAUUUCACCGGCUCACGGAUUUCAUAGUGAUUUGACUCGCUAAAAAGUUUGAUCCACCUCAAUCUCUCAAAUUCAAAUUUCCAAGGUGAGGUUGCUUCAGAAAAUAUCACACCUGUUCAACCUAAUUUCACUUGAUCUCUCUUUCAAUCUCUUGUGUAAUUCUAUGGGUUGCUCAUAUCCAAGAUAUGAAUUUAGUAAUUUUGAAGCGAUGCUUCAAAACAUAACCCAUUUAAGAGAGCUAUCACUUUCGUCAGUGAACAUCUCAUCCGAGUUAAGGGUGAAUUUUUCUUCAUCUUUGACAUAUCUAGAUCUCUCAUAUACUGGAAUAACAGGUAAUCUACUAGGCAAUGUUUUUCAUCUACCGAACAUGCAAGUUCUCUCGUUAGAUAGCAAUGAGAAUCUUACUGUUAGUUUAUCAAACUUGAACUGCAGCAUUUCUGAUUCUCUGAGGCAGUUGGACCUAUCGGCGACAAGUCUCUCUGCUGCACUGUCAGAUUCAAUUGGGUGCAUAAGGUCCUUAAAUUCUUUGGAUCUAGGAACUUGUCAAAUUUCUGGUGUCAUUCCUGAAUCAAUUGUCUUCGGAAGAUAACUAUCUUCUAGGGAAAAUUCUAGCUAAAUUUUCCUGUUCACAAAAGCUAAGUAGACUAUCACUUGGUCUUUUUAGAUCUCUCUAGUAAUCAACUAAGCGGUUCACUUCCUCCAACAAUUUUUACUAUUCUGACUCUAUCUUAUCUUGACCUUUCUUCAAACCAUUUUGCUGGGGUUGGGCAAGACGUAUUUGUGGACUUCAAUAAGCUUCAAAAGAACCCUCUUGAGAAUGAAGCCCCACGGAACACUAAAAACAAUGUGAGCAUUUCCUAUCCAGAUUUCUGGCACUUGGGAUUGUCUUCUUGCCAGAUAAAGGAAUUUCCUGAGUCGCAUAGAAAUUCAAAGAGCUUAAAAUUUCUGGACCUCUCAAAUAACAGGAUUCACGGCGAAAUUCCAAGCUGGUUCAUGUUGAAGAAAAGGGUUCAGAUUGGGAAAAACUUCAAGCGUAUAUUACUGAUUGCAAUAGUCUGCUGAUAUAGUUACAAGAAUUUGACAAAAAAGGGAAGAUACAAUUAUUCCUAAAAUCAUGUAAUGGAAAGCUAAAACUACUCCUACAAUCACGUCAUGACAAAAACUUAUAUGGUAACAAUAUAUACAGCUAUAUGAUUGAAUAUCUCAACACUCCCCCUCAAGUUGGAACAUGGAGAUUGCGAAUGCCCAACUUGCUCAACAAAUGGUGGAACUGAGCUUUCCCAAGUGCUUUGGUGAACAAGUCGCCAAUUUGAUCACAUGAGCGAACGUGAGCAGUCUGCAACUCGUUACUUAGUAUGCGAUCACGAAUGAAAUGGCAAUCAAUUUCAAUGUGCUUUGUACGUUCAUGAAAAACUGGAUUUGCAGCAAUGUGUAGAGCAGCUUGGUUGUCACAAAAGAGAGACAUGGGUGAUGCUAAUGAAACUUUCAAAUCUGCAAACAAAGAACGCAGCCAGAGGAGUUCACUAGUAGCAUUGGCCAUUGCCCUAUACUCUGCUUCAGCGGAUGAGCGGGAAACUGUAGUUUGCUUUUUGGACUUCCAAGAAACCGGGCUAUUACCGAGGAAAACGAUAUAACCACUAGUCGAUCGUCGAGAUGUUGGGCAGCUGGCCCAAUCUGAGUCACAAUAAGCAAUGAGUUGCAGCAAACUAGCAGAUGACAAGAAUAUACCUUGGCCUGGUGCCCUUUUGAGGUAGUGAAGGACUCGAUAAGCUGCAUCCAAGUGAGGAACACGUGGAUCUUGCAUAAAUUGAUUGAGAACUUGUACUGGAUAGCUAAUGUCAGGUCGAGUUAUCGUCAAAUAAAGUAGCCUUCCAAUGAGACGACGAUAUUGACCAGCAUCUUUAACUACUGCACCAACUCCCGCUGCCAAGUUGUGUCGUUGUUCCAUAGGAAAGUCAGCAGGACUUGCGUCGAGAUGACAAGUCUCUUCAAGGAGGUCUAGAGUGUAUUUUCGCUGGCUAAGUACAAUUCCUUCCUUAUUACGAGCCACCUCAAUACCAAGAAAAUAUUUGAGUUGCCCAAGAUCUUUGAUGCGAAAAGCUGAAUCAAGAUGAUGCUUCAUAUGAUUGAUGGUGGUUGAAUCAUUUCCAGCCACAAUAACAUCAUCUACAUACACUAACAAAGCAGUAAAGUGUGCUCCACUGGUGAAUGUAAAAUGUGAAUUAUCUGUAGCAGAUUGACUAAAACCAAUACUCUACAAGCAACUAGAAAAUGUUUGAAACCAAUUUCUAGAGGCUUGUUUAAGGCCAUAAAGGGACUUUCGAAGUCGACAAACCCGAUUGUCACCUGGUUUUGCAAAGCCUUGUGGUAUUUUCAUGUAUACCUCUUCACGUAGAUCUCCAUGCAGGAAGGCAUUAUUAAUGUCCAGCUGAUGUAAUUCCCAAUGUCGUACUGCAGCCACAACUAAUAGACAACGUAGAGUUGUAAGCUUUGCAACUGGAGCAAAAGUAUCAUGGUAAUCGAGUCCUUCAACCUGUGUAAAACCUUUAGCAACCAAACGUGCCUUAAACCGCUCAAUUGUGCCAUCAGACUUGUACUUGAUUUUGUACACCCACUUGGAAUCAAUGGCAUGCUUACCAGGUGGUAGAUGCUCUAAUGUCUAAGUUUGAUUCUCCUCCAGUGCCUUAAUUUCUUGCUGCAUAGCAAGUCUCCAACGAUGAUCCCUAACUGCUUGGGAAAAAAACUUUGGUUCGUCUAAUGAAGUGAUGGAGGCCAAAAAAGCUUUAUGGGCAUCAGUGAAAUGAGAAUAGGACAAGUUAUGAGAGAUAGGAUAAAUUGUACCUGAGUUUGCUGAUGGAGGGGACUCCCGAGAUGGUUCCAAGGAGGGUAACAACUUAUAAUCAAAACCAGAAAGCUUUGUGGAUACAUGCCUUACUCGAUGUGGACGCUGCAAGGAAGGAAUUAUAUUUCCACUAGGGCUGCCAGUAUCUGGUUGUAGUGUAGAAUUAUCUUUUUCAUGUUGGGUUUGUUGGGAAAAUGUAUGUUCAAUAGGAGAUGGUGUGGUGUCCAUCGAAGUGGAGUUUAUAGGAGGUGGAAUUGGGUCAGAUUGUGAGUAAUCAUGCUGAUCUAUAUGGGGUUGCACACUCCACAUUGAAGGUUUAGACUCGUUAUUUCAUUGAAAAGGAAAUUCUGUCUCAUAAAAUAUCACAUCCCGUGAUACAAAUACUUUUUCUCUUUCCAAAUCAUAGACUUUAUAGCCCUUUUGUCCAUGGGGAUAACCAAGAAAAAUACACCGAUAGGCUCUAGUAGAGAAUUUAUCUCGGUGUUUGUCAUGAUUAUGAGCAUAACAAAGUGAUCCAAACACCUUCAAAUGAUUGUAGUUGGGUUUACUUUUGAAAAGUACCUCAUAUGGGCUCUUGCCUUUGAGAGUGGGAGUGGGCAUCAAAUUGAUAAGAUGAACUGCUGUCAAAACACAUUCUCCCCAAAAUUUCAAAGGUAAAUGGGCUUGAAAACGCAAUGCUCGCGCAACCUCAAGAAUGUGGCGAUGUUUGCUCUCCACUCGCCCAUUUUGUUGUGGAGUAUCAACACAAGAGGUUUGAUAGUCAAUCCCUUGACUAGCAAAAAAAUCUCUCAUGGUCCUGAGACAAAUUCACUCCCAUUAUCACUUCUCACAACCUGUACUGGGUAACCAAAUUGAGUUUGUGUAGAUUGGCAGAACAUGGUUAGAAAAUCAUAGGCCUACAAUUUAUUUUUCAAAAGAAAGACCCAAGUACAUCGUGAAAAAUCAUCAAAAAUAGUUAAGAAAUAAUGAGCACCACUAAGUGAUAAGACAGAAUAUGCUCCCCAAAGAUCAACAUGAAUCAAAGCAAAAGGUUUAACACUUUUCUUAUUGCUGUUUGGAAAAGACAAUCUUGUUUGUUUGGCCCUAUGGCAUACAUCACAAAUGUGAUUAAAAUUGCUAGGAAAAGGAAUACUAGAAAUUAAUUUUAAUCGGCUAAAGGAAGGAUGACCCAAGCGCAUGUGCCACAAGGUAGCAUCAGAUUCAGUAACACUAAGACUUGCGAGCCCGUGGCCUCCUUCUAAUUGAUAAACCCCAUCUCGGAGCCUACCCACUCCAAUCAGCAUCCUCGUACACAGGUCCUGAAAAAAAACAAGAAUCAGGAAGAAAGGUUGCUGAGCAGUUUAAUUCCUUUGUAGCUUUGGCAAUAGAGAGGAGAUUGAACUUGAAACCAGGCACACAAAUAACAUUUUUCAAAUUGAUAUUUGGUGUUAGGUAGGCAUUACCAACGUGAGUUACAGGGAGACUAGAGCCAUUUGCGAUUCUCACAUUUGGAUAUGAAGAGAUGCAUUUAACAUUGUCAAGUAUACUUUUGUCUCCAACCAUAUGGUUAGAGGCACCAGUAUCCAAAAUCCAUGAGUUAUGGAAUGAAUUGCAUUUACCUGCAAAGUUGGCCAAGGCCUCAUUAUCAUGAUUUGGUGGUCCAAGGAUUUGCAUGAGUUUGUUGUACUGGUCCAUUGUCAAUCCAAGAGGUUGUUGUGACUGUGACUUCUCACUUGGGUUGAUAAAUUGGUGGUCAGUUGCUGCUAUGUUGCCAUAGAUUUGCAUCUGCCCUGAAUUGUUCUUGCCUCCACCACAAUUGCCACCUUUGCUUUGUUGAUUAUUCUUCCAAUUUGCUGGAUACCCUAUUAUCUCAAAGCAUUCUUCCUUGAGAUGUCCCAUUUUCUUGCAAUGUUCACACCUUUUACUUGAUCGACUUCUUGGGGCUUGACUCCUGGUAUUUUCGUUGCCCCUACGAUCAGUUUUUGCUGCAAAAGCCGCUCCUUCCAGGCUGUGUGAUGUUUGUUCAUUUACUUGUACAAAGGAUUGCUCUUCUUGUAAAGCCAAGGAAAACAGUUUACUGAGUGAAGGUGUAGGUUCCAUGGACAGCACAUUAGAUCUCAACCGAUCGAAAUUUCCAUUCAAUCCCAGUAGAAAUUGAAGGGCUUUUUCUUUUUCUCGGCGUAAUAAGUGAUCCUUGGCUGCCUCGCAUUUGCAAUAAGGCAAUGGAUCAUAGAUUUACAGUUCUUGCCAUAAGGUUUUGAACUUGGUAUAAUAUUGAGUUAAAGGCUGCCCAUCUCCUUGUAACAUGUUGGAAAAUUAUUUUUUUAUUUUAUAAAGUCGAGGUGCAUUACUUUGUCCAUACCUUUCACAAAUCUCAGUCCAAAUUUCUUGUGCCGUGCCGGUGUAGACAACGCUCUCUUGUAUGUCCUUGGCCAAGGAAUUCCUCAGCCAUGCUCUAACCAUUGCAUCAUUCUUCUUCCACCGUUGAAAGUCUGGUGACUUUAGAUCUGGCACUUCUAGACUGCCAUCAAUGAAACCACCCUUGCCUUUGGCAUAUAGGGCUGUUUCCAUGGUGCUUUUCCAUGCUGCAAAAUUUUCUCCUGCGAAUGGUGUGGAGACAAAUUGCAGCCCUGGAUGAUCUGAAGGUACAACACAUAGGGGGAGUCAUCAUAGAUUGUAACCUCUCCCCCUUUCGUUGAAUUCUCUGGAGUUGACAUAUUUUAUUGUCAACAAUUGUUAAGGCUCAACCUGCUCUGAUGCCAUGAAGAAAAGGGUUCAGAUUGGGAAAAACUUCAAGCGUAUAUUACUGAUUGCAAUAGUCUGCUGAUAUAGUUGCAAGAAUUUGACAAAAAAUGGAAGAUACAAUUAUUCCUAAAAUCAUGUAAUGGAAAGCUAAAACUACUCCUACAAUCACGUCAUGAUAGAAACAUAUAUGGUAACAAUAUAUACAGCUAUAUGAUUGAAUAUCUCAACACAUGUCCAAGACUUGGGAUAAUUUGCCCUACUUGAAUCUUUCGCAUAACUUUUUGACUGGUACCAUAGACCAACUACGGUGCAAACAUCUGUUGCAUCUAGAUAUGAGUUUCAACUCACUUCAGGGUCAAAUGCCUUCUUCUAUCUGUAACUCAACUUCUCUUUUCAUUCUUGAUUUGUCAUAUAACAAUUUGGUUUCCCGAAUCCCUCAAUGCUUGGGAAACUUCAGCCAGAAGCUCUCCGUUUUGGAUUUGGGAAAUAAUGGACUUUUUGGCACCAUUCCCACAACUUUUUCACAAGGUAACUCUCUGAAUAUUCUUAUGCUGAAUGACAAUCAACAAGAUUGAUGAUAGAUUUCCAAUUUGGUUGGAAUCUCUACCUAAUCUACAGGUUUUCAUAAUCGAUUUCACGGAGGAAUUGGUAAUUUUCAAACUGAAAGCCCAUUUCCGCAGCUGAGAAUCAUCGAUGCAUCCUGCAAUGAGCUCACUGGUGUUCUACCUACAGAACUCUUCAAAAGCUUAGAAGCUAUGAGAAGCUUAAAGGAUCACCCUGGGCAAUAUAGGUCAGAAACUGGCUAUGAGCUUGAUUAUUACAUCCAUUCCUUGACUUUAGUAAUCAAAGGGACGGAGUAUAGUCUUGAAAGAGUCCUGAUAGAUCGAACAGCCAUUGAUUUCUCAAGCAACAGAUUUGAAGGACAAAUUCCAGAAAUUAUCGGAACCCUUCAUUCUCUUCUUAUACUCAAUUUCUCUCAUAACAAUCUCAGUGGUCAUACUCCCCGGGCAUUAGGGAAUUUGAAUAAGCUUGAAUGUCUAGACCUCUCUUGGAACCAGCUUGAGGGAACUAUUCCUGUGGAGCUUCUGAAUCUGACAUUCCUUGAAUUCUUACACCUUUCAGAAAAUCAUCUGAUUGGACCCAUUCCUCGAGGAAGACAUUUUGAUACAUUUGGGAAUGAUUCAUGCAGAGGGAACUCGGCCUUGUGUGGAUCACCAUUGACUAAAGAUUGUGGAAAUACAGGGGCACCACCACCAGCCUCGCCAUUCGGAUCUGAGCAACAAUAUGAUCCAGAGUUCUUUGAUGGAUUCACCUGGAGAGCUGUUGUUCUGGGAUAUGGUUGCGGAUUAGUGCUCGGACUAACCAUGGGAAGUCUCGUGUUCUUAACUGAAAAACGAAGAUGGUUCAUAUAGAUUGUUGAAGAGUCGUACAAUCUGUGAAAAAGAUCGAGGAAAUAUGUCCACAUACGAACUUGAGAACAGCAAUGCAAUUUACAAAAUUGGUGGGCAAAACAUACUCUCUUCUGCAGCUGUUGUCUAAUAAUUUUACUUCCUCUGCAUAAUUUCCAUUUUCAUAAUCAAAUAUCCUUGGAAAUGAUAACUUUUUUCUAUGGCUAAUCACCAGAAAAUUUGACUUUUUAUGUCCAGGCCUCCCAUUGGAGUCGUAACUAGGAAGGAUCAGCAGUAAAACUGGCUUUGUUUCAGUUCCAGUUGUAUGUAUCUGCUAUGCACGUUUUAAGGUUCUAAUAGUUGCUUCUUUUUAUGAUUGUCAAGUUCCAGGUGCAAAGAGAUUCUGAUUCCUUGCAACUUUAUCUUUUGCUUCAUGGUUAAAAAUGAAAUCAAGAACAUGUUCAGAAAAUAUGAAAAAAGGGUAUAUCCCAGUUUGGUUUGCACAUUGAAAGUUGUUCGAUGAAAAUUAUGACAAUAAUUCUCUUCAUUAUUCCCCACCUGCCAAAGAAGUUAUCUUUGAGACUACAAACUAGGCUAGUGUGCUUUAAAAUGCUUUACAUUGACUAAUCAACAACGAAGAUGUUCUUCAACUUGCACCUUUGUGGGACUUGAUUUGGAACAGCUUUGCACCAUUCGAACUUCAAUCGUUUACUGCCACAGCUGGUAUGUGUGAACAGAGAGAGACUAAUCCAAGCCACUUUUCUUGACUUUGUGGAAAAGAACAAGUCAUCCUCAGUCUUUUGCAAUAAAUUAUAGAUAAGUGAAGCCUAGUCUUCAUCCAAAAUUGUCAAAAGUGAAAUUCAUGGAUGCAACUUGAACAUAACUUAUUCUUCACUGGACCUGAAAAUUAGAGCACCAGCGACCAGCUUAAUCUUAAUUGGCUUUGGAGCUUCCACGCCAAAUGGUACGACAAUUUUGAGAAAAGGGAAGGGAGAGUUAUAGAUUUCAAGAGAAUGAUCUUUUUUCACACUACCAAAUUAGGGUCUACUAACAAAAUUUAUAGUGAAGUUCUUCAAAUCAAAUGAUCAAUCCACGAGACAAAAUCUAAUAGCAUGAACUAACUCGAAAAUAAGGUUGAGAUCUCUAUUUUAAAUACAAAAGACAAUUCACAUAUCCGAGAUAAUGAGUCAAGGAUAACCAUAUAAUAAAGCACAUACAACCACAAACUUCAAACAGCAACAAGUAACCAUGAAAUGCUUCAUGAUCCAAUUAACACAAGAAAAGCAAGAUAGUUAAGUAAUCUUAACAGAAUGCUUAUUGACUUUCUACAUCUCUUUAAUCAUUUCUUUUUCCAAUUUUUUUUUUUGUUUUACAACAAAACAAAAGUGAAUUCCAGAUAUGACCCCAUUACAGGUUCAAAAGUACAGAUAAUACUCAUGAACGAAAAGGAAUGAGAUGGGUAGGCCACUUUGGCCCCAUAGCUGUGACAAUUAGUGGACUCGUUGAUCCAAAGGCAUUUAUGGUGGAAAUGAAUUUAGAACGUAAAUGUAGUUUCUUGGCAUUACAAGUCUUUACAAGCCUAAUGAAGAUAGCAAAUAAUUCAUAUGGAUGCUACGACUUUUCAGAGGAGCUAAGGCCCAUUCUAAUUAGCCAUUACUCAUGAAAGGGAUAGUUAGAUAGGAAUUUAGUAACAUAGUGAUAGAAGCCAUCCAAAGAGAACCGGUCCAUUUGUGCACAAAGCAAAGUGAGUUUAGGAUAUAUAUGCUACACCAACAAUCUGCACAUACAAAAUUUGAUCAAGCAAAAUGAGGAAUCUAAUAGUUUAUACACUAGUGCUCCUUUCUUUGCAAUCUCGAGAAAUUACCAGUUUGUCUUCCUUUUUACCUCAUUUGUGUCACCAUGAUGAGAGUCUUGCUCUACUUCAGCUUAAGCAAAUGUUUCAAAAAUCAACAGAUGCUUCUGCCUACUGUGAAAAUGCAUAUCCAAAGAUGAUAUCAUGGAGCAAAACUUCUGAUUGCUGCACCUGGGAUGGGGUAACAUGCCAUAGAGUUACAGGUCAUGUAAUUGGCAUAGACCUUAGUUGCUGCCAACUUCAAGGAUCCAUCUAUGCUAAUAGUAGCCUGUUCAAUCUUUCUCGCCUCCAAAAGCUUAAUCUAGCUUACAAUGACUUCAAGAAUUCACCAAUUUCUCAUGGCAUUGGUGGCUUGACUAGUUUAACAAACCUCAAUCUCUCCAAUUCCAAUUUCUACGCUCAAAUUCCAUCCCAAAUAUCUUUACUGUCAAAUUUAGUUUCACUCGAUCUCUCCCAAAAUCCUAUUGAGUUUGAACAUCAGGAUUUCCAACUGCUUCUUCAAAACUUAACUCAGGUUAGAAUACUUUCUCUUUCUGACGUUAGUAUCUUCUCCGAGUUCCCUAAGAACUUUUCUUCAUCUUUGACAAUUGUGGAUCUUGGUCAAACUCAAGUUUAUGGUAAGCUACCAGACCAUAUUUUCUAUCUAGCAAAAUUGCAACAACUCAUACUAAAUGGAACUCAAGUCACUGGAAGUUUACCGAACUUGAACUGCACUGCUUCAUACAUGUUGUCGUACUUAGAUCUUGCUUACACAAAUUUUUCUGGGGAACUUCCCAACACAUUUGGCUGCUUGAAGUCCUUGAACGCCAUGUUGCUCGAUGGAUGUCAGUUCACUGGUCGCCUUCCUGAGUCAAUUGGAAACCUUUCUCAGCUCACUACGAUGUCUCUGACUCAAAACAGUUUCAGUGGGCCUCUUCCAUCGGUGAUCUCAAACCUUGUCCAACUGGAAGUUUUAGACCUUACAGGCAACCAAGUGCAAGGCCAAAUACCAGAUUGUUUCACAAAUCUCCAAAAAUUAACUCAAUUGUCAUUGCGAGACAACCAUUUGGUUGGGCCUUUCCCAUCCACCAUUGCGAACCUUACCAAUCUCCAGACGCUAGAUCUACAAUCCAAUUCGAUAACAGGUCCUCUUCCAUCAAACGUGAGUGGCCUUCAGGAAUUGUCUUUUCUAUAUCUUUAAAACAACUUGCUCCAUGGCACAGCACCGACAUGGUUAUUUAGCCUGCAGUUACUCACAACUUUGCUUCUCAAAAACAAUCUCCUAACAGGACAAAUCGAAGAGCUCAAUGGAAUGUCACUGAUGAAAAUUGAUUUGAGUAAUAACCAAUUAUAUGGUCAAAUUCCUAAAUCAAUUUCAACACUCCCAUUUUUAGAUUUCCUUGACCUCUCAUCAAAUAAUUUGAGUGGCGUGCUUGAACUAUCCAGUGAUGGUCUUGAGUACCUUGUUCUCUCUAAUAAUCGAAUAUCAUGGAGCACCAGCGGAAAUGUCAGCAACUCUUUACCAAACCUUUAUCGUUUAGAGCUAUCUUCUUGUGAGAUGAAGGCUUUCCCAGAAUUUCUCAGAAGCUCAAAGAAGUUAGAAGUUCUACAGCUCUCUGACAAUAAGAUUCAAGGUCAGAUUCCCAGCUGGGUGACAUCCAUGCCUUGGGAUUCACUUCUGUAUCUAAAUCUAUCUUAUGACCACCUUUCUGGGAUGGAUGCAUUACCUUGGAAGAAUCUAAGGGUUCUAGAUGUUCGAUUCAACCAAAUCCAAGGACAAUGGCCUUUUUUCAUUUGCAAUUUGAAAGCUCUAGCAAUUCUUGAUUUGUCAAGGAACAAAUUUACUGGUGCAAACCUCGGUGUUUUGGGAACUUUUCUAGUUUUGUGGUCCUGAAUUUGGAAGGAAAUGGCCUGCAAAGGACCAUUAAUUCAAUGGUAUUUGCAAAAGAUAUCAGAUUGAGAUAUCUUGGUCUGAAUAGAAAUUUCUUGGAAGGGCCGCUGCCAGAAACUUUGGCCAACUGCAAGUCCUUGAUGUGGGGAACAACCGUCUGAAAGAUAUAUUUCCUGCAUGGUUACAAAAUCUUACGGAGCUCCAAGUUCUUGUGUUGAGUUCUAACAGAUUCUUUGGACCCAUAAGCAUUUUCAAGGCUAAGAGUCCAUUCCAAAAGUUGCAAAUCUUCGCCCUCUCUUGCAAUGAGUUCAGUGGUGUUCUAUCUACAGAACUUUGGAAAGCUUCAGGGCUAUGAUGAGCUUACAAAGCAACAAAUCAGAAUCUAAAUACUUGCAUGCAACCGGUAAUACAACAAAUUAUCUAUACUCUGUCAGCAUGACAUCCAAAGGCCAUGAGAUUGAGUUCACCAAAAUCAUUAGAACUCUCACAACCAUUGAUCUGUCAAGCAACAUGUUUCAUGGGAGGAUCCCAGACGUCAUUGGAAAUCUCUACUCCCUCAAGUUGUUGAACUUAUCCAACAAUAACUUUUCUGGCCACAUUCCACCAGCUAUUGGGAACCUGAAAUUUCUUGAAACAUUAGACCUUUCAAGAAACCAAAUUGGAGGAGAGAUUCCAAUGCAGCUAACGAAUCUUACAUCUCUUGAAGUCCUAAACUUAUCAUGCAAUCAUCUUAUUGGGCAAUUCCUCAAGGCAAUCAAUUGCGCACACUUGGUGAAGAUUCAUACAGCGGAAACUCAGGAUUAUGUGGAUUCCCAAUAACAAAAAGCUGUGAAGAAAUGCAUGUGCCACAAGCGCCCCCAGAUGAGGCAUUGGAACAAGGCGAGGAUUCGAGUUUCAUGGGUGGAUUUACAAGGAAAUCAGUGCUCAUAGGAUAUGGUUGUGGACUUGUUCUUGGCAUAGCUUCUGGUUUUCUAAUGUUUGCUACUGGAAAACCAAGAAGAUUGGUAAGAUUCAUUGAAGAAGAAGCAUAUAGUAAUAGUGUACUCUUGUUUGGAAAGAGAAAAACUGUAUAAUCAGCUGAAAAAACCAAUAACAUGUCACGAGCGCAUGGAAGAAGAAACUAAAUAUCCAGAUAAAUGAGGUAACUAGAACAUACAUUCUGUGAUUUUAUAUUGUUUCCUUGUACAACUUUGUUAUCUAUAUCAUCAAAUGUUUACAUUCUUAAGAUAAACUGUACUUCUUACAGUUGCCCAAUUUAUAUUCAAGCACUUACUAUCUUUGUGCUUAAUAAGCUAUUAUUCAUACAGCGGGUCUGGUUUUAUAUUUGUAUAGCUGAUAUCAAAUUUUUGGAGCAUGUCUCGUUGCCCCAUUAUUCAAAAAUAACAGCUUUAAGAUCUCCAGUCUAUGAACCAAGAUAUCACUCAAGGCCAUAACCAAAAGGAUGACCUCACAGGAUCCAAAGCCAUUUCUGAUAAUUAGUGAGACUGAUAGUUUCUUGGGUUUUCACUGAAUUUCUGAUUCAAUGAAUUAGAAUAGACAGCUUUAAGGAUAUGAUACCUUUCUUUUUAUUAUUCUCAUUUAUUGAUUUGAUCAAUUCAUCUAAGCAAUCACCAUUGUUGUAGUUUAAUGUGCUUACCUUUCAUUUUUGUAGGUGGAGAAAUUUGGGAAAGAGAACUUUUCAUUCCACGUUAGAUGUCUUAAGUAUUUGUGUUAGACCUAUUAACCUUUCACGGUUCUUCAAGUGCUGUCAAUUACUAAACUCAUAGAAAUCAAAAUCCGCUUCAAAAUUUCUCAUAUUAUGUCCUUUGUUCUUUUCAUGUGUGAAUCUUAGUGUGGUUUUGUAACACUUUGUAGAAGCUCAACAAUUGAUUACUAGAUUCAGGUUUCUAAAAGAUAGUCUCCAUUAAUUAUAUGAUUUAGGAAACCCAAAUUAAUGGUGAAAAUAAUAAUUACAUUUUUCAGAAGCUCCUAAAGGUAGGAACUAAUAUUGAAAUUCACCUUUAUGAGACGGUACAGACUCUAUACAUUGGCACAUCCCAAAAUUAUUCUGAAAAUGAUCCAGCUUUGUGUCAAAGUUCAUUAAGGGUACACAAGAAUGUCCAACCACAAGCUAAAAAUUAGUUUUACUAGAACUAAUUUUUAUUAAACUUCAAAACAUAAGCUAAAUUAUUUAACAACAAAAUAGCAAUGAAUUGAGAACAUAGGAUUUGUAAUUCAACAAAAAAGAGGAAAUUAAGGAUUAUGUGGAUUUGCACAAGUACAUGUAACUUGAUGUUACUGUUGGAUCUUUUAAUUGGAAAUAAAGGAUGGCUUACCUAAUUAAAUUUACCACUACCAGGUCAACCUUCUUGCAGUUUCAGCAUUGUUUUUUCAAUAACUCAGCUUCCCCAUGGAUUUUGCUGCAUUCAAAUAAUUUUGUCCUCAGCGUCAGAGAGAAGUCAUAGACAAGUAAUUUGAUUGAUAAGAAACCAACAUGUCAGGCCAUUCAAUUAACUUCUUAAUCAUGUAACUCACCGUUGUGCACAGAAAUAUGAGACUCUAAAAGACAAACCUUGAAAUAGCAUUUCUCCAUUCACGUUUAGUUUGAUUUUAUGAUCUAAAGUAACUGCUGGUGUACUUGCAACACAAAAUGAGAAGACUAACGUGCUUUGUGCAUCAGUUGAAUGAAGCUAAAGGAAAGCACCAACAAAGUGCCCUGCGUCUGGUGAACAAAAGCCACAUAUGGCAACACGAUGAACAUCUCCAGCUCCACGACAAACCUAGUUGCAAAGUUACCCAUUAAAGAACAUAAAAACGAAAGUUGAAAACUUUCUGAUCGAACAUCUUUAAAACCAACAGAACAAUCUUCCAGAAGGAGCAAGUCAUUCUGAUUCUUGUGCAAUCUUUUAUCAAUCCCACAAGGGUGGAACAAAACCUAGAAGUGGAUUCAAUUAAUAACUCUAUGGUGACAAAUUGUCAUCAAAAGAUUUAAGCUCUGAAGGAAACAACUAUAACCAAAAUUUUAAUUGUGGUAUAUACAUCUAAAUGAAAGCAAUUUCAAAGUUUGAGGAGCCAAAAACAUCAGCAAGAAUGAUGAUUGCUACCCAUAAAAGGAAAAAGAAAAAAAAGGAUAAGAUCAGCAGCUCUACUCAGCCACCACUCAAACUGAUUGCAACAUAGCUAGAACAUGUUGACACUCUGCCUAAUCUAAUUAACGAGAAACUGGCAUGUCAUACAAAUGCACUUCUGGACACGCAAUUGCGAGAAACUGGCAUGUCAUACAAAUGCAAUUGAUAUAAAUUUCUGCUGACAUGGGAACAAAAUGUUGAUCUCAGCAUCCUGGCAGUAUACUUCAUGGAUGGAAUAGUUGGAAAAUUGUAUUCAGCAAGUCAUGGAGCCUGAUGUUUCCAAGUCACUCUCUUCACUCCCAGCAAAUUUAAUAGAUCUGCCAAAAAGAGCCAUCUUCUCUGACAAAUUACGAAGAGCAUCCUGCCUAUUAGCCAAUUCCAUAAGCACCUUAAUCCUCCUAAAUGAAACAUUACUUGGUUUUUGCCCUUUCUCCACCAUCUGCAAGAAAGACCUCUCAGCCUCAUCCAACUUCCCCAUGUCACAAAGCAAAUCAAACAAAACGUCAGAGACCAAUAUAUAAGAGCCAUACCCCAUCUCCACCAUAUCAUUCCAUAGCUCAAGUCCCAUUUCAACCUUCUCGUGCCUUCUCAACAACCUGAUCAAAAACAUACAAGAUUGAGUGUUUGGUAGACACCCUGUUUCCCUCAUUCUCAGGUACAAGUUCCAUGAACUUAUCAAAUCAUUCCACCAAUAAAAGUCCUCAACAAAAUAUUUUAAGUAGUUGCAUUUGGGCUCAACACCUUCUUUACCAUCUCAUUCAUCAAACCAUAGGCAUCCCCAAUCCUCUUUGCAAUACAGAAAUUUCUAAUAGCAGCAUUGUAAGCUGCCACAUCAGGAUAGCAUCCAUACUCUCUCAUCUCUUCCAAAACAUCCCUUGCCUUAUCAGGUUGCCCCACAAGCCCCAAACCACCAAUCAAACUCGUAUAUGUAAUCACAUCUGGACUAAUAUCCCUCUCCCUCAUCUCCUCCACCACCCUAUACGCCUUAUCCAUUUCUCUCGUCUUACAAUACACAUCCACCAAACACUAUCAGGUUCAACCCCCAUUUCCCUCGUCUCCUCAAAAAAGCCCUCGGCCUCAUCAGUUGACUUCCAACCAGCCAACAAUAUAUUAAAAGUCUGCAAAUUCGGCCUAAAUUCAUGCUUCAAGUUAUGAUACACAUUCCUGGCAUCACUCAUCCUCUUCUCUUGACACAAUGUCCUAAACAGUGCAUUGUAACAACUAGUAUCAAACUCCAAAACAAGCCUUCGAAACCGCUUAAACGAAAUCACAGUCUGCUUAACUGAACAAACCUUAGCAAUCCUAGCUAAGACAACUUGAACAGUUCUUGAAGUGAUCGAAGAUUGAUCCUUUUUCUUCGCUUCCACCAAAACCUCCCAAAUAUUAUCAAAUUUUCUGCUCCUACCCAAAACAUACAGCAUUGUAUCCAAAGAAAAUGCAGAAUGCAAAAACCCCUUUUUCCUAGAUGUAAACUUAAAGAAUUCCAAAGCCUGUAAUGGAUUAGAAUGAGAAAAUCUGACCCUUUUCAGAACAUUAUCAAUUAAGUCAUUUGAGAAAGGGAUUGAAGCUGCUGCUGAUCUCAGUGACUGUCUGAGUUCAACUGAGGUUCUUGAACUUGUUAGUAUCCGAAAAACAGUCUCAACAUCGUCGUUUACAGCAGGGGAGGAAGAAGUAAAAGGCGGGAUUUUUUCAAUUUGGGGAAUGGAACUAAAGAAAAGAAGUGAAUUUAAACAGGCAUACCUUACUGUUGCCGUUGAUGAUGUACAAGAGUGAAGAAAAAUGGGAUUUCUGAUAAAAAGAUGGAGCAAUUUUUUUGGGAUGAAAUCUGAAUGAAGACAAGAACCAAAUAUUCAGACUCUAUGCUACUGCUGCUCCUGCAGGUUUUCCCUCAAGUAUUCGAAUGCAUGAAAUUUUUGGGAUUUUUGUGAUUUUGGGGUCAUUUUUUAUGCUGUGGUUUUGCCGCAAAGCGAUUCUUCCAGCUGAAUUGAAGUGAAAGUUACACUUCAGGGAUGCACCUCUGUAUUCUUUUGUUUUCCUCUUUUUUGCCUUUUUUUUUCCAUCGGCGAAAUAAAAAGAGAAAAAAAAAGUAGGCUAAUACCAUAAAAAUGACCAUAGUUUUAGAACCAUCAGAUCCAAUUACUUUUAAAGGUCAAACUAGGAGGGGAACACCGCGCGAUGCGCGGUGUAAUUUUCAAGUUUGCCCAGAAACGUUCAAUUAUUCAAACUGGGAUAUUCAAUAUAAAAAGUUACAUGAAGGUGCAUCCAAAUGUUUGUGAUUAUUUUUUAUAAUUUUAUUAUGCAAUGAAGAGAGCCACAAUUUCAGUCUAGUUGCUAAAUGACAGUCAUUUUUGGUAUGCUGACUAAUUGGACAGCAAUGGCAAUGUCAUUAGUUUGAAAAUAAUAUAACACUGUGUAAUGCUGCCUUAUAUUUUUUAUGUACACCAAAAUCUGUGACUUUGUAGCUAAAAAAAAAAAAGAGAGAGCAGUGUAGUAUUGCAGCAAGGCUUAGCCUUAUUUUUAGACUCUGAUACAACCAAUCCACUAUUUUCGUAAUUGCAUCAAAUUAACCCAAAGACUGAAAGAAAGACCUAUUACUUUGUAGUACAAUAACCAAAAUGGCUUCAUUAGCUUGUAACUUCAAGAAAUCUACGGAAAGCAAAAGAAUUGUGCUCACAUAUCAACCGUAGUGAGAUAAACUGCAUUUGACCAAAAACGGAGGAGGAUUACCUAAUGCAGGUGUAUCUUCUCAAUACAUCAAUAGUAUAGGGGAUGGUCAAGUACUCAAUACACAAAAAAAAAAGAAAAAAGGAAGUUUCACAGGCCUCGAUGCAAUUCUACCUUUGAUCAUUUGAUGCAUGUCAACAACCAGAAUCCCGUAAAAGGAAAGACAAGUACAUGAGAUAAUGUAAAAGCCUGCAUUUAUGAAACUUACUACCAGUAGACUGCAUUCCAGAGGUUCUCAUUACACAUCAAAGCUGUUCCAGCUCAAAAAGGAAUAUAAGAAAAAGAAGAAAAAAGAAAUGCACAGUGUGCAUCAAGCCUUUUCCUUGUUAUUAGAAUCAUACACUUCAAAAUAACCGAAAGACCGAAAAAUGCAUUACUUUGUAGUACAAUAACUAAAAAGGUUUUUAUUAGCAUAUAACUUCAAGAAAUCUAAUGAAAAGUGUGAAUUUCAGAGGAAGAGAAUAAAUUCCCCAUAUUUUUAUUCAUCAAUGGUAAGGGUAUAUAUACAGGUAUAGACAUCUUAUAAUAUGAAGAUAUCCUAUUACAAUAAAUCAGUCCUCUAAUUCCUAUAAUUUAGGCUACAAACUAGCCUACAUUUGUUAGCUAUCUAAUCCCUACAAAUCAGCCUAUAUCAAUCUGUGACAGCUAUCUAAUCCCUACAAAUCAGCCUGCAUAUAAUCUGUAACACUCCCCCUCAAGCUGGAGCAUAGAUAUUAAUCAUGCCCAGCUUGUUACAUAGAUAAUCAAUCCGGACCCCGUUAAGAGCUUUUGUGAAUAUAUCACCUAAUUGUUCUCCAGUCUUCACAUAACCUGUAGUGAUCAAACCUUGUUGGAUCUUUUCACGAACAAAAUGACAAUCAAUCUCAAUGUGUUUCGUUCGUUCAUGAAAGACUGGAUUGGAAGCAAUGUGAAGUGCAGCUUGAUUAUCACACCAUAGCUUGGCAGGUACUGAGACCUUAAUUCCUACUUCACUAAGGAGCUGAUAUACCCAUAUGACUUCACACACAGACUUGGCCAUAGCUCUAUAUUCAGCUUCCGCACUGGAUCGUGAGACGACAUUCUGUUUCUUACUCUUCCAUGAGACCAAAUUUCCCCCAACAAAAACACAAUAUCCUGAAGUAGAUCUCCUAUCUUCCUUACACCCUGCCCAAUCUGAAUCUGAAAAACAUUCAAUCCUAGUAUGACCAUGAUUGCCAUAUAGGAUUCCACGUCCAGGAGCACAUUUUAAAUAGUGCAAAACUUGUUCGACUGCUUUCCAAUGGUCAACAGUUGGUGAGGACAUAUAUUGGCUUAACACACUCACUGAAUAAGCAAUAUCAGGACGUGUCACAGUAAGAUAAUUCAACUUUCCGAUUAGUCUUCUGUACCUCUCAGGAUCUGCACACAAUUCACCUUCUUUGGUUAAUUGUAAAUUAGGAACCAUUGGGGUACUACAUGGUUUAGCACCCAACUUUCCCGACUCCGACAGUAAAUCAAGUACAUACUUUCUCUGUGAUAGAAAGAUUCCCUUCUUACUCCUGCUAACUUCAACUCCCAAGAAAUACUUUAACAUCCCCAAGUCUUUGGUAUAGAACUGAGUAUGAAGAAAGGACUUUAGAGACGAAAUUCCGCUAGAGUCGCUACCUGUGAUUACAAUAUCAUCCACAUAUACAACUAACAGAAUAAUACCUCCAUUAGAGUGUCUAUAGAAAAUAGAAUGAUCUGACUUGCUUUUCUGCAUCCCAAAUUUCUCAAUAGCUUGGCUAAAUUUUCCAAACCAAGCCCGAGGACUCUGUUUCAAGCCAUAUAGAGAUUUUUGCAGACGACAGACUUUCCCUUUCCCAUACCCCCCUUGAGCAACAAAACCAGGUGGUUGCUCCAUAUAUACCUCCUCCUGAAGAUCACCAUGAAGAAAGGCAUUCUUGAUGUCUAACUGAUGCAGAGGCCAGUCAUAAGCUGCAGCAAGGGAGAUAAACAACCUGACCGAAGCAAGUUUAGCAACAGGAGAAAAAGUAUCAUGAUAAUCCACCCCAUAAAUUUGAGCAUAUCCUUUAGCAACAAGUCGAGCUUUCAAUCGAGAAAUGGAGCCAUCAGAAUUCAUUUUGACAGUAAACACCCAUUUACAUCCAAUGGCUUGUUUACCUGCAGGUAAGGUAACCAAAGUCCAUGUACCAUUGACAUCUAGAGCAUUCAUUUCCUCAAUCAUAGCAGUCCGCCAUCCGGGAUGAGCUAAUGCCUCUCGAACAGUCUUAGGUACAGAAACAGUGUCUAGGGAUGUAAGAAAAGCACAAGAAGAGGAAGACAAAUGAUGGUAGGAAACAACUGAAGAGAUUGGAUAAGUACAUGCACGUUUACCUUUUCUGUGAGCAAUAGGGAGAUCAAGAUCAUCGUUGGCAGCCGGAUCUGAUGACAAAGAGACUGGUUCAUCAGGACAUGAUUCUGGAGACUCAAGGACCAAGUCAGAACUGGGCUGAUGUGCCCGACGUGAGUAGGUAUAUUUGAUGGGAGGCUUAACCGGUGUAGAAGGAGGCGGACCCAAAUUUGGUAUGACACUAUAGAUUAACAAAUCAUCAUCCUCCCCUGGACUCACAGAACUUGAAGAGCCUGAAGAUGAAGAUAAAGGUGUUUGUUCCAAAAAAGUAACAUCAGCAGACACAAGAUACUUACCAAGACUAGGACAAUAACAACGAUACCCUUUUUGCAUGCGAGAAUAACCCAGAAACAUACACUUUAAGGACUUAGGAUCAAGUUUUGUAACUUGAGGACGAACAUCCCGAACAAAACAAGUACAACCGAAUAUCUUUGGUUCUAUAGGAAACAACUGUUUAUUUGGAAAUAGAGUGUGGAAAGGAGUAUUACCAGACAAAACAGAGGAAGGCAUACGAUUGAUUAGAAAACAAGCAGUAGAUAGAGCAUCAGCCCAGAAACAUUUAGGAACCUUCAUUUGAAAUAACAAAGCUCGAGCAGUUUCAAGAAGGUGUCUAUUCUUUCUCUCGGCAACCCCAUUUUGAGAAGGGGUGUCAACACAAGAGGUCUGAUGAAGAAUACCCUGCUCAAGCAUGUAUUUCUGAAAACUGCUUGAAACAUAUUCUUUUGCAUUAUCACUUCGCAAAAUUUGUACAGGUUUACCAAAUUGGGUUCGAAUUUCAGCACAAAAGGAAGAAAAGUGAAGAAAUAGUUCUGAGCGACUUUGCAUCAAAUAAAGCCAUGUCAUUCUAGAAUAAUCAUCCACAAAGGUAACAAAAUAUCUGAAACCAGUUUUAGAGGUAACUGGACAAGGACCCCAAACAUCAGAAUGUACUAACUCGAAGGGAGCAGUAGCUCGCUUAUUGAUUCUAGGACUAGAACUAAGACGAUGAUGUUUAGCAAACUGACAAGACUCACAAUCUAAGGAAGUAAUGUUUGAAAACUGAGGACAAAGUUUCUUCAACAUAGAAAGCGAAGGAUGACCCAAUCGACAAUGUGCUUCAAAAGGAGAGAUUGUUCCAGCACAAGCUAUAGACCCUGGUUUCGGUGUAUCAAGAAUGUAGAGACCGUCAGACUCAUGUCCCUCACCAAUAAUCUUCUUCGUCAUGAGAUCCUGAAAUGAACAAUAACCAGGAAAAAAUGAGACACAACAAUUAAGAGCACGAGUAAGUUUGCUGACAGAAAUCAGAUUAAAAGAUAGUUGUGGUAGACUCAGAACAGAUGAUAAAUGGAGAGAUGAUGUGGGCUGAGUGGUUCCAGACCCAAUAACACUGGAUGUUGAACCAUCGGCUAAAGUAACAGGAGUGAUAGAUUUAUGUGGCUGAAAGUUAGAAAGUAAACUAGGAUUACCUGUCAUGUGAUCAGUAGCACCAGAAUCAAUGACCCAUUUUGGAGAAGAGGAAACAAGACAUGCAUUGGGUUUACCUGUCUCGACAGGAGCAGUAACAUGACCAGAUGGCUGUUUCACUGUUUCUUGAAACUGAGUCAAUCUAGCAUACUUAUCCGCAGAUAUUGUAACAUGCUUGUCAGAGGUGGCACAACUAGAUGCAAUAUGGGCAGAGUGAGCCUUCUUAUACUGCAGCUUCCGACAGUCUCGCUUGAUAUGACCUGGUUUAUGACAGUAGUGACAUACAAUCUCUCCUUGCUCCUGUCCAUGAUUGCUAGUAUUCUUAUCAGAGUGGUUGGGCCCCGACCCCAUGCUCGUACUGUUGCCAUUACUCUUGUAGUGUUGUCUUCCUGAAUCAGCUGUGGUAGUUCGGCUAAGAAGAACACUGUUAGGCUGAGUAGAUAGAACAGGUAACGUAUUCUCUGUACGGAGAACCCUUCGAAAAGCAUCUUCUAGACUGGAAAUUUCUGAACCGGAAAGAAUUUGAGAUUUAGCAGUCUCAAAUUCAGACGGAAGACCGGCUAGAAAACUCAUAACCGCCAUCUUCGCUCGCUGAUUUCGUUGUUCCUCCACAUCACAACUGAAGGGAAGCAGCAUAUUGAGCUCUUCAUAUGUUUUCUUGAAGUCCAUAAAAUAACUGGUGAGAGACUUGUCUCCUUUAUCUGCCCUGUAAAAAUCCUUGCAAACAUCAUAGAUACGAGAGAAAUUUCCUUUUCCAGAAUAUAAGAACUGUAAAUAGUUCAUUAAUUGUUUUACUGUCUUACAAUGAGUCACCAGACCAACCACCUCACUAUCAAUAGAAUUACGGAUCUGUAUAUACAAGCGAGCAUCCUCUCUCAUCCAAGACAAUUUAGAGUCAUCCGUAGGUGGAUCAUCAGUCAGAUGGCCAUCCAUAGAAAUACUGAGCAGAUAUAAUUCAAUAGUAUUGUUCCAAUCAAGAAAAUUAAUUCCAGUUAACUUAUGUUCCGUGAUUUUUGAAACCAGCGGAACUAUAUCAGAAACAACUCCAGGCUUUUUGUCAGACAUAAUUGCUAAGAAAAUUCAACAAGAUAACAGAUUACCCACAAGAAAAACCUGUUGUAGCCAAGUCCCACACCUAGAUCGAUGUUGACCCACAAACAGGUAUGCAAAUAGCGUCGAGAGACAGAGGAGAGGUGCUGGGUUCUGACCAAUCGGUACUACGUACCUCCCUGAGUUGGCGGUGUCUAUAAAGGAACCUCUAAAGCCUGUACCUUGAAUAUGGCAGCAGCUUCCCUCACACCCAACAACCCAGAAAAAAAAAAUUUAUGAACAAACCUUGCUCUGAUACCAUGUGAAUUUCAGAGGAAGAGAAUAAAUUCCCCAUAUUUUUAUUCAUCAAUGGUAAGGGUAUAUAUACAGGUAUAGACAUCUUAUAAUAUGAAGAUAUCCUAUUACAAUAAAUCAGUCCUCUAAUUCCUAUAAUUUAGGCUACAAACUAGCCUACAUUUGUUAGCUAUCUAAUCCCUACAAAUCAGCCUAUAUCAAUCUGUGACAGCUAUCUAAUCCCUACAAAUCAGCCUGCAUAUAAUCUGUAACAAAAAGAAACUGUGUUUACGUAUCAACCUUAGUGGGAUAAAUUGCAUUUGAUCAAAAAAGGAGGAGGAUUAUUAAUAUAGGCCAUACUUCUAUCCUCUCAAUACAUCAGUAGCAAAAGGGAUGGUCAAACUCUUGGCACAAAAUAACUCAUCCAGUUACACAAGAUUUUAAACCAAAUAAAAAUAUUAUGAUAACACCAUCCGCGUGAGAUAUAAUGCAUCAAGAGCUGACAUACAUAUAUAGCAGGUAAUGCAAAGAUCAGAUAGCUACAGUUAGUGCAAAAUCUAGUAUCCAGGGUCAUACGCUUCAAGGCUUUGAUCUUGAUAAAGCUUCAAGGGUGGCCGAUUCUGCUUCCCACAUAAAUAAACACGUAGUUUUGUUAAUCAAAUGGCAGAGGCAUUCUUGAGUGGUACUGCAAAAAUCCACUUCGUAUAGUUAAAUAUUAGUAACAAUUACCAUAUUCUCCAAAAAUAUAUCAUAGAUUUUUUUCUUUUAUCAUUGUCACUUCCAUUUUAAUCUAACUUUUUUCACUUACAGGAACAUCAUAAUUAGCGCCUAUCUAUGCAAUUACCUAUAUGGCAGACAAGUUUUUUCCAUAUAAUUAUCCCUGAAGGCAAAAGUAUGGGGCAAAGGAUUUUGUACAAUUCAUAGGUUAGGGCAUACUGCACCAGUGUGGCCAAAGAAUAAACGAACAAUCUUCAAUUACAAUAUAAAACAUGCAAUAACUACAAAUGAACAAUUUUCCAUUACAUUAUUAUAUACACAAUAUACACACUGUUGUAAAAAAAAAUUCCAUUCAUAGAGAUGGUUACAUUAAACCGAAAGGUGAAAGAAAAAAGGUUAGAAUCAGCACCUUAAAAGUAGUAGAAGGCCAUUAUUUGCUUUAUUAUAUGCCGAUAAUUUUAAUACCUAAUUCCAUCAUGAAGAGCCAGGUAGCCAUCUAAUUUAACGCCAAAUAAGGACACAAAGAAAUGGUUCGCAAGCUAAAUAGCAGAAAAGAUAAUUAACAGAAACUUAAUCAUUUUCUCAUAAUUAACAGAAACAUAAUCAACAAAGACAUCUACUAAUUAUUAGUAUACAAGCACAUCAAUUUGACUAAGAUAUUUUUUUAAAUAAAGUGUAAACAGCUUACUUGUCUAAAGCUGAACUAUGCUAAAAGGCCAAAGCUUGGGCUUAGACUGACUGGUACUAAACGAAGCAUUACCCCUAUAAAAUUCAACCCAAAAGUUAACAAAAAUAAACAGGAGCAAAAAUAAAUUGUUCAUAUGCAAAAUGGAAACAAGUAGCAAAAAAGAAGGCUGUAAAAUGUUACACAAAGAUAAUCACCAAGUUUUUAGCCAAAGACAUUGUGCUAAGAUUUAAACAACCCAUGAAUCCAAAACUAUAUGGUCAAAGAAGGAAAAGAGAUCUAGGGAUUUUUUCUUCUAAAUAAUAGGUUUUUUGGUAAACAUACACCUUUCAUAACAGCAUUUGUGGCCAAAGUGUUAUCUACCAACCAAUCUAACAAAUUUUGCCACUUUAACCUCCUUUCCCACAAUUAGUUGAAAAUUAUUCAAAACUAUAAUUAAAAACUUCAAACUAAAGUCAUCAAAAGAUGAAAUAAGUUCAAUUCCAUUGGAAAUUGACAAUGGCGGAGACAUGAAAAAGAAACAAAGAAAAUUGACAAUUUAAGUUAUUUCGAAAAUCCCAAGCAACAACUAAACAAGAGCUGGGAAAUUUGAGCAUAUAACAUCUCGAGUGAUAACCAAUGCAAUCUUGAUUUUGAGCUCCAAGACUCCAAAUGAUCAAGUAGUAUAGUACAGCAUAAACUGAAAAGCAUGAAACUUUUGCACUAAAAACCAAAGCCAACAGAUGAGAUAACUUAUUUAUGGCUUGGUUCCUAAGCUUAAAUGACACCACAAAUACAGCAAUAAUAAAAAAUCAACUUUAAUGUGCUCAAACUUCAAAGCUUGCGACGUCUGUGCAAUCACUCAGUUGAAAUUUUAGCUCAAAACACUAUACAACGGAAAAGGAAUAAGCAAAAGCACAAAAACACAUAAAAUCCGACAUUUUAAAAGCAAAAAAAAAAGAAUCCAUGGAAUUAAUGUUUGGAACCUUUUUUACGGCAUGCAGUGCAGCUCCAUGACCACUGACGCCAGCGCCAAUAAUGAUGAGAUCGUAAUCAAAGGAUUUGGGAGCGCUUCCAUUAUCAUCCGAAGAUGCAGAAACCUUCGUCGGACUCGCCUGCGCUUUUCUCGGAAAAAUUAGCCUCUUUGCUCGAAUAAACUGGCCGCGCUUCAGCUGCGAGGGAACUGAAAACCCAGAGAUUUCUAAUAUUUCACCUGCAAGAUCUAAGCAGAAGAAAAUAAAAAACAUACUACGGGUAGGAAAGCAGAUUUCUAAUAUUUCACCUACAAACUCAAAAGCAUACUCAACAAGAAAAUAAAAAACAGCAGAUCUCUGGGUUUAUAAAUACUUCUGACUUUCACUGCUUUUGGAUGAAGAUUUUACUACAGCUUUCUUUGUUUGCUCAAAGAAGGAGAUGAAAAAAUAGUAUUUCAGACCUCUAGGUUAUUAAUCGAAAGAUUAACAAAUCUUAGCAAGAAAAAUGUCUUUCUUUCUUGAAUAAAGGAAACUGUAAAACUUUGGGGAAAUAUUGGAGCUUACCAAUUAAGAUGAUUUCUGUGUCUCAUGCGUUCAGUAGCUUCAUAUCCAGACCAAUUCUAACAAGGGAAAAAAAUCAGUUAGAAUCAUAUAAUUGAAAAAAAAGGAAAGAGAAGAAAGGAAAAAGGGGGGAGGGGGGAAACGGGAAGGAAAAACAGAGAAAAAAGGACCAAAUAAAAACAACAAAAAGGAACAAAGAAAAGAAAAGAAAAGAAAAAUGGAAGGGGAGAGGAGAGGAGCUCUGGAGAGCAACGAAGCGGCGGACAUGAAUGAGGGGAAAGAAAACAAGGGAAGCCCUAAAACAAAAUUUUUGGCACGCGAGUCCCACGUGAUUGACGACCAAAUUCCAGCCAAUAAAACCCAGCCACGUCAGCAAAACAACAACCACCCUUAACAAUCCCAUUCGCGCUUUUACUAUAUAGGUAGAUUAGCAUUAUUCUUGUUCGGCUGGUUCUAGUUUCGAUUUCAGUUUCUAUCAUUUUCAAUUUUAGUAUUUUUCUAGGUAUAGUUUUCAGAUUUUCUAGUACAUUUAAUUACUUAUGAUUAUAAAAUUAAUUUUAAGAAAAUAUAAUAAUGAAUUUAGAGUAACGAGAAACUAAAGAAAAUGAAUGUAAAAAAAAAUAAGGCUUUUAUUGUAUUAUUAGCUUACAAGGAAGAGAAAGAUGAUAAAAAAAAAAUUUAUGUAAAACAUAUCUCAUAUUUAUUGAAUGUUUUAAAUAAAACAAAAGAUACAUAAUUUUCUAUCAAACUUGAAAAAAGAAAAAGAGAAAAACAUCUCAAUUUUCUCACUAACUUGCGCAUUGUUUUUCUUUUGACUCAACAUUUUAGAACUAGCUUAAUGCUGUUGAACUUUCGGUGAACCUCAACCAAAACCUUUAACCAUGGUUCCAACACCGAUUUAAAAUUUCCAAAUUAGUUAUAAUUUUUUUUUAACAAAUUGCUGAUUCAAUUCCGAUUUGAUUCCAAUUUGAACCUGAACUAUGGCCAUGGUUAUUACUAUUACGUAGAGGUGGCAAUUUGUCCCAAAUCCCAAUGAACUACCCAUACCCAAAAAGACUUUGGCGGGAUGGGUAUUGUAAUUUGAUAUUAGGUUUAAAAUGGGAUGCAUCCCAAUUAUACUCAUUAUUUGAUGGAAAAUGUUGGAAAAUACUUGGGUACCUAUUGAGCCCAAAUAUCUUCCCAAAAAAUUUCAUUUUAUCCAAAAAUUCAUCAUUAUUUUUUUUUUUUUGCAAAAAUCUGAUUUUUUUUCACUUCCAUUUUCUUUCAUUUCCUUUCUUCACUUUCCUACAAAAGAAAACCAGUUAAGUAAAAAUGAUUUCAUUUAAACAACUUUAAAAAAAUUAAAGAUAACAAUAAAAAUAAAAUAAAUUGGUAAAAUUUUGGUGUCUACAAGAUCAAUACUUUACUAACAACUGUUGGUACCCUAUAUGUUAAUUUUAUGCUAAUUGUUGAACUAUCUACAUAGAUUUCUAUAUGCAACCCUGUUAUCAAUUUUUAAUCAGCUUCUUCGUUUCUGUGCUAGCUUUAUUCAGCAUUUAAUGUGAAUUUCUUUUGUAUCAAAUUUUGAAAAUUUUAAGAAUGUCAGUAAGAAUGAAUGUGGUGUUAAAAAACUUGUUUCUAGUCCUUGUGUCAGACAACAUUAUGGGUAAGGUUGGAAUAUGGUUGUAUAUCUAUCUUUUCCUUUUUUUGUUAAUCCAAUUUUUGGUUUAAUCCAGGGAGAAGAUAUGUUCAUUCUUACCAAAAUAUUAUGUCUUUUAAAAGUAACUGCUGAUCGUUCUAAAGUGUAAAUGAAUUCAGGAAAAUAUAAAUUCACAAUAAGAUCAAAAGAAAUUUAAUAAAUAAAAAUAUUAAAGUUAUAUAAAAAAUAAAAAAGAAUUAAAGGAAAAAUAUAGAAAAUAGAUUUGGGUAUUGGACGGGAUCAAUCUAAACCUAUCCCAAAGUGAUCCCGCCCAAGUUAGUCCCAAAAUAUAUAUGGGUAAGAUUAGACCCAAACCCAUAUGAUUCGGUUCUAUUUCGAAUUCAAGCAAAUCACGUCCAUCCCGCCCAUUUUGCCACCUCUACUAUUACGAACCAAAUAGUGAAAAACUUGGGUUUUUUUUUUAUGGAAAUGAAACAACUUUGGUGCGAAGGAAGCUCAAGGGCUCAUGCAUCAAAAACAGAAACUGUUUCGUUGAAGCCCUUUUGGAUAGUGGAUAUUGCCGGCUCAGGCCAUUGAAUUUGAAUUGAAGAAGGAUUGCAUCGUGAUAUAAAUAAUUAGAUUGUAAACGAAUUGAAUCGAAUACAAAAUCUAUUCCCAGAUUGAAUUCUGGAUAUUAAGUCACACAACAAGUAGGAAAAAAUAAUAAAGUUAAAAUUGCCAUGUAUUGCCAAUUUUUCAUGUAAAUCCGAACUUUUUUUCAGUUUUCAUAUAAUGUUUUUAAAAAUUGAAGCCAAAAUCACUAUAUGUACUCGAAUUGUUAAUUAGGCAUUUUAUGACUAAUUUGAUUUAGCAAGUGCUCUAAGUUUUACUCAUCGUUAGCUUAAUUUCUUAAGAUUAUACUCGAAUGCCCAAAUGCACGUAAUUAGAAUGGUAUCUUAUGUACAUAUUAUUAAAAUGAUGUCUUAUGAAAUUAUUGCAGGUAUCAUGCAACAAAAUUUUAUCAAGUCCUAAAAAUGAUGUGAGUUCUUGGAAAAUAUUUUAAAAAGAAAAAAUGCAUGCAUUAUUAUUUUGGUAGUCCACUUAUAUUAAUUGCAUGAGCAAUUGAAGGCAGUCCAAAAUUUUUUCAACAAUCUUUACAAGUGCAAAGUGUUCAUUGUUCACAAUAACAAACAAGGGUGAAACUAUAAAAACUAUUCUUCCUUGGAAAAAUGUGAAAUGUGGGCAAAGAUAUUAUGAAAAUAACACAAAAGACUCGAUGAUCAUAAAAUCAAAUGUUCAAAACAACAUAGAAUAGUUCAUGAUCUUUGUAUACUUUAUACAUAAAUGCAUAAUUAAUGAGUUUUCUAUUAAAUUCCAUAAACUGCAUGGAGGAUAUUAUCAGUUUCAUAUGAGAUUAACUUGGGGUCAACUGGUCAUGGGUAGACCAUGAGAUGCCCUAAAACAUGACAUGGAGAAGAGAAUCUGCAUAUUAAGUGGCUCUUAGAGUCUCUUGCUACUAAUACUCUUGUUUAUGCCUUGGCUAAAAAGCUUGAGCUGCAGGUUAAAUGGCCUUAAUUUUAAGUACUCUUGUAACUUAGCUUAAUUUUGAAUUUGGCCCUGAACAAAUAAUUCAACUCUUGAUUCGAGUUCGAACAAGAAAUAUGAUUUGAUUAAAGUAUCAAAUAAAAUUCGAGUUGAAUAUUCGACUCGUACAUAUUCAAUUGAUUAAAGUUCAAUGCAACUCAACUAAUUUUUUAUAUUUUUAAGUUUCUUAAUAUUUUUUAUAAAAUUAUGCAUUUCCUAUUUUAUUAUUAAAAAAUUAAAUAAAAUUCCAAGCUCCGAAUUGAGCUCGAGCCUAGUGAGUACUAAAUUGAAUCAAACUCAACCUUAAAUUUUAAACUCGUUUAGGAUUCGAAUUGAGCUUUCGUUUGAGUCCAAAAAUUCAAAUCAAGUCGAAAAAUUAGAAUUGGAAUCUGAGUCUAACAGCUAAGAAGUUCGAGUAAAUUCGUUUGCUGCCCUAGCUUUAUGGAUUUGAAAUCCACGAAAUACAAGUUGAAAAGCCAAACAAUUAAUCAAGAAACCAGAGCAUCAAAAACUAUUCAAAAGUUUCCUUUCCUUUCUUCCUCAAUCUCCAUCCCUUGACCAAGACAAAAAAGGUUUUCACUAGUAACGACAUACAAGAAAGGUCUAUCAAUCCUUUAAAGGGCUAAGGGAAAGAGGAAAUGAAACCCCAACUCAAGGGAAGAACAACAGGGACAAUAAUUACAAAAACCUUUACAACUAUACAAAAUUCCUGUAGAAUUGAGGGAUUAUUUCCUCACCUCAAAAUUAGGGAAUGCUUUCUCUAUAACAUGAGUUGGCACUAUGUACUGUUAUGAUUUUUCUUUGUGUAUGUCAAAUAUGGAUCCUGAGCAAUGGUCAAAACAUCUGGCCUCUCUGCCUGAUUAUAUGUAAGACAACGACGAAUAAAAUCCUGCAAAACAUAAAAGGAGUUGCUACUUCAGCAUACAGGACAAAGGUGAUGAAAGAAAAGUUUAGCGCAGUCUAUAUACCAGUAUUCUUCAGCUUUUUGUCAGCAAAUGUCCUUUAACCACAUGUUAACAUCAUUCAUCGCAGAAAAUCCAAAAACUAAAAUAAACAUUGUAAUAAAGAAUCCAAGCUAAACAAGGAAACAUCCUAAAGGUAUAAAUUUUGCACCUUUGCCAAGCAAAUAAUUUAGAAAUCCAUCAACAGUAUUGUUAUCAAUUUUCAUGAGAAUCAGCAAUGGCAGUUUUAUUUAUAAAUCAUCAUCAUAGUUUCUUCAUUUUUGACAUACCUAGCAAGUUUCUCUAUUUCGUUUUGUUCCUUCAUCAAUCAUUUCCAUAUUAUGACUUGCAAUAUGAGUAAAAGGAAGCAUGAACAUUAUGUCUGAGCCAGUCAGCCAGAUGUUAAUCUGUCUCAGAAACUGCUAUAAAACAUUGAUACAAAUGAGAUUUUCAAAUUUGCAGCACAUCUGGCUUGGAGAAUUGCCAGAGACGAGUGGGGGGUGGGGGUGGGGGAAUAGAUUGACAUGUUUGUAAAUGGACACCCUCGAUUGAAUUUCAUACAGAAUACUUCCGCUAACAGAAAGUAUAGACAUUGACGAGUCAAAACCCAUUUACUGAAAUAAAUUUUGAAGCACUUCAAUACCACACAAAAAUUGACUCCACUAUGUUGGAAACAAUAACCAUUAUGAAACAAACAAGAGGAUAUCAAGAAUAAACUCAGUAGCAUCCACAUGAUUGGCAUGCUUAUCCAUUACAGAUAAAUUAAAGAGAUAAUUGUUGAAACUUUUGUCAAAUAAGAUUUACACAAGUGAAAACACAUCAAAUUGUAAAGUAUAAGAAAGAUGAUCGAUUUCACACCCCACUUUUACUGUUAUCAAAUUGUGGUAAUAAACACUAGCAAUUAGUGCUGGUGAUGGUGAUAGUGGUGGUGGUGGUGGUCAUAGUAACAAUGAUAUAGUCUCUCCUACGCAGACUCUCUUAGAGAAUUUACCCUACAUAAGGAUGUCGAAGAUUAUCACCCCAAGAAACAUUAGCAAAGAAGUUUACACACAAAUGAUUAGUGAACCUGCCUUUGCCUCGUUCGACACAGCUGGCCUUGAAGGAAAAUCCACCUUCCGGGCUUUAAUGAUGGUAUCUUCGCGUAAAACAAACAAAACAGACAGAAUUCAACCAAGAUCAAUCUAGCAAACGUCCGUGAUCUAUCCCCCAUUCUAACAACAACUCCCAAUUUUCCUUACUACGAGGAGCUUUAGCCCAUAAGAGACAAGUCAAGUUGAACAAUUUUAACCACUGUUGAUUUAAUAAAAUUUGGAGUGAAGCCCUCCAACGUGUACAGGGCUUGUCUUUCCAAAAAAACAAAAAACAAAAAACAAAACCGCUGCUGCAACUACUUCCAUUAUCAGUAUUCUGUAUUCGAAAAUCAACAUUUAGUCUUUCCCAAAUUUAGUAUAUUUUAGUGCAUAAUUGAAAAAUUCUCUUGGCGCAAGUGGAAAAUUAUAGAUUUGCAAUCAAUUACAAAUUUUCCUCGAAAAUAGAUGCCCAGUGAUCAACUAUGGCGCUUCAUAGUUCACCUUUUCCAGUCUUAUACUUAGGAGUUGGUCUUAAUAGUGCAUUAAUUUUUUCAUAGUUAAUCAGAAUUUUCUAUGACAAAAAAAAGAAGAAGAUUCAUGAAGAAAAAUAAUCUAUUGGCUGUACUUUUUUUCGAUUUAGACAUCAAUAGUGCAAUGGCAAAAGGACUUUGUAGAUGAAGCUAGUUGAUGUAAUGAAUUUAUGAUGAUUUAAUUAACUAAAAAGGCAAUCAAUUCGGUCUACUAAAUGUCAUACUCAAGAGGUCAUCAUCUUUGUCAAAGGGUCUAUACAUUCCAUACAUUAGUAGUAAAAGUUAGUGGAUUUGUUAGUAUUGAUGACCAUGUUAGCCACUGAUUUCUAUUAAAUCAUGUCUUCAGCUUCUUAUAAGCUUCUCUAUACCCUACCUAAUCUCAUACCAUUUUACUUUCUCUUGGAUUAUGUGGAAUGCCUACUUGACUGCCUGCAAUGCCUAUAUUUUAAUGAUUCCGGUGCAUUUUCAAAAUCUUCAAUUUAUUUUGUAAAGUAUCGAAGUUCAGUUCACUAAUUGGCCAUAAAAACAGAUCAAUAGCAAAGUUGAAAUAUGCCACUUAUCCUGAGACUUUGCAGAAAGUUUGGAAUGUUAAUGUUGUCCCUUGUAAUCCGAAUUAUCCGAUUAUGUGAAACUGAAGUUGUUGAAGGGUGAGAUGAGUUUUUCACUUGUAUACAAGCUGUUUAAUGGGGUUUUCAAUAAAAAACUUUAUCAUUUGCUCCAAAAAAAAAAAAAAAAAAGAAGAAGAAGGGUGAGUUGAGGAAGCUGAAUGCUAAGCAAUAUAGUUCUAUUAGUGAUAGAAUAAACAGGUGUGUAUGGCCAGUUAUGUGAAGUGCAAUCCUUUUCCUUCAUUCACCUUUUGAUAUCUCUUUGCAAUUUCAAGAACAAUCUCAGAGUAGUUGUCUCAACUAGGAGGCGACCAGCUAGGAUUUAUGUUUACUUUACGGGCCAAAGAUACUGGCCUGGCCACGUCUUCUUCUUCUUGGUUUUUUUUUUAAUUCUUCUUAUAGAUCUUUCAGGCGAGUAAGCAACCUUUUGGGGAAAUAAUGUGGUAUAUUUGGACAUUGGGAUAAUUUAACAAAUCUCCUCUGAGUUUAUAACAAAUUCAUCAUAGCUCCCCUCAAAUUAUGACAUGACGCUUGUGUCUAUUAGCUAUUGAUUUCCAAGGCAAAUACUGAAGUUUACCUCUAUGUUUACCAUUGACACUUUCUAUACAAAGCGAUACAAAUUAUAUAUAAGAGAUUUGUGAAAAUGUUAUACUUCCGAGCUAUAACUCAUAAACAAAGGCAUUCGUAAAACCCUUUUGAUUCAAAUAUAUAGAUAUACUCAACUAUACACUUAACAAUUUAAUGUGUGCUAAAGUGAGUAGAAUAGGCUUUUGAAAAAAGUACUCAAAAGUAUGCUACUUCCAUCAUUACCUUCUAGCACGCAUUGUGCAAACUCUUUUCAAAUAGAAAAAAGGGAACGGAAAGGAGAUACAAAAAAGGGUUACAAAUUCUUUAAAAUAUGGCAAGGGUAAGCAUGGAAGUAACAUAUAACAUGAAACAAACAUGUUAAGGAAACCUUAAAUCAAGAGAGGUAACAGUAAGUUUGAAAACUUUGGUGCAGCUAAAUGAAGUCAAAAACCUAAAACAAGGUUGAUGGAAUUAUCCUUUGUAAACUUUAUGUGUCCGUGGCCAAGUGAAAAAAUACUGUUCAAAAUUCUUAUUUCUAUCGGAACCAUUUCGAGGAACUCCAAUUUGGAUGUCAAUACUAAAAGAAAUUUUCCCUAUGGUACAACUGAUUUUGAAAUUUACUAAUUAUUUAUAUUUUUUUUCGGAGACGACAACUGUUAUAUAAUCUAAUCUAUCCUACACUAAAGGGGAGGGGGCGGACCUAAAGAGGCCCAGGGGUAUAUAGGAAGCAAAUGCAUUGUAUAUAGGAAGCUGAAAACCAAACAAGACUUUAUUAUUAGGUUAUCAGUAUUAUUAGUCGUAUCCAAGUGUCAUCAUGUUUUUUUUAUUCAAGUGUCAUAACGUUAUUGAUAGUAUAAUUGGGUUGCAUGAUUAUGGUUGAAAGUGUGGACUAUGCGAUUAAACUCCGUCUUAGGUGAUAGGGUGUUAAUUGUUAGUAAUUUUAUUGUUAAUUUUCCCUUUUAUCCUUGUCAAAUAUUAUUUUAAUUAUUAAUAUUUACUUAUAUUUGGUAUUUGGACUCAAUUUCAGGGAAUGGAGCAGAAAACUACAAAAAAUGAAGGACUUUCUGAAAACAAUGGAGACUUCAAACAAUCGGGCCCACAUGGUGCCACAAACGGAUGGCAUUUCCUUUUUGCUGAUUAGGAGUUGAAGUCUUUGAUGGGCAACAGGAAACGAAAAGUAGAGAAAAAUUCGGCAGAGCCUUCUUUUUGUACUUGGACUCCCAAUUCGUUGGGGACCACAGAGAGCAUUAAGGAGUCAUACUUUUGCUUGGAAUAAAAAGAACGUACAGAGGCUAGGGAUAGUUUUUAGCAAUAGUUUAGUUUUCUUGCUUUUUCCUUUUCAUGCACGCCUACUGUUAUCAAUGGUUGUACCUUGGUUAUCAAUAAAUUAAAGAAAAAUUGGUCGUUAGAGUUCGUCGGCGACUAUAACUAGUCUAUUAAUAAAUUAAGUGAACCUCCCUUACAUCAAUGAUCGGGUAAGUGGACUAUGUUUGAAUAGUUGUAUUCUUGGUUAGAAUUUAUCUAUUCUUGAAUUAAUUCCUGUGUAUAUUUGUGUUAGUUAAUUAUUCGUUUUAUUUGAAUUGCUUAAUUAUUUGUAGUUUUAUUCUGAUGAAACACCCCUUUUACCAAUUGGAAUCUCAAAGAGACAAAUAUCCUCAAUUCCUGAGGAGACGUGUGAGAACCCGUAUUUUCCCUAAUAAUUUUCCUAGGGUUUUUCCCCUUUAAUGGCAUGUUUUUUGCAUUUUCUGGCUUAGAAAAUUUUCCUGGUGAAUUUUAUGAGUAAUUAUAGUUUUUAGAUGAUUUUUCUAGCAUUGGAUAGUUUUUGAAAAAUUACGGAUAUAUAACGGACGUGGGGCCCACUAGUGCGAAAAGUUCGGAAAAAUUCGGCCAAUAAGGUUAAGUUUCGGAUACUGAGUGAAAUUUAUCGGGUGUUAAGAGAUAAGUAUAGGAUGUGAUGUGAUUGAUGUGAGAGGAAAACAAAAGGAUAGAAAUGCAUUAAUGAAGUGACACUUGUCAUGUUGGGAUUGGUUUCACUUGUUGACAACUAUUCAUUUUUUUUGACUUUUCUUACCAAUUGAUUAAAUAUCUCAAAAAUCACAAAAAAAAUCACUCUUGUCUUCACCUUCUUGGCCGGCCACCUUGAGCUUAAGAAGGAAGAAAACUCUUCAAAAUCUUGGCUACCAUCUAGCUCAAAUCCUCCAAAACAAUUGCUUGAUCUUGUUUCUACUCCAUAAAAUCUCUCCAUUUGGUACUAGUAAGUGAUUUGGUGAAGUGUUUAAGGAAGCUAAGGUGUCCAACAACUCUCCCUCUCUUGUUUACUAGGUGAGUGGUGAUUGAACUUCCUCCUACACUUAAUGAAGCUUAAGUUGUGCUUAGUGGUAGCUAAAGUGCUGAAAUUUGUGGUUUAUUUCUUGGUUUGAGAUGAAAUGAUGAAGUUUUCAAUUUAAUGGUGUAUUUUCUGGUUUAAUGUGAUCAUGAUGUUGUGGUUAUCUAUGAUGGUUGGUAAUGAAGGGUAAUGACUCUAGUAGGUGUACAUGAUUGGUAAUUGCAAGCAAUUUUGGGUUUGGAAGGAAUUUGAGAAAGUUAGGGUUUUAUAUCCCCAAUUCUGUCCGAUUUUGUAUCUCAUGGUUAGAGGCCGAAUUGGCCUUGUCUUAAAACAUGAAAGUUGUAGGUAUUGAUGUGUUUGAGGUGCCUGUAAAAUUUCAGGUUCAUCGGAGUUGUGUAGAGUGAGAAAAGUCGAUUUUACUGUUGCUGUUCUGGGUUCUUCAGGAUGGCCGAACUGCGUCUGUAAUUGGUGGUUUUGGCUGGAAUUGCUUUGGAUUUGGUUGUUGAGGCCUUCUGAUGAAAUGUAGCUUGAUGUCUUAGCUACCGCAUGCCUUUGGUAUGAAUGAAUUUGGACUUGUAUAGACUGAGUUGGACUAAUUACAGCAUAGUGUAUUUUGUAAACCUGCAAUUAAGGUUCUGGUUUGGUAUUUUGCAUAUUUGACCUAGUUGUGCUAGGAAUUGGACUGAGUGACCUUCUACAUUGUUGUAGCCCUGUUUCUUAGCUUCGAAACGGUGGGUCUUACACCCUCAUCCGAUAAGCGUAGUGCAAUUUGUGCCAUUACCGCAAACUGAGGACAAAACUGUUUUUUUUUCAGGGCCAAGUUAGUUACAUUUCCUGAUUUUCUGGUUUGCUAUAAUGCUUAUAUAUGAAUAUGAAACCCUAUUGGGGUUGUGAUUGGCAUGGCUUUAUGACUCGUUAUCGAGUCUCAUUGUAUUUGUUUACGUGUUUUAGGACGUGACGAGGGUUCACGACGACCUUUUAACGACGGUGCAUGAAACAUCACCUACUUGAGUAGUGAGUAUACUACUCACUUGAAUGUUUAUAAUGUGGCUUUGCUAUAUGUGAUUGUGAUGCCUUGAAGGCUUGUUUGGCUAUUGGACAUGGUUAAGGUGAGGGUGUACUUGACCGCCCUCAUCCUUUUUAUCUUGUUAAUGACUGUUUACCGUUUCACUGUAAUACUGCACUUGCUAUAUGAGAUAUUGAAUUCCAUUCAUGGGAAACUGUUUGGGUGUCGGUUGGACGAGUAUCCAACGGCCCUACUGCAUUACUGAGCUCGACCCCGUUGGUAGUUACUUGAAUCGAGCCAGCGAGGGCUUGGUCGUGAAAAUUGACUAGCCACGGGGACUGAAAUGGGAAUCUUGUGGUAAUGAGACCCUUGGUUCCGGUGUACUCGAGUAUCACCUAAAGCUACUGCUUGGAGUGCGGGCCCGGUUGGGGUAUGUUGGGUGGAAGGAAUGGAAGUGAAGUGAGGUCUACGGUCGGGUAUUCUUAAACAUUGACGGAGGGUCAAUGAGGUUGGAUCAAGAAUGUAAGCGUGGAAAUGGGCUCUUGAGAGCCGUCCGUAUCCUUUUACCGACUUGUUUUAUUUCUUAAUUGCGUACUUGAGAUGAAAGUUAAGUGAUCUUUGUUGAUUAUGUGAUAGUUGCUCACUGAGCUUUAGCUCACUCCGUUCCAUUUGUUUUCCUUACAGGAAAAAUGACUAUUUUGGGAAAGGUUGUGCUAGUUGGUUGUCAAGUUGAGCUCAUGUAAAUGUAUAUUUUGAAUAGCUCCUUGAGGGUGAAAACCCUAAGUGUUUUGUUUCAACCAAUGGUUGGUUUGUAAUUGGCCAAUUGCACAUGUGUGAACUUGUUGGAUAUUUUGGUAUACCGCUUUGGCUUGUAAAUGUUAAAUUUCGAUGUAUAUAUGUUGGAUUGAUGUUUGGUUGAACUCCGGAUUCUGACAUGGCCGGUACUGUUCAUCAUCGGCUUCGAUUUUCAUAUUUUUUUUAUUUUGUGAUUUUGACUUGUUUGCGCGCGUUGGUGUGUUCCGGAAUGUAGUAGAUCGACGUAAACUGAUCCGUUAGUCCUGGCGAGAGCUGGGCAGGCAGUCCGCUAACCCCUUUGGUUCGCCUUAGGGGAAGGUGGGGCUGUUACAAGACGACCCUACUUGCCACUGUCUGCCAAUUAGUAAAUUUUGUCAAAUAAUUAAUUCUGGUAUAUCGGAUUAAGCAAACUCUUCGAGAACAGGGUGAAUCAAGUAACCCAUUGCACACCUAGAGUCUCUGCUCCAGUACUUAGAAUUGAUUAUUGACUACUUUUGACGGGCGUAGGGUAUACAUAUAACAUUAAGCUCAUCCUAAUCAAGUUUUACAUUUAUAAACUCCUAAAUACCCUACACGCGAUUUAUCGCAAGUAUACGAAUCGUGAGCGAGUAUAGGGUAUUAAAAGUCGAUCUCACAAGGAAGAUUGCAAUUACCGGCACUACUAAAGCUUCUCUAUUAUUUAGACUAUCAAUGAAUUAUAACAAAUUUAACCUACUGAACUUAUGCAAGAAAAUAACAAAUGAAAGCUCCUUAAGUUGUGGUAUCCCUAACUACUCAUGCAAGUGCUAUAUUUGGAUCAUUGAAUACUACUAUCUAGGCUAGUUAUGGUGUAAUUUCCUUAAACAUGUGAAACCUACUUUCGUAGUGAAUCAACUAUAUUCAUAACUAAUCCAUACAUAUUCUCAUGGUUAUGAAAUUAGCUACAAGUUCAUUUCUUCAAUGAAAUUAAUCACUAAAAUCACAUAGGUGCACCUCUACUCUCGUGAGCGUACUCCCUAUGUUUAGCACUUCUUAAACUAGUGUUAAAUCUCAAUUUUCAUUGCAGAAACAACACCUUAAAUAAUCACAAUCAAUGGUACCAGAUUAAUCAUGAUUUAAAGAGCCAAAGUACUAAAUAACUUGCUCAAAUCAUAGCAAUCAAAUAACCAAAUAAUAAAUACUAACAAUUAUAGAAAGUUCAACCAAACCCAAGGCAUAAACGUUAGAGACACAUAUUAAACACAAAAUCCAGAACUUGCAUAUCAACUAAACUUAGAAUCCAAUACAAAAGAUAAAGAGUUGGAAAAGAGAUAACCAUUGUCACAUGAGCUUCAACUCCUCCUUUUUCAUCUCCAUUUUCAUCCUAAUCUAGCUAAUAUACAAGAAUGGAAGAGCUAUACUAUUCUAAACUAAACUAUCCUACUACUCAGAAAGUGCAAGAGCUACAUCUCUGCACUCCAAGUUUCUCCUGUAUGUCUCUCUAUUCUCCCUUCAAUCUUGCAAGCUUUGGCUAUAUAAAGGUGAAAGUUGGUCAAGAAGUGAGGUUUACACCUCCCUUUUACAGCUGGGAAUGUUUCUCACAUGUCUAGCAUCACCUGUGACUUAGUGGAGGUGAAAUUGAGUUUCCCACGUAAAGAGCAGCCUUCUCUGACCACAAUCCGGCCAGAAAUCUGGCCAAGUUCCGGCCGGAUUGCUACAGUGACAUUUUGGUGCACUUUUGUUCAAUUUCCAGCUCUGCUCCAAUUUUGUGUCAAUUUCAACUGAACUUUUGUUGAUGAUAAAAGCUGAUUUAGCUCUUGAUCAACAUAAAACUUGUAGCCCUUUGAGUUAGCUUUCCAAUGCAUCAAGAAUCACCUCAUUUGGAUCUGUGUAGGCUGAGAAAUGACCGAAAUACCUUUGACUGCUCACUGCCCUAUUUCAGCUUCGACCAAUAGAAAUUAGCUACUGUAAUUCGGCUUUUUAACCUGGAAAACCUUCAAAAUAGAUUCAGAUGUCUUCACCAAAGUUGUAGAUCUAUCUCUUAUCUUCAAAUUGGUUUAAGAAUCAUCUCAAUCCGAUCAUUAUAGCUCAAGUUAUAGCCAAAAUACGAAAAUGUGUCAAAACUGUCAAAAUGCACAAAAUCCAAGUAAAAAGUGAUAAAAACCUCAUUUAAUUACUUAAAAGCAUUUUUCACCAAUUAUAGCCAAAAUGAAUCAUUUUCUUCCAAUAAUGUAACCAAAGUGACUAACAAUAAUAUAAAAUAUCAUACAAUUAUUACAUAAAUUAGUCACUUAUCAGCUUUUAUUGGCAAUUAGGUUUAUUUUUAUUAUUGCACAGGUUCGGCACCUGUCAUUAGGAGUACUGGUUUUGCUGUGGGAUUUUUCGUUUUCUUUGUCAGCUGCGUCAGCUGCAUGGUGCUUUAGAGCAUAAGCCUUUGUUUUGUAUCGAAACAUCACGGCCAAAAUUGCCAAAAGCAUAUCGAAACAUGAACACAAAAUGAAAGAUGUGAGGAAACUUUAAUGAAGAUAUGCCUUGAGAUUUAAACACCAAAGACAAAAGCUCAAAAAAUAUUAUCAACGGAUCAAAAUAAGAACUUGAUUAUUGGUAAAACACUCCAACAAGUUAAGUCGAACCAAGAUCAACAUAAUCAAUUAUUUGAUUUCAAGAGUCAUAACUUUUGCUUGUAAAGAACAAAUAAAGUUAAACAAUUUAUUGCUUUUUUCCCCCCAGUCAGCUGUGUACCUCAACAUUAUUUCACGUCAAAAACUUGUUUUUCCUCGGAUUAAAUACCCUAGCAUCUGAGGUUAUCACCAGUCUCGACACCCAAUUGUCUACAAUAUUCAGUAUAAUACUCAACUCGAGCACUAACUGUGUUUGGAUUUGCACCAUCACAUUCAAGCCGACCAUUAAUGGCACGAAUUGUAGCCCCAAAACCCUGGCCAGAAGUGAUAAGAUCAUGACAAUGGUUCAUCCAAUACCACAAGCCAGUUUUGAAUGAAAUAACAUUAUUUGUAGCUACAGUUUCAGGUUGGCUGAGUCCAUUGAAUCCAAUGCUUUCACCUGCUGGUCCAUAGUUAGAGUUCCAUGAUAACUGUAUUGGACCCCUGCCGUAAUAUCCCUUGCCUGGCACACAUGGAUACUGAGUGUUGCUCUCAUCACAGUAAUCUCUGGAGGGGCCGUCUAUCUCUUCUAUGUAGCACAAAUCUGCGCAAUAUAAAGAAAUUUUGUCACUCAAUUGAAAUGAUUGAUAAAGGGUUAGAAUCAAAGAAAAUCAGGAGGUCUGGAAUUUUUUGUAAAUUUUUAGAUUUGAUUGUUUUACUAAUGAAUUCAAUUGGUGAGAAAAGACUUUAUCCCAUUUUGUAAAAAUUGGGUUGGACAGACCUAAAGUAAACACUCUUUUUAUGAGGUAAAAUUUUAGAAUGAUUUAACAUUAUAGGGUUAUACGAUAGAUAAAUAAAAAUUGGCAAUAGCAAGAUUAAGAAGGGACCAACAGUGAUAUAAAAAUUACAAAGGUAUCAUGGACGUCUAAAAUAUAUUUGGCUAAUAAAUUUGAACUAAUUUACGGCCAAAUUUAGGUGAAAUAGUUAAUUCUACUUGGUAAAUUGGAAGUUCGGAAACGUGUAUCUGUCAGUUGUCAUACUCAUGAGCGAGCCAAUCUUAACUUAAAAAAGAAAAAGAAAAAAAGAAAAAGAAAAAAGGAAUCCAAAAGAUAAAAGUAGAAAAGGCAUGAAUUUUAAAACGUAAUCGUAAUACCUUGUACCCGAAACAAAUAUGUGCAAUACUUAUUAAGCUAAGCAAAGCCACAUGAUCUACUCUUAGAUGCAGCAAAAUAUACAACCACCUUAAGCUUGGAAUGUAAAGGCAGAAAAACUUGCUUAUGUAGAUAUAAAAGUGACCACUACAAGAAAAGUAAAAAGAAUAUGGAGAUAAUAAUCCUUCUGUUCAUCAUGAUAAAUUAUUUAACAGUAAUAAAUCUUUCAUAUUCAAGUUUUAUUUUUUGAAGAAAAAAUUCUUGGAUAAUAGUGCACAGGAGAUUCCAAGAUAUACUAUCUAGAAAUUCACAGGAGCUACUAAAAAAGUAGAAAAUAUCUUCAAAAUUUAAUUUCCAAGCUAGUGUUAUUCAAAACUUACGUCCAGUCUCAUGAGUGACAUGAGCAAAGAAAGCAGCAAUCUCCCUUUUAGAAUCAUCAACAGAACCAGCGGUUCCAAACUGGGGAUACGAGUUCAGAGCUUCAAGAAAAGCUGAUCGAGUAUAGAACCCUUUUCCAGCACAGCUUGAAGCAGCUUGAUCAGCAAUCCCAUUAAAGAAAGCGUCCGUCACAAUAUCAGCAACUGAAACGCCACUAUUACCACUGCUCGGAGCAGCGGUGCAAGGGCCGGAUUGACAGCCAGAGCCGCAGUAGUCGUUGCCGGUACCGCAAUAGCCGAAUUUGCUGCAGCACAAGUCUGGUGCACAGCCGCAGUUUUGGCUUGAAAUCAGCUGUGGAAAGGCUCCUACAAGAACUACAAUGGAGAAAAUGAUGGUUGGAAAACUCUUCAUUUUUGGAUUUGAUAAAGGAGAGAAGCUUGUGGGCAGCAGUUGUAUCAGAAAAAAGGGUAUAUGUAGGGAAGAGAACUGAAAACUGAUCAGCUUGUGUGAAGCAUGCACAGCUGCUAUUGUUGAAAAUAUUGAAUUUGAGCAAUUAAAGAAAACAGAACAGAAGACGAAAGCGUGAAUGGUUGACUUCUAUCGAGAGUAUUGACUUUGACAUUGUCAAUGAAGCGGAAACUUUCUUUCUUGGCUUCUAGAAUGGGAAAGGUCAAAAAGAAAGAUUUUGGCCAAUUCGUAUGAACAAUUGUGAGAAUAAGGCAUGUAGACUCACAAGUCCCCACUAGAAUGUGUGCAAAAAUAUAAUUUGAAGUUGCCUAAAUCAUUUAAUUUCAUGCUUGUUAUUGAGUUUAUUUGCCUAACUGUGUUUUAGUAAUACUUCAAAAUUGUGUUUGAGUUAGAACGGAAAAAAAUAUGAGACAUUUUUUUUUUAAUUGCAAUUCCAGAAAUAAAAUCUUAUAAAACAUGUAUUAGAAAAAUUUUGAGGGUAAAUGAUAUGAAAAAAAAAAAGAAGAAAUAGUUCUAUAAAUUGACAUAAGUGUUCAUCGGCUUUUGGAAAAAUUAAGAAAGAAUAAAGCAGCCGACAUAUCUAUCAUGCAUAACAACAUUAUGUGGCUUUUGUUAGUACACGCUAUGACCAUAUAUGUUUCAUUUGAGAUGCUUGUCGGACGUGUUGAAUUGUUGGCAAUGAAAUGCUCCAAAAUGUCAGCACUAUAGUUUAUAAAUAGUAUUAGGUCAUAGUGAAUUAUCGACAUAUCGUUACAUGCAGAGUCGUGAAAAUAUACAAGUCUUUCCCUAUCAUUAAUUAGUUGGUCAAAUGACAAUUUUAGAGUGGCUGCUGACUAUGUCAAGAAACAUCUUGCAGUAAAUUGGGCGAUUUAAUGUACUUUUCUUUUUCUAAAUAUUUGCACUUAAACUCUCAAAUCGACCAUAGUUUUAACUAAUUUUGCUCUGGCUUUAUUCUUGAUUCGCAAAAUUCAGAAAAACCAAAACAAACCCUUGUUACUGAAGAUAUCAAAAUGGUAACCCAACUAAGUAAUUGAUUUUGAAAAACAUUCUGAACCAAAUUUCAAGUUUUGGUUUCUUUGCUCUUUUUCUACUGAAAGGCAACUUCCCCGGGCCAAGAAAUUGAAACAAAUAGUACGAUGCUUAAGUUUUCUAUGCUCUUAUGAUCAAGUCAAACCAUGCUUAUAAUCAAUUACAUAAAAAAUUACGGGCAAUUUCGUCAUUAUUUGGGAGGAGGAGGAAUAUUAAGCAAAAAAAAAAGUUCUAUUAAGAAAACGAUUAAGCAUAUUAUUUUCCAGGAAUAAAAAAGAACGAGCAGAGAAAUACAUUAGUUUGGAUGACAUUACAACAUUUAGCAACAUGAUUAGGGAUGCAAUGGGAUGGGUGCCAAUUGGGAAUCAAUGGGAUGGGAGAAAAUGCAGGAGGGGAUGGAGGGAUUGAAGAAUAUUUCUCCUCCAACAUUAAAUGGAUACCUCCAUCCCAUCCCCUAAAACCCCUUGUUGCUAUUCCUAAACAGGAUGCUACUUAUAUCCUCUCUCUAUGAGCAUGUGUGGCUAGUGAGGAAUGCAGGAUUUUGAUUUUGGCGGGGGGAGGGUGGGGCAAAUUGACAAUCAAGAAACAAUAGAAAAAAAACCUUAGCAAAUAAAGCACACAAACUUAAAAUGAAAGUUUAAUAUACGAUAAAUAAAAUAUAAAUAUUUUUAAUAAUAAAAUACACCAUAUAAAUAAAAUGAUAGAGCAAUAAUUGGGCACCAUAAGUGCUGUUAUUUGGUCAUAAUGUUGGCUACUUAUCAUGCUAAGUAGUGCAGCUUUGCUCAUAUUUGAUAUUUGUGUAAAUUACAGGCGGUUGGUGUUGAAACUGAUCUCUCGAGGCAAAUUUUCAGAAGACUUUUUAUUUCAGAGCGUGCCGACGCCAGAAACUAUAGAGAGACUCCUCAAAGGUGGACCGCGGGACUAAUUAACUAAACUUACCUUUAUUCCUGCUUGACGCUGCUGGAAGUGCGUUAAAACAAAAAGGCAAUAAUUUCCAGCGAAUUGGGUAACAACCAAUAAGGAGGAAAAUUAGGGGCACUAGCCUACAAAGCCGGACCCCGCGAGACUGGUAGACAAAGUGGGGAAUUAGGAAGUCUUCAAAGCGGCUAUUUUCUCGUGGGCUGCAGAGGUGAAAAGGACAAGUAGUUUGAGUCUUGCAGAGAGCUUUUGAGUUCUCUUACGUUUUGUCUUGCGGUAGCCACCCGGGGGAGGAUUGAAAAAGCCAUAUUCACGUGGGAUUAGGAGAUUAGCUUUAGUUUCUUGUAUCCCUGGGUAGACGAUCUGCUCUCUGCUUUGCUUUUGGCGACUUUCUUUAGACCUUUUUCUUUACUUUUCUCCGGCACGAACACGGAACCAAAAAAGAAGCAAGACUUUUCGUUUGUCUCGUCGUUAUUUCAUCUUUCCCAACUUUUUGGUAAUUAAGUGGAUGGAAUCAAUCAAAUCACGCGAGAUUGAUGUGAUGAGGAGUGGCUAGGUUUCUCUGCUACCCAAAGGUCGACGCGAAGGCGCGGUCCAUAACAUCUGUGAGAUCUAAUCGAACUUUCACUAUUUCUUCCAAUCCGUUACUAUUCGUGCGUUUUCUGGAUUAACUGUUUAUGAUUAUUUUAUUAAUUGAGUAUCAACAGCCGGAUAUUUAAUUUAAUCUAAUAGCCUACUGUCACGUUAACUAAAUUGAAUCCGUAAUUAUUCGUUUAGUUGAUAAUUAGUGACAACCAUCAUAAUUGGCUUUAUGUUGGGAAAAACGUAAGAUCUAAUUUAGAUAAACCCUCUUAUAGCGUGUUUAUUGGUUAGGGUUGGAUUUUUCUAGCGUUAAUGCAACUGAAUAAUUAAAUUCCUACGGUCGUAUCUAGGGUUAUUUUCUGGUUAGAGAAACAGUCAACGGUCGUACCUUGGCUAUCGAAAAAGUAAGAAAAAACUAGCAGUCAGAGCUUGUUGAUCGCUAUAACCAACCUAGUGACGAAUGAGUGAAAUAUCUUUGCAUCGAUGAUCAUUUAAUUGGACCGUGCCUGAAAAGUUGAUCCUUUGGAUAGAAUUUUGCUAAUUGCUAUUUUCAGUGAAUUGUACUUGGCGAGUUAGCUUUUGAAUUUUGUUUAUUUUAUUUUCAUUUUCAUUCCAUUAAAUAUCCCCCAAUUUUGUUCUAUUGACUUGGAAAGAAACAACUUCUUACCCGUUACUUGUGGAAUCGACCCUACUUGCCAUUUUCAGAAACAACUUCUUAAAUUUUAAUCCUUAUGAAACCCAGCUUCUCUCUCAAUUUUCAGAGGUUUCUUUUCCUUCAUCAUGUCAAAGUUGCUAUUAUAAUCACUGUAAUUAGACAGCUAAACCUGUCAUUCCAAUUAUACCCUUGGUCCGCCGUGGGAAAUACAUAAAAUGUGGUAGCGCUGCCCAAUAAGUCCCACAUUGGACCAUAUAAAAUUGUUUAAGGACUAAAUUGGUAAAAAAAAUCGUAAAUGAUGAAAUUGAUUUAAGUGAAAAAGUUCAAGGACCAAAUUGGCAAUUUUUCCUUAUUAUGAUUAUGAUUAUGAUUAUUAUUAUUAUUAUUAUUAUUAGUCUGAGAUGCCGAACAAGUUGUGGAGACUUAUUUCACCUUUACAAGGUCAUUGGAGGGCUUGACGAGGUGCGAUGUGGUAAGGAAAGGCACAAAAAACUCUUUUUUCUUUAUUAAAAAACAUACAAAUUGCACUAAUAAUGGCUGAAAAUGCAUCCAACAUGCAAUAGUGAAAAAUCGUUAGAUGCAAGAUAUAUAAAAGUUAACAAAAAUUAUCUUAGUACCUCUGAUAUAUUCCAAAUUCAGAUAAAUCAUCUGCCCCCAAUGAAUAUAUGUGCAUAUCAUCAUUGUCAAAAAAUAUUUAUGCAUAUCAUUGCCGUUAGAUUUUAUAUUGAAGUGGUUAAAGCUCCAAAUCUAGUAGAGAAGAAAUUCAACACUUGAGAAAAUAAGUUAAGAAAUUCAAGAUUUGACAUACAAAUCUGAAAAGCUCUCAAAUCUAACAAAACAAGAUAUAAAAUUAUCUGAAUAAAACUCUCACUAGAAUAUCUUAGUAGAGAAGAAAAUUCUCACUAGAUAGUCUCACUAUACUUUAUUAGACAUAAAAAAAAAAAAAAGAGAAGUCAAACAGAGGGAGGAAGGCAAUCCUCCAUGGAGGAAAUAAUAAUUGUCUUGAAGGUUGUGUAGAGAGAUGGUGGAGAAACUUCUUUUGUUUUAUCUAUUGGUUAUCUUUCUAAUUGCUAGUUAACGAACAAUAAACUCUAAAUGAAACUACUAAAUUUGCAACCGAAGACAUUUUUGGGCUUGUAUCUUAGUAUCGUAAUCGUCACCCAAUUAGAGCCGCCCAUGACGGCUUCAUUAAAUAUAUAAUUUGGGGGAACCAGGAUUUAAGGCCAAAUUUCGGCAACCUUCAAGGCACUUCAUUGUUUUCUCACAAAUUUUGUUUAUUUAUUGUAAAAGAUUAACUUUAAAGUGUCCUCAAAUUUCUUCCCUAUCUUCUCUCAAACUUUACCAGUGAAAAUUGUUUGUCUUCGGGUUCGUUUGUUUCGGGUGAAAAUGUUUUCCAGAAAAAGUAUUUUCCUAAUUUCCCGUGUUUGAUUGCACAAAAGUUACUGAAAACAUUUUACAUAAAUUUUCACUCAUCUUAUGGAAAACAACUUCCCUUCCAAACUUACUGAAGUUGUUUUCCGAAAUGCAUGCAUCCCGCCUGUAGUAUGUUCCAAACUUACUGAAACCAUCUUGUAGUAUGUUCUUUUUUUUUUUUAGUGUAAACAGGAGGACUCGAACCAAGACCUCUUCCUUACACUCCCUCCCCCGUACCAUCCAACCCAACCCAACCCUCCCCCUAGUAUAUUCAAAAUAAAAAAAAACCUCAUCCUACUCAUCCUAUUCUAGUAAUUAAUUAUGUAUAAUAGGGACAUUCUUUUCUAGAGAAACUUUCAGCAAUGAUAGUGCAAGAUAUAUGUCACAAUAAGCAUUGCAUGUGAUUGAUAUUUGACACUAAAUGGCCAGCAAUUUGUUUAUUGCUUAAGGAGAUAUUUUUUAUUCAUAUAUACAUUUCUCCAAGAUUUUUUAAAGUUAAACAAUGAGAUAAAUUUUCUUAUUUUGCAUGGGAAGAAGUAUGUAGUUAUAAUGUGUAGAAAGUAAAGAUAGAGAUAAAAGUGAAAAUAUUUCAAAAGUUAAACAAACACCAAAAAAAUGAAGUAAGAAAAUAUUUUCAAUAAACUAACCAAACACCUGAAAAUGAUGAAAGAGAAAUGAUUUUCAUGGAAAAUUACUUCCACGGAAAAUAUUUUCCCAAGAAAAACAUUUUACUUCCAACCAAACAGACCCUUCAUCUCGUUGAUUGUCUCCCCCAGUGCAUACAAAUGUAUUAUGGGCAUUUUGGUGAAAGAAAGGCAUAAACUGAGUUCUGCACAACUAAAUUUUGCCAAUAGCAUAUGAAAAUAUGAAGAAGAAUAAUAAUAAAUGAAGGGUCUGUCUAAUAAGUAUUCAUAGGGAACCAUUGAAAUAUAUCUCAAGUGUCAUGUUUUUGGAAAUGUAAAAUUAAUAGAAAAAAUAAAUAAAUACAAGAGAGAGUAGAUAAAAUUAAAUAAGAAAAGUUAAUAAUUGUUAAUAGAUAUAUAUACAUAAUAGAUUAGAUGAACGUUAAAUAUGUUAACAAGUACCUUAUUAGCACCCGUUAAAAAAAGCUAUAAAUGAAAGAUGUGAUCACCAAAUCAUUGACAAAGAAAUGUGUUGAAAAUGAAACAAGAAAGUCAAACAUGAUAAGGGAUCAAAAAUGGAAUUUAAUAAUUGCAGAUACUCCAAGAAGUUGAGUUGAAAUCAGUUAUCCGAUUUCAAAUUCACAACUUCUGCUGUCAAAGAACUACAAAGGGACUCAACUUCUGCUAAUUUAUAUUAGUUUCGAAACUCUUACAAGUACCCUAGCAUCUGAGAUUAUCACCGGGAUCAACACCCAACUGGUUACAAUAUUCAGCAUAAUACUCAACACGAGCACUAACAGUGUCCGGAUUUGCACCAUCACAUUCAAGCUGUCCGUUAACGGCACGAAUUGUAGCCCCAAAACCCUGGCCAGAAGUGAUAAGAUCAUGACAAUUGUUCAUCCAGAACCACAAGGCAGUUUUGAAUGAAAUAACAUUAUCUGUGGCCACAGUUUCAGGUUCAGUUAGUCCAUCGAACCCUAUGCUUUCACCUGCUGGUCCAUAGUUAAAGUUCCAAGAUAUUUGUAUUGGACCCCUGCCGUAAUAUCCCUUGCCUGGCACACAAGGGUACUGAGUGUUGCGCUCAUCACAAUAGUCUUUGGAAGGGCCGUCUAUCUCUUCUAUAUAGCACAUAUCUGCACAAUAUAGAGAAGUCUGUAUCAAUUAUCACUGCAUUCAAUUGCUUAUAUGAAAGCCACUCAUUGAUACAUUAUGGAUUUUAGAUAUUUUUACUAUUAAAAAACCUAUAAUCUAAAUACAAAAUAAAUGAGAACAUAAAAAAAAUUAAUUAUUUAAAAUCAGAAUCUAUAGUCAGUUAUAAUAAUCAAUCAAGAACAACCCCAAAAAAUGUCAUCAAUAUUUAAGAAGGGACCAUAUGUGAUAAAGAAAUUAUAAAGUUAUAAGUAAUCACAGACUAAAUAAAUAACCAAUACAACAAAGUAGAAAAAAUUAACGUCAAAGUGGGACGGAGGGAGUAUAUGUUUUUCUUGGUAUCCUAGCAAUAUGAUAGUUGGAGCAAUAACCAUUGUCAAAUUUUGGUGUUUGAUUGUUGCUCUCAUGCUUGAGGGCAAGCAUGGUUCAGGUGUGAGGAGAAUUGAUAGGGUGUUAAUUGUUAGUAAUUUUAUUGUUAAUUUUCCCUUUUAUCCUUGCCAAAUAUUGUUUUAAUUAUUAAUAUUUACUUAUAUUUGGUAUUUGGACUCAAUUUCAGGGAAUAGAGUAGAAAACUACAAAAAAGGAGGGACUUUAUGGAGACAAUGGAGACUUCAAACAACCGGGGCCACAUGGUGCCACAAACGGAUGGCAUUUCCUUUUUACUGAUUAGGAGUUGAAGUCUUUGAUGGGCAACAGGAAACGAAAAGUAGAGAAAAAUUCGGCAGAGCUUUCUUUUUGUACUUGGACUCCCAAUUCGUUGGGGACCACAGAGAGCAUUAAGGAGUCAUACUUUUGCUUGGAAUAAAAAGAACGUAUAGAGGCUAGGGAUAGUUUUUAGCAAUAGUUUAGUUUUCUUCCUUUUUCCUUUUCAUGCAUGCCUACUGUUCGACAAAAGUCCCAACUGGAGAAAUAUCUUUCACCUCUUGAUUAUUUAGUGAAAAACCCGAUGCCUUUGCAAUCAAUUAAUUUGCGUGGAAAUUUAUUUAUGCGGCGUGGCUAAACUUUUCAUCUAGUCAAGGAUCAACUCGACGGCGCAGUCCCGAAUAUCUGUGAGAUCUAAUUAGUUUUCACGCGUUCUUAAUUUGUUAAUAAUUGCGCGUUGUCUAUUCGAAUUUCCAUGGGAUUAUUUUGUUAAUUGGAUGUCAAGGGAUCGAUGUUCAAUGUGACUUAUUAAUCUCCUGCCAAAUUAGUCAAUUAAAUCCAUAAUUGUUUGAUUGGUUAAUAUUAGUGGCAACUGGCGUGUUUACACACCAGGGGAACGUGCAAUCUAAUUUAAAUAACCCUCGUAGCGUGUUAUUGAUUGGGGUUAGGUUUUUCUAGUUAUUAAUGCAAUUGAAAAAUUAAUUCCUACGGUCGUACCUAGGAGUAUUUUCUGGUUAGGGGUAAUCAAUGGUUGUACCUUGGUUAUCAAUAAAUUAAAGAAAAAUUGGUCGUUAGAGUUCGUCGGCGACUAUAACUAGUCUAUUAAUAAAUUAAGUGAACCUCCCUUACAUCAAUGAUCGGGUAAGUGGACUAUGUUUGAAUAGUUGUAUUCUUGGUUAGAAUUUAUCUAUUCUUGAAUUAAUUCCUGUGUAUAUUCGUGUUAGUUAAUUAUUCGUUUUAUUUGAAUUGCUUAAUUAUUUGUAGUUUUAUUCUGAUGAAACACCCAUUUUACCAAUUGGAAUCUCAAAGAGACAAAUAUCCUCAAUUCCUGAGGAGACGUGUGAGAACCCGUAUUUUCCCUAAUAAUUUUCCUAGGGUUUUUCCCCUUUAAUGGCAUGUUUUCUGCAUUUUCUGGCUUAGAAAAUUUUCCUGGUGAAUUUUAUGAGUAAUUAUAGUUUUUAGAUGAUUUUUCUAGCAUUGGAUAGUUUUUGAAAAAUUACGGAUAUAUAACGGACGUGGGGCCCACUAGUGCGAAAAGUUCGGAAAAAUUCGGUCAAUAAGGUUAAGUUCCGGAUACUGAGUGAAAUUUAUCGGGUGUUAAGAGAUAAGUAUAGGAUGUGAUGUGAUUGAUGUGAGAGGAAAACAAAAGGAUAGAAAUGCAUUAAUGAAGUGACACUUGUCAUGUUGGGAUUGGUUUCACUUGUUGACAACUAUUCAUUUUUUUUGACUUUUCUUACCAAUUGAUUAAAUAUCUCAAAAAUCACAAAAAAAUUCACUCUUGUCUUCACCUUCUUGGCCGGCCACCUUGAGCUUAAGAAGGAAGAAAACUCUUCAAAAUCUUGGCUACCAUCUAGCUCAAAUCCUCCAAAACAAUUGCUUGAUCUUGUUUCUACUCCAUAAAAUCUCUCCAUUUGGUACUAGUAAGUGAUUUGGUGAAGUGUUUAAGGAAGCUAAGGUGUCCAACAACUCUCCCUCUCUUGUUUACUAGGUGAGUGGUGAUUGAACUUCCUCCUACACUUAAUGAAGCUUAAGUUGUGCUUAGUGGUAGCUAAAGUGCUGAAAUUUGUGGUUUAUUUCUUGGUUUGAGAUGAAAUGAUGAAGUUUUCAAUUUAAUGGUGUAUUUUCUGGUUUAAUGUGAUCAUGAUGUUGUGGUUAUCUAUGAUGGUUGGUAAUGAAGGGUAAUGACUCUAGUAGGUGUACAUGAUUGGUAAUUGCAAGCAAUUUUGGGUUUGGAAGGAAUUUGAGAAAGUUAGGGUUUUAUAUCCCCAAUUCUGUCCGAUUUUGUAUCUCAUGGUUAGAGGCCGAAUUGGCCUUGUCUUAAAACAUGAAAGUUGUAGGUAUUGAUGUGUUUGAGGUGCCUGUAAAAUUUCAGGUUCAUCGGAGUUGUGUAGAGUGAGAAAAGUCGAUUUUACUGUUGCUGUUCUGGGUUCUUCAGGAUGGCCGAACUGCGUCUGUAAUUGGUGGUUUUGGCUGGAAUUGCUUUGGAUUUGGUUGUUGAGGCCUUCUGAUGAAAUGUAGCUUGAUGUCUUAGCUACCGCAUGCCUUUGGUAUGAAUGAAUUUGGACUUGUAUAGACUGAGUUGGACUAAUUACAGCAUAGUGUAUUUUGUAAACCUGCAAUUAAGGUUCUGGUUUGGUAUUUUGCAUAUUUGACCUAGUUGUGCUAGGAAUUGGACUGAGUGACCUUCUACAUUGUUGUAGCCCUGUUUCUUAGCUUCGAAACGGUGGGUCUUACACCCUCAUCCGAUAAGCGUAGUGCAAUUUGUGCCAUUACCGCAAACUGAGGACAAAACUGUUUUUUUUUCAGGGCCAAGUUAGUUACAUUUCCUGAUUUUCUGGUUUGCUAUAAUGCUUAUAUAUGAAUAUGAAACCCUAUUGGGGUUGUGAUUGGCAUGGCUUUAUGACUCGUUAUCGAGUCUCAUUGUAUUUGUUUACGUGUUUUAGGACGUGACGAGGGUUCACGACGACCUUUUAACGACGGUGCAUGAAACAUCACCUACUUGAGUAGUGAGUAUACUACUCACUUGAAUGUUUAUAAUGUGGCUUUGCUAUAUGUGAUUGUGAUGCCUUGAAGGCUUGUUUGGCUAUUGGACAUGGUUAAGGUGAGGGUGUACUUGACCGCCCUCAUCCUUUUUAUCUUGUUAAUGACUGUUUACCGUUUCACUGUAAUACUGCACUUGCUAUAUGAGAUAUUGAAUUCCAUUCAUGGGAAACUGUUUGGGUGUCGGUUGGACGAGUAUCCAACGGCCCUACUGCAUUACUGAGCUCGACCCCGUUGGUAGUUACUUGAAUCGAGCCAGCGAGGGCUUGGUCGUGAAAAUUGACUAGCCACGGGGACUGAAAUGGGAAUCUUGUGGUAAUGAGACCCUUGGUUCCGGUGUACUCGAGUAUCACCUAAAGCUACUGCUUGGAGUGCGGGCCCGGUUGGGGUAUGUUGGGUGGAAGGAAUGGAAGUGAAGUGAGGUCUACGGUCGGGUAUUCUUAAACAUUGACGGAGGGUCAAUGAGGUUGGAUCAAGAAUGUAAGCGUGGAAAUGGGCUCUUGAGAGCCGUCCGUAUCCUUUUACCGACUUGUUUUAUUUCUUAAUUGCGUACUUGAGAUGAAAGUUAAGUGAUCUUUGUUGAUUAUGUGAUAGUUGCUCACUGAGCUUUAGCUCACUCCGUUCCAUUUGUUUUCCUUACAGGAAAAAUGACUAUUUUGGGAAAGGUUGUGCUAGUUGGUUGUCAAGUUGAGCUCAUGUAAAUGUAUAUUUUGAAUAGCUCCUUGAGGGUGAAAACCCUAAGUGUUUUGUUUCAACCAAUGGUUGGUUUGUAAUUGGCCAAUUGCACAUGUGUGAACUUGUUGGAUAUUUUGGUAUACCGCUUUGGCUUGUAAAUGUUAAAUUUCGAUGUAUAUAUGUUGGAUUGAUGUUUGGUUGAACUCCGGAUUCUGACAUGGCCGGUACUGUUCAUCAUCGGCUUCGAUUUUCAUAUUUUUUUUAUUUUGUGAUUUUGACUUGUUUGCGCGCGUUGGUGUGUUCCGGAACGUAGUAGAUCGACGUAAACUGAUCCGUUAGUCCUGGCGAGAGCUGGGCAGCCAGUCCGCUAACCCCUUUGGUUCGCCUUAGGGGAAGGUGGGGCUGUUACAAGACGACCCUACUUGCCACUGUCUGCCAAUUAGUAAAUUUUGUCAAAUAAUUAAUUCUGGUAUAUCGGAUUAAGCAAACUCUUCGAGAACAGGGUGAAUCAAGUAACCCAUUGCACACCUAGAGUCCCUGCUCCAGUACUUAGAAUUGAUUAUCGACUACUUUUGACGGGCGUAGGGUAUACAUAUAACAUUAAGCUCAUCCUAAUCAAGUUUUACAUUUAUAAACUCCUAAAUACCCUACACGCGAUUUAUCGCAAGUAUACGAAUCGUGAGCGAGUAUAGGGUAUUAAAAGUCGAUCUCACAAUGAAGAUUGCAAUUACCGGCACUACUAAAGCUUCUCUAUUAUUUAGACUAUCAAUGAAUUAUAACAAAUUUAACCUACUGAACUUAUGCAAGAAAAUAACAAAUGAAAGCUCCUUAAGUUGUGGUAUCCCUAACUACUCAUGCAAGUGCUAUAUUUGGAUCAUUGAAUACUACUAUCUAGGCUAGUUAUGGUGUAAUUUCCUUAAACAUGUGAAACCUACUUUCGUAGUGAAUCAACUAUAUUCAUAACUAAUCCAUACAUAUUCUCAUGGUUAUGAAAUUAGCUACAAGUUCAUUUCUUCAAUGAAAUUAAUCACUAAAAUCACAUAGGUGCACCUCUACUCUCGUGAGCGUACUCCCUAUGUUUAGCACUUCUUAAACUAGUGUUAAAUCUCAAUUUUCAUUGCAGAAACAACACCUUAAAUAAUCACAAUCAAUGGUACCAGAUUAAUCAUGAUUUAAAGAGCCAAAGUACUAAAUAACUUGCUCAAAUCAUAGCAAUCAAAUAACCAAAUAAUAAAUACUAACAAUUAUAGAAAGUUCAACCAAACCCAAGGCAUAAACGUUAGAGACACAUAUUAAACACAAAAUCCAGAACUUGCAUAUCAACUAAACUUAGAAUCCAAUACAAAAGAUAAAGAGUUGGAAAAGAGAUAACCAUUGUCACAUGAGCUUCAACUCCUCCUUUUUCAUCUCCAUUUUCAUCCUAAUCUAGCUAAUAUACAAGAAUGGAAGAGCUAUACUAUUCUAAACUAAACUAUCCUACUACUCAGAAAGUGCAAGAGCUACAUCUCUGCACUCCAAGUUUCUCCUGUAUGUCUCUCUAUUCUCCCUUCAAUCUUGCAAGCUUUGGCUAUAUAAAGGUGAAAGUUGGUCAAGAAGUGAGGUUUACACCUCCCUUUUACAGCUGGGAAUGUUUCUCACAUGUCUAGCAUCACCUGUGACUUAGUGGAGGUGAAAUUGAGUUUCCCACGUAAAGAGCAGCCUUCUCUGACCACAAUCCGGCCAGAAAUCUGGCCAAGUUCCGGCCGGAUUGCUACAGUGACAUUUUGGUGCACUUUUGUUCAAUUUCCAGCUCUGCUCCAAUUUUGUGUCAAUUUCAACUGAACUUUUGUUGAUGAUAAAAGCUGAUUUAGCUCUUGAUCAACAUAAAACUUGUAGCCCUUUGAGUUAGCUUUCCAAUGCAUCAAGAAUCACCUCAUUUGGAUCUGUGUAGGCUGAGAAAUGACCGAAAUACCUUUGACUGCUCACUGCCCUAUUUCAGCUUCGACCAAUAGAAAUUAGCUACUGUAAUUCGGCUUUUUAACCUGGAAAACCUUCAAAAUAGAUUCAGAUGUCUUCACCAAAGUUGUAGAUCUAUCUCUUAUCUUCAAAUUGGUUUAAGAAUCAUCUCAAUCCGAUCAUUAUAGCUCAAGUUAUAGCCAAAAUACGAAAAUGUGUCAAAACUGUCAAAAUGCACAAAAUCCAAGUAAAAAGUGAUAAAAACCUCAUUUAAUUACUUAAAAGCAUUUUUCACCAAUUAUAGCCAAAAUGAAUCAUUUUCUUCCAAUAAUGUAACCAAAGUGACUAACAAUAAUAUAAAAUAUCAUACAAUUAUUACAUAAAUUAGUCACUUAUCAGCUUUUAUUGGCAAUUAGGUUUAUUUUUAUUAUUGCACAGGUUCGGCACCUGUCAUUAGGAGUACUGGUUUUGCUGUGGGAUUUUUCGUUUUCUUUGUCAGCUGCGUCAGCUGCAUGGUGCUUUAGAGCAUAAGCCUUUGUUUUGUAUCGAAACAUCACGGCCAAAAUUGCCAAAAGCAUAUCGAAACAUGAACACAAAAUGAAAGAUGUGAGGAAACUUUAAUGAAGAUAUGCCUUGAGAUUUAAACACCAAAGACAAAAGCUCAAAAAAUAUUAUCAACGGAUCAAAAUAAGAACUUGAUUAUUGGUAAAACACUCCAACAAGUUAAGUCGAACCAAGAUCAACAUAAUCAAUUAUUUGAUUUCAAGAGUCAUAACUUUUGCUUGUAAAGAACAAAUAAAGUUAAACAAUUUAUUGCUUUUUUCCCCCCAGUCAGCUGUGUACCUCAACAUUAUUUCACGUCAAAAACUUGUUUUUCCUCGGAUUAAAUACCCUAGCAUCUGAGGUUAUCACCAGUCUCGACACCCAAUUGUCUACAAUAUUCAGUAUAAUACUCAACUCGAGCACUAACUGUGUUUGGAUUUGCACCAUCACAUUCAAGCCGACCAUUAAUGGCACGAAUUGUAGCCCCAAAACCCUGGCCAGAAGUGAUAAGAUCAUGACAAUGGUUCAUCCAAUACCACAAGCCAGUUUUGAAUGAAAUAACAUUAUUUGUAGCUACAGUUUCAGGUUGGCUGAGUCCAUUGAAUCCAAUGCUUUCACCUGCUGGUCCAUAGUUAGAGUUCCAUGAUAACUGUAUUGGACCCCUGCCGUAAUAUCCCUUGCCUGGCACACAUGGAUACUGAGUGUUGCUCUCAUCACAGUAAUCUCUGGAGGGGCCGUCUAUCUCUUCUAUGUAGCACAAAUCUGCGCAAUAUAAAGAAAUUUUGUCACUCAAUUGAAAUGAUUGAUAAAGGGUUAGAAUCAAAGAAAAUCAGGAGGUCUGGAAUUUUUUGUAAAUUUUUAGAUUUGAUUGUUUUACUAAUGAAUUCAAUUGGUGAGAAAAGACUUUAUCCCAUUUUGUAAAAAUUGGGUUGGACAGACCUAAAGUAAACACUCUUUUUAUGAGGUAAAAUUUUAGAAUGAUUUAACAUUAUAGGGUUAUACGAUAGAUAAAUAAAAAUUGGCAAUAGCAAGAUUAAGAAGGGACCAACAGUGAUAUAAAAAUUACAAAGGUAUCAUGGACGUCUAAAAUAUAUUUGGCUAAUAAAUUUGAACUAAUUUACGGCCAAAUUUAGGUGAAAUAGUUAAUUCUACUUGGUAAAUUGGAAGUUCGGAAACGUGUAUCUGUCAGUUGUCAUACUCAUGAGCGAGCCAAUCUUAACUUAAAAAAGAAAAAGAAAAAAAGAAAAAGAAAAAAGGAAUCCAAAAGAUAAAAGUAGAAAAGGCAUGAAUUUUAAAACGUAAUCGUAAUACCUUGUACCCGAAACAAAUAUGUGCAAUACUUAUUAAGCUAAGCAAAGCCACAUGAUCUACUCUUAGAUGCAGCAAAAUAUACAACCACCUUAAGCUUGGAAUGUAAAGGCAGAAAAACUUGCUUAUGUAGAUAUAAAAGUGACCACUACAAGAAAAGUAAAAAGAAUAUGGAGAUAAUAAUCCUUCUGUUCAUCAUGAUAAAUUAUUUAACAGUAAUAAAUCUUUCAUAUUCAAGUUUUAUUUUUUGAAGAAAAAAUUCUUGGAUAAUAGUGCACAGGAGAUUCCAAGAUAUACUAUCUAGAAAUUCACAGGAGCUACUAAAAAAGUAGAAAAUAUCUUCAAAAUUUAAUUUCCAAGCUAGUGUUAUUCAAAACUUACGUCCAGUCUCAUGAGUGACAUGAGCAAAGAAAGCAGCAAUCUCCCUUUUAGAAUCAUCAACAGAACCAGCGGUUCCAAACUGGGGAUACGAGUUCAGAGCUUCAAGAAAAGCUGAUCGAGUAUAGAACCCUUUUCCAGCACAGCUUGAAGCAGCUUGAUCAGCAAUCCCAUUAAAGAAAGCGUCCGUCACAAUAUCAGCAACUGAAACGCCACUAUUACCACUGCUCGGAGCAGCGGUGCAAGGGCCGGAUUGACAGCCAGAGCCGCAGUAGUCGUUGCCGGUACCGCAAUAGCCGAAUUUGCUGCAGCACAAGUCUGGUGCACAGCCGCAGUUUUGGCUUGAAAUCAGCUGUGGAAAGGCUCCUACAAGAACUACAAUGGAGAAAAUGAUGGUUGGAAAACUCUUCAUUUUUGGAUUUGAUAAAGGAGAGAAGCUUGUGGGCAGCAGUUGUAUCAGAAAAAAGGGUAUAUGUAGGGAAGAGAACUGAAAACUGAUCAGCUUGUGUGAAGCAUGCACAGCUGCUAUUGUUGAAAAUAUUGAAUUUGAGCAAUUAAAGAAAACAGAACAGAAGACGAAAGCGUGAAUGGUUGACUUCUAUCGAGAGUAUUGACUUUGACAUUGUCAAUGAAGCGGAAACUUUCUUUCUUGGCUUCUAGAAUGGGAAAGGUCAAAAAGAAAGAUUUUGGCCAAUUCGUAUGAACAAUUGUGAGAAUAAGGCAUGUAGACUCACAAGUCCCCACUAGAAUGUGUGCAAAAAUAUAAUUUGAAGUUGCCUAAAUCAUUUAAUUUCAUGCUUGUUAUUGAGUUUAUUUGCCUAACUGUGUUUUAGUAAUACUUCAAAAUUGUGUUUGAGUUAGAACGGAAAAAAAUAUGAGACAUUUUUUUUUUAAUUGCAAUUCCAGAAAUAAAAUCUUAUAAAACAUGUAUUAGAAAAAUUUUGAGGGUAAAUGAUAUGAAAAAAAAAAAGAAGAAAUAGUUCUAUAAAUUGACAUAAGUGUUCAUCGGCUUUUGGAAAAAUUAAGAAAGAAUAAAGCAGCCGACAUAUCUAUCAUGCAUAACAACAUUAUGUGGCUUUUGUUAGUACACGCUAUGACCAUAUAUGUUUCAUUUGAGAUGCUUGUCGGACGUGUUGAAUUGUUGGCAAUGAAAUGCUCCAAAAUGUCAGCACUAUAGUUUAUAAAUAGUAUUAGGUCAUACUGAAUUAUCGACAUAUCGUUACAUGCAGAGUCGUGAAAAUAUACAAGUCUUUCCCUAUCAUUAAUUAGUUGGUCAAAUGACAAUUUUAGAGUGGCUGCUGACUAUGUCAAGAAACAUCUUGCAGUAAAUUGGGCGAGUUAAUGUACUUUUCUUUUUCUAAAUAUUUGCACUUAAACUCUCAAAUCGACCAUAGUUUUAACUAAUUUUGCUCUGGCUUUAUUCUUGAUUCGCAAAAUUCAGAAAAACCAAAACAAACCCUUGUUACUGAAGAUAUCAAAAUGGUAACCCAACUAAGUAAUUGAUUUUGAAAAACAUUCUGAACCAAAUUUCAAGUUUUGGUUUCUUUGCUCUUUUUCUACUGAAAGGCAACUUCCCCGGGCCAAGAAAUUGAAACAAAUAGUACGAUGCUUAAGUUUUCUAUGCUCUUAUGAUCAAGUCAAACCAUGCUUAUAAUCAAUUACAUAAAAAAUUACGGGCAAUUUCGUCAUUAUUUGGGAGGAGGAGGAAUAUUAAGCAAAAAAAAAAGUUCUAUUAAGAAAACGAUUAAGCAUAUUAUUUUCCAGGAAUAAAAAAGAACGAGCAGAGAAAUACAUUAGUUUGGAUGACAUUACAACAUUUAGCAACAUGAUUAGGGAUGCAAUGGGAUGGGUGCCAAUUGGGAAUCAAUGGGAUGGGAGAAAAUGCAGGAGGGGAUGGAGGGAUUGAAGAAUAUUUCUCCUCCAACAUUAAAUGGAUACCUCCAUCCCAUCCCCUAAAACCCCUUGUUGCUAUUCCUAAACAGGAUGCUACUUAUAUCCUCUCUCUAUGAGCAUGUGUGGCUAGUGAGGAAUGCAGGAUUUUGAUUUUGGCGGGGGGAGGGUGGGGCAAAUUGACAAUCAAGAAACAAUAGAAAAAAAACCUUAGCAAAUAAAGCACACAAACUUAAAAUGAAAGUUUAAUAUACGAUAAAUAAAAUAUAAAUAUUUUUAAUAAUAAAAUACACCAUAUAAAUAAAAUGAUAGAGCAAUAAUUGGGCACCAUAAGUGCUGUUAUUUGGUCAUAAUGUUGGCUACUUAUCAUGCUAAGUAGUGCAGCUUUGCUCAUAUUUGAUAUUUGUGUAAAUUACAGGCGGUUGGUGUUGAAACUGAUCUCUCGAGGCAAAUUUUCAGAAGACUUUUUAUUUCAGAGCGUGCCGACGCCAGAAACUAUAGAGAGACUCCUCAAAGGUGGACCGCGGGACUAAUUAACUAAACUUACCUUUAUUCCUGCUUGACGCUGCUGGAAGUGCGUUAAAACAAAAAGGCAAUAAUUUCCAGCGAAUUGGGUAACAACCAAUAAGGAGGAAAAUUAGGGGCACUAGCCUACAAAGCCGGACCCGCGAGACUGGUAGACAAAGUGGGGAAUUAGGAAGUCUUCAAAGCGGCUAUUUUCUCGUGGGCUGCAGAGGUGAAAAGGACAAGUAGUUUGAGUCUUGCAGAGAGCUUUUGAGUUCUCUUACGUUUUGUCUUGCGGUAGCCACCCGGGGGAGGAUUGAAAAAGCCAUAUUCACGUGGGAUUAGGAGAUUAGCUUUAGUUUCUUGUAUCCCUGGGUAGACGAUCUGCUCUCUGCUUUGCUUUUGGCGACUUUCUUUAGACCUUUUUCUUUACUUUUCUCCGGCACGAACAGGGAACCAAAAAAGAAGCAAGACUUUUCGUUUGUCUCGUCGUUAUUUCAUCUUUCCCAACUUUUUGGUAAUUAAGUGGAUGGAAUCAAUCAAAUCACGCGAGAUUGAUGUGAUGAGGAGUGGCUAGGUUUCUCUGCUACCCAAAGGUCGACGCGAAGGCGCGGUCCAUAACAUCUGUGAGAUCUAAUCGAACUUUCACUAUUUCUUCCAAUCCGUUACUAUUCGUGCGUUUUCUGGAUUAACUGUUUAUGGUUAUUUUAUUAAUUGAGUAUCAACAGCCGGAUAUUUAAUUUAAUCUAAUAGCCUACUGUCACGUUAACUAAAUUGAAUCCGUAAUUAUUCGUUUAGUUGAUAAUUAGUGACAACCAUCAUAAUUGGCUUUAUGUUGGGAAAAACGUAAGAUCUAAUUUAGAUAAACCCUCUUAUAGCGUGUUUAUUGGUUAGGGUUGGAUUUUUCUAGCGUUAAUGCAACUGAAUAAUUAAAUUCCUACGGUCGUAUCUAGGGUUAUUUUCUGGUUAGAGAAACAGUCAACGGUCGUACCUUGGCUAUCGAAAAAGUAAGAAAAAACUAGCAGUCAGAGCUUGUUGAUCGCUAUAACCAACCUAGUGACGAAUGAGUGAAAUAUCUUUGCAUCGAUGAUCAUUUAAUUGGACCGUGCCUGAAAAGUUGAUCCUUUGGAUAGAAUUUUGCUAAUUGCUAUUUUCAGUGAAUUGUACUUGGCGAGUUAGCUUUUGAAUUUUGUUUAUUUUAUUUUCAUUUUCAUUCCAUUAAAUAUCCCCCAAUUUUGUUCUAUUGACUUGGAAAGAAACAACUUCUUACCCGUUACUUGUGGAAUCGACCCUACUUGCCAUUUUCAGAAACAACUUCUUAAUUUUAAUCCUUAUGAAACCCAGCUUCUCUCUCAAUUUUCAGAGGUUUCUUUUCCUUCAUCAUGUCAAAGUUGCUAUUAUAAUCACUGUAAUUAGACAGCUAAACCUGUCAUUCCAAUUAUACCCUUGGUCCGCCGUGGGAAAUACAUAAAAUGUGGUAGCGCUGCCCAAUAAGUCCCACAUUGGACCAUAUAAAAUUGUUUAAGGACUAAAUUGGUAAAAAAAAUCGUAAAUGAUGAAAUUGAUUUAAGUGAAAAAGUUCAAGGACCAAAUUGGCAAUUUUUCCUUAUUAUGAUUAUGAUUAUGAUUAUUAUUAUUAUUAUUAUUAUUAGUCUGAGAUGCCGAACAAGUUGUGGAGACUUAUUUCACCUUUACAAGGUCAUUGGAGGGCUUGACGAGGUGCGAUGUGGUAAGGAAAGGCACAAAAAACUCUUUUUUCUUUAUUAAAAAACAUACAAAUUGCACUAAUAAUGGCUGAAAAUGCAUCCAACAUGCAAUAGUGAAAAAUCGUUAGAUGCAAGAUAUAUAAAAGUUAACAAAAAUUAUCUUAGUACCUCUGAUAUAUUCCAAAUUCAGAUAAAUCAUCUGCCCCCAAUGAAUAUAUGUGCAUAUCAUCAUUGUCAAAAAAUAUUUAUGCAUAUCAUUGCCGUUAGAUUUUAUAUUGAAGUGGUUAAAGCUCCAAAUCUAGUAGAGAAGAAAUUCAACACUUGAGAAAAUAAGUUAAGAAAUUCAAGAUUUGACAUACAAAUCUGAAAAGCUCUCAAAUCUAACAAAACAAGAUAUAAAAUUAUCUGAAUAAAACUCUCACUAGAAUAUCUUAGUAGAGAAGAAAAUUCUCACUAGAUAGUCUCACUAUACUUUAUUAGACAUAAAAAAAAAAAAAAGAGAAGUCAAACAGAGGGAGGAAGGCAAUCCUCCAUGGAGGAAAUAAUAAUUGUCUUGAAGGUUGUGUAGAGAGAUGGUGGAGAAACUUCUUUUGUUUUAUCUAUUGGUUAUCUUUCUAAUUGCUAGUUAACGAACAAUAAACUCUAAAUGAAACUACUAAAUUUGCAACCGAAGACAUUUUUGGGCUUGUAUCUUAGUAUCGUAAUCGUCACCCAAUUAGAGCCGCCCAUGACGGCUUCAUUAAAUAUAUAAUUUGGGGGAACCAGGAUUUAAGGCCAAAUUUCGGCAACCUUCAAGGCACUUCAUUGUUUUCUCACAAAUUUUGUUUAUUUAUUGUAAAAGAUUAACUUUAAAGUGUCCUCAAAUUUCUUCCCUAUCUUCUCUCAAACUUUACCAGUGAAAAUUGUUUGUCUUCGGGUUCGUUUGUUUCGGGUGAAAAUGUUUUCCAGAAAAAGUAUUUUCCUAAUUUCCCGUGUUUGAUUGCACAAAAGUUACUGAAAACAUUUUACAUAAAUUUUCACUCAUCUUAUGGAAAACAACUUCCCUUCCAAACUUACUGAAGUUGUUUUCCGAAAUGCAUGCAUCCCGCCUGUAGUAUGUUCCAAACUUACUGAAACCAUCUUGUAGUAUGUUCUUUUUUUUUUUUAGUGUAAACAGGAGGACUCGAACCAAGACCUCUUCCUUACACUCCCUCCCCCGUACCAUCCAACCCAACCCAACCCUCCCCCUAGUAUAUUCAAAAUAAAAAAAAACCUCAUCCUACUCAUCCUAUUCUAGUAAUUAAUUAUGUAUAAUAGGGACAUUCUUUUCUAGAGAAACUUUCAGCAAUGAUAGUGCAAGAUAUAUGUCACAAUAAGCAUUGCAUGUGAUUGAUAUUUGACACUAAAUGGCCAGCAAUUUGUUUAUUGCUUAAGGAGAUAUUUUUUAUUCAUAUAUACAUUUCUCCAAGAUUUUUUAAAGUUAAACAAUGAGAUAAAUUUUCUUAUUUUGCAUGGGAAGAAGUAUGUAGUUAUAAUGUGUAGAAAGUAAAGAUAGAGAUAAAAGUGAAAAUAUUUCAAAAGUUAAACAAACACCAAAAAAAUGAAGUAAGAAAAUAUUUUCAAUAAACUAACCAAACACCUGAAAAUGAUGAAAGAGAAAUGAUUUUCAUGGAAAAUUACUUCCACGGAAAAUAUUUUCCCAAGAAAAAUAUUUUACUUCCAACCAAACAGACCCUUCAUCUCGUUGAUUGUCUCCCCCAGUGCAUACAAAUGUAUUAUGGGCAUUUUGGUGAAAGAAAGGCAUAAACCGAGUUCUGCACAACUAAAUUUUGCCAAUAGCAUAUGAAAAUAUGAAGAAGAAUAAUAAUAAAUGAAGGGUCUGUCUAAUAAGUAUUCAUAGGGAACCAUUGAAAUAUAUCUCAAGUGUCAUGUUUUUGGAAAUGUAAAAUUAAUAGAAAAAAUAAAUAAAUACAAGAGAGAGUAGAUAAAAUUAAAUAAGAAAAGUUAAUAAUUGUUAAUAGAUAUAUAUACAUAAUAGAUUAGAUGAACGUUAAAUAUGUUAACAAGUACCUUAUUAGCACCCGUUAAAAAAACCUAUAAAUGAAAGAUGUGAUCACCAAAUCAUUGACAAAGAAAUGUGUUGAAAAUGAAACAAGAAAGUCAAACAUGAUAAGGGAUCAAAAAUGGAAUUUAAUAAUUGCAGAUACUCCAAGAAGUUGAGUUGAAAUCAGUUAUCCGAUUUCAAAUUCACAACUUCUGCUGUCAAAGAACUACAAAGGGACUCAACUUCUGCUAAUUUAUAUUAGUUUCGAAACUCUUACAAGUACCCUAGCAUCUGAGAUUAUCACCGGGAUCAACACCCAACUGGUUACAAUAUUCAGCAUAAUACUCAACACGAGCACUAACAGUGUCCGGAUUUGCACCAUCACAUUCAAGCUGUCCGUUAACGGCACGAAUUGUAGCCCCAAAACCCUGGCCAGAAGUGAUAAGAUCAUGACAAUUGUUCAUCCAGAACCACAAGGCAGUUUUGAAUGAAAUAACAUUAUCUGUGGCCACAGUUUCAGGUUCAGUUAGUCCAUCGAACCCUAUGCUUUCACCUGCUGGUCCAUAGUUAAAGUUCCAAGAUAUUUGUAUUGGACCCCUGCCGUAAUAUCCCUUGCCUGGCACACAAGGGUACUGAGUGUUGCGCUCAUCACAAUAGUCUUUGGAAGGGCCGUCUAUCUCUUCUAUAUAGCACAUAUCUGCACAAUAUAGAGAAGUCUGUAUCAAUUAUCACUGCAUUCAAUUGCUUAUAUGAAAGCCACUCAUUGAUACAUUAUGGAUUUUAGAUAUUUUUACUAUUAAAAAAUCUAUAAUCUAAAUACAAAAUAAAUGAGAACAUAAAAAAAAUUAAUUAUUUAAAAUCAGAAUCUAUAGUCAGUUAUAAUAAUCAAUCAAGAACAACCCCAAAAAAUGUCAUCAAUAUUUAAGAAGGGACCAUAUGUGAUAAAGAAAUUAUAAAGUUAUAAGUAAUCACAGACUAAAUAAAUAACCAAUACAACAAAGUAGAAAAAAAAAAGGAAAACAAUAAUCCCUCUGCCCAGUUAUAAGAGACACACCCUCAUGAUAAAUUUCUUUUUUUUCUUUUUCAGUUAUGUCAUUUUAAGUUAUUUGACAAUAGAAAGUAUUUCAUAUUAAUGUCGUUAUCUUUGAAGAAAGUUCUUGGACAAUAGUGCACAGGACAACAUCCUACGUAGAACUGUACAAAGAUUUAGUAAAUAGGAUCUAAGACGUAGAAAAGUUGCUAAAAAUUUCAAAAAAACUAAAUCUCCUUGGUGGAGUUGUUCAAAGCUUACGUCCAGUCUCAUGAGUGACAUGAGCAAAGAAGGCGGCAAUCUCCCUUUUGGAAUCAUCAACUGAACCAACUGUUCCAAACUCAGAAUACAAAUUCUGAGCUUCAAGAAACGCCGAUCGAGUAUAGAACCCUUUUCCAGCACAGCUUGAACCAGCUUGAUCAGAAAUCCAGCUAAAGAAAGCGUCUGUCACAACAUCAGCAACUGAAACACCAUUAUUACCACCAUCUGAUGAAGCGGUGCAAGGGCCGGACUGGCAGCCUUUGCCACAAUAGUCGUCGCUGGUGCCACAAUAGCCCCACUGGCUGCAGCAUAAAUCUGGUUCACAGUCACAGUUUUGGCUUGAAAUCAGCUGGGAAAAGGACCCUACAAGAACUGCAAUGGAGAAAAUGAUGAUUCGAAAAUUCUUCAUUUCUGUACUUGAAGAAGGAGAAAAGGAUGUGGACAGAAAUUGUUUGAGUAAGAAGGAUAUUUAUAGCAUGGAGAACUGGAAAAGUGAUCAGCUUGUGUGAAGUAUGGAGAACUGCUAUUGUUGGAAAUCUUGAAGUUGAGCACUGAAUGGAAUGGAUAUAAAAUGCAAUAUUAGUGCUUGACUUUCAAUUAAUCUAUUGACUUUGGCACUGUCAAAAAGUAGCAACCUUCUUUCUUGGCAUUCGGAAUGGGAAUUGUGGAAAAGAAAAAUUUUGGCCAAUUGAUAUCAACAAUUGUGAGUACAAGUCACAAGUCACAAAUAUAAUGCGUGCAAAAAAGAUAACUUGAUGUUGUCUGUAUCAUCUGAUGUUAAUAAAGCCUAACUCUGUUGUAGUCCUAUUUCAGUCUCGUAUUUGAGUCAGAACACAGAUGAUAUUUGUACCAUUCUAGAUCCACGGGCUGCCCUACUACAAAUACUUUUCAUUUGGCUUAAAAAAAACAUUUUAAAGGGUGUAAGCUUUACAAUUAAAGCACGAUCUUUACCUUAUCAUGCAAAGUAUUGGACAUAUAAAAUUUUAUCAAACUGUUGUAGUGAAAAGAACUCAAAUGAUCAAAUUUUAUCCAGUUGAUAAAUAUAGAAUCCUAAAUAAAAUGCAUAGUCCUUUUUUUUUCCUUUAGAGUUCUUAUUGCAUACUAUAUGAAUUAAUUGGUAAAAUUUUGGUAGCGUAUAGGAAAUGAUACCAAUAUAAAAACUACAUUUACUACUCGAGGGCUUAUUAUGCUGCCCAAUUUUUUGGUUUCUACCAUGAGCUGAAAAAAAAUCUUUUCGAAGCAUAAGUUUCCCCAAAUUCUCAUAGACUUUACAAAUGAAAGUUAUUUGUUUCUUGUCGUUCAUUGACUCACCAUGCGUGUGCAGAUGAAUUAUUGAUUGGCCUUUUUGUGGCAGAAAGAUAAAACAGAAUUGAACCAAAGACCUCAUAAUUCCCUAAUUAGUCACUUCAGCCAGUUGAAUUAGAUCUUAUUCACAAGUUUUUUGUACUUCGGUAUAAUAGCGCUCCUGUUCCUUAGUCUCUUAUGCUUCGGUUUACUCCCAAUCUUAAUUGCCUUAACAUUGGUGCAUUUAGACCCUUGCAUUUGGUAAUUCAUAAUCUUAGUAUAGUUAUGAUCCUCAAAUAUCAUACCUUGAGAAACAUCACGGCUAAAAUUACCAACAGCAUAUUGAAACAUGAAAAGUAAAUGAAAGACGUGCAGAAACUUCAAUGGAGAGGCUUGUUGAGAGUGGAAACACCAAAGUCGAAAGCUCGACGAAUACGAUCAAGGGUUCAAAACUGGAACAUGCCUAUUCGUAAAUAGUCCAAGAAAUCGAAACAAGACCAACAAAAUCAAUUAUAUGAUUUCAAAACUUAACAACUUUCGCUUGUAAAGAGCAAGAAAGGUAAACACCUUUUGCUAAUUUUUAUUAAUUUCCAAUCAGUUUUAAGCCUUUAUAGCUCAACAUAUUACUCCCUUCCGAGCACUUUCGGCUCUCCAGAAGUACCCUAGCAUCUGAGAUUCGGACCAGGAUCAACACCCAGUUGGCGACAAUAUUGAGUAUAAUACCCAACACGAGCACUAACAGUGUUUGGAUUUGCACCGUCACAUUCAAGCCGACCAUUAAUGGCACGAAUUGUAGCCCCGAAACCCUGGCCGGAAAUGAUAAGAGAAUGACAAUGGUUCAUCCAAAACCACAAGGCAGUUUUGAAUGAAAUAACAUUAUUCCUGGCUACAAGUUCAGGUUGACUUAGUCCAUUGAACCCAAUGCUUUGUCCUGCUGGUCCAUAGUUGUAGUUCCAUGAUAUUUGUAGUGGACCGCGGCCGUAAUACCCCUUGCCUGGCACACAUGGAUACUGAGUGUUGCUCUUGUCACAGUAGUUUCUGGACGGGCCGCUUAUCUCUUCUAUAUAGCACAUAUCUGCAUGAUAUAGAGAAGUGGUAUUAGUUAUCAUUCCGUCGAAUUGCCAAAAAAGGAAAAAAUGAACGUUAGGUAAGACAAGGAUUGUCGGAUGAUAUGAUAAUGAAAAAUGUAGCAAAAUUUUAUGAGUUCUAAUAACAAUUAAUUGCAAAAUUAUAGAAUUGAAAGGAUUUAAGAAUCACAAACAAAAAUAUUUAUGUGGGAGAAAAGAGAAUAAAUAACUUAACUCAAAAUGUCAUUAAUAUUUCAAACAAAGAAGAAAAUCUCACCACAAUAAAAAUCUAAUAAAUUUUCUAUAGACUAUUUUAGGCUCUCUUAAAUUUUUAGAAAAUACUCCACCUAAUACUCUAGUGCUAAUUUAUGAGAAUCAUUGAAUAAGAAACAACACGAUUAAUUAUGAAAUAAAACACCAAUCACUAAAUAAUAAAAUUACUAGAAAUUGACUUCAAUAAAACUAAUGAUAAUUAAAUAGAAAAUUUUUGAAGCUUGGUUUAUUUUGCCAAAAAAAGAAAAGAAAAGAAGAGCCAUCAAUAUUUAUGAAUAGACCACAAGUGAUUUAAAAUUUACAAAGUUGUAAGUAAUGAUUUAAAAUUUACAAAGUUGUAAGUAAUCACAUGCUUACUAAAUUAUAAAGUUGACUACUACAACAAAGUGAAAAGAACGGAAAAUAAUAAUUUCUCUAUCCAAUUAUAAGUGGCACCCAUAUUCAUGAUAAAUUAUUACAAUAAUAAGUAUUUCUUGUUAAAAUUUUAGUUUUUGAAGAAAGUUCUUGGAUAAUAUUGCAAAGAAAAAUAGUCAAAACUUGGGGACAUCCGGUUUUCAAAAAUCCAAUAGACCAAAGUGUGCUAUACUUUCUCACCAAGUGGUUUAACACAAUUUGGACUAUUGAAUUUUUGAACAUGGGACUUACCCAAGUGUGAGUCCAGAAAAAUAAUCUAUAUAUUACUGUACCAACAUUUAGAAAAGUUACUAAAAAUAUUUUAUAGAAAGUUCCAAAGUAAUUCUCUUUGGUAGAGUUGUUGAAAACACUUACGUCCAGUCUCAUGAGUGACAUGAGCAAAGAAAGCAGCAACCUCCCUUUUAGAAUCAGCAGCAGAACCAGCAGUUCCAAACUUAGAAUACGACUUCUGAGCUUCAAGAAAUGCCGAUCGAGUAUAGAACCCUUUUCCAGCACAACCCGAAGCAGCUUGGUUAGCAAUUCCAUUAAAGAAAGCGUCUGUGACAAUACCAGCAACUGAAGCACCAUUAUUACCACCGCUGGGUGCAGCAGUGCAAGGGCCGGAUCGGCAGCCGGGGCCACAGUAGUCGUUGCUGGUGCCGCAAUAGCCGAAUUUGCUGCAGCAUAAGUUUGGUGCACAGCCACAGUUUUGACUUGAAAUCAGCUGUGGGAAGGCUCCGACAAGAACCAUAAUGGAGAAAAUGAUGGUUGGAAAAUUCUUCAUUUUUGUGCUUGAAGGAAGAGAAAUGGAUGUGGGCAGAAGCUGUUUGAGAAAAAAGGGUAUAUAUAGGGAGGAGAACUGGAAAAUGGAUCAGCUUGUGUGAAGAAGGGAGAGCUGUUAUUGUUGAAAAAAUUUAAGUUGACUAAUGAAUGAAAACAGAAAUCACGUUUGACUUUAAUUCGUGCAUUGACUUUGACAGUGUCAAUAAGUGGGAAUUUUUGUUCUUGGUUUCUAGAAUGGUAUUUGUGAAAGAUUGAUUUUGAUCAAUUGAUAUCAAUAAUUUUGGAAUUGAAUAAUGUAGACUCACAAGUCGCAACUACUGUGUGUAUUUUUAUGACUUGAAGUUGUCUACAGCAUUUAAUUUAGUGCUCAUUAAUUCAUUAACUUGCCUAACUAUGUUUUAGUCAUACUUCACAUUUGCAUUUGAGUUUAAGCACUCAAAAAUAUGAGACAGAUCAAUUUGUCAGUUACAAUUCAUGAAAUAAAAUAGUGUAGAACCUGUGUUAGAAUAAUUUUAGGUUAAAUGGUAAAGAAAAGCAACACUUUUACAUAGCAAUAUAAGUGGUAGUCAGUUUUGGAAAAGCUAAGAAAGGAUUAAAGCCCCGCUUGAUAACCUAAUUCAACACUUAAAUUUAUUGAAUUCAAAUUUUAAUAUAUUCAGACCAUUUGAUAACCAAAGAUUGAACAUCUGAAUUAAUUAAUUCGCACUGAAUUUUCUAGGUAAAACUUAUUUCCAAAAUUAAGUGAUAAGCUAUUCACUUAUCAUUGAAUAUGAUAUGCACUCAAAUAUAUUAGAUUUAAUACUUAACAACUCAAUAAUUUAACGGAUUUAAAUUUAAAUUUUCAAUUUUCAAAUUUGAGACUUCAAUUUUCACGCUUAACUUUUGUCAAACGCAUCCUAAUUAGGCCACUUGCAUAUCACGAAUGACAAAACCAUGUGGCUUCUGCUAGUACACGUUUCGACAGUAUUCCACUUCACGUGUUUGUUGGGCAUACUGGCAUGUCCAUUUGCAUCAUGUCCUAUUUCAUAACAAAAUAUUAUAUUCUAAAUAUAUAUGAAAUAUUUAAUUUAUAUAUGUUAAUUUUUUAAUACAAUAAUAUAAUGUACUUGUAAAUCAAAUAGUAUUAAGUAAAAUAACUACAUAGAAGCAGAUAAAAAUAUAACUGCAGUGCCCCUGUUAGAUUGAAUCUUUAACAAAUUGAAUGCUUUGAACUUUUUUCAUUCAGGAUUUCAGUGCUAUAAUUUAUAAACAGUAUUUCCAAAAAAGAAUUGUUAGUGAAGAUAUCAAAUUGGUGCCCCUAGUAAGUAAUUGUGUUCAGAAAACAACUAGAGUCAAAAGUCAAAUUUUCGUUUCUUUCCUGUUCUUGUCUAAAGACAAUUCUGCAGACAAAGAAGUUGGAAAAAAAAAUAUGCUCACAAUUUGGCAGGGCAAACCUCCUUGCCUAAAAAUUAAGAAAAAUCCACGCCUAAAAAUUAAGAUAAGAAAAAAAAAUCAGUUCAUUUUCUCCUCAUGUUCACUAUUAUCUUAUUAAAUUAAAGGAAACCACGCUUAUAAAUUAUAAUCACUUGCAUCAAAAUCCAACGGCAAUUUUCUCCAUUUUUUGGAAAGAAGAGGAAGGGGGAAAAAGGAAGAAGCUUCCGUAGAAAAGGAAAGAAUUGAGAAAUGUGAUAGGUACUCUGUCUCCCUCUCGGCAAGUGCGGCUUAAGCCAAGCACAGCUCACAGAAGUCCAUUGUUGAAUUAGUCUCCCUGAAAAUUUCUAGCCAUAAAAAUUUUAACUUUUCCUUUUAGUAUAAAUGGAAGAUCUCGAAGUGGGGACCUCUUAUUUACAUUUUCUCUCCUCAUAUCAUUCAACUCAUUUUUUCCCCGAAUUUCAACUUGCUACUCCAUAACUUAGCUUCAUGGAUCUAUAUUUAUGUUCUCAGAAAUGUGAUGUCAUACUUCUAGAUACAUUCAAAAGCGAUGAAUAGUCGAUCAUUUGGACAAUUGUAGUUUAAAGAACUAAGAAUUAGUGCAAAUAUCUAGUUCAUUGAAAACGUAUGGCCCUUAAUUUUUGUAUUUUGACGAUAUACAAGUCUGAAAUUCUAGAAAACAAAGAAAACUGCCAUCCUUGAACAAUUCUUUAGAGAUUUUUUGUUCUUUUUAUUUUUUGAGCAAAUGAAACAUCUUCCCGUUUAUCAUUGGAACAUAAGCUUUACAAAGGAGCAAAACCUCUUACUACAACAAAAAAUCUGGAGCGAGCUAUACCCAUUAUACAAUACUAUGCAUGUGAAAACAAACAAAACAGACAGAAUUCAACCAAGAUCAAUCUAGCAAACGUCCGUGAUCUAUCCCCCAUUCUAACAACAACUCCCAAUUUUCCUUACUACCAGGAGCUUUAGCCCAUAAGAGACAAGUCAAGUUGAACAAUUUUAACCACUGCCGAUUUAAUAAAAUUUGGAGUGAAACCCUCCAACGUGUACAGGGUUUGUCUUUCCAAAAAAACAAAAAACAAAAAACAAAACCGCUGCUGCAACUACUUCCAUUAUCAGUAUUCUGUAUACGAAAAUCAACAUUUAGUCUUUCCCAAAUUUAGUAUAUUUUAGUGCAUAAUUGAAAAAAAUUCUCUUGGCACAAGUGGAAAAUUAUAGAUUUGAAAUCAAUUACAAAAUUUCCUAGAAAAUAGACGCCCACUGAUCAACUAUGGCGCUUCGUAGUUCAGCUUUUCCAGUCUCAUACGUAGAAGUUGGUCCUAAUAGUGCAUUAAUGUUUCAUAGUUAAUCAGAAUUUUCUAUGACAAAAAAAAAGAAGAAGAUUCAUGAAGAAAAAUAAUCUAUUGGCUGUACUUUAUUUCGAUUUAGACAUCAAUAGUGCAAUGGCAAAAGGACUUUGUAGAUGAACCUAGUUGAUGUAAUGAAUUUAUGAUGAUUUAAUUAACUAAAAAGGCAAUCAAUUCGGUCUGCUUAAUGUCAUACUCAAGAGGUCAUCAUCUUUGUCAAAGGGUCUAUACAUUCCAUACAUUAGUAGUAAAUGUUAGUGGAUUUGUUACUAUUGCUGACCAUGUUAGCCACUGAUUUCUAUUAAAUCAUGUCUUUAGCUUCUUAUAAGCUUCUCUAUACCCUACCUAAUCUCAUACCAUUUUACUUUCUCUUGGAUUAUGUGGAAUGCCUACUUGACCGCAAUGUCUAUAUUUUAAUGAUACCAGUACAUUUUCAAAUCUUCAAUUAGCUUUUAAAGUAUCGAAGUUCAGUUCACUAAUUGGCCAUAAAGACAGAUCAAUAGCAAAGUUGAAAUAUGCCACUUAUCCUGAGACGUUGUAGAAAGUUGGAAUGUUAAUGUCGUCCCUUGUAAUCCGAAUAUGUGAAACUGAAGUUGUUGAAGGGUGGGGGAGAGUUGGGUUGGGUGGUACGGGGCAGGAAGUAUAAGCAAGAGGUCUCGAGUUCAAGUCCUCCCGCUUACACUAAAAAAAAUUAAAAAAAAAAAGAAGCUGUUGAAGGGUGAAUGAGUUUUUCAGUUGUAUACAAGCUGUAUAAUGGGGUUUUCAAUAAAAAGUUUAUCAUUUUCUCAAAAAAAGAAAAAAAAAAGAAGAAGGGUGAAUUGAGGAAGCUGAAUGCUAAGCGAUAUAGUUCUAUUAGUGAUAGAAUAUAACAGGUGUGUAUGGCCAGUUAUGUGAAGUGCAAUCGUUCUCCUUCAUUCACCUUUUGAUAUUACUUUACGGGCCAAAUAUAAGAAUGAGAUCUCUUGGGCUGGCCACGUCUUCUUCUUCUUCGUUUUUUUUUUCCAUUCUUCUUAUAGAUCUUUAGGCGAAUAAGCAAUCUUUGGGGAAAUAAUGUAGUAUAUUUGGACAUUGGGAUAAUUUAACAAAUCUCCAUUGAGUUUUAUGACAAAUUCAUCAUAGUUCCCCCUCAAAUUAUUGCAUUACACUUGUGUCUAUUAGCUAUUGAUUUCCAAGGUAAAUGCUGAAUUUCCCCUCUAGGUUUACCAUUGACACUUUCUAUACAAAGCGAUACAAAUUAUAUAUAAGAGAUUUGUGAAAGUGUCAUACUUCCGAGCUAUAACUCAUAAACAAAGGCAUUCGUAAAACCCUUUUGAUUCAAAUAUAUAGAUUUUUUUUUAUCCAACACCAAAAUUAUAUUGCCCAAUAAAAAAAGAAAACCUUUUUUUUUGGUUAAACCAAACUAUUAUUAUUGCAGCCCCAAAAAAGUACAAAGUUCGGGACCAGCCCUUCCCUAAGAAUACAAGCUCACACACCCUGCCCCACCUCUAAUUAACCCCUACCGCCGGCAUCUACGAAAAUUUGGAUACCCACACACAUCUAAUAUAUAGAUAUACUCACCUAUACACUUAACAAUUUAAUGUAUGCUAAAGUGAGUAGAAUAGGGUUUUGAAAAAGUACUCAAAAGUAUGCUACUUCCAUCAUUACCUUCUAGCACGCAUUGUGCAAACUCUUUUCAAAUAGAAAAAAGGGAAUGAAGAGGAGAUACAAAAAAGGGUUGCAAAUUCUUUAAAAUAUGGCAAGGGUAAGCAUGCAAGUAACAUAUAACAUGAAACAAACAUGUUAAGGAAACCUUAAAACAAGAGAGGUAACAGUAAGUUUGAAAACUUUGGUGCAGCUAAAUGAAGUCAAAAACCUAAAACAAGGUUGAUGGAAUUAUCCCUAGUAAACUCUAUGUGUCCUUCACCAAGUGAAAAAAUACUGUUCAAAAUUCUUAUUUCUAUCGGAACCAUUUCGAGGAACUCCAAUUCGGAUGUCAAUACUAAAAGAAAUUUUCCCUAUGGUACCCCUGAUUUUGAAAUUCACUAAUUAUUUGUAUAAUUGUAUCAUAUAUAUGCUUUUAUGUAUUGUGUAAUGAUUCACAUCAAAUUCAUGAGAAAUUUCGCAUCCCUCUCACAAAAGUUAGCAAAUGCAUUGUAUAUAGGAAGCUGAAAACCAAACAAGACUUUAUUAUUAGGUUAUCGAUCAGUAUUAUUGGUCCUAUCCAAGUGUCAUCACGUUUUGUUUAUUCAAGUGUCAUAAUGUUAUUGAUAGUAUAAUUGGGUUGCAUGAUUAUGGUUGAAAGUGUGGAAUAUGCGAUUAAACUCCGUGUUAGGAGUACUGGUUUUGCUGUGGGUUUUUUCGUUUUCUUUGUCAGCUGCGUGGGGGCUUUAGAGCAUAAGCCUUUGUUUUGUUUCUAAACAUCACCGCCAAAAUUGCCAAUAGCAUAUCGAAACAUGGACACUAAAUGAAAAGAUGUGAGGAAACUUUAAUGAAGAUAUGCCAAAGACAAAAGCUCGAAAAAAUAUGAUCAAGGGAUCAAAAUAGGAACAGGCGAACACCAACAAGUUAAGUCGAACCAAGAUCAACAUAAUCAAUUAUUUGAUUUCAAGAGUCAUAACUUUGCUUGUAAAGAACAAUUAAAGGUAAACAAUUUGUUGCUUUCCCCCCCUCCCCAAUCAGGUGUGUACCUCAACAUUAUUUCACGUCAUGAACUUGUUUUUCCUGGGAUAAAUACCCUAGCAUCUGAGGUUAUCACCAGGCUCGACACCCAAUUGUCUACAAUAUUCAGUAUAAUACUCAACUCGAGCACUAACUGUGUUUGGAUUUGCACCAUCACAUUCAAGCCGACCAUUAAUGGCACGAAUUGUAGCCCCAAAACCCUGGCCAGAAGUGAUAAGAUCAUGACAAUGGUUCAUCCAAUACCACAAGCCAGUUUUGAAUGAAAUAACAUUAUUUGUAGCUACAGUUUCAGGUUGGCUGAGUCCAUUGAAUCCAAUGCUUUCACCUGCUGGUCCAUAGUUAAAGUUCCAUGAUAACUGUAUUGGACCCCUGCCGUAAUAUCCCUUGCCUGGCACACAUGGAUACUGAGUGUUGCUCUCAUCACAGUAAUCUCUGGAGGGGCCGUCUAUCUCUUCUAUGUAGCACAAAUCUGCGCAAUAUAAAGAAAUUUUGUCACUCAAUUGAAAUGAUUGAUAAAGGGUUAGAAUCAAAGAAAAUCAGCAGGUCUGGAAUUUUUUGUAAAUUUUUAGAUUUGAUUGUUUUACUGAUGAAUUCAAUUGGUGAGAAAAGAAUUUAUCCCAUUUUGUAAAAAUUGGAUUGGACAGACUUAAAGUAAACACUUCUUUUAUGAGGUAAAAUUUUAGAAUGAUUUAACAUUAUAGGGUUAUACGAUAGAUAAAUAAAAAUUGGCAAUAGCAAGAUUAAGAUGGGACUAAAAUAUAUUUGGUUAAUAAAUUUGAAUUAAUUUACGGCCAAAUUUAGGUGAAAUAGUUAAUUCUACUUGGUAAAUUGGAAGUUCGGAAAUGUGUAUCUGUCAGUUGUCAUACUCAUGAGUAAGCCAAUCUUCACUUAAAAAAAAAAGUAAUCCAAAAGAUAAAGCCGCAUGAUCAUCUACUUUUACAUGCAGCAAAAUACACAAUCACCAUAAGCUUAGAAUGUAAAGGCAGAAAAACUUGCUUCUGUAGAUAUAAAAGUGACCACUACAAGAAAAGUAAAAAGAAGAUGGAGAUAAUAAUCCUUCUAUCCCCUUAUAAGGAUUAAACCUUCGUCAUGAUAAAUUAUUUGACAGUAAAAACUCUUUCAUAUUCAAGUUUUAUUUUUUGAAGAAAAAAUUCUUGGAUAAUAGUGCACAGGAUAAUUUAGAUUCCAAGAUAUACUAUCUAGAAAUUUACAGGAGCUACUAAAAUAGUAGAAAAUAUCUUCAAAAUUUAAUUUCCAAGCUAGUGUUAUUCAAAACUUACGUCCAGUCUCAUGAGUGACAUGAGCAAAGAAAGCAGCAAUCUCCCUUUUAGAAUCAUCAACAGAGCCAACGGUUCCAAACUGGGGAUACGAAUUCAGAGCUUCAAGAAAAGCUGAUCGAGUAUAGAACCCUUUUCCAGCACAGCUUGAAGCAGCUUGAUCAGCAAUUCCAUUAAAGAAAGCGUCCGUCACAAUAUCAGCAACUGAAACGCCACUAUUACCACUGCUCGGAGCAGCGGUGCAAGGGCCGGAUUGACAGCCAGAGCCACAGUAGUCAUUGCCGGUACCGCAAUAGCCGAAUUUGCUGCAGCACAAGUCUGGUGCACAGCCGCAGUUUUGGCUUGAAAUCAGCUGUGGAAAGGCUCCUACAAGAACUACAAUGGAGAAAAUGAUGGUUGGAAAACUCUUCAUUUUUGGAUUUGAUAAAGUAGAGAAGCUUGUGGGCAGAAGUUGUAUCAGAAAGAAGGAUAUAUAUAGGGAAGAGAACUGAAAACCGAUCAGCUUGUGUGAAGCAUGCACCGCUGUUAUUGUUGAAAAUAUUGAAUUUGAGCAAUUAAAGAAAACGGAAGACGAAAGCGUGAAUGGUUGACUUCUAUCGAGUGUAUUGACUUUGACAUUGUCAAUGAAGCGGAAACUUUCUUUCUUGGCUUCUAGAAUGGAAAAGGUCAAACGGGAAGAUUUUGGCCAAUCAUAUAAACAAUUGUGAGAAUAAGUCACGUAGACUAACAAGUCCCCACUAUAAUGUGUGCAAAAAUAUAAUUUGAAGUUGCCUAAAUCAUUUAAUUUGAUGCUUAUUAUUGAGUUUACUUGCCCAACUAUGUUUUAAUAAUAUUUCAAAAUUGUGUUUGAAUUAGAACAAAAAAAUAUGAGACAUACUUAUUUAUUUAAUUGCAAUUCCAGAAAUAAAAUCGUAUACAACAUGUAUUAGAAUAAUUUUUAGGGUAAAUGAUAAAGAAAAGAAAUACUUCUACAAAUUGACGUAAGUGAUCAUCAGCUUUUCGAGAAGUUCAGAAAGAAUAAAGUGGCCGAUAUAUAUAUCAUGCAUGGCAAACUAUGUGGCUUUUGUUAGUACACGUUAUGACUAUAUGUAUGUUUCAUUUGACAUGUUUGUUGGACGUGUUGAAUUGUUAGCAAUGAAAUGCUCCAAAAUGUUUUCAUGCAAGAUUUCAGCACUGUGGUUUAUAAGCAGUAUGAGGUCAUAGUGAAUUAUCGACAUAUCGUCACAUGCAGAGUCGUGAAAAUAUACAAGUCUUUCCCUAUCAUUAAUUAGUUGGUUAAAUGACAAUUUCUAGAAUGGAGCUUCAUGGUUGGCCAUGUCAAGAAACAUCUCGCAGUAAAUUGGGCGAGUUAAUAUGGUCCUCUUGUUUUACACAGGAUGUACUUUUCUUUUUCUAAAUAUUUCCCCUUAAACUCUCAAAUUGAUCAUAGUGUUAACUAAUUUUGCUCUGGUUUUAUUCUUGGUUCGCAAAAUUCAGUAAAACCAAAACAAACCCUUGUUACUGAAGAUAUCAAAAUGGUACCCCAACUAAGUAAUUGAUUUCGAAAAACACUCUGAACCAAAUUUCAAGUUUUGGUUUCUUUGCUCUUUUUCUACUGAAAGGCAACAUCCCCGGGCCAAGAACUUGAAACAAAUAGUAUGAUGCUCAAGUUUUCUAUGCUCUUAUGAUCAAGUCAAACCAUGCUUAUAAUCAAUUACAUAAAAAAAAAAAAAUCACGGGCAAUUUUGUUACUAUUUGGGAGGAGGAGGAAUAUUAAGCAAAAAAAUAUUCUAUUAAGAAAACGAUGAAGCAUAUUAUUUUCCAGGAAUAAAAAAUAACGAGCAGAAAAAAACAAAUAGUAUGAUGCUCAAGUUUUCUAUGCUCUUAUGAUCAAGUCAAACCAUGCUUAUAAUCAAUUACAUAAAAAAAAAAAUCACGGGCAAUUUCGUCACUAUUUGGGAGGAGGAGGAAUAUUAAGCAAAAAAAUAUUCUAUUAAGAAAACGAUGAAGCAUAUUAUUUUCCAGGAAUAAAAAAUAAAGAGCAGAAAAAUACAUUAGUUUGGAUGACAUUAGAACAUUUAGCAACAGGAUUAGGGAUGCAAUGGGAAGAGUGCCAACUGGGAAUCAACAGGAUGGGAAAAAAUACAGGGCGGGGUGGGGGGGAUUGGAGAUAUAAUAAAUCUAAAAUUUUGUUUCUUUAGGAAACUUACAUAAGUGAACUUAAUAUUUCCUAAAAUAAUAUUUAAAAGUUAUAUUUAUUGUAAGGAAAAUAGAUUUGCUUUAUUUUGAGAUACUUUUUAACUUAAGGAAACUAGAGUUAAUUUAUUUUAGGACACUCUUGUUAAGGAGAAAUUAAAGGAAAUUAACAAUCUAACUAAUGAUAAAUAUGUUUUUUUUAGGGCAUUCGGUUGGUGCUUGAGAACACACCCGAGUACUGCAGCGUCUGCUGGAGAUUAGAGCAUUCGGUGGAGGAGUGCAGGAAGGAUACUCAUAACGGUGCAGGAGCCUUGGUUAAGGGCAACCAACCGCAAUUUGUAUCGCAGAGUGAUACUGUUGGGGCUGUCAUGGAGGCAAAAGGCAGUUCGGUUGGUGCGUCGAAGCCGCCCGGGGGGGGGAACACUCCCAGCAGCGCUGAUGGAGGCUCCGCUCUCCAUCCCUGGUCGAGAUGGCAAAAGCCCAGCGGCAGCAGCUGCGGUAACAGGGGUGGUGCCCAGGGAGGCAGAGCUGACCCACGAGCAUCAGCCUACUCGGGUUGCUGGUGUGAGUGUGGAGCUCCUUGAGGGAAGCGGGCAGGAUGAUGGCGCGCCAGAGGGGGAGCGUUCCACAGCAAGGGAAGGAGCCUCGCUUGCGCAGGUGAAUGCUAGAGCGGAGAUAAUGGUGGAGGGGCGACGUGCGGCUGAGCUUCCAGUGGCAGCAGGCUCGAAGGACAGUGGGCAAGCUGUUGGCGCACCAGAAUGGGAUCAGGCUGAGCAGGUGGAUGCUAGAGUAGAGAUCAUUUUGGAGGGGUGCAGUGCGGAUGUCCAGACUGCAACGGGCAAUCUGUCUCCGCGGCCCAGCGCCUAUUAUGGGGAGUUGGCAGCUUCUCCCUUGGAGGCGAUGAAUGUAGAUCAGUCACGGGCAUUGGAGCCGGCUAUAAAACUCGGAAAAUCAAAGGGAAUAAGAGCGAUUUUCCCUUCCGACAGGUAGCUGCGUUCCACUUCAACAUCCUCCAAAAACGGAUUCCAGGUUCUUUCCCAUGAUUAAUAGCAUAUUUUGGAACAUUAUGGGGGUUUCCAAACCUCCUAAUUUGAGACGGUUGAAAAACCUUAUUCGAUUACAUAAAGUUCAGCUGGUAGCUAUAUGUGAACCGAAACUUGAUGUCACAAAUAUUGAGAGCAUCCGCUUAAAUUUAUCGUUUGAUGCUGCUGUUGUUAACUUGUCAGCAGAUGUUUGGGUCUUGUAUAAUUUUCCGUUAGUAUGCUCUAUAGCUGGGAAUUCUCAGCAACAUAUCUCCUUGAAUGUCCAUCAUCCAUGGCUACCUCGCUCCUUGCGAUUUUCUUUUGUGCAUGCCAGGUGUACAUUGGAAGAACGACGGGGGUUGUGGCAAGCACUUUUGGUGGACAAACCACGCGACCAGCCAUGGUGCAUCUGUGGGGAUUUCAAUGUGAUCAUAUCCCCUAGCGAAAAAAAAGGAGAUCGGCCUUUUCGUGUCUCGGAGAGGUUAGAGCUUCUGACCUUCAUGGAGGAGGCGGAAGUUUUUUAUGUGGGUUUUUCCGGCUCGAGUUUCACUUGGUGCAACAAUAGCCAUGGCCGGGCUCGGAUAUGGAAGCGAUUGGAUAGGCUAUUGGUUAAUGGAGAAUGUUCUGAAUUACCGUCAGCCGUGUCGAUCACUCACUUGGCUAGACAUCCAUCCGACCAUGCACCGCUACGAGUUUCUUUCACAUCCUGUGUAGAGAUAAACCUCAUGCGUUCCGCUUCCUGAAUGUGUGGACAUCCAGAGCAUCUUUACUUGAUGUUAUUUGAACGACUUGGCAACAGGAGUGUCGGGGUUCUCCCUUAAGGAUCUUAUGCUCCAAGUUGCUAGCAGCAAGGAGAGCUAUCCAAGAGUGAAAUAAGUCCUCCUUUGGGAAUAUAUUUGCAGUGUCUCGCGAAGCAGAGGCUUCGGUGCUUAGGGCGGAAGCACGGGUGGAAACUGAGGCAUCGGAGAAUGCUCAGAUAGAGCUUCAUAGGUCUCAAGCACAGCUCAACCGUGCUUUGUCAGUGGAGGAGGAGUUUUGGAAGCAGAAGGCUCGUGUCAAGUGGCUCCGACAUGGCGACUGUAACUCAAAGUUCUUCCAUGCCACCCUGAGACAGAGGAGGAUGCAAGGGCAAAUCCACAGGAUUAAAGAUGAGACUGGCAUAUGGGUGAAGACGGAUGAAGAUAUAUCACGUGAAGCGAUACGGUAUUUUUCUGAUUUAUUCUCUGCUCCGGCGGAAUCCUCAUCAGACUUGCUGCAUGUUAUCCCUGCCAACGUCACGGCGGAGGAAAACAUGAGCUUAGAGGCCGAUCCGUCUUUCGAUGAAGUAAAAAGAACUAUCUUUGCAAUGGACGGUGAUAGUGCAGCAAGCCCCGAUGGUUUCAUGGGUAAGCUUUUUACUUUUGCUUGGGAGGUGAUUGGUCAAGAUGUCUAUAAUGCAGUUUUGAGCUUUUUCUGUAGGGCUGAGCUCCCUCAUUUUAUUACAUCUACUUCUAUUGUCCUUCUCCCGAAGGGACCGAACCCUCAGGAUUUUUUGAUGUUCAGACCGAUUAACCUCUGCAAUUUCUUUAAUAAAGUAUUGUCCAAGAUCUUGGCUGAUAGGUUGGCUAAUAUUCUGCCAAGAAUCGUCUCACCCCAACAUACAGGCUUUGUUAAGGGCAGGAAUAUAUCAGAGAAUUAUUUUCUCGCCCAGGAAAUAAUGUCAGGGAUGCGUAGAUCGUACAGGGGUGGGAAUGUAGCAUUGAAGUUAGACAUGUCCAAGGCAUAUGAUCAUGUAUCGUGGGUAUUUCUCAUGAACGUAAUGCGGCAGUUUGGGUUUGGAGAAAGGUUUCUUGACAUGGUGUGGAGGUUGAUUUCUAAUGCUUGGUUUUCGGUUAUAAUUAAUGAAGCGUCUUAUGGCUUUUUCAAGUCGGGUAGGGGAUUACGGCAGGGGGAUCCGAUAUCCCCCGCGUUAUUCGUAAUUGGGGCGGAGCUUCUCUCACAGGCUUUAAACAAUCUCGUGUUACAUUGUGGCUAUAGGGGUUUUAAGGUCCCACGGGGGUGUCCCCAAGUCACGUACUUGGCCUUCGCUGACGAUGUAUUGAUUUUCGCUAAUGGGUUUGCUCGAGCUUUGCAGGAUAUUGUGCGGGUAUUGGAGCUUUACCAACAAUCCUCGGGUCAGUUGGUGAAUAGGCAAAAAAAUGGGUAUAUCGUCCAUCUCUCCGCCUCGAUUGCUAGACGGAGGGUGAUUGAGCAUCUCACUGGCUUUUCUAGGCAACAGGCGCCUAUUCGAUACUUGGGCUUCCCAUUGUACUUGGGCCAAAGUAAGGCUUAUUAUUACGGUGAGGUGAGUCAAGCAAUAAUCGGAAGAAUCCUCUCAUGGAAGUCCAAGUUUUUGUCUCAGGGGGGUAAGAUCAUCCUCAUCAAACAUGUUCUCUCUUCUAUCCCACUGCACUUACUAUCUGCUGCAGUAAUGCCGACUUCGGUGUUCAGGGUAAUUAAAAAGGUUUGUUCUGACUUUCUAUGGAGUUCGACGGAGAGGGGGGCCAGGUAUUACUGGAUCCACUGGGAGUUGUGCUUUUCAAAGGAGGAGAAGGGAGUAGGCUUCAGGCUUCUAAAGGAUGUUUACACAGCUUUAUCUCAUAAACCCUAGUGGAAAUUCCGCACGGGGACGUCUUUAUGGGCAAGGUUCUUACGUGCUAAGUAUUAUGGGGCUUGCCACCCUUGUCAAGUGGAGCUUAAAGUGGGCGUAUCAGCAACUUGGAAACGGAUAAUCAAUGUCAGCAGGGAGGCGGAGUUGUCUAUGCGAUGGUUGGUGAAUGCUGGGACCUGUGACUUCUGGUAUGAUAACUGGCUAGGGAAUGGAGCUCUUUUCCUUAAAGCUCCUGUUCAGGGGGAUUUAUCGUUCAGAGACUUUAUUGUUGACGGGAAGUGGAACUCGGUGGGACUUGCAGAAUACCUCCCAAGGGACAUCACAACUAUGAUCCUGCAACACUCGACCCCAGAGGGUGAGAGGCCCGAUGAGGUGGUAUGGGUGUCAACAACUUCAGGAUCAUUUUCGUUAUCCUCUGCUUUUCGUGAGGUAAGGCAAGCUCGGAAUCCCUCUUGGAUAUUUUCCCACAUUUGGCUCCCCCAACUCCCUGUAAAAGUUUCUUUAUUUAUGCUCCGUCUUUUGAUGCGGAGGCUCCCCCUGGAUGAUAUCUUGGGUAAGUUUGGCUUUCAAUUACCUUCCAAAUGUUUUUGUUCUUCCAUGGCAGCGGCGGCGGGAGAAUCUAUUGAACACAUUUUCUCAACGGGACAACUAGCGGUAGAGAUUUGGGGUGUCUUUGGAUCCUCGUGCGGUAUAUGUCUGCCGGCCGUAUCAUUGCGAGAGCGACUGGUCGCUUGGUGGUUGUCCCCGCACUCAGAUGCUCAAAGACGUCAUGUUGUUUCCAUCCUGCCAAGUUUCAUCUGUUGGCAUAUCUGGAAGGCACGGAACAAAGCAAUCUUUGAAGGGGUUGAACUGACUAGGGGGGAGAUUUGCCAUGGCAUUCUCCGGGAUAUUUUCGCAACGGUUGAGAUUAAAUUUCGUCAUGGGAUUGUAGCGCAAACAUUUGAUCAGUUUUGUGAAAGACUCUCUUAGCCGCCGCUAGUACUUCGGGUCCAGUUGGUCAAGUGGUAGGCAUCUGGAAGGGGGGUUUUCUCCCUUAAUACGGAUGGGUGCUCAAAGGGGAAUCCAGGGAUGAGUGGUGGUGGAGGAAUAUUACGGGAUUCAAAUGGUCAGGUGCUAGUAGCAUUCUCAGCCUCCCUGGGGGUCAAUACAAGCUUGCACGCUGAAGCAUUGGCACUUUUAACGAGGCUUCGCGUAUGCUUCCAGCAAGGGUUUGUACAGGUGCGAGUGCAGACAGAUUCACUGGUUCUAGUAGAUAUAUUACAACGGAGGUUCCAGUGUCCAUGGCUCAUUCGAAGAGAGGUACACCAAAUAUGGCAGCUAGUCGCGAAUCCUACACACUUUUCGCAUUGUUUUAGGGAAGCCAACAAAGUGGCUGACAUCUUAGCUAAUGUAGGUAUCUUGCAUCCGCAGGAUCAUGUAAGGGUGUAUCACCAACUCUGCUCUCUUUCACAGCUAGCAAGGGGGGAAGUUAGGUUGAAUAUGCUAGACUUUCCUUCUAUUAGACUUAUCAAAGGAUCGUCGUGAUGACCGGUCCUGGUCUCGGCUUGUAAUCUUCUGAUUGGGCAAUAAAAGUUUUUUCAAUAAAAUAAAUAAAUAAAUAAAUGUUUUUUUUGGGAGGGGGAUUGAUAAAUUUUUAAUCUGAAACAAAACUCUAUAUUGUUGUUUUGGGUGAGGGGAGGGAGGAGGGGGGACUGCCCCCACAAUAGAUCUUUUGUUUCAUUCUCUGUGUUAUUUUCUGUUUCACUUUUUAUUAUAUCAUUAUUUUUUCUUCAUAGACAUCAUAUUUUAUUUUCUUUAUUUCUUUAAGAUCUAAUAACUAUUAACUAAGUAAAAAAUAAAUACAACAAUCUAAAAAUAUAUAUAUAAUAGAAAAUUAGAAAAUAUAGCAAAAAAUUUAUUAAAAAAUCUCAUUUUUCAUGCAUUUUAAUUUUUUGAAUUUGUUAAAUUUGGUGUAUUACUCAGUUAAUAGUUAUUGGAUCCUAAGGAAAUUAAAAAAAAAAACUAAAAUAUGAUGUUUAUGAAGGAAAAAUAAUAAUAUAUUAAAAAAUGAGACGGAGAGUGGCACAAGGUGUGAGACAGAAAAUCCAUUGCAGGCUGCCCUGCUGGCCCUUUCUUAUGUCCGUCACUAUAUGGCUAGAAACAAGUACCUAUUGCUGAAUUAGUCUCUCCCUUCUAACUUCUAAGAAUUCCAAGGUUUUGUAAUGAUUCCGCAGGAAAUAAGACAAAAAUAGUUAGCCAACUAUUACCUUGCUGGAAUUGUUAUAACGGCUACCACUUGCAGAAAGAAGGUUACUGAUUAGUUAGUGGGGAAGCUUUCUAUUAAUAGGCCAAUACUAAUGUAAAGGGGCAUGCAAAUUCUGAUCAUUGAGAAUACAACUUUCCCGCUUCUUUCCCAUUCAUUCUGCUCCCUCUCUUUUCUCUCAACCUUUUUCUCUCUAUUCCUUUCUAUAUUUUUGUUCCUUAGUUGAAUCAACCAAUUCCCAACCAUUACAGUUUUUUUUUCUUGUCAAUCGACAACUUCUACAUUUAUCCUACUCCUACUCCUACUUUUUCUCCUAUUCUAACCUAUCUAAAGAAUGGCCUAACAGGGCCAAAAAUCCUAUUCCUAGUUCUAUUUCCACUCCCAUUCUAACCUAUUUAAGGGAGGGUCUAGCUGGAUCAAGGGGACCUAGAGAGAGUAGUCCCCAUCUCUAGACCAACGUCUGGAUUUGGAGGAAACUACAUACUAGUCACAAUUGCUAGAAAGUAAGAAUUGAAUUCUUGAUCUCUUACUCCAAGGCCUUUGACAAGUGACUAAUUUACACUAUAUUUGAAUGAUAUCUUAUGUUAUUUUUAGUCACUUUGGCUAUAUUAUUGGAAGAAAAUGGAUCAUUCUGGCUAUAAUUAGUUUAAAAUGCUCUUAAGUGAUUAAAUGAGAUUUUUGUCACUUUUACUUGCAUUUUGUCCAUAAUUUGUAUAGGAGUUGGAAAUAUAUUUCCUUUGGAUGAAGAGGAAGUUGACAGCUUUGACACAACUUCGUAUUUCGGCUAUAACUUGAGUUACAAUGAUCGGAUUGAGAUGAUUCUAGAACCAUUUUUAAGAUAAGAGAUAGAUGUACAAAUCUUAUGAAGACAUUGAAAUACAGUUUGAAGGUUUUCCCUAUCAAAAAUCUGAAUUAUAGUGCCAAUUUCUAUUGGUCGAAGCUGAAACAAGGCAGUGAGCAGUCAAGGGUAUUUCUGUCAUUUCUCCAUCUACACAAAUCCAAAUGAGGUGAUUCUUGAUGCAUUGGAAACAUAACUAAAAGGGUUACAAGUUUCAUGUUUUGGUCAAGAGUUAAUUCAACUUCUAUCAUCAAGAAAAGUUCAGUUGAAGUUGAGGCAAAAUUGGAGCAACAUUGAAGACUGGACAGAAAUUGCUAAGAAUGGCAGGGGAGCAAUCCGGCUGAAAAUCCGUCCGGAUUCUGGCCGGAUUCUAGUCAGAAAUAGCUGCUCUCCACUUGCACAACUUAUUUCCUCCUCCAAUAUUCAUAGCUAUUGAUGGACGUGUAACAACAACUUUGCAGCUGUAAAAGUGAUAUUUGAAGCCUUAUUUCUUGACUAAAUUAUCUAUAAAUAGCCAUGGACUUAUAAGGAUAAGGAGAGCUUGGGGGAGUGCAAGAAACACCACAAAAAUGUAGUUCCUUGGUUCUUUAGUGUAGAGUAGUGUAGGAUAGUUUAGUUUUAGAUAGUUUAUCCUUUCUUGUAUGUUAGCUAAAUGAAGAUGAAGAUGGAGAUGAAGAAGGCAAGGAAAGAGCUCAUGUGACAAGGAUUACUUUACCUUUCCAACUCUUUAUCUUUUGUACUUGAUUCUAAGUUUAGUUAAUAUAUAAGUUUUGGAUUCUAUGUUUAUUAUGUGUUUCUAAAGUUUAUGCCUUGGGCUUGGUUGAACUUUCUAUGAUUGUUAGUGUUUAUUAUUUGGUUAUUUGAUGCUAUUAUUUUGAGCAAGUUAUUGAGUACUUUACCUCUUUUAAAUCAUGAUUAACUUGGUACCAUUAAUUGUAAUUAUCUAAAGGUGUUGUUUCUUCAAUGAAAAUUGAGAUUUAACAGUAAUUCAAGAAGUGCUAAACCUAGAGAAUACACUCACGAGAGUAGAGGUUCACCUAUGUGGCUUUAGUGAUUCAUUUCAUGUAAUUUCAUAGAAGAAAUGAACUUGUAGCUAAUUUCUUAACCACGAGAGUAGGUAUGGAUUAGUUAUAAGUAUAGUUGAUUCACUACGAAAGUUGGUUUCACAUACAUAAGGAAAUUUCGCCAUAACUAGCCAAAAUAGUAGUACUCAAUGAUCCAAAAAUAACACUUGCAUGAGUAGUUAGGAAUACCAUAGACUAAGGAGCUUUCAUUUGUUAUUAUCUUGCAUAAGGUUAGCAUAGUUUUAUCUCUUUUAAUUCAUUGAUCGUCUAAAUAAUGGAGAAGCUUUAGUAGUGUCGGUAAUUGUCCAAUAUCAUUUGCAAGGGUAGUGAGGAAUUCCAUAUCUCUAGAAGCUUUCUAGUACUGAUUUUCAUUACUUUUAUAUUUAUGGUAAUCUAGAUAAUAAAGGAGUUCGAAAAACACCGGUAAUUGCAAUCUUCCUUGUGGGAUCGACCCUUAAUACCCUAUACUCGCUCACGAUUCGUAUACUUACGAUAAAUCGCGUGUGGGAUAUUUAAGAAUUAUAAAUGUAAAACUUGAUUGUGGAUAAACUUAUUGUAUAUGUAUACCCUGCGCACGUCAGCCUUUAUGGUGGCCAACAGCCCAAUAGGACAUUGGUUACAUGACAUCAUACUUCUAGUACAUGAGAAUACAUUAAAAAUCAAUCGCUUUCACAGUUCCACUUCAGACAAUUAAGAAUUACUAUCCAUUGGAUAAAACUAGUUUUAACCUUCAAAUAUCUUAUUGCAAGUAAGCCUUCUAAAAUAUGCUCACGAUUACUAUAUUUUUAGCAUUUUCACUAUGUAUAAGUCUAGAAUUGUAUGAUGAAAAGAAUUUCCAUCAAUCAAUAACUACUUAAGACUUUAUUGAGCCCAAUGACUAGCUUCUGAUAUAUUUUUGAAAGUGUACACUUUAGGUCGUUAAACCAUCAUUUUCAAGUAAAAUUACAGACCUAUUAAGCAACAGUUAAGAAAUUAUAGAUUGCACAAUACUAAAUUCACAGAAAAAUGAAAGAUUACUAAAUGAGGAUAAAUAUAUAGUUGGGAGGUGGAGCUAGAAACAAAAUUCAGUACGGAUAAACAUACUGUUAAAUUAUACUACUUUCAGUGUAUAAAAAAAGUUACAAUAACUUUUCAAAUGAAUUUCUUGUGUGUUGGGAGCACAUCAAUGAUGGAUCUAAGGGGGGGCUGGGGCCCCCCUCGACCCAUGUUUUGAAAAGUUUAAUUCAUAGUGUGUAAAUAUAUAUAUAAAAUAAUGUUGGCCCCCCUUAAUUUUUUCCAAUUUUAAUUUAUAUUAUGAGAGUUUAUAUUUAUAUAUAUAUAGUCACCUUUGAAUUAAUUUUUUUAUUCAAAAAAGUUAUUUAUUUUUUACUAAUUACUUAACUUUCAAAAAAUUAAACAUACUAUUUGAUGAUCCAUAGUAAAUUGAUCCAAUUUGACAUAUUAUAAUAAAAAGACCCAAUUCACAAUAUCAAUGGGUUAAAACAAAAAUAAUAAUUUUAUUGGCCCAUAUGCAAAUAUACAACUUAACCCAAUUGAAUGAUUGUCUAAGUAUAUACAUAGAUAGGGGUGGCAAUGGGGCGGGGAUGGGGCAGGGGACACCUCCCCCAACCCCCGCCCCCGGCUUCCCCCGCCCCGCCCCGCUUCCCCCCACGGGGGCACUCGUAGGGUUAAAAAAAUUUUAUUAUGUAAUUUCAUUAUAAUUAAAUUUGAGCAAAUAAUCAAAUAUUAAAAUAUCAACACAUCACCAAAUUAUUAUUCAUUGUAACUUCACAAUUGAAACUCAUAAAAAUAAUUAAACAAAAGUUAUUUGAAUACAAUCUAAUAUGAUAAAACAAAUAUAACUAAAAUAAUCAAGUUUUCACUUUUGAUACAAAUACAAUCACUAAAUUAUUAUUGUGUUUUUUUUAGAAAAAAGUGUUAUUGUAUUAAGUGUAGUUAGAAAUUUAACAUAAAUGUAUUAAUAAAUUUAGUAUAAAUAAUUAAUAAUUUUUAUUAAUAGACAUGUAUAAUUAGUAGUAUAAUUGAUAAUAUCAUUAUAUAUAUAAUUAUGUACAUAUAUAUAUAUAUAUAUUUUUCAAACAGGUGGCGGGGCAGGGGUGGGGCGUACUCCCCUGCCCCCCGCCCCGUUUCUAAACGGGGGGAAAAAUUCCCCCCCCCGGCCUUCGCCCCAACCCCCACCCCACUAAUCCCCCGCGGGGCGGCUGUCCGCCCCCGUUGCUAUCCGUAUACAUAGAAAAGAAAAUUGCUGAAAAAUUUAUCAUUGAUUCAAUCAUAGAUGAAUUUAGUUCUAUGAAAGAAUGUAAAGCUCAAUUUACUUUAAAAUAAAAGGUUCAAAUUUUAAGUUAUAUUAACAUAACUUUUAUCUUGUUUUAAUUGAAAAUAGAUAUAUUUAUAUUGCAUAGUUAUAUGCUUUCUUUUCUUUUUGCAUAGGUGACAUAUUGGAGUUUAUGUUCAUAAUGUGCAUCUUGGAUGGUUUGCAAUGCUAUAAGACAUUUAAUCUAAUGUUAUUUCUUGUCUUAAUUUUCGUUAUGACUAUAUUGCAUAUUUAUGAAAUAGACAUACACUUAUAAUUAAAGUUAAUAUUGGAUAUUUUUAGAUAAUAUAUAUUUAAAUAGUUGAAAUUUAUUUUGAACAUAACAUAUUAAGAUAAUUUUGUUAGAAAAUCCCCCCCCCCUCACGAAGAAAAAAAUCCUAGCUCCAUCACUGGAGCAGAGAAAAAGAAGGAAAAGAGGAAUAAACAUAAAGUUGAGUUUUUGUUAGUUAUUUUUUAUUUAUUUGUAAGAGGUGAAAUGAGUUGUUUUUUAUUUUUAAUCUAUUGAAAUGGUGAGGACAAAGUGAUAAACAAAGGAUAAUAUUAGAUACAUAUUUUAUUAGAACAUAGUGGGGAAAAUAUUAUCUAACAACGACAUGAAUUGUAUAUAAGUUAUAUGCUUUUGGUGGGUCAGUGGAGGUUAUUGUCUCCAUUGUAUCGUUUCCUAGAAUCAGUAUAUUCUAGUAAAUGAUUCUAGUUAUAUGUAAGUGAUUUAUAUUACUAAUUUUUUGUUACAAUUUUUAGAGAAUAGUUGGUUGAUUCUUAAAAAUAGAGCGAAGUCAACAACUAAUGCGCUUCAUAGUUAAUAGAAGUUUCCAAGAGGGCACCAAGUAAUAUUUUCAUAAUUGAUUAGCUUGGUUUUCAAGUGCAUAUAAAAAGAUAUCCAUGAAGACCUCCCCACCCAAGGGAAGACUGUAAGUUACGAAAACGUUUACUUUACUCUCAACAAAAUGUUGAGCAUACUUUAUUUUACUUUCGACAUCAUGCAAUGAUUAAAGGAUUUUGUAUAGGGACCUAGUUAAUUCAAUAAGCUUUAUGAUGGUUUAAUUGACUAACGGAGGAAUUUGCUCAGCCUAGUAACUCUGGUACUCAAGUAAUCAUGACCUUUAUCUAAAGAUCUACACAUUCCAUAUUGAAGUAAAUGAUAAUGGAUUUAUUACUUUUGUUGACCAAGUCAAGCAAAAAGCUGUUAUCAAAUCAUGGUUUUAGCGACUUAUAAGUUUCUUGAUAUCCCAACUAACCUCAUAGGAGGGCUACUUUAUUUCUUUUUGGUUACUUUCUAAUGCCUAGUUGCCUGUCGGAUAAAAUAUUGCCUUCACGGAUUGAUUCCAAAACUUGCUCAAAAACAUCUAUUUAUUUUUAAAAUAUUGCUUAUACUAUAUUUUGAACCAUUCAAUUGCAAAACACAAACAAUUUUUCUUAUGGUGCCUUCUUGUCGUUGAAACUAGGAAGCUAACCAAACAUUUGAAGCAAAGUGAUAAACAAUUAAUAGCAAACUAUAUUGGAUCUUCGAAAGGAAAAUUGAGGCCUCAUCUAUGAAUUUAACAUUUUCCGUUGUGAUGACAUCCGAAAUUGAUUGUGAGAAGAUUUUACAAACGCUAAAAGAGUAUCUCCAUUUAAUUGUGGAAAGGAAUUUGAUUUUGUCAAAUGCACAGAUAAUGGAAAUGACAAAAUAGCAGCACUAUCCUUGUCAUUAGGAAGCACUCAAAAGUUACGUAUUAAAUGGGAGUCUAACGUACAAGCAAUGAAACACUAUUGUAUUUGCGAUAGUAUUGAUAAAAAUUAAGAUUCUAUAGUCUUUGGAUCAUAAUGAAUUCAACGUUGGAUGACACAAUAAGUAUUCUGAAUUCUUAAAUUAUAAUAAUGUUAAAUAUUUAAAAUAGAAGCUGAUAUCGUUAUUAAGAAAUACACAUUGAAGGAAUAGUUCUCUAAGCGAUAAAAAUUUUCCAAAAGUAAAAGAAUGAAUGAUCAAAGUUUUCCAUCUUUGCCCGAUGACUCGUCUCUUUCCAUUUUACUUUCCCAAAGGAUAGCAUUUAAUAGCCUCGUGCCUGCUCUCAUUUUAAUCCUAAAAUAAGUGAUCAUGGGCUUCUUUGAGAAUGGGCUUGGUCUAAAUAUUGAACGCUCAAAACAGACUUCUUUUGUUGGAGGCGGCUUUCACUAGAGAGCGUGGGACUGAUUCAGAGUUCUUUUUUUUUUUGUAGGAAAAGGGAGACUGAUUCAGACUUCUUGCUAUCAUAGUUAUUAAACCUACCUUGGAGAGGAAUCCGGUGAAGGAGGUGGGUCAACGGAUUAUUGGUUCAAUCAGUGGAUGAGUAGUUGAAUUGGUGGGUUACUAAAUAUAUUUAAAUAUUAUGUCUCAUAAUUUUUUCAUAUAGGGUAUCUGGUUUAAACUACAAUGAACUAUACCAAGCAAAUGGUUAUUUAGGGUGUGUUUAAUAAAAUUAAAAUUUGAAAUUAAAAUCUGAAAUGUGAAUCUAUUAAGUUAUUAAAUUGUUAAGUGCUAAAUCUGAUACAUUUGUGUGUGUGUAUAUAUAUAUAUAUAUAUCAUAUUAAGUAAUAAGUGAAUAGUUUAUCACUUAUUUUUAGGAAUAAAUUUUGCCUAGAAAAUUCAUUACUAUUUAAUUAAUUCAGAUGUUCAAUUUUUUAAUAUGUUAAGAUCUGAAUCCAUUAAAUUAAAGUGUUGAAUUGGAUUAUCAAACAGGGUUUUAGUCUAAUUCAUUAUAGUCUAAUUCAUUAUAGAAUGAUUAAUUAUUAUAAAAAUCUAUAAAAUCAAAAUUAAAUUAGUAAUCCACCAAAUUUCAAGUGCAAAUAUUUACCUAUAUUUAGUGUAAUUAUUUAGUUUAUUUAUGAAUUUUAAGUGCAAGAGGUUAUUAGGAACAAUAUUUGCCUUUAAAUGAAUUGUAUACUAUGUUAUUUUUGAAAUCCAUUUCAGAACUUAUAGAGUUUGAGAAAUAAUAAAUUUUAUUAAAAUAUCCCAAAUAAUUUUUAUUUUAGAGAAAUUAUAAAAAUAAAGAAACAAUUGACUAACAUAUAAUAUAAGACAGGUGAAUAACUAGCAUGUCAGCUGUUCACCUAGCGGUAAGUACUCGUUGUUUAUAUGCAUGAGGUUUUGAGUUUGAACCAUUAAAAAAACACAAUCUUGUCUAAUUUUUCCAAUAGCAACUAAUGUUCUACCUGAUUCAACCGGUCGGAUUUUCGAUUUAAUCCGGUUGAACCAUUGAUUUGUUGACAAGUCAAUGAGACUUGUUCACAUUCAAUCCAAUUAGAGACCCGAUGUUGUUUACUGAUCAGGCUUAAUAACUAUGCUUGCUGUGUUUCCUAGGUUUGCAAGAUUGAAUUCAAGGUUAAUUGUAUUCAUCUCCUUUUUGGUUAAACCAAAUUACAAAAAUCUUUUAUAUUGUUUGACCAAAUUAAGAGUACAGGCAAAGCCCUUGACCAAAUUACAAAAAUCUACCAUAUUGUCUGACCAAAUUAAGAGUACAGGCAAAGCCCUUGAUGGCAAAACAUUUAUCAAAUGCGCCCUUAUAUCAAUAGCUGUUAAAAUUGAUGCUUACAUUAACAAAAACCACAUAUUUGAAAGCCCCAAAAUAACCUUUUACACCUUGAGUUAAUUACACUUAUCUUUAUAUUUGGCAAUUGGGUGGGUUGAACGGAUUUUGGGCGGGUUAAUAUUGGAUUUUCACUUAAAUGGAUUAUACCCAACCCGUCCAACUUUAGAUUUGGUUGAUUUUGGGUUGGGUCAUAUUGGGUUAUUUCAAACCCAUGACCCAAAAAUAACCUAUUAUAUUAAUUAAUACAUAACCUUUUUUCACAUUCAUUUUAACAUACAAAAAAGAUUUUUUUCACACAUAUAAACACAUUUUCACAUACAUAAAUGUAUUUUCAUACACACUCACUUCUUAAGUUCCUUGAAAACACAUCAUAAAUAGAAUAAUAUUUUAUAUUACUUGUAUUGUAAAUUUUAGAUAAUAAAUGAUGGGGGUUGGGUUCUGCAGCAGGUUGCGUGAUGAAGUCGUAGAUGAUGUUGGGAGUACUGGGAAAGGAUGGAUGAUGAUGAUGGAGGUGAUGAGGAGGUGGCUCCGCCAUUAUACACACAGAGUAUACAUGAAUGAGGAUGGCGCCGAUGAUGACUGCACUCACUUCUUAUUAUAUGUAUCCACAUUAAUAAUUCCUAUGUACACAUGAAACUCUGUGUGUGUGUGUAGAUACAAUAUAUAUAUAUAUAUAUGUAUGUGGCGGGACUUAAAUUAUAUAUAUAUGGGACAUAGAGCCACUGCUACUGGUCUAUAGUAUAGUUCAACAACAACAGCAGCAACGGCAUUCGACUACUCUGUUAGUGCAGUGUAUCAGCAGCUUGAGGUUAAAAAAGGUUAAAAAAGAAAUUUGUACAAUAUUAUAUGUACACGAAAUAUUGACAAACAAAAGCAAUCAUGAAAUAUUAAAAAAGAAUGCAAUUAGAAUAAAUUUAAAACUCUAUUUUACGUACACGAAAUAUUAACAAACAAAAGCAAGUAGCAACUUGAGAACAACCACAAAAAAAAAAAGAAAAAAAGAAGGAGGAAAAUAACAUACUCUUAAAAGGCAUAAUAAAUUAUUAUAAAAGUUGAGUAAGUUUAACUACUGUUAUAAAAGUAAAAUAGCUAUGAGUUUUUAUUUCAAGUUUCUUUUUUCUUUUAAAUAAAAAUUAAAAAAAUUGAUUGAAAAAAAAAAAUAUAUAUAUAUAUAUAUAUAUAUAUAUAUAUAUAUAUAUAUAUAUGAGAAUUUUGAAUACAAAUUAAUCAAUGAAUUAUUAACACAUGUCCAAAUGCAAAUAGUUAGAUAUAUGUGUAUUGAAUCUUGUAUUUAUUAUUUUCAAUUACUUUUAAACAAGUUAGAUAUUGAGUACCCAAAUAAAAAAUUCAACCCGUCCAAUGAAUAAAUUGGAUUGUUCUUACCCAACCCAAUAAAACCCAUAACCCAAUUAACCCAACCCAUCAUUUAAAAUUAAUGGACGGAUUUUGGGCUUUUUUGCUAGCUCCACUUAUCUUCCUUGGAUUUUGUCCAAACUACUUUCAUCUCUCGUGAGGGUUGUACAAAUGACAAGUAAAGCCUAUUAUUGUCCAAAUCAAUUCAAAGCUAUAAAUAACCCAAUACUUUUCAAAUACACCAUAGUCAACUUAAUUAGUUGCAACAAACUUCUAAAACAAUUCUCAAAUACCGAUUAGUUACUACCUUUUUCUUUUACCAUUUUUUCUCCUCGUAGGUUAUAGUGUUACUCCACCUAAAAACUUGAAUUCGAUUUUCGCACAUCGUUGGGCCUUGCAUGAUGUCAAAUAUCAACAGUAUUUUCGGCAAUUGAUUCUUUAGUCGCAACUGCUAUGUACAAAAUUGAAACUUUUCUCCUUGUUAGCAUGCAAAUUAUCAAAAUCCAUUUUUCAAAUAAAAGACAGUAUAAACUUAAAUCCACCUUAGCACUAAAAUUUAAGGUUUCUAUAUAAACGAUAUUUUGGAAUUCAUUAGUAAAAGUCCAAGAAAAAAUUAUCUAGAAAUUUUAGAAUAAAAGCUUAACAUCUUAAUAUGGAUAAAAAGAAGACAAUCUAAAAAGAAAGUUCCGUCUAAGCUAAGUCAAUCCUUGCUGAUGGUUCAUGAUUUUGGAGGAAAUUGCUCCAAAUGCGAGACCUGGCAAGAUGAUAUAUUCAGGCUGUAGUAGGCAGUGGGCGCGCUAUACAUAUGUGGCAGGAUUCAUGGCAUCCACAUGGACCUCUGUUACAAUACUAUGGGUAUGAUAUUGUUAAGGGUAAAAAACAAAAAAAAAAAAUUCUCCUGUAGCAAACCUAAUACAUAGAAAAGCUCUCCGUAAUUUUAAAACGUACAACAUGACACCUCAUGUUUUGAACUAAAUUGUAAAGGUGAAUGCCUUAUUGGAACCUAAAAAAAAUUUUAUACCUAAUUUUUAACAAAUAUACAUGUUCUCCCUCUUAACCCUCAAUUCUCUUUAUAUAGAAAAUAAAACGAAUGAUUUUUUUGAACUGUUUUUUACUUAAUUAUAUGAAGGCAUUUUGGUCACUUCAUCCAUUUCUGUUAAGUUUAACGGAUUCCGUCACUUUUACAAUUUAGUUCAAAGUAUGGAGUGUUGUGUUGUACAUUUUGAAAUUACGGGGAUUUUUCUAUAAAUUAGAUUUACCACGGGGGCUCUUUUGUUUUUUACCCUAUUGUUAAACAAUUUAAUAGGUUUGAGAAUGCAAGACUGGCUUCAAUUGUGAACACAAGUGCUUGGUGUUGGCCACAUGGUAGAAGAAGAACCUCUCAAGCGGAGGAUUUGAUCCAUAAACUUCCCUCUGCUUGUGUACCUCUCUACCCAGGGAAGAUGAUACCUUCUCAUGGUUAUGAGAUAAAACUGGAAUGUUACUACAAAGUCUGUUAUUGCUUCUUUGAGAGAACAUUGUAUGAAUGUCGAGUGGUAUAAACUGGGGUGGUUUAAGCAACAUAUCCUAGACAUACAUUUAUCGCUUGGCAACAUAUUCCUAGACAUGCAUUUACAAACAAGCAACAUAUUGUUUGUAAAAAUAGUUUGGCUACAAAAGAUAGGUUACUUAAAUGGGGUAUGCCAGCUUAUGUUUGGAGUAGGAUACAACAGUGCUAUUUGCUUUAUGGAGGCGUAUAUGGUUGGUCUGUAGGAUUGGCAUUGUGGGUUGGUUUCCUGUAGAAUGAUGAAUUUGUUACCUCAGUCAAAAGAUUGGCUCUUGGGGGUUUUUAUUUAUUUCCUUUGGCAUGAGCGCAAUCAAAGGCAGUUCAAUAGUAAGGUGUCGAAUGCUGAUUAUGUGAUACAGCAUAUAAUUACUACUGUUAGGCAAACUAUAAUAGGCUGGCGAAGGGUGCAAAGGACACAUAGCAGCUGGGAGUUUGGCAUUGGCUGGAAUUUUGAAUAGCAGUUUUUUUUCUUAGAUUAAUAUUUCAUGGUUAUAAUAUUUGUUUUCAUUAUAGUAUGGUGUCUUGUUCCGUUAAGCUUGUAUAGGGCAGCUUUUCUUGUUGUUGGAACCAUUCCUUGCUUAUCUAAUGAAAAGAGUUAUUUUGCCUAAAAAUAUAUAUAAUAUUCUUCUUUAUUUUUCUUACUUGCCCAACCCUUCUCACACCCUUCCCAUCCCCAAGUGCUAGGUUAUACUAUUCACUUAGGCCCUGUUUAAUAACUAAUUCAGUACUUAAUAUUAAUUGAUUCAGAUCUUAAUAUGUUCAAAUGCAUUUGAUAACAAAAUAUUGAACAUUUGAAUUAAUUAAGUGGCAUUGAAUUUUCUAAGCAAAACUUGCUUUUAAGAAUAAGUGAUAAGGUAUUCACUUAUCAUUGAACGUGAUAUACACUACAAUGUAUUUAAUUUCAUACUUAACAAUUCAAUAAUUUAAUGGAUUCAGACUUUAGAUUUCAGAUUUCAGUUUUCAAAUUUUAGUUUUAUCAAACACACCCUUAAUCUAAAUAAAUUUAUUUUUUUGAAACCAAAUUAUAUAUCUAAAAUGUAGCGGACACUUGUCAUAUGGAGAAAUUGGGUUAGGUGAGCUUCGUAGCGGCCACAAUGAGCUGUAGCAAAGAAAAAGGGGAAGAGGUUUUUUUUAAAAAAAAAAUUUUAUCUUUUAUUUGUCAUUUCUUAGUAUUGAGCAAUUAAUUAUUUUCUUUUAAUUUGGGAUUCAAUUUUUCUUGGAUGAUAUCAUGAGUUUUCUUAUGAAUUGUUUGCUAUUCAAAUGAUUAAAUUUAUAUGGCCAAACUAUAUGGUAACUCUUGUAAUAUAGACAAACGUCAAGACAAGAAAAUGUUGGUUUUUCAAAAGGCAUUUUUUGUCAUUUCGCUCAUUUUGUUGGCUGAGUUUAGACGCUGUCACUCAUGGGUAAAUGUAGAUGCAUCACGUGCAAUUUUAAGUUGACCAUAACAAAUAAAGAAAUCCAAAAACAUGAAGUUUCAAAUAUUAAUGAAGCUUUUUGAAAAUAUAAAUAUGAACCGUCACAAAAUAAUUAUUAAUACCCAUAAUACUUCAAAUACUAAUAAUUUUGGCACUCAACAAUAAGGUUUCAGCCAAUCCUCCACUAUUUUUUACUCCAUGAAAAUGACUUUAAUGAUAGACAUUUGUGUUUUUUUUAACCUCCCACCCCUCUCCACGCUCUUCCCACCCCCAACUAUCAGGGCCAAAAUUCGAACUCUCAACUUGACACAUAUGUUUAUGUAUUUGUUAAGUAUAUGGUUUACUGCCUUGGCAAAGAAAUAUAUGAACUAAUGCACAUGUCAUGAUUUUCUAAGUUAAAUUAUCUUGGCGUUUUAAAUUCUUUAAGCAAUGUGAUAAAAUACAAUUUUAUUGGUUUAAAAUAUAUAUAUUUCUUACAUAUCUGUUAUCACUUGUUGUUCAAGAUUAUUUUUAAUGGAAAUAGUUUAUUCAAGUUUUUUUCUUCCUCGUCUCUUUGGCCAGGUUUGGCAUAUAAAUUAUGAGAAAACAUAGAUUAUGUAUCUUAGUUAUUUUGGUGAAGGCAAAGUACGAAUUGAGUGUCUCAAAGUCAAUUUGGAGUUCCAAAUUCAUUGGUUCAUUGGUUCCAAGUUCCAUUAUUUUUUGGACUCUUCUAGGAUCACAUACUUUAUGCAUGAUUUUGGAACUUGCAAGUAUAAACAAAAAGUGUUACUCUCAAAUGCAAAAGAUUUUCAUAUAUAUAAUAGCCCAAGUGUCUAAAAAAUAACUUGUGGAUAUGUCUAAAUUGUAAGAAAAGGAACGAAAAAAGCAUUUAGUUUGGGAGGUUGGAAGUACUUCCAAAUCACAUGUUUGAGAAUAUGUUAUUGCCCCUCUUUUCCUACAUGAAAUUCAUAUUGGAAUUGAUAUAUCAUUUUUCCGGUGCGAUGUUUAAAUUAUUGUUCAUGCAUGCUGAUGCGUGGAACCAAAGAAGAAAUUAACAAAAAUAGCAAAAGAAACAAACUCAAACUUAAUCCAUAGUACAAUACGUUCAUAGAUAGGAUGUCAUAGAUUACACAUCUUGGUUUACAGAUCCACUCAAACUCAAGCAUAAUUACAAUACAUCAGACUUUUAUUCCCACCAUCUUGGUUGAUAAAAGCACACACAAACCAAAUAGAAACACAUGAACACUUAAUUAAGCAGAGAAUAACAGCUUCUGCAAUCUGCGUAUCGCAGCUUGAUAGUCUGAUUAGUUCUUUCCUUGAGAAAUGAAAAUGAGAUCACUUUGAGACAUCCAAUGGCAUGCUUCACUUUGGCCAGGAGAAGUUUUCAAUAUCUUCAAGGCCACAUGAUCAGGGGACCAGCCUGAAGUAUCCAUAUGACAUACCACCGUGACUGUAUUAACUGGAACUUUGGUCCUAGGUUCAACAACAUCUACUGCAUAGACUUCAAUAUUGGACAGCAAAUGGCAGAAAUAUGUUGCAAAAGGAAGAAAUAAUUGAUGACAUGCCACAGUUUUUCCAUAUUUAAGCUUUUCCACGCGUCCAACCAUCAAUUCUUUUCUAGAACCCUCUGUGUUUUUCGAUGCCAAUGCCACCAAAUUCUUGUCACCUAUGGCAGUUUUUGAAAAUUCAAUCAUUUCCUCAAGGGAUUUUGCACAGCUCUGAGGCUCUUCCUUAAGAGCAGGAGUAUUGCAAUAAAUAAGGGUGUAUUGAAUGGCAUCUUUUGUUUGCGGGCUUUCAAAGGAUUGAGGAAAUAAUUUUCGUAGGUCAUUUUCCGUAACAGAGAUCUUUGAUGCCGUUUGAGAAGGAAGAAAUGACUGUUGGGGCAAUUGGUUUUCCAAGCUUGAGAGAUGCACCAUGUUUCCUUGUUUGAGAAGUGAGAGUCUGAAGAAAGAAAAAGGAUCAACAUGUAGGACAACAUUUGGGCUAAUUCUGCCAUAGCCGUAAUUAUUCUUGUCCAAGAAACUAUCAACACGUGCUUUGGAUAAACAAGCUAGGUUUGCAAGAGAGCAAAGAUUUGCAUCAAAUGGAAGAUUUUUCUCGGACGCUAAUGAAGUGAAAUGUUCAGCUUGUUCCUUGCUCAGUGGAGAUAGUUUGGACAGAAGAUUUCCAGGCAUGGUGCCUUGGACAUUUUCUGACCAAUAUUUGAGCUGAUUCAAUGCAGUGAAUGAAGAAGAUGAAAUGUGUGCAGCAAAAUGGGACGUAGGAAACGUGAGGGCAAUGACAAAGAGAACGAUAGCAAACGUUGAAGAGGCCAUUGGUUUCAUCAACACUAAUAUUGAGCUAAUUUUCUUCAGUGGAUGAAGUGCUGAUGACUUUGCUAGUGCAGCUUCUAAUUUAUACUAGUGCUCGAGCCUGGACACAGGGCCUCACCUG
This 221434-nucleotide long non-coding RNA is filed under the name Coffea arabica (coffee). RNAcentral's name for it is "long non-coding RNA (CARA_LNC002661)". Lineage: Eukaryota; Viridiplantae; Streptophyta; Magnoliopsida; Gentianales; Rubiaceae. The record is from RNAcentral.